Molecule: long non-coding RNA, 179563 nt
Filed under: Vitis vinifera (wine grape)
Lineage: Eukaryota; Viridiplantae; Streptophyta; Magnoliopsida; Vitales; Vitaceae
Description: long non-coding RNA (VVIN_LNC004572)
Source: RNAcentral
UUCUCAUCAAACGCAACUUAAGAAACAAUUUUACGCAUACAAUUUAUCAUAUGUCUUGCAACCAUAAAGCCAGAAUUUUAACAAUAGAUUAACAAAAUAAGUUGUAAUUCAAGAUGGAUAAUAUGAAUUAACUCAUCUUUGCAAAAGGAUGUCUUUUCAGCAUGAUGUAUGGUUUGAGAAGCCUCCCACAACAAACUUACAAACUUGUUCAGAAUUUCAGUUAAUAAAAGGAUGCUAACAUGGCUGAUUUUAAGUUUCACUAGGGGUCUAGUGGGUGAUAGAUUCCGAAAUUUGUUAUGUUUGUUUCCAGUUUCUGGCUGUUUUUUCAUGUUUCCCACUUUGGGGGUCAACAUAUAUCAUGUAUAUGCUAGAGUUGAGCUCCUAGCAAUCUGUUUCAACAUGCAUCAUAGGAUUGGGUUAUAUAACUUCACAGCCAUCACUAAUCCCCUACACAAAAUGCGAGUUUCAUUCAAAAAGAUAUUGAUCUUGCCUUGCAGCCACACAUAGAUUCCAAACUCACAGAAAAUCCUUGAGUUUUAUGCUAUUAAGAGACAUACUGUAACGCAUCACUCGCAGUCCUUGAGUUUUAAGAGUUCUUUUUUGUAUCUAUUUUGGGAUUGGAUUAGAUUGUACAUAAGGGAUGGGUCUAUAUCAUCAUUAGAUUUUGUAUAUUGGUUAGGUUCCCCGUAGGGUGCGGUUCUUUUUUUGUGUAUUCACCCCUUAUGAAUUUUGUUUUUUUGUAUACAUCAUGUAUACUUUUUUAAUACAAUUUCCAUUUACCUAUCAAAAAAAAUCUUUGUAACAAACUUCUGAGUGGCAACAGCUACUAGUCUAAUUCUUCCAAGGUAAAGGAGAAAGUCUAUGCAUUCUAAUAAGAUAAAAAUUCAGAAAGAUUCUUACUGGAUUUCAAGAAAUCAUGUAAGGAAAUUUUAGCUCAAUGGAAAGUGAUUUCAAGUUCCACAUACACUAUAAUCCAAAAACAUGUAGGGAAAUUUCAAAUGAAUGCACACAUGGAUCCUCUUACCAAAAGAGUAGAGCGUGAGGAAAAAUGUAAACAAAGAAAGAGUUGAUUCUAGCUUGAAGAAAUAAAACUUAAUUAAAAACCAUCCAUAUAGGAGGUAAUCAAAACAUAUUUAUUUUAUACAUAAGGAGAAAUAUCUUACAAUGGACAAGGGUAGGAAAAGCUUGAAGAAAGCUUGAAAGCUUGAAGAAAGCUUGAAAGCUUGAAAGCUUGAAGAAAGCUUGAAAGCUUGAGAGCUUACAUGAUGAGAGAGAAAGAAGAGAGAAGGAGCAUAUGGAAUGGAAAAUUACAUUCUGCUUACAAAUGAGGACUGAGCCUCCUUAAAUAGGCAAAACGGAAUCUUAAAUAGUAAUAAUGAACAGCAGACCCGUACUUGAAUAGUGCUUGAAUAGUAAAAGUGAACAGUGAAAGGGAACUGUAGCACUUUUGACUUUGACCCGGAAUCUUGCUUUCGGCUGAAAUGACAGUUGUAAACUCGAAUGCUGGAAAACACUACAGUAGAGGAUAAUUUGACAGGUGGAGAAUCAUUACUUGUAUUUUCUUACUGGUGGGAGAAUACCUUCACAGUCAUCCCCAUUGUCAGGAAGGUAACUUGUUGAAUCAUUAGAUUCUGCAUAUGAGUUGUCUUGUGAAAAGCUUGAGCUUCCUUCAUCCAGGAUUUUUUGGAAUUCUUGAGGGGUUUUUGCGGCUGCUAGCAUGGCUUGAAACUGUUGCUUCUUAAGCAGAAAUUGUGACAUUUCAUCAUUAGUUGAGGCUUGUGUGGGGUGCUUGAGAAAGUACUGCUUAACUGCAUUAAGAGAUGCGUCCCACCAUUUUGUCUUAAAAGUCCUUCCGAUGGUUGGAAAGGUUGCUGAUUCAUCUGCUAUGAUUAAAUAAUCCCACUGGACAAUCCAAGCGAGACCAAAAUUGCUGAAGAAGAAUAAUAAAAGUGGAAAGACCCAGUCCCAGUUUGGGCGAUAGCAUCCAAACGUCCAUUCUCGAAACGUUGGGUUUCGGUCAGUAUCUGAGUUCACGGUCGCCGAUCAUUGUUUAUAACAUUCCAUCUCUGAGUACACAAAAACAAUCAAUUAUCCCUUCUCCAAAAGGCAGCGUCUCUGUCAAUUCUGGGAUCAAGGUACUGUUCCAAUCUCUAUUCCUACUUCAUUCAAUCGAUUUCUACGGUUGAUACAAGUCGAAAUGAUGAGAAAAUGAAGGGAUAUUUUGAAUAGAAAAUUUUCACCAUCUAGGGUUCGAGAUUACAAAAAAUUGCACUUUAGCAACUCAUAAGAAUCUUUGGUUUAGUUGAUCUGAGUUUUUAAAUUUUUAUUUAUUUGUUUAUUUGUUUUGAAUUUUUGGCAGCAAAGAAAGUGGGAGAGGGAACGUAGAAAUCAAAAUGUGGUUUUCUUUUAUUUUUCUUCAAUUUCUUGGUAACAAAAUAGAGGGUUGGAUUUCACACUGAUUGUUGUUGCUGGAAGUUUUCAAUUAUAGGGUUUCUCUUUGAACAGCUAUGGAACAAUUGCUAGUUUGGAUUAGAUUAACAGUCCAAGGAAUGUUUUCUUGUAUAAAAAAUAGAUUUAGUUUAGAUACAGAGAAAAUAUUAAAAUGGCAAUUAAAAUUUUGCAUUGUAAGAUUUUCAACAACAAUGAUUUGAAUCAUAAGAUUUUCAAACCAGUAAGGGCUAGUGGUAUUUAGCCAAANNNNNNNNNNNNNNNNNNNNNNNNNNNNNNNNNNNNNNNNNNNNNNNNNNNNNNNNNNNNNNNNNNNNNNNNNNNNNNNNNNNNNNNNNNNNNNNNNNNNAAACCAGUAAGGGGUUAGGUGUAUUUAGCCAAACCCUCAGGAGGUGAAUGAAAUUAACCAGAAAUUUUAACAUAUAGAGAAUAAUAAAAUUGCAUACCACUUCUGCUUUUCUCAAGAGAGGUUAAGUUUGUAAAUGGUUGAUUCGUAAUGUUAACCAAGUAAGCAUGUUAAAAACUAAGCAUACACUGGAAUGGAAUAGGUCUCAAGGAUUAUGUUGUUGAGGGGUGAACAUAGUUUAGUUGAUGGUCCUGGAUAAAGGGUAACGGUGAACCUUGGAUCUAAAGAGUUGUUUUCAAAAAGAGUGUAUGGCUACUUAAGAGUGAAAACGAGAUGAGAAGUGUAUUGUUUUUUUUUUUUUUUUAAAUUUAUAGAUAGAUUUAUAGAAUAGUUGAAGACUGAAUUCAUAGAACUCUUGUUGUGGAGAAAUUUUCUCUUUAAGUAUAGAAGAGAGGCUUAAAAAGAAAGAGAAGUUGGAAGUUGGGAGAUUAAUGCAUCUCAAAAGAUGGCCAAAUUCAGUCUAUUUAUGAUUUCUGUAUCGGAAAUAUUAUAUCAUACGCGGAAAGAUAUGAGUAUAUUUUUUCCUAUAAAAAAAAAUUAAAAAAGGAUCUUACAUGGAUGUUUACCAUUUUAAUUAGAAAUUAUUAGGACAUCAAUAUUAGUUGCUAUUAUCAAGUAGUUACUUUGGCAUGUGGUGUAGCAGUUACUGGGCAUUACUCAUGGUUUCUUAGCAAGUUGUUCUUCACUUUAUUGCACAAGUGAAUUAGUAGAGAUCCUUUUAUUUAAUUAAAACUUUCAGUUAGGAUUCUUUUCUUGCAUUUUAGACCUGUCCAUUCACGCCUAAAAUGGUUGAAAUUGAUUUAAGGAUGACUCUCUACAAAUAGAAUAAAGAGAUUGGAUGCUGGGAUUUUCUGUUUAAUGGUCAACCAAUUUUUGAGACUUCCUUUAUAAUGAGCACAAAGAUGCCCUAGAAAUGCACUUGGGUUGUGGCUCCCUUUUGUUUUGCACUUCUUAAUAUAUCCUGUUUCUUUGCUUGUCAAAAAAGGGAAAAAGGUAAAAACACCCUGGAGAGUAUAACAAUGCAUGGAAAAAAUUGCAAAUUUUCUUAAGCAAAACAUUAUUGCCAUCUAAUGCUCCUUUGUUCUGAAAGUUUGAUGAAUACAUUAUAGAAAUAUUUGUGCUAUGAAACAGAGAGAUUUUUCUUCUUUUACUUGGUACAAGUUUUUGUGAUAUCUCACUAAUGCUGAAGCUGUAACAUUUACUGAGAGGGUUCAACAUUUAUACGUGAUCCUACAAACAUAGCAUAGAAGUUGUGUGUACUUAUAUAAGGAGAUUGGGGGAGUGGGGAAACUUUGACCUCUCCUAUUUUUCACUUAUAUAAUUUACAUUAGUAAAAUAUUUUGGAUUUAUGUAAUUUUUGUUUUUGCUGAGCUAGAAUCAGCUCUUUCUUUGUUUACAUUUUUCCUCACGCUCUACUCUUUUGGUAAGAGGAUCCAUGUGUGCAUUCAUUUGAAAUUUCCCUACAUGUUUUUGGAUUACAGUGUAUGUGGAACUUGAAAUCACUUUCCAUUGAGCUAAAAUUUCCUUACAUGAUUUCUUGAAAUCCAGUAAGAAUCUUUCUGAAUUUUUAUCUUAUUAGAAUACAUAGACUUUCUCCUUUACCUUGGAAGAAUUAGACUAGUAGCUGUUGCCACUCAUAAGUUUGUUACAAAGAUUUUUUUUGAUAGGUAAAUGGAAAUUGUAUUAAAAAAGUAUACAUGAUGUAUACAAAAAAACAAAAUUCAUAAGGGGUGAAUACACAAAAAAAGAACCGCACCCUAUAGGGAACCUAACCAAUAUACAAAAUCUAAUGAUGAUAUAGACCCAUCUCUUAUGUACAAUCUAAUCCAAUCCCAAAAUAGAUACAAAAAAGAACUCUUAAAACUCAAGGACUGCGAGUGAUGCGUUACAGUAUGUCUCUUAAUAGCAUAAAACUCAAGGAUUUUCUGUGAGUUUGGAAUCUAUGUGUGGCUGCAAGGCAAAAUCAAUAUCUUUUUGAAUGAAACUCGCAUUUUGUGUAGGGGAUUAGUGAUGGUUGUGAAGUUAUAUAACACAAUCCUAUGAUGCAUGUUGAAACAGAUUGCUAGGAGUUCAACUCUAGCAUAUACAUGAUAUAUGUUGACCCCCAAAGUGGGAAACAUGAAAAAACAGUCAGAAACUGGAAACAAACAUAACAAAUUUCGGAAUCUAUCACCCACUAGACCCCUAGUGAAACUUAAAAUCAGCCAUGUUAGCAUCCUUUUAUUAACUGAAAUUCUGGACAAGUUUGCAAGUCUGUUGUGGGAGGCUUCUCAGACCAUACAUCAUGCUGAAAAGACAUCCUUUUGCAAAGAUGAGUUAAUUCAUAUUAUCCAUCUUGAAUUACAACUUAUUUUGUUAAUCUAUUGUUAAAAUUCUGGCUUUAUGGUUGCAAGACAUAUGAUAAAUUGUAUGCGUAAAAUUGUUUCUUAAGUUGCGUUUGAUGAGAAAUUUCAUAAUCUGUAACAAAGGCACUUGAUUUGAGCAUUUGGGAGUUCGUUUAUUUGGAGCAUCCUGUCUCAAUAGAUGAGACCCCUUUGAACAAAUGGACCCAAAAUACACAGCAGAAAUAUUAGAGUAAAGCUCAUCAAUUUUCUUCUGUUCUUAUUUCCAUUAUUAUUAUUAUCAUUAUUAGUAGUAGUGUUAAUAUUUAGUUAAUUGCUUCUUUUUUUUCUGUGCAGACAUUUGGAGAAGCAGAAUGACCUCCUUAUGGAUGCUUAUAGAUCAAUGUCGCACGAAUUGCACAAACUUCAGGUUGUUCAACUUUAAUUAUGAAUGCCCUUCUCUAUAUGCCUUCUGAUAAGUAUCUGUUAGAAUAAUUCUUAAGAAACUUUGAACAAGAUAACAAAAAUAUUUAAAUAGAUUUCUUUUAUGUGGAUUUUAACAAUGGCUUCUGUUUGAAAAUUUUAGGAGGAACAAUGGACAAGAUAAUAAAGUUACUUGAGAAAUUCUAAAUGUAAAUUACUUGGGGGUUGGCUUACAUCUAUAAUAAAAAGUUGAUUGCAUAUGUUAAUACUAACUGAUUUAGCAACACUAAUAUUAACCGUUUUGUUGCAUGUUGGCAUGAUAUUUCUUAUUUAUAAUGUGUAUUUCAUGCAAGCAGUAGGGUCAUUGUCUGGGCUUCCUCAUUGAUAAUCAUUGAAAUCAAGUGGUGACAUGGGAUGUGAAGAAGAAUCGAAAGGAAACAUUAAGAGAUGCAUCAUUUUUUAAUGCGUCCCACCAUUUUGUCUUAAAAGUCCUUCCGAUGGUUGGAAAGGCUGCUGAUUCAUCUGCUAUGAUUAAAUAAUCUCACUGGACAAUCCAAGCGAGACCAAAAUUGCUGAAGAAGAAUAAUAAAGGUGGAAAGGCUGAAAGUUCUUUUGGGAUAAUAAAAAAGCUGCUAAAUAGCUCAAACCCAUCCAAAACAGGCUUAGGGAGAAUCUUAAUAGAGGGACCAAAAUAUGUCCACCAAUUGUGGAACCAAAAUGGGAAAGAGGAAAGCUGAUUCUUAGAGGGGAAGUAGAACAUCCAUGAAUGAUGGAAGUCCCUGUUUUGGAUUAAAAAAGUAUUAAACCAGGCUUUCUGAUAAUCCCAAUAGUAUAUAUAUAUAUAUAUAUAUAUAUAUAUAUAUAUAUAUAUAUAUAUAUAUAUAUAUAUAUAUAUGAAAGGCAUUCUGUUUUAUUUUUAAUUUGAGCAACAAAAGCUUAUAUAUAUAAUAAGCUCAAGGAUAAAUCUUAUGCAGAAGAAAGCUAGUAAAACGGCUAAUGUCAACAUCCCCACAUUAGAAUGCCCUGGACCUCAGCCACGCAUCCUUAGAUCACCUCCCAUUGAGGAAUAAUGACUGAUAUACCACUUUUAUUAUGCUUUCAAUCGUCAAGGCAAAUUCUCACACUACCAACUCUUUAUACUUUUUGAGAACAAUUUAUGGAAUUUAUAAGAAGCUAGUUUACCAUAAGACCUAGGCUUACAUUUUUUACAUUGUUAUUAUAAUAUGAAUAUGCUUGACAGUGUAGAUAUUCUUUACAUGACUUGUUCCCUAAAAGAGUGAAAACUUUCUUCUACAAAAUACCAAUUCCUUUGUCGCAAUAAAGAACUACAUAUUGGUUGAACACUUUCAUAAAGUAGACAAUCAAGUUAGAAGCAAAGUCAAAAGUCAAUUUUGAAAUUGAAAAUUUUGAAGUUGUAACAUGAAGACCCUUUUUAUCAAAGUGAGUUGGGUUAUAUCCUCCUCUAAAGAUUGGAUCAUUGCAUCCAACUCUCUGGAUUAUGAUAUAACUCUAUUUGUCUACUUCAUCAUCAUUGGAUGACUCUAUGUCAGCAUGAGAAGGUAAACCUACUGAUCAUAUAUCAUUUCAGCCUACAAUUUAUAUCCUACCAAAACAAGGUCAGUAGUCAAUCACCAACUAGACAUGUCUGCUACCUAAUUAGGCAUAAAAAAAUAAAUCAUCUCUUCUAUUCAUUUUUCCUUAAAUUUGUAAAGAAAAAACUACAGUAUUGCCUUCCUGCCACUCUGAACAACAACUGUGAAUUUAUACAAGAUAUCAAGUUCUGACUUUCUCAACACCUAACACUAGUGUCUAUAAUUUUCUUCAGGUAACAAUCGUUCCCCAUAUUAGAUCCUAUCAUAAAAUAGAAUGGCUAAUAGAUUUCAAAAUCUAUUAUUACUGAAGACGUCUUCAAAUUUAUCUUAUGAACAAAUCUAUUUAGUGGUUCAGAUUUCAGGGAGAUUUCAAAAUCAAUUAUUACUGAAGACGUCUUCAAAUUUAUCUUAUGAAACACAUAUAUUUAGUGGUUCAGAUUUCAGGGAUCCUUAUCAUUUAAACAAAUACUUUUGACCGUUACAGUUCCAGAAUAAACAACGUCAAAGCCGCAUUCAUAGUAUCUCAACUUGAUAAACUAGUCUCAACCAACACCAAUUGUUGCGCUACGCAUCAUGGAAUGGAGAUUCUACCUUUCAGGUCCAAAACGAACCGUUUUUUGAUAGGAUACUCCAAAAUAUUUAACUACUCGGAUAAUAAUGACCAACCCUCUUUCUUCUAAAGAAAGAAAAGGGAAAGUUAGAUAUGCCUUUUGCAACUUCAUCCCAAAACUAAGAAAACAAAGCCAAACAGAUGGCUUACAUGUUCACAAUGAAGAUCUUCUUUAUAAUCUCCUAAAGAUGAAACCUUUAACAUAGAAAGGAACACCCAAACACAAAAACCUAAUUCAUCAACAUACCAGGAGCGAAGGGUUUUAUGUUGUGAAGAAUCAGAUCAUGAUUUUGAGCAAACUACCACAAAAUACCCAAACAAAGCCAGCAAGAACACACAAAAUUUUAAACACACAAACAGGAAUUAUGAUCCAACAAAAACCCUCUUCAAAACCCUAAUCAAUAAUCAGAAAUAAACUACGAGCAAAGCAGAAAAACCUUAUCAUAAACCCUAAAGAAGCAUAGAUGAAUCAAUAUCAAUAGAAGAAGAUGAGAUAAAACCCUAACCUUGAUGAAGGAUUGAGACGGAGAGAAAUACAGAAGCCAAAUUGAAAUGAGAAUAAGAUGCGGAUGAGAGGGUGUCGUGUUUAUAGGCAUUCAAGGAAUUUUCAUUUUUAUAUUUUAUUAAAAGAUAAGGUUUGGCCAAGUUGCCAAAGUAAGCUUUAAAAAAAGUAUGUUAUGAAGUUGUGAUUCAAUUAUUUUUUUUGGAUGAAAAUAAAUCUAUUUUUUAAGGAAUAUAUUUAUAUAAAAAAAUUAUUAAGAUGUAAAAUUAAAAUGAUAAAUAUGGGAAAGAAUUUUUAAAAAUAAAUCCGUAGUUAAUUUUGGUAUAAAAAUUAUUGUGAAAAAUUUCAAUAAAUCGUGAUACGAUUUUUCAUGAUUAUUAAUAAAUCAUAUUUUUAUUGAUUUUUUUUUUUAAAGGUCAGGCAUCUUUGUAUUAUGCUUUCAUUUCUUUAUAUCAUAGUUUUUUUUCUUUAUAUUUUGAUCUUAUUUCUUUAUAUCUUACGUUAAUUAUAUUCAAAAACGGUAUAUAUAAGUAAUUUUUUAAUUUUAUGAUUGUUUUAUCAUUUUUAUAAUGUAUGUGUUGUUGAAACCUAACAAAAUGUGAACUUUUAGCAAAUUUUUAGUGAUUUCAUAUCCAUACGUUCAACUUUGGCUCUUUAGUCUUCUAAUUGCACUCCCCAGUUCUCUAUUCCACUCCAACGAAAUGAAUUACAAGUAGUUUCAAGACUUUGUUGACAUUAUUUAAAUUCUUUAAUAUAUAUUCACUCAAUUGUUUACCAAACUUUAAAAUAGUAAUAAAUUUUAUAGGGGAAUUUAUGUAACCAGGGGAAAAAAAUUGACUUUUAGGAAUUUUUCUUUUUACUUUUCAAGUUCAAUCAAUUUUGGGGAAUAUAAAUGUUUUUCCAUACUGUGGACUUAUAUUUUUUACGUGUGCCUCCACUCAAUCGGCGAUACUCGUUUUUAUUGGUGAAAAAUUAGUUUUGGAAAAGUUAGAGUCGCCACUUAUUUUAUUUUUAUUUUAAAGAAAAAAUAAAAUAAGAAAGAAAACCCUAAAAAAGUGACUGCAUAAUUUUUGAAAAAGCAUGUCUUUGAAAAACCCGAGUCUAGGUCUAAGGAUCAGGUUACCUAUUGAGAAGGUACCUCUAAAAAGUACUACCCUUCUAAGCCCUAAAGAGGUCUCUACUGACCUAAUUGAGGGAAAUGGGCAAAUUAAUUGGUUAAUUAUAAAUAUCUAGGUAGGCUAAGAUGAUUUUGAGAUUCUAUCAAUACUAGCAUGUCAAAUAAGAAAUCAAAUUACAAUCAUAAAGGAGAGUCAGGGUGUGUACCUAAACUGCUUCUUACUUGCUAUCAAAAGACAAUCAAAGUUAAUUUAAUAAUAUAUCACUUAACAUGCAUUUUAUUAGAGAUAAUCAAACAAGUAUCAAGGCAAUCAAGGAUAACAUUUAAACAUGGAUAUAGAUCAUGAUAACAUGCAUUUUCAUAGAAUUUUGGAAUUAGAGGAUAGAUAGCAUACCUGGAUAGUAAGCAUAUUUUAUAAGAUUCCUCAAAAAAUGCUAGAGUGGUUUGGACAAGCAUAAAUUAUUUAACAUAUCCAUUAUGUCUAAUAUACAAUUUCAAAACCAAAAAUUGAGCUAAGAUAAAUCAAAUAACUCCAAAAAUAAUAACAAUUUCAAGUAAAGUAUAAAACCAUCAGCAUGCAAUUAGAAAAGGAAGCAUCACAAAGCAAUUUCUAAAAAAAAAUGGCUUAGAGUGGAAUUUAAUUACGAAAAAUUUCAAGCAACAACUCCUACACAUCUAGAUCAACAUACUGAAAUCCAAACACUCAUUCAAAGGAUAGAUUACAACAAAGACACCUAAAAGUUUUACAAAGUCCAAAUUAAAUAAGAAAAAGGGACAUGCAUAAACGAGUUUUUAAAAAAAUAAUAAAUGAUCACAUAAAAUCAUAAAAAAAUCACACACGUAGUUAAAAAUGUCUAUAUCAGAUAAAAAAAUGAAUCCAAGGUCAGAUAGUACUCAAAGAUAUUUUUAAAACACUCAAGCUUCUCAGAUGUCCAGAAUCCAGCAUGCAUAGUAGGCACGAAUUUGAAAAAUCAUAUCUGUCCCAAAAAGGCAUAUUUUUUUAAUAUUUUUCAUGUCUAAGAUCAAUUUCAAAAAGCCUAGAAUUGAGAAAAAAUAUUGAGUCAAAUUUAAAAAGUGGUUUGGUAUUUUAUUUUUUCAAAAAGAUCUCAGGUGUCCAGAACUAGGUGAAAAUGGAGCCCCUCUAAAAACUCAUUUAUAUCUUCUAUUUCAGAAUGAAUUUCUAACUCAAACAAAAUUUUAAAUUCAAGUCAAGAAGUGAGGAAAGUCAUACAAUUUUUGGAAAUUUUUUUUAAAAUAUUAUAAAGUUUCCGAAACGAAUUUUGAAUCUAAAGGGUCAAUGGUUGAGUGAAAACUGACAGCAAGUGGUUUCUUGAAAUUUGAAUUUUUUUUAUGAAUCUAGAAACUCUUUAAAGAUGAAAUAUGAAGGAAACUAGAACCGUUUAACAAAAUAAAGAAAUAGGAGGAUGGUGUGACUGCCCUUAAGAAUGAGUGAAUGGUGUGUGUAGGUAAGAUCAUAUUUGGAGGCUGACUAAUUCCAUAUUACGCAUGUUGCAUGUUGCAUGUUGCAUGCUGUAAUGUGGCUUCAAAGAGGAUGCAAACCACCCCGUUUUCAAUCCUUGAUGCAUCUGUUAGUGGAGCCCAUUCAUAGUGGCAGUAAAGUUGUAAAUUCCUUUUGAGUUGUGUGCUGAAAUUGAAUUCCAAAUGCACUUUGUCCCUUGUAGCAUUGCUAAUUGCAUGGAAAAAAAAAAACAUGUCUGCUCAUAUGCAAACCGUUGACCCUUUUAUGCAUGGACUUUCACAAAGAUCCUAGUUAGAGCAAUGUGAGACAUCAAAUUGCUAAUGUUAUGGGGUACAGUCCCAUCAAUUUAAUUUCCUUAGGGCAUCUGAAAGUGUUAAUGACCUACAUAAAUGUAUCGUUUCUUUUGAUAAAAUAUAGAGUUUCGAAGUCAUCACAAACUCCAAGAACGUCAUGAGAUUCUAACUAGGCUCCAUAUAUAAAUGUCCCAAGGUUGUUACUUGUAAAAAUGCCACAUGGCUCUUGGUAGUUAUCAUCUUUCUACAAAAUGUUUAUUUGAUUUCUAGCAGCUACAACCACACGUCCACCUCUCAGGGAGACAAACAAUGAUACCUAUCUCUUCAAUUUUAUUUUAUUUUUUAGACGCAUAUAACCACUCCAUUUCUCUUUAAUCUAACUCAAACCUCAAGAUAAUGACAGAAAACUUCCUUUGGCAUCUUCAGUUUUUCAAUAGUUGAAUUGAUGGAUUCAGUAUCAAUUCCAAUAUCUAGUCCAAAAACACACUUGUUGUAGCCACAUGCUCCCCAGACUGCACAUACUGAAGGCUCACAAAUCGAAUAUGCAUAACAAGCAGCAUUCCUAAUAUAUACCUGUAGUUAUACGCCACAUACAAUCUCAUCGAAUACCUGCCUUAAAUCAAAAGCACCAUGGCAUAAAGCGGAAUCAAAUUGAUAAUAAACGCAUAACCGCUCCAAGCUGAAACCAUAUAGAAGUGUCCAAAACUGGCUUCUCGAUAUGCAAAGUAGUUUGGUUGUGGCUCUAUCAUCAACCUUAUACGACCUUCUUUCAAGAGGGACCCACACGUCUGCCACCUGGAAUCAUUUCUUAAGGAAAGGCAUGCAUGCAUGGUAGUUUGAUUGUUAACGUGGGUACAGGUAAGAUAGGUUUCUGAUAGCAACUUGGAGUGCACUUCCUUGGAACACGCAUGGUAUAUUGAACUAUAAUCUCUCUUCCCUCUUUAGGAAGUUGUUUAGUGAUUUUAACAUCUUUUGAUAGGAAUGAAAUAAACCAAUCCACAUCAAAGAUUUCAGCAAAGUUGUUGUUAUUCUUCCAAAAAGAUUUUUGGUUCAAAUUGGGAAUGACAUGAAUGGCAAUCAAAAUAUGGGCUACAACAACUACAUAUGUUAUCCCUCUUUUCUGAAUCUUGUGGCCUCGAUUUUAGGCUUUUCGGAAUCACCCAAAACCUCCUUUGCAACCCCAUUUAGUGGCCUUCUUAGCUUGCUACCUCCAAUUUCUCCAAUUCACUACAACUCCUUGGAAUUAACUAUCCAAUAUUUGAGUGAGAUUGUUACACACUUCGGUCAUUUCCCCAAUACAUGCUCAAACACAUAGAUGAGGACUCUAACACCGUGUGAAAGAAUGAGCAGAAAACAUAGAUGAAAACAUUAAAAAAUUCCAGGGAAAGGAUGAGCAGAAGGUGAACAUCAAUAAUCUCAUUUCAAGGGCGGAUCCAUGGGUUAAAACGAGAAAUGAUUCAAAGCAGAUUUUUAACAUAAACAGGGUAGGAUUUCUAUCAUCAGAUUCAAAGACAGACUCAAAUGCAGAUUUCUUUCAGAUAGAAUCGAUGACAUUAACAUAAUGAAGAACAUAGCAAACAGACAAAGAACCAAUUUCAACACAACAAUUUGUGGGCCUUUUCGUCCACACCAAUCAACAAAAUAAAUGCCCAAAACCAUCAGAGAAUCAUCAGGAAUUGAACAUAAGAUAAAGCAUAAAAAAUGGCUGAAAAUGUACCUAGGCAGUCUCCACCCGAUUACUUGGCUUUCCCGCUAUGGUUUCUCUCCCAAAUCCUCAAAAGAAAACCCUGUGAACUGAUGUUCUCUUUCUUUCCACCAAAACGAUCCCUUAAAUCAUCCUCUCCAGUGUCCCUUUUCGUUUCUCUUAGCCUCCAAAAAACCCCUCUGGUGAAAUGGAAAAUCCAACUUCCUUUCUUCUUUUUUUCCUAUAUCUCUUGUUCUAUGCUCUCUUUUAUUUUCUUCCUCUGAAAAACAAUCUUUGAAGUUCCCAUAUUUCUUCUUCUCUCUGAAAACAAUCUCCGAAUCUCCUAUCUUUCUUCUCUACCUCUUCCUAUAUCUCUUAGCUUUUUUUCUCUCUCUAAAAAAUAAUCUCCUAAUCCUAUAUUUCUUUUAUACCCUACACCUAUUUGUUAAAGCUUUUUAUAGCAAAUAACAGUCUUUCUACGUGAAGAGUCUUCCUCUUUCCAAAUUCCCUCUCAUCCACCGCAAAAACUCUUUUUUAAAUUUAAAACAAAACCAAUCCAUGCAUAUCACCUAUAAUCCAUGCAUAUCACCUAAAGAGUCUUACCGCUUUCAAAAACUUCUCCAUUGGUAGAUUUUCCUAUAAAACUUCAAAUUAUUAAAUCGGAUAAAUAAAUAAUAAAUAAUAAAUAAACCGGAGAAUGAUAAAAAUAAUAAUAAUAGAUAAAUAACAAGAUAAUGAACAACUAAAUAAAAAAUAAAAAAUAACUAAAUAAAUAAAAGUGAUUGAUAACAAUGAAAAUAAAUUAAAAUAAAUAAAAUAUAAUAAAUGAUUAAAUAAAAAUGAUUGAUAAUAAUAAUAAUAAUAAUAAUAAUAAUAAAUAAAUAAAUAAGUAAAUGAAAUAAAUGGGCUAUGCAACCAUACAAGUCACGUUAAAAAAGUCUAAUGGGCCAAGCGAGCCUAAGUGGGCCUAAGGUGUCUAAAUGAGACUAAGUGAACCUAGAUGAGCUUAGGGUAUCUAAAUGGGCAUAAGUGAGCCUAAUGUCACAGGAUGCUUCAAAUGACCCUCCCCAAUGGCUUAUAUAGGAGGAGAGAAGCUUCUGGAGACUCCUAGAGCCAUCUACACUAAGCCAUUGGUGGGAAGAGUGUGGAAGGUUCUAGAAAUGCCUAGAGAUGUCCACACAUCUCUACACUAUGGUAGAAGACAUGAGAAGGGUCCAAAGCUUUCUAGAGAAAUCUAGAAGUCUCUUGAAUAUUCUAGAAUAGUGUAGGACAUUCUAGAAUAUUCAUGAAUUGUAAGGAACCCUCCAAGGUUCUAGAGAGUUCCAUUGGUGCCUAUAAAUAGGUGAGGGCCUCAUUUGGCCAAGGCACCAAGCAAGUGAGCAUCCAAGCACUUGUAAAGGCUUUCUUGAGAUAAUAAAGCUUCCAUUCUUUAAGGAGUUGCCUACUAAGCUCUUUAGCUUUCGAGUCGCGAGUGUUUUAGCCGAGCAAGCUAAGCAUUGGGGAUCAAGGCUGACUUAGCAAGAUCAAGCGUCUUGACUUGCCUAAGUGCCGCACGAGCUUAGUGAACGACUAAGUCCGUGACACUAAGGUGUCUAAAUUGGUUGGGUAUACCUAUAUGGGCCAAUGAUGAUACUAGGUAGGCCUAAUUAAGUCUAACCUAAAGUACACUUAAAUGAAGCCUAGUCUAAACUUGAAGGGUAGUCAAGGUCAUAAUGUGGAACCAGAUAAACCCCUCAAUCAAAGUCUCCAAAAUGGUUCAAAAAAGGUAAGCUACAUGAGUAGUAAUAGGCCAUCAAAGGAACACUAUGGAACACUGGAAGUGAACUUAAAGACAAGUGCUAAAGGGACAAAAUGGAGGGUCUACACAUACACCUAAUAGUGAUGUUGAGAUCUUUCCAAAUAUGCACCUUGCACUUAACACCUUUUCCAAUUGGAUCACCCACUUGGAAAAACCAUGUAAGCAUGGUCCAAGUCAAUUGCCCACUUAAGCUAAUGACAUGACACAUGUACAUGUACCAUCCAACUAGACAAUCCACAUGAAUUGAUUUUUAAAAAAAUGUUUACCCCCAAAUGUCGCCUUCUCUCUUCAACCAAACCUUAACUCUAAAGACUUAUGUUACUUAUUCUUUGUUCACAACCACAACCCAUUAGAACUCAUACGAUCCAUAAAAAAUUUGGUUUGCCUUCGUAUUCUUGCACACCAUUUUGCUUAUCUUGUGCACCAUCAAUGACUUUAGAGUUGGGAUUUUCAGACAAGUCAAGUUACUAGUAACCAUCCUGAUUUUCAAGUCUGACCCACAAUUGUUGAGCUUGUGAAUAUCAGUUUUUUUGCCAAAUCGUCGUCUACACUCUUGGCACCUACCCUCGUGUUUGUCUUGCCUUUUCCAAGAUACUCUCCUCAUUCUUGUGGAAUCCUAUAUUUUUCAUAAAGAUUUGUACUUUUUUUUUUUGGGUUUUUGGGCAUCAAGAUUAUAUGAUUUGUUGAUGGUUGGGUUGAAUCGAUUAAAGCAUAGGAAUAAGAAGUUUGUUUUUCAUGUGCAAGGACUAUACCAAAGGAAUAAUACCUUGGUUUAAGGAUGAGAUUUGGAUUGAGUUAUUGAACUAUUUUCUUGCCCCUAUUUGGUUUAUGAGAAAAACGUAUAGAAAAGUAGUGGGAAGAAGAAUAUCAGUUAUCAUAGAAACAAAUUUUUGUUUCCAACUUGACUUUUCUUAGCAAUCAAAUAGACCAUUAGGUUCCUAAUCAUGUAGGUUCUAAACUUCCCCCUUGAUUAAUACAAAUUUUUGUCUUUUUUUUUUGUAAUUUAAAUUCAAUAAAAAUAAAAAUAGAUAUCACCCACUUUUAUUACCCCUAUUUGAUGGCAAAGAAAAAAUUUUAAAGAACUUUUUCUCAACUACACCUACUUAUGCACACUUUACUUAGUCUUAGGGUUGGUGUCCUUCUUUUUGCUCAUCAGUCUAGCACAUGAGAAUGUACUCAUGAAUUAUUUCAUGAGCUAACACUAUUCUUUGGGAUUCUUUCAUUUCAUUCACCUUUUUUCUUACCAUUUGUUUCAGAGGCUGACCCAUUGAAAUACACAUUGUGUGCUUUUAUUUGGGCAAUAGUGGGUAGCCCUAUAUUUAACAAGUUGACCCCUAUGGCAAUCAUAUAAUUGAGAAGUUAGGGCAUACUUAUCUCAGUGAUUUCCAUUUACAUGAUGUGACAAAAUGUUUGCCAUUUCGUUGUUAAUGUAUGUUACAUUUGUGUAAUAAUUAUGAUGAUUCCAUAUCGGAACACUAUAUUCAUAUUCACAAGUCUUUAACAUUUGAUUUCUUUAUUAAUGAAUUGUGGCUGUUUAAUGCAGUGAUAAUAUGGUGAGACGUUGUCAUUGUUUUGGGCGUAGAUUCCAUCAUGGAAUACAAUUACUCUUAGAAGUGAAAAAGGAUGUCAUAAAAGAACUUGGUUUCAUAGGGCUAUUGCAAUUAGGUUGCAAUAAGGUGAAUUUAGAUUUAUGUUUUUGGUUGAUGAGAAACACAAAUAGUGUUUAUUCCCAACUCGAGUUAUUUGAGGAGAAAAAGGUCCAUUUGACAUCUCAUGAUGUCGGGAUCGUGAUGGGAAUUCUACAUAAUGGAAGGAAGUUCAUUGUUGAAGAGGAAACUAUUAAAGCUAGUCUAGUGAUGUGUUUGAAGGAUAUAAAGGCAUUGAUGGUUGACAUUGAUGAUAUUGAUGAAUUUAAGCGACUCUUUUUUAUAUUCUUGUGUGCAACCUCAUUGGUACUCACAUCUCAUUUGGAAGGUAGUCACGCGCUGUGGUAUACACCCUGAGAUCAGUUACUUAGGAACAUAAAUUGGAGAUAAUUUGUAUUACAAUUUUUGAUUCAAUCUAUACAUGAACAUAGAAGGAAGGACAGUGUUUGGGUUAAAGGGUGUUUGAUAUUUCUAUAGGUAACUGUUCGUCUUAUUUAUAAGUAUUUGAAAUUUAAUAAUGGUAGUAGACUAUAUUGGUCAUGAUGUUAACACUAAUUAUGUCUUAUAUAAUGCAACAAAUAUUUUACUUUUUAAUAUCUAAUUUUCCAACCAUGUAUAUGGAACUUAGCAUGUCGAGUUAUGCUACAUGGACCGAUUUUUUGGUGAAUUAAUGAAUAAAGUUAGAGUUGGAAAUGCUUGGAGGAUUUUGUAAAGUUGAGGUAUAACUAGUUGUUUGUUAUAUUAAGAUAUUUAAUGAAUAUUGCAAUUGGAUUAUUAGGAUGACAAUUUACAUGUUUUACAAUGAUAGUUAGUUAACACAUUAGUGAAGCAAGAUUAAAUAGAAGGAAAUGCAGCUCUUCCAAUUGAUGAGUCAAUUGACACAACUGAGACUGAAGACUUUGAUAUAAUCCUUCAUAUCUAACGACUAUGAAUAGUACCUUGUAUUUAACUAAGUCUCAAGUGAAAUAAUGUAAUUUAAUGUCCCUUCAUUAUGUUUGAGUUAGGUUGUUUUUGCUCUUGUGGAAGUAACUCAAUGUCAGAUACAAGAUGCAUAAAGUCAUGCGAUUAAACUUAUUACAUCAUACCAUUGUGACAUGAAUAUGUUGAGGACUUGUGUUAUGUCUUCACACUAUGACACUAAUAAAGGACAACCGUCAAGUUGGCAUGAAGAUGUAAAUAAAAGUGAUGCACCAUUUGAUACGAAUAAUGCAUAAUAGUCACCCAUUCAUUCCGGUGGUAAAAAACUAUCUGGUGAAUGAGACAUUGGAUAUACAAAUUUAAGGGGUGUUAGAAAAACCCCAUGUAGAAGAAUGUGUGUUCUUUACAAACGAGAAUCACCUUCAUCCCAGAACACAAUUUGUUGGUGUUAAUGCCAUCGCGCGGGGACAAUAAUGUGGAUGUAGAGCCCCAAGACUCAAAAGAAAUAAGACUACAAAGAGUUAAAAUCAAAGCAUGUCAAUCGUAAACAACAAGCGGCUAUGUGCAAGUCACCUUUUGUAAAAUUUUGUGUAUCAAUAUACAAAAAGUUGAAUGAGGAAAAAACACUUGUUGUUGACUAUGUGUUUGAUGAGUCAAGUGAUCCUAGGUCAAUCCGAAAUCACAAGUUUAACAAACAUUGUUCUUACAAUACUAUGAUUAUGGAUUUGUUUCCUAAAAAACAAAAACAAAAAAUCUCAUGGUUUGUGUUUCUUGUAAUUAAUAGUGAGGUGAUUUGUGCAUAUGGUGGCUAUGGUGUGACACGAAAACAAUUUCAAUGCUUAGCAGAGGAAGGAUUCAUUGAUAUUUCGGUAAGCUUUAUGAUAAAUAAAGAAAAAAAACCCCCCAAUUUUUCAUCCAUCAUUCUAUCAAAUGAAGAGACGUUUUGUAGAUAAUUUUCAUGUUAUGCCAGUACAUGAAUGCAAAAGAAAAGAAUCAAUGUCAUAGACACUUUUCGUUUCCAUACUUUGGGGUGAGGUUUCUUUCCCAAUUACACCAAAUCUUGUCCCUAAUACAAGACAUGUAUAACUUUAUUCAUACAUUAUGUUAUCGCGAUCUCAAUUGCUUUUUAUAGGAAAUAUGUGGUUCAUUAAGCAGGUCAACUUUAAAAUCAACACUUAAGAAAAGACUAGGUGGCUAUUGUGUUGCUUUUAAAGGCUGCAACCAGGUAAUGUUUGGCUAUUGUAUUAAUUACUCAUUGGUGAUUUUAUUUUACACAUCAAGGACAUGCAUUAGAUUGAUGACAAAUAUUUGUAAUUUCAAAAUUAUACUUUAAAUAUUUAUGUAUUCAUUGUUGCUUAUGAUGAUUGUAUGUUUUGUAGUUUUAUAUCCCUUUAUUACAAUUUAAUGAAUGAGUGAUCACAGUCAUCAAUUUGGAGGCUAAAAGGCUGGAUCUAUUUUCAUUUUAUCAGAGCAUGCAAGAAAUUCACUUUGUUAAUGAAGUUUCCAAAGUUGUUGGCUUUAUAUCGCAAUUAUUAAAAACCCCCUUCAAGCGGAGUGAUGUUAAUAUAAAGAACUUACAUCCAUAGUAUGCAAAUAUAGUACGAGAUCCUAAAUUAUAAGUUAAAAUUGUAUUUUUUUUUUUAUUCAUGUAUUUAUUUUCAAGGCUAAUUAUAUCUUAUUUUAAUAAUAUAUCAUAAAUCAUGCUUGUUAUUGCAGAUGUCAUACUGGGAUAUAUGCUAUUUUCAAUAUGCAACAUUGGGACGAAAGUGGUCUUAAUAGAGCCAUUAAUUAUGUAAGUUGUUAAAUAUGACGUUAUGCCCUGAUUUUGAAAUCUACAAUUUAAAUGUUAUCAUGAUGUGGGCCUAACAUAAGUUUAAUGUAUAGGAAUGCAUGAGUCUUAAAAGACUUAAAAUUGCAAUUCAAAUGGUUCUCAAUAACAAAAAUGAAGUUGGUGAACCUUCACAAGCAUUGAGCUGUUAGGUUUUGGGAUUGGUUUCUUCGUUAAGGGUGACUACAAUAUUGCAAUGUUACAUUGCUUUCUAGUGUUUAUUUUGGGUUUUUAUUGUUCCUGAAUGUUGUAGUCUGAUGAGAUCACUCUAGCUGAGUUACUUUACCAUGUGGUCACAGGAUUAAUGAAUUAAGCAUACAGAGCGAAAAGUACGAAUGGUAAAUGAAGCUUCAAAGGCAUAAAACAAUGAAAAACUUGGGCUUGAGUGUUGCAUUUGAACAUGCUAUGUUUCUUGCCAAGCCUUAUGGAUGUUGCAGAUGUUAUCCUUUUUCCAAGAAGUUAUGGAAAAGACAACAACUAAUCAUAGUUGUAAGAUAAGUAAUGCAACAAUGAGUUAUUUUACAUCAAAUAUAUUAUACAAAAUUUAGUCCUAUAUAUAAUGACUAAGCAAUAUCUGAUUGAUCGAUGAGAAAUUUAAGCUUUGAACAAAAUUUGUUGUUUACUAUGAGAUUAACACUUAUCUCUAAUGUUUAAAAUCUUAUAUCAUAGUAUAAAUAUUUGUAUAAUAGACCAUAAAUAAAAGUCUAUUUUCCUUUCCACGUGCCAAAUCCCAACAAUUUAAAACUUUUCAAAAAUUUGAUUACAUGCAAGCUUGUAAAGUGUUUAGAUUUUGCAAGCAUACUUUUAUUAUUUCACUACAACAUCAUCUAUUAUUAUUAUGAAUGUGUUAGCCUUCGUGGAAAUCCUCCUACAAUGUCCUCCUACAAUGCCCAAAUUGUAUCGAUUGAAUAUGUCGUUCACUGUUUUCUUUAUUUCAUCCUUGAAGUGAUGAUAUAUUCCAAACAUUUGCAAGACAUCGAUUAGCUCUAACUGCUUCAAAGGCUUCUUCACUUUGCCAACUAUUGUUUUCACAUCUCUCUUUACCUUAUCAAGUCUUCUAUCAUAUGUUUCUCGUUGCAAACAUAACUAUCUAUUUGUUAGUAACACCAAGUGGACCAUUAAUAACUACAAUUAACCUAUUACCAAUAUUCAUGAUGCACCUACCACAUAAUCACUUCUUAGUCACUACACAUAAUCAUAGGCCCAAAUGGUAGGGUGGUAGAAGACUUCAUUCAUGCAGUCUUAUCCUAGUCGAGUUAAGUGACUUGUAACUUUGCACUCAUUAUGGAACAUUAAAUGCAUGUAUUAACUACAUAUUUUGAAAGUCUUGCCUUCAUUCCAACUUGAACCAUUUACUCAGUUUGGUUUACAUCACAUUCUCUAUCAACUCUCAUUCAUUCCCAUUUACACCUCUUAUUGCACCACCUAUACACAUUACACAUCAUAACCAUUAGUUUCCAUCCACCCAUUUCCUUCAUUGUAGUUAACCCACCCAUCUUUCACUCUCACAAUUUCUCAUUCAUACUCCAUUACACUUACUAUCGUUGCAACACUAAUAAGGUUAGCCUUCCAUACUCCAUUCCAUAAUCCUUUCAAUUCAUUACAAUUCUAUACAUAUUUCAAUUUGGAUGUUUCAACCGAUUUUUUGGGACUUGCAUGAAUUUCAUUUUAAGCUAUUUUUGGUUGGGUUGGAUGCAAUGAUUCUAUAUUUUUAAUUGUUACCAUGCAUUGCUUAAUUUUCUUUAACCUUUGAUAUGUAGAGUCAUUACUAACACCAAACAUCAUGGCUUCUAAAAAGAAGGCUACGCAUGGGUCAAUUUCAAUGGCACAUGAGGCAAUCCCACAUGAUCCUUUCAAGCCUUGCCACUCACCAAAUGAGAAGGAAUGUGAUUAGCUCAUAGUAAAAUGUCCAAUUGACGUAGAGCAUGUCAUACUGAUUGUUGGUUUUGAGGAACAUGGUGUUGUUGAGUUACUUGACUUUCACAAGUUGAGACCAUUUAUACAACUAACAUAAGAAUGUUAUCCAACUCAUGUGCGGACAUUCUAUAGCUAUAUCAGAAAUGUUGACCAAGACAAAUAUUCAUUUAACUCUUCAUUCAAGAGUGUUCUAUACAUGUAUCUCCAUCCCUUAUUGCACAUACCUUCGAUUUGAAACCACUAAGAAAUCGAUUAACUUUUGUAUUCCAGAUAUUGAUAUAAAGGCAAUGUCAAACACAAUAACAAAGAAAUUAUGUGACCAUUCUUUUGAGUAGGAUACAAGUGUUGAACAUAGUUCCCUUCUACUAAAAUACAAGAUUCUCAGCCUUAUAUUGUUUCAUAUCAUCUUAAAUAGGAACGGUCAUUUUAAUGAGUUUGCAUUAUAUGUUUUGCAUGUUUUGUUCCACAUGGCACAUCGUCAUAAAAUCAAGUAGCCCACACUUAUUUGCCAUAACAUGAUCGAGACACACCGUAUUAAUGUGAUCACACGUGCAUUACCAUACAAUUCAACCAUUUGCUUGUUUUUAUAAAAUGUAGGGUUGGAUUUCAAGUCACUACCUUAUGAUUUAAUAUUGCACAUGCAACCUAUGCGCAUGAAACAUUCAAUGGAGAAACAAACAAAAGUCUUAUUUUUGCAUAGGUCAAGCAAAAGUUCCUAGCUUGGGGACAUUUACGCAAUGUGCAUCAAUAAUGCGAUCAUUCGAUUGCCACAUAGAAAGCAUUACAUCCUGAUGUUUUGCCUCCUAUGCCAUUAGACACAAAUGAUGAGGAAGGUGCUAAUGAUGGUGGUGGCGAUGAAGAAGACAGAGCUACACCAGCUAAUGAAAAUGAGUAACCACAGUUUGUGGCGAUGUUACAACCCAAUGCUUGUGUGGUGAAGACAAUUUCAUGGAUUAUAUAAUAACUUUUUAAAUUCUUGUUCUCAGAUAACUGCUAAGCUCAUUUUUACAUUUAGGAUUUCCAAUGAUUUUCUACAUGCAUGUUUUCACUAUUCAUCACUAAACUAUAUAAUCUCUUCUAACAAUUAUCAAUAGUCAUUGUCAUGCUUAAGUGUAAUUGUGACGUUCAUUACGAUGUUGUUUUAAAUUAUUUUGAACAUAUGAAUUAAAUUUUGCUUGAUUUUUCAUGUUAAUAGGUAGUACUUCUAUAUUUUAGGUUUGUCUACACAUGAAACAACUGUCCAGACAUUAUAUAACAAUGUGAACAUCAAAGGCCAACCCUUCAUGCUUUGGGUCCACCUUCUAUAACCAUACUGCUCAACCCAUACCUCAAAUAUACUCAUUUUGAAGGCAUGUCGUGUACAUAACAUGCAUACUUAUCUUUUUGAUACUGCACAUAAAAUAACAUAACAUUUUUUUCACUUAUGACCAUAUUCAAUUUCUCUAAGAACCAAAGUUAAUCUUUGUAAUUCUUAGAGCUAAAUAAGCCAUAAGCAAGUGGAAACAUGCCAUCUUCAACAUCAUAUAAAGAAGCCAAAAACAAAGCACCCUUGUAUGGCCCACUCAUGUGGGAUGAAUCAAUUGAUAUGAUAGGUCGAUACUCCAUUUUAAACCCAUGUAUUGACACUGUAAGGGCAACAAACAAUUGCACGAAAUGACCAUCAUCCAAACAUCUAUAUUCAACAAUCAUCUUUGGAUUUGUUUCAAUAAGCCUUAUACACAACCAAGGCAACAACUCAUAUGAACAUUGGGGCACACUGUGAAUUCUUUCUUUAGCCUUCUCUUUCAAGUUCCAUGCUUGAUAAUAACUCAAUCGCAUUUCCUAUUGUUAAUGAAAGUCUUUACAUAUUUAUUGGGCCAAGUAACUUGGACUUGAACAAAUAACAUCAUCAAUCAUAGUUGUGGCUUGAUUACAAUGAAGUAUUGGUUUGGAAAUUGACACAUUUUAAAUAGUGGUUAUGUUGAUUUUUAAAUGCAUGCACCUGAACUAAUUUUGUUGUCCCAAUAGCACAAGUAGUAACUUUCCAAGGGCAUCCUUUAACAACACAUAUUACAGUCAUAUGCUUAAGAAAAUUCAUCUUGAACUUAUAUCUAAAAUGACCCAUUAUUAAUGUGAGAUAUAUUGCAUCCCAAAAGUCAUUUGUAGUUGAGAAGGUAUGAUCACUACCCAAUAUUACACUCUAAAAAAGACUUGACUCUAGUGGACCAACAUGUGAUUUAACACAUCUUUGAUAAAAUCCUCAUGAUAGCAUUCUAAUAUCAUCAUCCCUUACUGAAUAUGAGAUUAGUGAGUUAAACCCCACAAUUGUUUCGUUCAAUCUGCAUUAUAAAUAUGUUUAUUUAUCAACUUAUCAUCUAUGAAUGAACAUAAAUACUAAAAAAAAUUAAAUAAACAAAAUCAUUUCAGAUUAUAUAUUCUUUUCAUAUAACUUACCUUUGUCCUCCAUUCUCAAUUGUUUCAUUAUCUUCAACCGUUGUUGUUAAGCAUAUAAUACACGUGCGAACUAGUCACUAAAUUGAAACAUGUUUAUCAAGUCGUCAUCAUUUUUCAAUUAUUGCAAUGCAUAUAGAUCAAAUGGGAGACAGUACGAAAAUAUUGGUCCCACCAUAUUGAUGCUCAUUUCGCCACAAACCCUUGAAAUAGAAUCGUUAUAUGUCAUUGAUCGUUCUAAACUUAUACCAUCUUGUCUUCCACCCGUAUAUUCCAUAUUGCCAUGUUCACCCUUUACUAACUCUCAUCUCAUGUGCAUAUAACAAUAAAUUGUAUUACUUGGAUCCAUUUAAAAAGUAUUAGUUCUUGUGUAACCCUUAUUUAGAAACAUGGACCUUUAGUCAAGCUGAAACAAUUAACUAAUUUCUCAACAACACUGCCUAAACCAAAUUACUUAUAACAAAUCUGAUUAUCACGCCUAUGACCAUCAUAUAUUAGUACAUGGUUUACCUUUGGAACUUUACAAGCGAGUUUCAGUUACACUUCAUGGUCUAAAAAUAAUGUUGUAAAUAAGGACAUGUAUAACAUAUACUUAAUAUUAAACAAUGCAAUUAUUUUAUUUUAUUUGAUAAUAAUUUGCUAUGCUAUGUAAGUUGUGGAGUGAACCUCUCAAUUCAUAGGCAAACCAUUGUUUUUGUCAUUGUUCAAGCCAAAUUGUGUUAAGUCCUUGUCUUUGUGUCAGCCCCUAAAACAACGGGUCUUCAUCUAUUUUGCCUAUUGCCCACACUGGACCACAACAAUGUUUAUAAUUAAGGGCCUGCCUCUAAACAAAUAGGUUAGCCUCUAAUUCACUUAUUACAACCUCCCAUGAAAACAAUUAUUCUAUCCAAAUGUUAUUACUUGAAUUACGAUCAACCCCUUCAUCCAAAGGGUAGACCCCUACCAUGACCGCUACACACACAUAAACAAAACAAAAUUCAAGUUUGUGGCUGUGAGCAUCAGAUUUGCACCUAAUGCUUCACUACUAUUUUUCCCAAUUCCUACAUAAAUCCAUAGUUGCUUUACUACAUUUUUUUUUUUCUUCUUCAAUUUAACCCUCAUUUAUUAAAAAUUCAAAAUUUUUAUGAAGAAAAUUAUUUAAACUUUACUCUCAAUCAAACUAACAAGAUUUUUUUUUUUUUUAAUUUAUAAUCAUCUACUCAUGACUAAACAUGAAUUCUUUUCCCAUGCAUUAAAUUCUCCAAUUAACAACUAUAAAAAACCACUCAACCUACUCAUUUUGGAUCACCAACAUCAACCCAUUAGAUAAACAUAUAAAUACAACUUAAAAAGUUGAAAUUCAACAUAAAAACAAUGCAACAUUAAAUAGUUGAAUCAAGUUAAAGUUGGAGACAUUGUUUAUUAGUUAAAUUGUAAUACACAUUGUUCAUGAAUGUAAAGGGGCCAAUAAAAGGUCCACGACAAAUGACAACAUAAGCCCAAUAUAUUUAUGAUAUCUCACAAGCUUUAAUGCCCAUGUCAUACAUAUAACAUUUUAGUCAAGGGGAUCUGAUAUUGAUGCUUCAUUCAACCGUUGAUUCAAAUCCUUAGUCAUAUUGCUUCAUUUCACAACUUUCCAAUUUUAUUUUACUUUAUUUAUUUAUUUAUUUUACAUUUAAAAAACAAUCAAUGCUCAAAACAAACACAUACUCGACCCAUGCACACCUUUUAGCCCAAGUUUUAUUUUAGUUGUUUCAUCCGCCCCUUAGCCUUUACCAUAUUUAAUAGAUCCCAAACAUCACUUUGUUCCCACCUAACUCAACCAAAAACCCACCUACAGUAAUCAUGAUAGAACAACAUGAAUGGAUAUAAAAACUAGACAAAUCUUAAUAACAAAAUACCCUCCAUUAUCUCCUUUUGUCAUUAAUUUUUCAACAUUUUUCAUUUCUAGAACUUUCCCAUAUUUUUUAUUCCCUAUAAAUUUCAAAAUACAUCCAAUUAACAAUUCUAAAAAACAAAACAUCUCGAAUUGCAUAUAAACAACAUUAAAAGAAACAACUUGUUCAAACAUUCCUAAAAAUUGUAUUCCCUUAUUCAAUAGUCAUAUUUUUCUUAUCUUUUCUGUAUUUUCUCCAAUAACCAUAUACAACACAAACACAACAAUUCAAAAAAUAAAACAAAAUUGAUAAAGGUUACCACCACCUCAUUUGCCAUCAUUUUUCAAAAUUUAAACCAUAUUUCAUUACAAAUAAAUUAAAAUAUAAAAUUGGAUACAAUAUUAAUACACUACAAGAAAAAAGGUCAUUAUUGACAUAUAUCAUCUUGCUUUAAGAUAAUAUAUGUGAAGAUUGUCUAUUUAAAUGAACAAUUAUGACAUAUACAAUUUAGUUUAAACCAAUAAGGACAUAUAUAAUAGUUAUUGCAUUUUUCCAUGACUUAUGAUGAUGCAACCUUGACAAAUAAUUUAUAAGUCAAUCUAUAAUUAAUAUAUCCAUAUGUCAAGGUACCGAAAUGAAAGCAAUAAUGACAUAUAUAUAUAUAUAUAUAUAUAUAUAUAUUAAUAUUAUUUGCUAAAUUUUCCUUGGUUUAAUGAUAUGCAACCUUGACUCAAAAUUUAUGAGUCAAAGUAUAGUUAAUCUUUUCUACCUAAAUAAAAGUAAUAAUGACAUAUAUGCAUUUGCUAAAUUUUUAUAUGGUUUAUAAUGAUACAACCUUAAUAGAAAUUUAUAAGUUAAUAAAAAUUUAAUAAAUUAAUAUGUUAAGAUUAGAAUCUUUCGUUGCGUCACUUUAACAUAUAAUUUGUAAGUGAAAAUAAGCCUAUUUUAUUUUAAUUUAUUAAUGUUGAGUUAUUGAAAAAGAAAAUCCUAAUUUAAGGCAAUUUUAUCAAAUUUUGGUAGUUUUUACAAGCAUAUUUAUUAUUAUUUUGAAUAGAAAUUUGUGAUUAAGAAGGAUAAGAUAAUGUUUCCAUUUAAAAAAUAAUAUCAAUAUAUUGAAAACUAUAACUAUAAUCUUAUUUUAAUAUUUUGGAUAAGAUACUAAGUUAUGUCUCUAUAUUUCUAAUUAUUGGAAUUAAAAUAUAUUGCCACUAACUUGUGUUAGGGUCUCACAAGUAUUAGGUAAUUAAAUUAUUAUUUAUGUAUUUAAUUAGACAUUAAAUCUACUAAGAAUAACUUAAUGAGUAUUUUGGCAUGCAUUAUAACUAACUGUAGACCCACAAAAUCAAUCCAUAGACCCAUUUCUUUUAAAAAAAAUUUUAAGCCCAUUUUUAUUUAGUUUGGGUCCCUUACAUUUAUGUUUUUGCUUGAGCCAUAAAAAAAAACUCAAUAUAUAAAUUUUUUUCCUCUCUAUUCCAUUUACAAUCGCCCCAUCUGCCCCAUAUUCCAUUUUUCUUUUCUUUUCUUACUUUUUUUUUAUUCUUCUUUCUUCUACUUUCUUUUUUCUUUUUUCAUCAUCUCAUCCUCAUAUUCAUGGCAAACCCUACCCCACCACCUCCAUCUCUCGUGUUGUUACCAUCCAUGAGUCCUACACCCACCAUGCCACCAUCUUUCUAUUCACCGUUGUUGUUCCCAUGUUCGCUACAACUCAGACAUGCUUCCCGAUGUUUCGCCACAAUCUCGACGUUGUUGUUGUUGUUUCGCCAUAGCCCCGACAUGAUUCUUGAUGUUCCAUCACCAUCAUAGCCACCAUUGUUGCAGCCCACAGCCUUGGUACCCCCUGCACUUCCCAUUGACUUAUGUUGGAUAGCCAUCAGCACCGUCUCCCUAGUUGCCACUUCAUUCUUCAUCUUAGGGCUUCAAGAGACGUAGGUAAGUUUCCUUGGAUCUCUACAAUACUUGUUGUGGUAGUUUUAAUUUAAUUUUUAUAUGGGCUUGGGUCUCAUUUGCUUUAUGAUUGGGCUCCAAAUUAUUUGGUACAUGGGCUUGAUGUUAUAAUAUUUUAUUACUUGGGCCUUGUGUUUCAUUUGGUUGAGCCCAAUAUAAGAAUAUCAGGCACACAUUAGCAGGUUGGUUCUUUGAGAACCAUUGAGUUUUGUUGAACCUUAGGAUUGUUGAGGUCGUGCUUCACCAUUGAUUGGGCUUCAAACAAGAGAUAAGUAUGGAAGUUGAAGUUACUGACCUUAGUGUCUCUGCUCUUGGCCAUGGUUGCAAUAUGUGGGUCAAUUAAGGGGUUUGGUGAAGCUCUCCGUAUCUUAAAGCCCUCUCUAGUUGAAAGAAUAGUCCAACGGCCAAGUGACUAGAAAAAACCACAUGUUUAGGGUUAGGUUAAGUUAAUGUUGGAUAAGUAUUAAUAUACACACAAAAUAGUGAAAAAUCGAUGUGGUUGGGGCUGAAGAGGCACAACAUCAUAUAUAUUUGGUUCUGAUGGAGGAGUUAAUUAAUUGAUAUUACCAUGAAGGAAUUUCUAAUAGUUUUAAUCUAUUUAAUCAUACCAUCAUUGAAAAGAUGUUUUAGUCAUUUUCCUUUUCCUGUUUUUUUUUUUUUAAUAUUCUGGAUGAUAUUCUUUGUUUAAAAAUUUAGACAUAAUACGUAUUUGUAAUUGAGCUAGCUACAACAAAAUUAUAAGUGCUCAUUUCAUUCAUCAUCUCUAAAUUAUGUCUAGUGGCCUCAACUUUGAGUCAGUCAGUGAGGGACUUAAUUUUAGGAGGAGAAUUAAAAUGUUCUUUUUUUUUCUUCUAAAUUUUGUUUUUCUUGAAUAUCCACUGUGUUUUACAUUGAAUCUAGAAUCACAAAGUCAAUUCAAUUACAAUUGAUGAUAUUAAAGGUCAAUAGGUGUAUUCAUUUUAUCUUUAUGAUAUUGAAAGUUAGUAUAUUUAUUGUCUUAUGAAAAAAAAUAUUUUAAUAUUUUGGUAUUUGUUACUUACUUUUCUAUUAAUUAUGUGUUUAUUCUACUAGGUAUCUAAGAAAUACAUCAAGAAGAAGACAAUAAUGCAAAAAUAAAGAUCACCUCUUAUGAAGAUAAUGUUGUACUUUUCAAUUUAAGUUUGUAUAUUAUUUUAAUUGAAUGUUUUUAGCUAGAUUUUGUUUGUAUAUAGAAAAUAGAGAGUAACUUGAAAAAGAUUUAUGGAAUUGUGUUCUUAAUAUUUAAUGUAUAUGUAAUAAUUUUUUUCCUUAAAUAGUAAUUUAUUUAAAUUAUUUUAAAGACUUGAUUGUAAUUAUCAUAAUUAAAAAUAUACCAAAUUUAAUUUCGAGAUAGGUUUCAUAUGGUAUAUAACAUGUUCAUUUUCCAUUAAAAACUAAAAAUUCUAAUAAAAUAAUAUUAAUUUUUUCAUAAGUUAUAUUGACAUAUGGUUCAUGCCCAAUAUUGACAUGUGUAGUAGCAACUAUGACAUAUGCGAUAUCAAACAUUGACAUAUAUAAAGCAAUUAUGAUAUAUAUAAAAUCUAACUUUGACAUAUAUAUUUAGAAAUCUUGACAUAUGUAGGAUUAAUCAUAACAUAUAUGACGUCUAACCUUGACACUUGUUGAUUAACCUUAACAAAAAAGUAAGUUAACCUUGACAUAAGAUCAGGUAAUCUUGUCAUAUGUUAAAUUCAACAUUGACAAAAGUAAACGAAACAUUGAUAGAUAUCAUACUAUUAAGAUUUCAUCAUUAGUGGAAAUAAAGAAAUCUUAACAUAUGGAUAUGUUAAGGUAGCUUUAGACUUUUCUUGACACUGGCAAAGAUGACAUAUACGAAUAGUAACCUAUCUUGAUAGAUGUACCUUAUUUUAACGGUGAAAAACUGUUAACAAGGGUCUUUUUUCUUAUAGUGUAAUGAACAUUCAACAUGUAUAGAUAUACAAUGUAACUAUCAUAGUUUUCAACAAGUUUAAAUCACAAGAUUGCACAAAUCACAUAACUAUGACAAUUUUCAAAUCUCAAAAAAUAAAAAUUACAAAUCAAGAUAAAUUUGUUAUUACAAAAUUUAAUAAAAUACAUAUAUCACCUGGAAAAACCCUCGCUUCAAAAGUUAAAUGCAACUACAAUAUUUAUAUGCUUUGUUCCCCCUUUCUCCCAAUUGCUUUUUUUUUUUCUCAUUUGUGAAGGUAUAAACAAAAGAGGAAAUUAAGGAAAUGGAGAAAUCACUUUGUUGGUGCUAAAGGGAGAAAAAGGAAAGGGGUUCUUUGUCCACCUAGGGUUUGUUUGGGGUUGACACUUGGACUAUUGUUUUCGGGUUGAUGUUUGGUGGGAGAAUGAGGAUGUCGUCUUCCUUACGGUGAGGAAGGAGAAACAAAAUAAGGGAUCAUGUUUGGAGGUUUGUUUGGGGUUGAUGGGUUAUGGCGAAUUGAGAAGCUACCAGAUUUCUUAUGGAUCUUUUAGCCUUGUGAUAGGUUGUGGUUGUGAACAAAGGAGAAAAAAAAAUGGGUUUUUGGAGUUAGGUUUUAGUUGAAAAAAGAAUAAAGAUUUUGGAGUUGGGUUUUAAUUUAAUUUCCUCUCUUCAAAACAUUGGGUGGGUUGGGUUGGUUCAAAAUUUGUGAAUUGAUUAUAUCUUCUUUUUUUUUUUCUUUUUUCUUCCUUUCUUGGUAUAUAGGUAAGGAGAUUGUCAAUAUUUUCAAAGCUAUGAGUCAUUUGUAUUUUUUGGAUAUGAAAUGACAAGAUUCAUGUAAAUCAAUCAAUGAAUAUAAAGGAUGAGCUAUCUUUAACCCUUUUUAAAAUUCCCAACUUAUGCAUGACUCAAUUAAUAUUUACAAAAACAUCGCCAAGUCAUGAAAUGAAAUUAGAAGAAAACUCAUUCAUUGUCAAGCAUUACCAUCAUCAAGUAUCGUCGAGAAUGUUAGCACCUUAAUGAACUACUUAGGUAUAAGCAAUCAAAGAAAUGCAUUCAUAGAUUUAGCAUAGAUCAAAAAUUUUAAAUUAGUUCAUAUAUAGCAGUUUAUGUCCUUAGAGAGGUUAGAAUGAUUUUUAUUCUAUUUUAUAAGUAAAUAAAAUUAGUAUUAAAAGUGUCAAAAAGGAACACAUCAAAAUUACACAUGAUGUAUGCAACGACCUCCAAUAAGUGCAAACUAUCUUCACUUUGAAAAUUGACAAUCAUUUUGUUUUGCACAUUUCACUUUAUAUAAAUGAAAUGAUUGUCAUACCUUUGCACCGAAUGGACCUAGGUUAAGGAUCACACCCUAUUUUUAUGAAAUUAAAUUGAUAUUCUUGUAAUAAUGGUAAGAGUUAAUCCAUAUACAUUACUCUCAAAAAAAUUUAAAAUUUAAGGUGGUAAUUUGCUAUUUUAAUUUGUUUAAUCAAUUUUUAAAAGUCAUUAUAUUUUCAAUAUUUUUAUACUUUAUUUUGUAUAAUACUAUAUAUAAUUAAAGAUUAAGAGUGUGUAUCACAAUAUUUUUAUUUAAAGUGUUUUUAAUAAAAUCAUUUAAGAAACAUCAUAAGUGAUUUUCUAACUUUUUUAAAAAAAUUUAAAAUUUGAUAAGACAAAAAAUUAAUUUAAUAAUGAAAUUCAUAAUAUUUGGACCACACAUAGGUUGAGAGACACUAUUAUUGGGUAUUAAUAUAAAAAUGUGGUACCUCAAACUUAGGGCAUCACUUUUUUAAAUCUCAUGUUGGACCAAAGCAUUAUCAAAACAUUUUUUUGUUUUGUUUAUCACCUUGGAAGUAUGGUUCAAAAUAACUCUCAAAUUGUAAAACUAACCACUUCCUCUAAUUGUAUGGAGAAAUGAGCAUUUUUGAAUAUUUUACCCCUCUAAUUUUUUUUUUAUACCAAAAAUAUUAUUUUCUUAUUUAUUUUAUUCAUUCUAUUCAUUUCAUCUUAUGAAACAUAAUUAUAUUUUGUUCAAUUUUUAGAUGCUUAUUUAAAUUAAGUUUUAUUUAUUAUAAAUUUAACAAAGAUUAAUUUCAUGUCAGUUUAACUCGUCCUUGUUUUCAAUUUAGAUAUUUAUCUAAAAUUUUACAAACUUAACAAAGAUUAAUUUUAUGUCACUUGAAGUGCAGGAAAGUUAAGUUUGGCUUAUAAAAAACUUAACUAGAGUUAAGUUUUCAAAGUUUGAUUUAUAAACACUUAACUAGUGUUAAAUUAGAACGAUAGAACUAUACAAUAGUUGAGUUUCAUCUACAAGUAAUUUAACUAGAGUUAGGUUUUUUAUUUUAUAUACAAAGAACUUGAUUAUAAUGUUAUAAACUCUACCAGUAAAUUUUACUUUUUUGAAAAGAGAAAACUUAACUAGAGUUAAGUUUCCAUUUUAUCAAAAAAAGAAAGAAAGAAAAAACUUAAUUAAGAUUAAGUUCUUAAUUAGAAUAUUCACCCUAACAAAAAACUGCUGAAAAUCCCAAUAAAAUAUAACUGCAAAAAACUUAACCAAGAUCCUACUAUGAAAAACUACAACCAAAAUCCCAAUAGAAAACAUUUAAAAAAAAAAAACCCUCAACAGAAAACAACUCCAAAAAUCACAACAAAAAAAACCACCACAAAAAUAAUCACAGAAAACCCUAACAAAACAUUUUUUUUUUAAAAAAAGAAAAAAAAAAAGGAUGCAAGAUCUUCGCAAUAGAAAACAACUACAAAAAAUCUCAAGAAAAAACAAUUCAAAAAUCUCCAAAAAAACCUCCUAUAAAAACAAUAGCAAAAAACCCUAACCAAAGAUAAAAAUAAAAAAAUAAAAAUAAAAUAAAGGAUCUUGAAGAAAGAAAGAUGAGAAAGUUGUGCUGGUCUUCAUCUGUUCAUCUUUAUCAUGGAUUUGAAUUUCAUUGAAAAAUCUAGAGCAUGAUGAGAACUUGGAAAAUUCAUUGGAAGCAUGGGAGGGAAAUGACUCCGGAAUCAGAGGGAUAAUUUGAGGAGAUGAAGAAAGGUAAUAUUGUCCAAAAUGGAUCAUUUUUGUAAAGAAUAAAGAAAGAAUGUCAAUUUUUCCAAUUUGAGAAGUAAUUGGAAACUUUUAGCCAAAUAUCUCUUAAAACAAUCAUCGCUAGAAGAAUUAAUGCUUCAAUUUGCUCAAUUUCAAAUUCUAAUCAACCAUUAGAAAGCAUAAAUUUCUAAUCAAGCAUACCAGAUAAACAAGUAGUUUAGGUACGAAUGUCAUUCACUCUUUAUUUCAAGCAGAAGCAAGAAGCAACUGCAUCAUACCACAUACUAUAACAUCAAACAUAUCCCAAAAGACAGACAGGAACGACCAUAACCAGCCAUUCAGAACCCAGACGGGCCAGACCCCCCACGAAGACGAAGAACCAAGUGAAGAGUAGACUCCUUCUGAAUGUUGUAAUCAGCAAGAGUCCGACCAUCCUCCAACUGCUUCCCUGCAAAGAUGAGCCUCUGCUGAUCUGGAGGGAUCCCUUCCUUGUCCUGAAUUUUUGCCUUCACAUUAUCUAUAGUGUCUGAGCUCUCAACCUCUAGUGUAAUUGUCUUUCCCGUCAGGGUCUUCACAAAUAUCUGCAUCCCUCCACGAAGGCGAAGAACCAGGUGAAGGGUGGAUUCCUUUUGAAUGUUGUAAUCAGCCAGAGUCCUUCCAUCCUCAAGCUGUUUACCAGCAAAGAUGAGCCUCUGCUGAUCUGGGGGGAUACCCUCCUUGUCUUGGAUCUUUGCCUUCACAUUGUCGAUUGUAUCAGAGCUCUCCACUUCAAGAGUGAUGGUCUUCCCGGUCAGCGUCUUUACAAAUAUUUGCAUUCCACCUCUCAGCCGGAGAACCAGAUGAAGGGUGGACUCUUUCUGAAUGUUGUAAUCUGCCAAGGUCCGACCAUCCUCAAGCUGUUUACCAGCAAAGAUGAGCCUCUGCUGGUCUGGGGGGAUUCCCUCCUUGUCUUGGAUUUUCGCCUUUACAUUGUCAAUUGUGUCAGAACUCUCUACUUCAAGGGUGAUGGUUUUUCCAGUGAGUGUCUUAACAAAGAUUUGCAUUCCACCUCUCAAACGGAGGACCAGGUGGAGUGUGGACUCUUUCUGAAUGUUAUAAUCGGCCAAAGUCCUGCCAUCCUCAAGCUGCUUUCCAGCAAAAAUCAACCUUUGCUGAUCAGGGGGGAUUCCUUCCUUGUCUUGGAUUUUCGCCUUUACAUUGUCAAUCGUAUCAGAGCUCUCAACUUCAAGGGUGAUGGUCUUUCCAGUGAGUGUCUUAACAAAUAUUUGCAUUCCACCUCUCAAACGAAGGACCAGGUGGAGUGUGGACUCUUUCUGAAUGUUAUAAUCUGCCAAUGUCCUGCCAUCCUCAAGCUGCUUUCCAGCAAAAAUCAACCUUUGCUGGUCAGGGGGGAUACCCUCCUUGUCUUGGAUUUUCGCCUUAACAUUGUCAAUGGUAUCAGAACUUUCCACUUCAAGGGUUAUAGUCUUCCCAGUAAGGGUUUUAACAAAGAUCUGCAUCUGUUAUGUCACAAUAGGAAAGUGGGUUAGCGACAACAUCCUAUAGACACAGAAAUUUCAACAGGACGUCAUGCCACAUGAAAAUGUGACGAGCUAAGCUAAAUCAACAGAAUGAUAAAGCUGCAAGGGUUCUUUCCUAAAUAAUCUCAAAAUGGGUUUUAUACUUGGAAUUGAAUCCUAAAUCAAACUGCAAAGAACAAUACGAUUUUUUUUAAUCAGAAAGAACAAUACCAUUUUGGAAAUGAUGUUCAAAGAAAUAUAUGCAUGAAGAUAUGUCCAAAGUAGAUUUAAGUGCAGUAAAACAAGAGGGGAAUUAUAAAAUAGUAGCUUAGUUGGUGCAGGUGCAGAAACAAUGGCCCAAAACGAAACAAAUAGUGUCUUUUCGAAUCUACAUCUAUAUUUGUAAAUGGAAAGCAUAACGAUUUUAAUAUUGGCAAAACAAAACCCUAAAAUUAACAAAGCCCUUUUCAGUUAGGGUUAAAGCAAUAUCAUCAUGCAAUAAGACCAAGAUCAAUACGUUCAAAACAAACAUUCGAUUAACUUGGAAUUCAAAUCGCGUGGAUUCCAAACAUCUCCAUGGUAAAGGGAUUCGAUUUGGAAUUCAAAAUCUUGACUUUGUUCCAGGUAAUUACAGAUACAAUUCAUACCAAAAAGCAACCAAACAAACACAAAUUCACACAAAACUCAUAAGAUCUAUAAAGAAUAGAUCUUAAAUUGAAAGAAUAAAAAGAAAAAUAAAAGAAAUGGAAAAGAAAACAGACCUUGAAAGGGAAAAGCGAACGGUUGGGGAAAAGGGAAUGGUCGAUGAACAAGCACAGGAACGAAGACUGCUUUUCAGGGAGACCGCAGAGACGCUUGGAAUGAUGAGAUGAGAGGAAAUAUUUAAUAUUUAUAGUUGUAGAGGUAGGUAGGUUUGGGCUUGGGAGAAAGUCGUUCUUGACGUCCAUAGGCUAUUAUUCUAUACGUGUUCCCCAAGCCAAAAUUUCCUUUCCUUCUCAUUCAUUCAAUGUAAUUUCUAGAAUCUUCGACUUGCGUCUUCCUUUCAAACGUGAGUUUGAUUUUAUUAAGUAUGAUAUAAUUAAAAUUAGUAAAAAAUUUAUAUAUUUUUAUUAUUUAAAUUUUAUAUAAAAAUAGUUUAUUAAUUUAAACAAAAAAUAUUUUCUCUUUCUUUUCUUUUGUAUUUCUUUUUCUCGUCAUUUUUCAAUAACCAAACCUAACCUAACAUAUAAUUUUGUAUAAAAAAAAUACAAAGGGAUUAUUUAUUUUUUCUCAAUUAAAUUUUAAAACAAAUUAUUUUCAGUCGCAGAUAGUGCUUGUUUUUUAACUUAAUAAAAAAAAUCAAAGAUAACAUAUUGAUAUCAACUAACAUAAUUAAAGUAAAUUUAUUAUGAAUAAGUUCUAUUUAGUUAUUUUAAUUAAUAUUAAUAUGUUACUUUCAGUUGAAUAAAAAAAAUUAAAUAUUUUUAUUUUAAUAUUUGACUUUUUCUAUUCAACUAAAAAAUAAAUAUCAUCUUAACUCACUUAUUUUUUAAAAAUAAAUUUUAUUUUUUUACUCUUUUUUUUGUUCUCCUUUCAAUCCUUUUGCUUAUUAUAAAAAUAUAAAUAGUAUUAUCGAUGUUAAAAGUUUUAGAAUUUAUUUUUUAUAGAUUUAAAUUAUUAUUAAUUGAUUUUUUAUUUUUAUUAGAUUGUCAUUUUCAACACAUAAGAAUUUAUUUAUGAAAAGAUAAUUGUAAAUACAUGUGUUUGAAAAUAUAUUUAAUAUUUUAAUUAAAUUCUUAAUUAAUAUUUGCUGGACCCUUUAAUAUUAAAAAAAAUCAUAUAUUUAAGAAAGAUGUUAGAAUAAUUGACUUAAUUUAUUUUUUCUAAAUUAUCAUUUUUAUAUAAUACAUGCAUUUGAAAAAUAUCUAUUUUCUAGCCAUCUGACACAUGAAGGAUGUUAUUGAGAGCAAAGACUUCAUUGGAAGUUAUCUUGAGAAGCACUUUUCCUUUGUGAAUCAUAGUGUAGGAAGUAAAUGCACUCCUAUUGCCAAAUAUAUGCCUAAGAUCAUGUUCAUCCAAAAGAAACCACUAUAGCUAUCAUAUGAGUCUUGACCAAAUUUGCCUUAGUUUUUUAUUCCUCAUUCCUCUUUCUAUGUCUACAUUGUGUUGCAUCUACCCAGGCUUUUCACAAAGAAAGCAAUUUCCUUUUUUCUUAAAUUUAACUUUAUGGGAUUUGUUCACAAAAUUAAGAUUAGAUUUCUUCUUUCAAGGGGUAUUGUUGCAAUUAUUUCUCUUAUUAUUUUUUUGGCUUAUCUUUUACUAGAUUAGUCUCGAAAGUUCAUUGGAUUUCUCAACCUUGUUCAGGUUUUUGCUUUGUUCUUUAAUUCUAAUAUAGAUUAUUGUGUCCUCUAGAGAUAUUAGGUCCUUCUACUUCAUGAUCUACACCAAGAAUUGUUAUUUUCACAAGAAUAGUUAACUUAUUGUCAAGUUGUUUCUUGUGCAAAUCAUGACCUUUAAUCACCUAUUUAAGUCAUUUAAACUACUUGGUAACUUAAGGUGUUUUAUGGUGUUUUUAGUGGUUUUCAAUGAAGGGAUAACAAGGGAUGUCGAAUUGAUAAUGGAGGACAACCAAAGAUUUUCAAAAGCAAAAAAACUAAAAAAUCUAAAUCUUGUGCACACUAGGGUGCACUACCACCAAGAGUAGUAUUUGACAAAUAGGUAGUGCGCACUCUAGAGAGUGCACAUUUUGGUUAAAACCAAAAAAAAAAAAAACCAAACCCUGUGUCCCACUUCCCCUAGGGUGGGACAUACCCAUUGACUUGACCAUGGGAAAGGCAUACCCUUUCAGGGGUGCGACAUACCCAUUGCCUUACCUAUGGGCAUAUCACACCCCUUAAGGGUGUGACAUGCCCAUCUCUACCCCUUUCCUGGAUGCCUCCUCACCCAUUAUUUAAGCUAUUUUUUUUAAGUCAUAUGAUCAUUCUGGAUUAUGGAUGAUGCUACCACUUGCCCUAGACUCCUAAGGUUUUUCCUCCAAGUAUGAAUACUAACUUUUGAGGAGUAUAAGAGGGACUUUUUGACAAAAAAACUUUAUAAAGGGAAAAUGGGGCUCUUAGAGGUUUUUACUUCUUUUGUGAAGUUUAUAUUUUUAUUCUUAGUUAGUGGUUUUCAUGGAUUGUAAAACUUGGAGAUCCAUCAAUGAUGAAGGAUUUCCAAGAAGUUAUUUUUGGCUACAUUCUUUAACUAGGGGAAGGCCCUUUGACAUAAACUCUACAGGUAUAAUGUUUAAACUUUUUUCGUCUUUAACAUUUGUGUUUUGAUAUAUAUAUAUGACAUCUUUAUUUACUUAAUUAAUUUUUGUUGAAUGCUUGUUGAUACCUUAAAUACUCUAUGGGAAUUAUCCUCUUAGAUUUGUUGCUUUCUUGAAACAUCAAAUACUUAAGAUUUGUUGUAUUCUUAAAAUAUCAGAUGCUUAGGGUUUAAAUCCCCUUUGAUUUGUUGUAUUCAACAACAUUUUUAAUCUUAUAUUGAGAAAUAAAAGAGAGCUUUUCCUAAACAAAUAAUGAGAAAGUAUGGAUUGACCAUAACAUGUUUGAUAAAAUGUCUCAAAGGUCAAAUCUUCCAAUUGGGUUCACCAUGAUUGGGGAUUCAUUUCUGUUUUUCAAUAGGUAUUAGAUCCAGGGUGACCAUCAAGGGCACCUCUCACCUAGUAAUUCAUCUCUUUAUAGGUUGAGACAUGCUCACUCCAAAAGCCUAAUAUGACAUAUUUAAACUAACACAUUACUAGAUUAGGGUUCUAAAAAUUCAAGGGAUGAUUCAUCUCCAUACUUUCACAAAUCUAAAACAUCAAAAAUGAAAAGCAUAGUUCCACACUAGCCACUACAAGAAGCCACCUAGCAUCUAAUGGGGAAGUAAUGCAUGAUCUUACUAUUUAUAAAGGUACAAUGGGUUCACUACAAUACAUGAAUCAUAUACAAUCUGACAAAGCUUACAUUGUGAACAAAUUCAGUUAAUAUUUAUAAUAACCAAUUUUUUCACACUAACAUGCAAUGGAAUCAAUAAUCGGGUACUUGAAAGGUUAAUUGCUCAAGGGUCACAUAUCAAACCAAAUAAAAGAUUGGGAUUAAUUGGCUUCACAUACUGACCAAGCUUAUUGUAUUAAUGAUAGUCUAUUGCAAGUUAAUGUGUUUAUUAUGGUGAUUAUUUAGUUUUUUGGUCUUCCAAAAAAUAGCAUGUAGUGGUUAGAUCAAGCAUUGAAUUAGACUACAACGCCCUUACAUAAGUUACUACCGAGAUAACUUGGAUGUAGCCUUUUCCUCAAGAACCAUAGCUCGAACAGAACAUGUUGAGUCAGACAUCCAUUUUAUGAGAGAUUAGAUUUUAGAGAGAACCUUGGAGAUUUGCUUUGUUCAAUCUUGUGACCAAAUGGAUUAUAAAUUAACCAAAGUUGGAGUUUUCUCACAAACUUAGUGUGGUUAAUUACACCACCCUCAAGUUUGAGGGUGUGUGUGGGGUGUUUAGGAGGGUGCACGCUCCUCUCACAUGCUCAGCUCCCUUAGGUCUCACUAACAAAUUCUAUAGCAACAUUGACAUUCUCUAGUUUUAUGUUAUAAUCAAUCUCCUUUGUCCAAUUCUUUAAAAAAAUUUAUGCACGUACGUCAAUCUUAGAUUGGUUUCCUAUGAUGAAAUUCCUUAUUUAUGAGUGAAUUAUCCACCUCCAAUGAUGAAAUUCCUUACAUAUGUAUGAAUUUCUUCACCUCCAAGGUAAGAGUAUCGUCUACUAUUGACAAAAAAAUUGUGAUUUUUCAAGUAGGAUGGAUCAAUGGAUCAAUGGAUCAAUGGCCUAGAAAAUGGGGAUUGAUAUCUAUCAUGGAUAUAAAUAAAUUUAAUGAAAUAUAUUUUCAAAUAAUUUUUUUUUUUUAAUGUUAUUCUUGUUUUGAAAAAAUAAAGGUCAUUUUAAUAAGAUGGGGGUGAUAUUUAAUCAAACGUCCCAAAGAAAAGUUAUCAUUUAAAUGCUGCAAACCAGGAAGAAAAGCACACAAUGGGAUAUCAAAUACACAUAAAUGAAAAACAGUACCAUACCACAAGUCCUUUUGGAUGACAACCUCGCAAAUCCCAAAGCCACCUAUUCUUCAUUCUUCAAGGUUGGUAAAGCCCACUAGUGACCACGGAAGCAAGAGAUGAAUUUAUGAGUUAUUAAGGACGUACAUAUUCUACUGCUCCUCUCUUCUCCCAUCAUAUUUGGUCUUAGAACGAAUAGCCAGCUGUGAGUUCAAAAACUAAUGACUUUCUUGAUGCAAUUGUAAGUCUGGAGAUCUCAGUCUCAAACUGAAUAAAUAAACACAAGACAUUUCCUGCAUAUUAAACUCCCAACAGCAUAACCAUGCCCCAACCUUAUAUCUAUAAAUUUAUGCUUCAUAUAAACUUCAACAGAGAACCAUGACCAGUCCAAGUAGAAGCAAAAUACUGCAACCCACCAUUACUUAUUUAGAAUAUGACACAUUUCAAAUAUUUACUUAUAAAGAAAACUCGAAUCUGUUAGUAACAGAUAUGUUCCAAAGAUACCUAUAAAGCAAACCAAAUCCAAAUACAAAUUAUAAAGUAAAUCCAAGUCCAAAUCCACAUAUUGUUUACCAUUGAACAUCAAUGCAUAAACCAACGCCAAGCAUUGAAAGGGACCCUACCAUUCCACAAUGCACAAGACAGAAUAAAUACUGCUCCAGAUCCCCAUCAAACCAGCUAUCCCUCACCAUCUGCAACCAACAUCACCACCACGGAGUCGAAGAACAAGAUGAAGUGUAGAUUCCUUCUGAAUAUUGUAAUCUGCCAAGGUCCGCCCAUCCUCUAGCUGCUUUCCAGCAAAUAUGAGCCUCUGCUGAUCUGGAGGGAUACCCUCCUUGUCUUGAAUCUUUGCCUUCACAUUAUCUAUGGUGUCAGAGCUCUCCACCUCAAGUGUGAUAGUUUUACCUGUCAGGGUCUUCACAAAUAUCUGCAUACCUCCACGAAGGCGAAGAACAAGGUGCAGCGUGGAUUCUUUCUGUAUGUUGUAGUCAGCCAAAGUGCGGCCAUCCUCAAGCUGUUUUCCAGCAAAGAUCAGCCUCUGUUGGUCAGGAGGAAUGCCUUCCUUGUCCUGGAUUUUUGCCUUGACAUUGUCAAUUGUGUCUGAGCUCUCAACUUCAAGAGUGAUUGUUUUACCAGUUAAGGUCUUCACAAAAAUCUGCAUACCCCCACGUAGGCGGAGAACAAGGUGAAGGGUUGAUUCCUUCUGUAUAUUGUAGUCAGCCAAAGUUCGACCAUCUUCUAGCUGCUUACCAGCAAAGAUUAGCCUCUGCUGGUCGGGUGGAAUACCUUCCUUGUCCUGGAUUUUUGCUUUCACAUUGUCGAUAGUGUCUGAACUCUCAACUUCAAGGGUGAUAGUUUUACCAGUAAGGGUCUUCACAAAUAUUUGCAUGCCACCUCUCAAACGGAGAACCAAGUGAAGGGUAGACUCCUUCUGGAUGUUGUAGUCCGCCAAUGUCCGACCAUCUUCCAGCUGUUUACCAGCAAAUAUGAGCCUCUGCUGGUCUGGGGGAAUACCCUCCUUGUCCUGGAUUUUAGCUUUCACAUUAUCGAUGGUGUCUGAACUCUCAACUUCAAGGGUAAUAGUUUUUCCAGUGAGGGUCUUCACAAAAAUUUGCAUGCCGCCUCUUAAACGGAGAACCAAGUGAAGGGUGGACUCUUUCUGGAUGUUAUAAUCAGCCAAUGUCCGGCCAUCCUCGAGCUGCUUACCAGCAAAUAUAAGCCUCUGCUGGUCUGGGGGAAUACCCUCCUUGUCCUGGAUUUUCGCUUUGACAUUAUCAAUGGUGUCUGAGCUCUCAACUUCAAGGGUGAUAGUUUUUCCAGUGAGGGUCUUCACAAAAAUUUGCAUGCCACCUCUCAGACGGAGAACCAAGUGAAGGGUGGACUCCUUCUGGAUGUUAUAAUCAGCCAAUGUCCGGCCAUCCUCCAGCUGCUUACCAGCAAAGAUAAGCCUCUGCUGGUCUGGAGGAAUACCCUCCUUGUCCUGGAUCUUUGCCUUCACGUUGUCAAUUGUAUCUGAACUCUCAACUUCAAGUGUGAUGGUCUUUCCAGUUAGUGUUUUGACAAAUAUUUGCAUUCCUCCUCUCAAACGAAGUACAAGGUGUAGGGUGGACUCUUUUUGAAUGUUAUAAUCGGCCAAAGUCCUACCAUCCUCGAGCUGCUUUCCAGCAAAAAUCAACCUUUGCUGGUCAGGGGGGAUACCCUCCUUGUCUUGGAUUUUUGCCUUAACAUUGUCAAUGGUAUCAGAACUCUCAACUUCAAGAGUUAUGGUUUUUCCAGUAAGGGUCUUAACAAAGAUCUGCAUCUGCUAUGCAACAACAAAGAUAAGCCUAAUUAGCUAUAUUAUCCUCUUAGGUAACCAAUAUAAACUGAAAGAACAGAAACACAAUUAAGCAUCUACACCCAAUUUUCAGCCCAUGAGGGAAUUUUCUCCAUAAUAAGAAGACAAAGUGUGAAAACCAGAAAGGGAACCGAAAUAUCAUACCAUAACCAUGCGUGAAAGAAACAUAAGCUCGGUGAAAUAAGGUAGAAGUUCAUAUUUGUAAAUAUUGCAUUGAAGCAUUGCAAUGUUCAUGAUUUAUCCAUAACCAGACAAUGAAGCAUUGGUGAAAUAAUGAGUUGUGAUAUAACACUUCUAUUAUGCUUUCUAUCAUCAACGCAAAAAGAGUAGAAAUAAUUCUCAUAACCUCCAACUCUUUAUACUCUCUUCUUUGACAAGUAAAUAAGUUGUGGAACAAAUUUUGAGAGCAAAUUUGUUCUCAAAAUAACUCUUAAUACUCUCUUGUUAAUCUUAAUUUUGGGAGCAAACUGUGGAAUUGAUGAGAAGCAAGUUUACCAUAUCAAUUAGGCAUACAUGUUUUACAUUGUUGUUAUAAUAUGAUUAUGCUUGGCGAUAUAGAUGUUCUUAACGUAACUUGUUCCUAAAAACAGUGGAAUGCUCUUCAAAUCUCCAUGCAAUACCAAUUCUUUUGUUGCAAAUAAAAAAACUGUUUGAAUCUUUGUUGAACACUCUCAUAAACCAGACAAUCAAGUUUAGAAGCAAAGUCAAAAAGUAAAUUUUGAAUUGAAAAAUUUUAUGUUGUAACAUGAAGACCACUUCCAUUAAAGUGAGUUAGAAAUUUUCAUUGGGUUAUAACCUCCUCUAAAAUUGGAUCAUUACAUUCAACUCUCUCUGGCUUACAACAGAACUCCAUUUGUCUACUUCAACAGUAUUGCUAUGAUUUGAUAUCAGCAUGAGAAUGUAAAUUUACUGAUCAUAUAACAUUUCAGCUUGCAAUUAAUGUCCUACCAACAAAAAGUCAGUAUUUAAUCACCAACAAGACAUGUCUGCUUCCUAAUUAGACAUUAAAUCUGAAUUCGCUCUUCCAUUCUUUUUCCUUUAAAUUUGAAAAGAAAAAAAAAUGCAGUAUUGCCUUCCUGUCCCUUUAAACAACUGUGAAUUUAUAUAAGACAUCAGGCUCAGACUUCCACAACACCCAACAUAAGUUUCUAUAAUUUUCUUCAAUCAGCAAUAGUUUCAUGUCAUCAUUAGAUCCUAUGAUAGGAUGUUCAAUAUUUACUAUUGCUGAAGAUGUCUUCAAAAUUUUCAUUUAAACAAAUAUAUUUAGUGGUUAGCUAGGCAUCAUGGACAAAGGGUUUUAGCUUUCAGGUCCAAAACGAUCUUUUUUGAUAAGAUACUCCAAUAUUGUUAACCUGAUCCCAAACCUAUGAGAACAAAGCCAAAGAGAUCGCUUGCAUGUUCAACACAAAGCAUCUUCUUUAUAUCCCUUAAAAAGAUGAAGCCUUUUACAUAGAGAGGAACACCCAAACACAAAAAUCUGGUAUUUUUCAAAAAAAAAAAAAAAAAAAAAAUCCAACUAAGAAUUCCUCAAAAACCUAUUAAUCUAUCAGCACAGAAACCAUUAGAAAUAUCCCAAAGCUGCAAAAUCAAACAAACAACAAUGAAAAAAAAAGGAAGGAUAAAUCAAAAGAACUCCAAUCAUAUUGUUGGUGUAAAGAUCUAAUUACACCAGAACUGAAUUGCACAAUUGGAAAUGUCAAAACCAGGAGUAAACGAUUUUAUGUUCUUGAAGAAUCAGAUCAUGAUUUUGAACAAAUUACCAGAUAAUACCCUAAUAAAGCCAACGAGAACAUACAAAAUCCGAAACACAAACAAGAAUUACAAUCAAAUAAAAUCCCUAUCCAAAACCCUAACCAAUAAUCAAAAAUAGGCCACGGGCAAAGCAGAUAAACCCUACCAAAAACCAUAAAGAAGCCCAAAUGAACAAACAUCAAUAGAACAAGACAAGAGACAAACCCUAACCUUGACGAAGGAUCGAGAUUAUGAAAAAUACAGACGCCGAAUCGGAAUGAGAAUGAGAUGAGCCUGAGAGGGUUUCGUAGUUAUAAGCUUUCAAGGUAAAGUCGGUUAGACUUUGGCCAAUAGUACUCCUCCACGUGUCGUCGCCAUCCUUGACUUGGCUGUACCCCUUCUUAUUGGGAAAAAGGCUAUGCUUGGCAAGUGGAUUACAAUUUUUUCAUUUUAUUAAAAAUUUGAGCUAAUAAGGAAAUAACAUUCUGUUUGAUUUCCCACUAUUUUUCUUUUAAAAAUAGAAAAUAAUAGUACUAUACAUUUUUUUUUUUUUGGAAAUUUAUCUUAAAAAGUAUUAAAAAUAAUUUUUGAUGAUUUCUUUCUAAGGUAAGAGUUAUUGUAAAAAAUUGAAAGAGUUACCAGAAGAAUAUAUCAAAAUAAAAACCAAUACGAAAAAUUUAUUUUGAAAUUUUUUGUUAAGCUUAUUCAAAAGUAAAUUUAACAAAAACAAAAAUCACAUUAUUUUUAUUUUUCAAGUUCCUAAUCUUAUUUACCCCAAGGCCCUAUUCCUAGAAAUACAAUUUGGGUAGGUUAGCUUAACCCAACUCGACAUGAAUGAAUAAAUAUUUUCAAUACUCAAGUUCAACUUGAGUUUAGUUUUUUUAAUUUAAAUUAAAUUUGGAUUAUACUUAAACCAAAAUUCAAACAAUCUGUCUGAACAUAAUUUAAUGUUUUAAUAACAUUUAUAAUGUUUAUUAUUUUGUAUAGUAAUAUUCAUUUUUUUAGACUUUUAAGAAAAAUAUCAAAUUAUAAUUAUAUCAUAUUUUUUCAUUUUUCUAAGAAAGAUAUAGAAAUUUAUUUUUACUUUUUUAUUACUAUUUUAAAAUUUUACCCUUUUUACUAUUUAAAUUUUAGUAUAAAUAAUAAUAAUAAUAAACUUUUUAGAAAAUACUAUGGAUUGAUUUUGAAUAAUGCAAACUAAUUAACUUGAAUUUUACCCGAACUUAAUCCGAUCAAUUCAAAUUCAACUAAAACAUAGAAAAAUGAUAUUGUGUUGAGUUUGAGUUUAGUACCUUGAGUUAGAAAUCAAAUUUAGUUGAACUUUGGUUGAUUAUUUCUUAAUUCGAAUUGGACUCAAAUUAGCCAUCAACGUGACCUACUCGCCGAAGUUAUAGUCCUUUUCCUACAACGGAAAAGCCAAGAAAAAACAUAUUCUACCCUAUUGCAAAUAAAUAGAAUAUUAGGUAGUGUUUGUUUUUUUGGCUUUUUGUUGAAAGCAAUUUAGUUUUAAAAUUUAGGUAGUUUGUUUUUCUACUUUUUCAUGACUUAUUAUAAACUUUUUACUAAAUAGAAAAAGCCAAAAUAUGUAACUUUUUCUAAAUAGAAAAAAUAAAAUAUUGGUUUUUUUUUUACUUUUUAAUACUUAAUAGAAAUAAAAUACUACAAAAACAAAUAACUUAAUAUUUAACACUAUUAAGUAUUAAGGUUUUAUUUAAAAUUAAGUAAAAAAACAAACACCACCUUAGUCUAUUGAAGCAAACAAAUACGUGACGUUAUUUUUGGUUCAUUUACAUUAUUAUUGGGCUUGAAUGCAUUAGAGAAGACCAUUGAUCCAAUGUUGUUGACCUAGUCAAUCCCAAUAACAUCCACGACGGCUGCUGGAGUAAUUAGAAGUGUAAAUUCGGACGGGUCGGCUGGGCUGAAGCCCAAAAAAUUUAGGCAUUAGGUGGGCUUGAGUAGAUUUAUUGGGUUGGAGAGAUGAUUUUGGGGUGGCUUGGAUUCAUUCUCCCAAAUCUAAGGACCAAGGCGUAGCCCUAUGGGCCUCGGAUUCAAAAUUUGGGUUCAGGAUUUGGGCAAAGUCUGACUUUUAUUUUUUAUUUUUAAAUUUUAUUUAGAUAUUAUUUAACCAAUCUUUAAAUUAAAUUAAAAAUUAUAAGAACUAUAAAAUAAACUAACAAAAUUAUAAACUAUAAAUCAAAAACAACAAAUAAGUGUGUAAUAAACAUUUUUGCAUCAUAUUUAUGGUGAAAUCAUGAGCUAAAAAACUAUAUAACAAUGUUGAUUAUCUAAAAUAUUUGAGAAAAACGGGUUUUGAUUUACUAAUACAAGAAUAUAUGGAAAAGGAACUUCAAAUUUUUUAAAUCGAUAUUAUUUUCAUCUAUUUAAAAAUAAUUUGAAAUACAUGCAAUUUUUAAUGAGUCAUACAGUUAUUCCCUAAAAUGCCCAUUUUACUUCCAUAAAUAUUUCUCUUCCUUUUAAAUAUUAUUAUUAUUAUUAUUGUUAUUAUUAUUUAAGACUUUUUUCUCCAAAAACAAACCCUCAUAGGAAAAGUUGAAACUUUUUUUUUUCUAUAAAGAAACAUCCCUUAGCAAAAGUGAGAUGGUUUGAAGAGUAUAGACAUUAAGAGUAGUAAAACCCUGACGGAUUGUAGAUGAGUUUGAGUCUGCUAGGAAUAAGGUUUAUGGCUUUUUCCAUGGUUUCUAUAGGAUUUUUUUUAUUAGGGCAAAUUGAGGUUAAUUUCAAGAACUUUGGUUGUUUAGGGUAUUUUUACAAAGAAUGGAAUUAGGUAUGAAAAACAAAACAAUGAGACUAUUGAAAUAAAUUAAUAAUAGUAAAAUACAAAGAAAUUGGCACAUGUGAUGUGAUUGGUGACACUUUUCGGAUAGUGUACAUUACCCUCACCCUAAAGUGUUCCUUCUAUAUUUUCCCAACCUGUCUUUCACAUUCAUAGAAAAUAUUCUAAAAAAAAGAAAAAGAAAAAGAAGCACAACCAAGGAUAGCCAAGCAGGUUUGGCUCACUCUCAUUUCUCAAAACCCCAUUUCUCACAUCUCUAGCUUGAAAUAUUGGAUUGCAAAAGGUAAAAUGAAUUAUACAUAACUUGUACUGCAUAAAGUAACACACAUAAGAAUUGUUCAUUGAAAAGGUCAAAAUAAGAUAAUGAACUAUACCUAACUUGUAUUGCAAAAAGUAAAAUAAAUUUUGACCAAAGUCAUUCGAAGUUACCUGCUCUACAUCAUAGGCUACAUUGAGAAGAAAGAGUGAGGUCUUAAUGCUAGUGACCAAGUUCUUAAGGAAGAACCAUUGGGAAAGAGUAUGCAAAUCUAUUUUUUUUUUAUCAUCAUGUCUAUUGCAAUAUCCAAUUCAUGGGAUUAAAUAAAAUCAAGAGAAGAGAGAUUGUUACUGAAGUUGGAUCUAAGUAGAUGGUAUAAGUGCUUGACAAUUUUUUUUACUCCUUAAAAUUUUAUACAAGUUCCAAGAUCAAAACUACCAUAAUCAUAAAAAGAAGUAUCUAAAAACUCAUCAUUCAACAAACACAAAGUGAUGAUAUGGUUGGGUAAUCAAUCAUUUUACUAAAUAACAACCAAAGAUUUAAAGUUAUAGAUAGCCCCCCAAUAGAGCACCCAGAAGAGCUUGAAAUAUAUUUGUUUCUUAAAAUAACUAUGAAAGGACAAACUUAUAGAAUAUGCUAAAUGUAAAACUUGAUCAACAUUCUUCAUCCUCUUUGACAAUAAAUCCUCCAUACCAGCUUUGAAAAUCCGUUGUCCUUAAAAAUAAAGAACAAUUGCUUAUCACUAAGAAAAACCAACCUCCCUAAGGGUUUUUUUUUUUUUUUUUUGAACUUGUAGAGGUUGUAGACAAAAACAAGAUAUGAUUUUCUAGAAAAUAUGAAUGUGAAGUUUUUCCACAUACACACAUAUAAAAUCAUUUUUAUAAACAUUCUAAGGGAAAAAAACAUUUAAUUCAAUAUAUUAAUAAUAAUCAAGGCAUGCAUACUUCUUAUAGGCAAACCAUAAAAAAGGUAAUGCAAUAAAUAGAAGGGUGAAUAAUCCUUCAAUGGGCCUUAAAAGCAAUAUAUAAUACUCAAAUGGCAAUUCAAUGUAUUUAUUGACUAUGUUAGUUGAAUUUUCUAAAGUUGUAGUUAAAAGACUCACGUAUAAAUAAUUUUGUUAACAUAUUUACACCAAGAAAAAAAUAGUUCAGAACAAACUAAUAAUCAAGAAAUAUUCACUAGUAUUUUAGAAACUUGAAAAUGCUUAAUUUUAUCAACCAAAAGACUAGAAGGAACACAUAAUGAGAUAUCACCAUUCAAUCUACCAAGAUAGAUUGCAUAUACCACAAUAAAAUUAUAUUAUUUCCACAUAAUUUUUCUUUCCAACUCUGAUAUCACCUUAGGAUGCUAAGAUUGCAACCAAAUUGAAAUAAAUACCGAAAAAAUGUAGAACCUAAGAAAGGAAAAUGUAGUACCUAAGCAAGGAAAAGAUAGUACUUAAGGUUCAAAAAAGUAGUACCUAAAGAAAGUAAAUGUAGUACCUAUAAAAAAAAUUAUGUCAUACUUAUAUCUAAAUUAUCCAUGACAUAAAUGGAACUAUAAGACAUGUAGCACAUAUGUACAUAAAUUCCCAACUUAUUUGAAGUAGCCCUAAAACAAUGGAUUCGCUUAUGCACCCAAAGGUUACAAAAGUAGUACCUAUGGUUGAGAAAAGUAGAACCUAAGGAAGGAAACAAUAGUAACUAAGGUUAAAAAAUGUAGUACCUAAAGAAAGUAAAUGUACUACAUAUAUGUCAUACUUAUAUCUAAAUAAUUGACAUAAAUGGAACUGUAAUACAUGUAGCACAUAUGUACAUAAGUUCCUGACCUAUUUGAAGUGGCCAUGAAAUAAUGGAUUCAAUCAUGCACCCAAGGUUACAAAGGUAGUACCUAUGGUUGAGAAAGGUAGAACCUAAGGAAGCAAAAUGUAGUACCAAAGGUUCGAAAACGUAAUACCUAAGGAGGGAAAGACAGUACCUAAGGUUCAAAAAAGGUAGUACCUAAAGAAAGUAAAUAUAGUAUCUAUAAAAAAAUUAUAUCAUACAUAUAUCUAAAUUAUCCAUGACAUAAAUGGAACUAUAAGACAUAUAGCACUAAUUGGUACAUAAAUUCCCAACUUAUUUGAAGUAGACAUGAAACAAUGAAUUUGAUCAUGCUUCGAUGGCAAAGGUAGUACCUAUGGUUGAGAAAGAUAGAACCUAAGGAAGGAAAAUGUAGUACCUAAUGAAGGAAAAAGUAGUACUUAAAGGUUAAAAAAGAUAGUACCUAAAGAAAGUAAAUGUAGUACCUAUAAAAAAAAUUAUGUCAUACUUAUAUCUAAAUUAUCCAUGACAUAAAAAGAACUAUAAGAAAUGUAACACAUAUGUACAUAAGUUCCCGACUUAUUUAAAAUGGCCAUGAAACAAUGGAUUCGCUCAUGCACCCAAGGUUACAAAGGUAGUACCUAUGGUUGAGAAAGGUAGAACCUAAGGAAAGAAAAUGUAGUACGUAAAGAAGGAAAAUAUAGUACUUAAAGUUAAAAAAUGUAGUACCUAAAGAAAAUAAAUAUACUACUUAUAAAAACCUUAAGUCAUACUUAUAUCUAAAUUAUCCAUGACAUAAAUUGAACUAUAAGACAUAUAACCCAUAUGUACAUAAGUUCUUGACUUAUUUGAAAUGGCAAUGAAAUAAUGGAUUCACUCAUACACCCAAAGUUACAAAGGUAGUACCUAUGGUUGAGAAAGGUAGAACCUAAGGAAAGAAAAUGUAGUACAUAAAGAAGGAAAAUAUAGUACUUAAAGUUAAAAAAUGUAGUACCUAAAGAAAAUAAAUAUACUACUUAUAAAAACCUUAAGUCAUACUUAUAUCUAAAUUAUCCAUGACAUAAAUUGAACUAUAAGACAUAUAGCACAUAUGUACAUAAGUUCUUGACUUAUUUGAAAUGGCAAUGAAAUAAUGGAUUCACUCAUACACCCAAGGUUACAAAGGUAGUACCUAUGGUUGAGAAAUGUAGUAUCUAAGGAAAUAAAAUGUAGUACAUAGGUUCACAAAGGUAGUACUUAUGGUUAAGAAAUGUAGUACCUAAAGAAGGAAAAAAUAGUACAUGGGUUCACAAAGGUAGUACCUAGGUUCCAAAGGUAGUAUCUAAGGUUCAAAUAGGUAGUACCCGAGGUCUAAAAGGAACUAAAUUAUAAAAAAAGAAUGUCAUGCUCAUACCUAAAUGCAAUUGAAGAAGUAGCUUAGUAGUAGACAAGUUCCACAUAUAUAUCAAUUGGUCUUGAAACUAGGGAUUCCAUCAUGCUUCAAUGGCAAAGGUAGUUCCUAAAGUUUAGAAAGGUAGUACCUAAGGUUCCAAAGGUACUAGCUAAGGUCCAAAAAGAUGAUACAUAUUAAAGAAUAAUGGCAUACUUAUAUCUAAAUGGAACUGAACAUCUACCACCAAUGUAGAUAAGUCACACACUUAUCUCAAGUGGUCAUGAAACAAAUGCAUACUUCUAUCAUACUUCAAUGGAAAAGUUAGUAUUGUUGGGAACCCUAGAUUACUCUAUUCCCAUGCCUUGGAUCUCAUAGGGUGCAUGCAUCUAUCCUUGGGCUCUUUAGAUCUAACGCAGUGGGAAAUAAAGGCUUCAAAAACCAUUAUAAAAUAAAAAUCUAGAGAAAAAGUGCUUAUACUUGGAUCUGGAUGUUCCUAGAUUAAUUCUUUGCAAUCAAGAGCAUGCUUAGAAAAACUAGAGAAUCUCUCAUCAUGUUGCUACCCACAUGCACAUCCUGUGCGAUUCCUGUGCACAUGGUUUGUGCACAUUGCGUGCAAUUCCCAUGCACGCGGCUUAUGCGCAUCCCGUGCAAUUCUUGUGUGUGUGGCUUGUGUGAUUGUAGUACGCUUCUCAUAUGCCCAAGAUCUUCCACCCAAUAACUCUUCCUUGUGUCUAAGCACUGAGAUGAUGGAGAUUUCAAGGAUAGAGACUAGGGUUUUCUCUCUUAAUUGAAAAGAAGAAUGGCAAGACUUGGAAACCCCAACCCCUAAAAGGAUAUUUAUAUGUUUCCUACUGGGCUUAAGUGACUUAAGCCCACAAUGGGUUUGGGUCACUUAAUCUAACCCAAAAAGGUUGUUAAUUGAUUAAUUAAUCAUACAAGGCCUACUUAAUCAAUUAACCUAGUCCAGAGAUACCACUCAUAUAUCUCUAUGCAACCUUACGUAAUUGCCAAAAUGCCCUUAUGCACAAAAGUGAACUAAAAACCCAUUCAACCCUCAUAAACCGUGUCAUCCAGAAAUAUGAGCUCAGAGUAAGGACCAUUGGGAGCCAUAGGAAUACUGGCUCCCUCAUAAUCAAAUUCUAAAAUUGACUCAACAUCCCACUAUGGAGAGUUAACUACACUCUAAUACCCUAUGUAUAUUACAAUGAGACACUAAGUGCUCAGCUUCGUGACCUACUAUCCACUACAUGCAAACUCCCCAUGAACUAGUGUCCAUAAUCUAACAAGGUAGUGUUAUCACCUAUCAAGAUUACCCCUCAUAUCCUUGAGUUAUAGAUCUCAGUUAUUAUGUGAUCAAAUGACAUAUUCUAACUCUAAGGAACAUAUGUCAAAUUCCACAAAAGGAAUUAUUGUGGCCAUAGAUUUCAUGACCACAUGUCCUUUGGAUCACCAAAUGGGACACACUAUCUCAAUCAUAUGAGAUAUCAUGGUGCCUCUAUUAAGAAUACCUAUUGCCAUCAUCCUUUAUCAACAAUAACCCAAUCCAUAAAGAUAUACGAUCACUUUAUGGUCUCACCCCAUAGGUCAAAGCCUCUUGUUGAUUUUGACACAGACUCAAUAUUCUCUUAAGGUUAAGAGUCCAUGUAGAAUAGUAGCUUGGUAAAUCAUGACACUUAAUAGUCUUGCAUCAUGAUUCAUCAUACGUUCUGUCCAAUAUGCAUCACAUACACUAGUGCACUCACCAUGGAAAACCCAUCCCAACCACCAAGACUAGUCAUUCCUCCAAUUAGAAGGCAAUGCACUACAUUCUCUACUGGAUUGCCCAAAUCCAUGAACCAACUGUGGACAAUUUAUUGACUUACAAGGAAUCCAUUACUUGUAUCUUUUGUGCAACUCCCAAUGCACCCAAGUCAUGUACAAUGUAAGAGACAUGGGUUGAAUGUUCAAAUCAAUAUCAAUACAAUAAAAGGAUAACAAGGGAAUAGUUAAGUCUAACUUUGUUACAUCAUGUUUUGCUUUUAGGGACUCAAUCCCAACAAGUACCUAAGGUUAAAAAAAGUAGUAUAUAUUAAAAAAUAAUGGCAUACUUAUAUCUAAAUAGAAUUGAACAUGUACCACUAGUAUAGAUAAGUUACACACUUAUCUCAAGUGGUCAUUAAACAAAAGCAUACUUCUAUUAUGCUUUAAUGGCAAAGGUAGUACUUAAGAUUCAAUAAGGUUGUACUUAAGGUUGGAAAAGGUAGUACCUAGGGUUAUAAAAGAUAGCACCUAUGGGUUAAAGAAGGUAGUACCUAUGGUUGUAAAAAGUAGUUCCUAAGGUUGGAAAAUGUAGUACCUAAGGUUGAAAAAAGAUAAUACCUAACAUUGAAAAAUGUAGAAACUAAGAUACAAAAUGGUAUAACCUAAGGUUGAAAAAGGUAGUACAUAAGGUAUCAAAUCGCAAUACAUAAGGUGCAAAAUGCUAGAACCUAAGGUUUAAGAAGGUAGUGCAUAAGGAAUAUAAUUUCAUGCUUAUACAAAUUGUACAUGAAAAAAAAAAGAUUUUGGCCACCUUGUUUCUAUCCUGCACUCUAUUAUUGUAGGAGCUAAUUUUGUUGUUUUCAUGCAUGAGUCAAUUUCCAAUUAUGUGCCUUGAAGGUACUAGUCAAAAUAAAAUUACCUUUUUUGCAAUAAGGGAAUUGAAAAGAAUGUAUUUUCAUAUGGCAGACUAUAGUAUAUGCUUAUCUUAAAAGUGAAAAUUUUAUUUCCUUCAUGUACACAAAUAGAUUAUAGAGUUGAGUUUAACUCUGCCUUCAAUGAGGCUCCUUGGGAGUUUCUAGUACUAUGACCUGAUUGGUCCUCUUUUUCCUCUCUCUUUUCUACAAAAUAAAUCUUAUUGCUUGUUUCAAAAUUCACUCCUACACUUGAACCAAACCCUCUUUCUAGAUUUGUGUAACUCAAUUUUUAGGAUUUGCAUAGUGUCCCUCAUAACUAGUCUCAAGGUGUUUACUCCAUUAAAGUUAUUCUCUUUUCUAGUAUUUUACCCAUAUGACUUCGAUGCAAAUAUAAUCACCAAUUGCUUCUUUUUGGGCUACAAUAUGCUAUCAUACAUCAAAUUUGAAGCUUGUGUAGGUAGGAUUUGGAAUUCUUAGGCUUGUUUUUUUUUCUCAAAUGAAAAAAAAAGAAAAACCUAUCCCACCCACAUGCAAGUUGGUCACCACUUAAUUGGUCUAGUAAGUCCCCUUAAGAAAAUUGUGAACUCUAAACCAAUCUAUGCUGAAAUAUCUUUAGUACCAUCAUACUAAUACAAAAGCAAAGGUAUUGUGCUCACUCUGUUUCUUCUAAGUCGGACAUUCUAAUAUAAAUCGAAAUGUACUAGAAAAACCAAAAGAAAUACAUAUAUAGUUUUGAAAAAAAAACUUUCAUAAUCUUGUAGACUCCUCCUUUUGUCCUCUUAGCACAUGUGACAUUAGGUGUCUUCAUGUACUUCUAUUUUGACUCGUAUUAGUUCCGUAUGUUGGAAUUGAGCCCAAAAGCAAAUCAUAAUGUAACAAAGUUAGACUUAACUGUUCCCUUGGUAUCCUCUUGUUGUAUUAACAUUGAUUUGAGUAUUCAACCUAUGUCUCUUACAUUGUACAUAACUUGGGUGCAUUAGGAGUUGCACAAAAGACACAAGUCACGGGUUCCUUGUAAGUAGAUAAGUUGUCCACAGUUGGUUAAUAGAUUUGGGCAAUCCAGUAAAGACUAUAGUACACCACUUCCUAAUUAGAUGGAUGACUUAUCUUGGUAGUCGAGAUGAGUUUCCCAUGGUGAGUGCAUUAAUGUAUGUGAUGCAUACUAGACAGGACUUGUGGUGAAUCAUGAUGCAAGGCUAUUAAUUGUCAUGAUUCACCAAGCUACUAUAAUACAUGGACUCUCAACCUUGAGAGGAUAUUGAGUUUGUGCCAAAAUCAAUAGAAGGCUUUGACCUAUGAAUGAGACCCUAAAGUGGUCAUAUAUCCCUAUGGAUUGGAUUACUAUUGAUGGAGGCUAGUAACAAGAAGUAUUCUCAAUAGAAGCACUAUGAUAUCUCAUAGGAUUGAGACAAUGUGUCCCAUUGGCUUAUCUAAAGGACAUGUGAUAAAGAAAUCUAUGGUCACAAUAAUUCCUUUAAUAGAAUUUGACAUAUGCUUCUUGAAUCUAGAGUAUGUUAGUUGAUCAAAUAAUAAGUUAGAUUUGUAACUUAAGGAUUUAAGAGGUAAUCAUGAUAGGUUAUAGUACUACCUUGUUAGAUUAUAGACACCAGUUCAUGGGGAGUCUGCAUGCAAUGAAUAAUAAGUCACGGACCCAAGUUUUGUCUUGUUGUUAUUUAUAUAGGGUACUGAAGUGUAGUUGAUUCUCUUUAUUGGAAUGUUGAAUCAAAUUCAAAAUUGGAUUCUAUGGGAGUCGGUACUCUUAUGGGUCCUAGGGUUCCUCGCUCUAAGCUCAUAUAUCAUGAUGGCACGGUUUAUGAGGAUUAGAUUGGCUCUAGGUUCAUUCUUGUGCAUAAGGGUGUUUUGGUAAUUAUGCAAGGUUGCACAGAGGAAAUGAAUAAGGUCUCUGGAUUGGGCUAAUUGAUUAAUUAGAUGACCCUAUGUAGUUAAUUAAUCAAUUAAAACUCAUUUUAGGCUAGAUUAGGUGACCCAAGCCUUAAUGGACUCAAGUCAUUUAAGCUUAGUGGACAAUCCUAUAAAUACCCUCUUAUGGGUUAGGGUUUCCUAAUGACUUUUAGUUAGUCAUCUUCCACUUCUAGAGAGAAAGAAAGAGAGCGUCAAAGCUUCCUCUCUUCCAGUACCCAUACUUUAAAGUGCCAAGACUAUGGUUCAAGUCAUCGAGCAGAAGAUCUUAGGUGUACGAGACCUCCGAACUCUUCAAGCUUCUUGUUCAUAUGAUGGAUUUUGAUCUAGGAACAUCCAUAUCACAAGUAUGAAUAAUAUUUCUCUUAAUCUUUAUCCUAAUAUGGUGCGUUAAAUCUAGAGAGUCCUAGGAAUAGUUGUAUGCAUCCUACAAGAUCUAGGGAUAGGAAACGAAGUGAUUUGAGGUUCCCAAUACCCUGGUGUCCCAUUGACACUUACAUAGCUUCUUUUUUUGAGCCACCUUCUAGGACCCUUUGUUGAGGGGUUUAUCUAAACCCUUAUUGUGAAUUUGGCAACCUCGAGUUAGAUUUAGGGGUUUUCCUUUUUCAUUUUUAGGAUAGCUCAUUUAGGUACACUUUAAGGACAUUUAGACACACCCUAGGUCACUUAGACACUUUUCUGAUCAUCCUUAGACAUUGAGCCUAUUUAGACAAACCCUAGGUCACUUAAACACCUUUUGAGGAUAGAGCACUUUUAGAUAAUUCCCCACUUAAGUCACUUAGAUCUUUCCUAGGAUAGUUUCACUUAGUUCACUUAGGCUUUUUCUUGAGUUAAAUUACUUGAUUUCAAGAUUAGGUGAGCAUUUGAAUUCAUUUUGAUUUUUUAUUGCAUGAGAUGAAUUUUUAUUUUUUGUUGUUGUGAGAUUUACAUUUUGAUUUUUUUUAAUUAUUAUUGCAUUAAUUUAGUAUCUUGAUUUUUGAUUCCAUGUGUUUGAUACUUUUGUUUUUUUUUUAAAAAAAUUGCAUGAGAUUGACAUUUUGAUUUUUAAUUGCAUGAAUUGAUAUUUUGAUUCUUUUUUUUUUUUACAUAUCAUAUGAUUUAUUAUUAUUCUUAUUAUUAUUAUUAUUAUUAUUUUAAUUGCAUGAUUUCUUAUUUUAAAUUUUUAUUUUUCCAUGAGGCUUUGGUGGCUAUGCAUAUAUGUAAUGCUUUGGCAAUAUUGAAUUUUUUUAAAAAGGAAAUGUAAGGUUAUGACAUUCAUGCCAUAAAAAAGAUCAAGUUAGAGUGGGAUUCUCUUGAAGAUGGCUAAUACUUUUUUUAGGAAGGAUAAGAUUAUUUUGGGAAAUCCACAACUGCAUAUCAAGAAAAAAAAUGGAAGAUCAUGGUUGGAUAUUAUUUUUUGAGAAGGGAUAUUCAUGAUGGAGUUUUAAGGAAAGAAUACUCUCUUUAGGAGUUCAUGGGCUGCCACUUUGUAAACCCUCCAUUUUGUCCUACUAGCACAUGUCCUGUUACCUAAUUCGCUUGGUACUUUACAACAAUUCCCUAGUGGCCCAUUACUGUUCAUGUAGCUUAUCUUUUCUAAGCCACCUUUGAGACUUUGGUUAAGGGACUCAUCUGACCCCAUUGUGAUUCUAGGCAGCCUUAAUUUAGACUUAGGUUUUUUUUCCUUCCUUGUUAGGCCCAUUUAGAUGCACUUGUUCCAUUAGGCACCACCUUAGGCCCACUUAGGCACCCUAGGUCCAUUUAUAUGCACUUGGCCCAUUAGGCACCAUCUUAGGCUCACUUAGGUUCCCUAGGCCCAUUUUGAUGCACUUGGCCCAUUAGGCACCACCUUAGGCCCACUUAGACCCAUUUAUAUGCACUUGGCCCAUGAGGCACCACCUUAGGCCCACUUAGGUUUACCUAGUUUUGAUUAGGUCACUUUUUUGGCAUAUCUUGCAUAUCUCACAUGGCUUGCAUGAGUUGCAUGACUCGUUUUUUUUUUUUUUUUUUUGCAAAACACACGACUUGUUAUUUUUGUUUAUUAUCUUGCCUAUUUCUUCCUUUAUUUUAUUUUCCUAUUAUUUUGUCACUUUUCCAUAAUGCUUGUCCUUACUUAUCUAUGUUAAUUUAAUAAUUUUGUUUAAAUGUUUUAUUAUUACUAUUAUUAGUGUUAUUAUCAUUAUUAUUACUAUUAUUAUUAUCAUUAUUAUUAUUAUUAUUAUUAUUAUUAUUUUUUGAUUUAUUGAUUUUGAAAUUUUGUAAGUAAGUCCACCAAUAGAAAGAUUUAAGGAAAUCACGUGCGACUGCAUCUUGGUGGAAUAUUCAGAGUGCAUACAUUGGGAGUGGCAGCCCGAUAUAAUAAGGAAAUUCAAGGAUGAAUGCGGGUUGAUUCAUGAAGAAUUUAAUGCUUUUUGUUUGAAUAGAAUAUGGCCGAAUAAUGGAAGUUGAAGAUGUGUAGCUGCCACUUACCAUAUGAGGCACCACUCAUAAGAGAAGAAAAAAAAUACAGUCAUGACUACCAUAAAAGGUGCAAUCACAUCAACCCACUAGCAUGGAAGGACAGCGAAUUAUGUCAUCUUUUUGUUGAAACGGUAAAUUAACAAAGUUGUAUGGCAUGUGAAAAUGAAAUAUUCAGUGUGUAUGUGGACGGAAUGAGGGUUGGGUUCAAGAAAAAAAGUUAUGAUCGUGUUCGACUGACGCAGAUGACUGUUGGCUCUCUCCAGACUGGUGAAUGGUCUUUCCAUGUUGGUGGAGUCAACGGGAAGGGGUGCAGAGGAUGCUCAUGGGAAGGGAUCACGCUGGCUUUGAAAAAGGUGAUUGAGGGCAUGAAAAUAGAGGAUAUUUGGUACGACAGAAGGAGAAAAGAGGAUCAGGGAAAUGCUAGUUUGGGGGGUAAAAAAAUAUGUUCUGAAACUAUGGGUUCAUUCGAUAUGAAUGUCACAAGAAAACGGUCGGGUGGGUCUUGAAAGCUAGGGUUCUUUCCAGUUGAUUGGGCAAUGGGAGGAUGCUGGUUUUUAUGGAGGGUGAUUCUUGGCAGAUACAGGAAAGAGAUUCGAGGUGACUUGGAAGAGGAGACAAAAGCUGGUGGUCUUUUGGGGGGAUAGAAGAUCAUGAGGGAGGCACUAUUUUUUUUGGAGAAUGAAGGUCCACACAGGUUUGGAUUUUAGUGAGGCUUUCUAGGGAUUUUCGAAAGUAGAUUCAGUAGAUUUUGGAGAAGGAAUUCUCUAAGCGGUUUUUGUUGUUGUUAAGUGGCAGCUGCAUGGAUUGCUGAUGCGACUCAUGGUAGCUUAGCUUUAAAGGCGUAUCAACAAAAUUUAUACCUUAAAUACUAUUACUAAAGUAGCCAAGCUACUAUAGCAUAGUGGUUCUAGGAUCGUUCACUGGGAAGGGUUUUCGCAAACACUAGUGAUAUUCAAAUUAGGAAAAUAGGUGAUUUUCUUAUGGAUGUUAGCUUUAAAAGAAGAUGUAAAUGUUUUAGAAAGAUUUAAACUAAUCUAAGCUAACAUUAAAGACUAAAAUGAAAGGGUGUAAAAACAAGUUUCUCAAAGAUAGGAUAGGCUCUUAUGCAAAUUGGAAAUCUUAGGAUAGGCUCCUCGCGUUGGGGUUGCAACUAUGGUGAUGCUUGCUUCUCGAACCGGUAUGGAUUUAGCAAAUCAAGUUUUAAUCCUUUAAAAUGACAAAACAGAUGGUAGUGAAUUUCAUCAAUGGUUAUUCGCCUUAGACUUCCUUUGAAUGGCUCGUAAGAGAUAACUAAUGGUCUAAAGCCAAAAGCUUACCAAAUAUUGGCAACUCAAAGUCAUUCCAUGUGAUAAACUCACCUUUCAAUGGCCAUUGAAAUUGGUUCUAACGGAUUAAUGCAAAACUUGGAAUUGUAAACCUCACCUUCCAAUAGCUCGUAGGAGAUAACUAAUGGAUAGAAAUCCAAAAGCUUAUCAAGUAUUGGUCGUUGGAAGUUGUCCAAAGGAAAUAAAAACCAAACUUUGCCUUAAUGAACCUUUAAUGAAAAACGUCUACCUUACCUUCCGGGUGCGAGAAAUUUCCAUGGGAUUGCAUCCAAGCCAUCACAUAACAUCCAUACUUUGAGAAACUAAAAGUUUUAGCCAAUCAUCCUCUGAGGAAAAGCCCUCAGAGGCUGUUUGGCUUCCAAGAAAAUAAAAUAGUAAAGAGAAAAGAGAAACGAGAGAGCUCUGUAUCUAUUCUAAGUGUAAAACGUAACCUAUUAUUCUAUAUAUUUCAAGAGGUGAUUUCCACCCCUUAUAUAGUCUUUACAAAAGCAAAAGCUUGUGAUUGGUUAGUUACAAGGAUAAGAAAGGAAAUUACAUCACAAAAUACAAAGUAAAAUAUCUAAAGUGGAGUCGGCAAAAACAGAGGAAAAUUCGCACCACGCAUGGGUUAUGCGAAUUUUGAAGGUGUUAUGCGAAUUUCGCAUAACCUGGAGCAGUUGGCUUCCGAAGGCCAUAUCUUCCUCAUUUCAGCUCCAAAUCGUACACGGUUUGAAGCGUUGGAUUCUUGACUUCCAGAUAUUUGAAAUGGUAUAUAGAAUGUAAAAAAUGGACUUCGGGAAGUACUCCAAAAGUGCGAAAGAAGACUGCAGCUGCUGUGCUCUGAUUUUUUCACUUUGCUUUCCUCUUCUCCAUUGUUCUUUCCUUGCAUACUUUGAAUGACUUUGGCAAAGGGCUAUGGAGCUCCAAAGCUUGGUUCUUCAUGAAUUUGAGCUUCCAAAAGCUUUGCCAUAACUUGUCCAAGUAGCUCCUCCAUCAUUUGGCAUGCUUGAAUUGAUUCAUAAGCUGAUAAAAACAUGUAAACUUGCCACAAAAUGGUUAAAACCAAUUACUAAGGACCUUAAUGAAUUAAUUGGGUUAAAUGAAUAUGAUUACUACUCAAAGGUGCUUAAAACCAUUAUAAUUAGGUCUACAAAAUAACACUUUUUGGUAGUAAUCAAUUGCAUGAGGAGGGUUGACGCCUCAUAGCCACCUUCUUUCCUCCGGUGAUAGCAACCCACAAGGCCACCUUAAGUGGCCGACUUCAACAAGGAAACCGAAAAAUGAUUUCCCUUAGAGUUAGGUUUAGAGGAGUUGAAAACAAAUGAGGAAGACUCAAUUGGCACAAGCCUCCCUUUGAAGAACAAAUCAUCAAAGAGAGAUAGCAACAGGUUCGGAUUCGUCUGGUCUUCGCUCGAACCCGACAACGACAGCGUGAACUUGAACUCCCUCUUCCCCUUAAUACCAGUGGACUCUACGUCAUCAUCCUCUUCUUCCUCUUUUUAUUCUUCCACACCUCGCUAAAGAACCAUCUUUUCUCACGUCGUAACCAACUUUCACUUCACGAUUCUCUCCGGCAGCACCAUUUCCAUCACUGGAAGGAGAACGCACCACCGCCAUUGGAGAUUUGCACCAACACGCCAGUUCCGUCAUCUGAACACUACACCCACAUCUUCACCUCGCCGGUUUUCAGAUAACCAUCUCCAUGCUACAACUAGUUGCCAUCUACCCACACCUCACCACAUCAGCCGUGCACCAUUCGGUUUGCUUUGUAGCACCAUAGCCGACUAGGUAAGUUAAUCCUUUUAUAUGGGGUUUCUUUAGAAAAGUUAAAGUUUGGUUUCAUUUCAGUUUGGAUUCAUUAUGUCAGGUUGGAUGGCUUUGAUUUUUUUUUUUUAAGUAGUUUCAGUUUGGAUUUGUUUUAUCAAAGUGUGGAAGCAUGAAUUUCAUUUAUAUUUAACUUUGAUCCAUUACAAAAUGAUUUGAUCUUUAUUAAAUUUUAGUUUUGAUUUCAUUGCAUUAGAUUGAGAACGUUUGAGUUUUGUUUGGUCUUAGAUUUAGAUCCUAUUCGAGUACAUAUGUUUUUUUAGAAUAUUGGCAAAUAAAUGUAAUUGAUCUCAUUCCAUUGUAUUCAUGCUACAGGUCUGUUAAUUUCUAUUUCCUAGAUGAUAAAAUUUAGGUUCAUGAGUUUGUCAGAUUUCCAUCUAUUUAGUUUAAUAGAUUCUCACUUUAUUAUAUCUAUAUUUUAUGCUUGUCGAUUUGAAUUCUUGAUUCACCUUAUUCUAGUUUAUAGUCUUUUUUAGUUAAUUAGUUUAAUUAAUCCGACACUAAUUAGUUCAUAUUUCAAAAAUUAUAAUUUAUAUUUAAUAAUAUAAUCGAUCCUAUGGAUUAAAGAUCUAGUUUUAAAAAUCUGUUUUGGUUAGCUUUCAAUUCAACUUUAGGUUUAAGUGUCCUUAUAAAAUUUUAGUUUGUUAAUAUAAUUGAUCCUAUGUGUUGAAGAUUUGGUUUUAGAUUUACUUUAAUUGGUAAUUAAUUCAUUUUUUUAAAGCUUAGAUUUUAUUUUAGUAAUUUUAAUUUAUUAAGAGAGUUGAUUCCAUGUUUGAAAUUUCAUAUUUGUUUUUAAUUUACUUUAAUUUAGUUUGGUUACUCCAUUAAUGUCAUGUUUAAUUUAUUUUUUAAAGACAAUUAGUUUAGUUGCUUUGCAGAUAUUAUGCUUAGUUUAUUUUCUUUUAAAAAUUAUUGUUUAGGUAUCCCAUUGAUCUUGACAUUCCAUGUUUCUAUAAUUUAUUGUUGUUGGUUUACUAAUUUAAAUUGAAGGAUAAUAAAAAUAUUCUUAAGUUAUUUAAAUUUAGUUUCCAUUAAUUUGUUUGCUAAUUUAUACUCUUAAAAUUCCAUGUUUUAGUUUUCUAAAUUUAGUGUAAGCUUGUUGAUUCGCGUGCCUAGCUGGUGUACCUUGAGUUUGGUCCUCAGACAGGAGUAAUCAACAAAAUUUAUAACCUAUAUCACCAUGCACUAGGAUAGCCUUAGCUAAUAUAGCAUAGUGGCUCUAGGAUCAUUCACUGGAAGGGUUUUCAACUUACAACUGAUACCAAUUCAAAGCUGAAUUGGUGCUUUUUCAUUUCAAGGUUAGCUUCAAAAGAAAACAUAAACUUUGCCUGAAAAAUGAUUUGUUUUAAGCUAACUAAAAAGAAAGUAAUGGGAAUUACUUAUGAAGAAAAACGUUCCUUGGAGUUUUAGGAUCACUGGGGUCAGGCUCCUCAUGCAAAAACAGAGCUCCGGUCACUUGAAUCUUUUCCUCGCAUUAGAGAAUUAACAUGUAGUUAAUUCUCUAACCGGUGUUGUACAGAUGCUUCCCUUUUAUGGAUUUCAGCACUAAUUCCCUCUCACUGAUGCAUCUUGCAAUGGCUCGUGCCUCUCACCUAGCAUUUUCCAUUGAAGGUGAUCAUUAACCUUGGACUUCCCUUCUCAAGCUCGCAAGAGGUAACUAAUGGAUGUCUCCUUAGAGUCCAAAAGCUUACCAAGUGUUGGCAAUUCUAGAAAAUCCUACCUUCAAGUCACCUCCCAAAGGCUCGCAAGAGGUAAACUAGUGCAUCUCAAUGGACGGAGAUCACUUGCCUUACCAAGUGUUGACCCAGGUGAAUUGAAGGCGUUUUAAGUUAACUAAAAACAUAGAAACCAUAAACGGGUCACACUUCCUCUUCAUUAACAGUUGAAACAACAAAACUACCAAUUCUUGCACACGGGACCUUACCUAGCUACCUUAGCUCCAAGAAACAAAAAUUCUAGCCAACCAUUCUCUGAGGAAACAUCCUAUGAGGUUGUUUGGCUAGUAAGAAAAAUACAAUCAAAUUGAGUAGGUAAGGCAGAGCAAAGCUCUGUAUUUUACUUCCUUCAAAACUAUACAAAAGUUGUCUCUAAGAACAAGCUGGCGAGAUCUCCUGUAAUGAAAAAUUACAAAACAAUAUAUAUGAGGUUAUUCACCCUUUGUUCUUACUUAAUAACUAAGGAAUCCUAUGAUUGGUGGGUUACAAGGAGAGAAUGGGGAUUUAGACAUCAAAUAUCUGAAGAAAAAAAAUCUAAAAAUGUCGGUCGCAAAUAUCUAGAAGCACUCAGGAGGAUUUCGCAGGCGUGCAAGAUGGCUGCAAAAUUUUGCAAGCUGAAGGACACCAUUUCGCAGCCAAAGGCUGAUUUCGCAGCCUGCAAAAUUGGCCUUCAACUUGGUGUGAUCGGCUUCUAAUGGCUCUAACUUCUUCAUUUCAACUCCAAUAUGCACACUAUUUGAAGCGUUGGAUUGAUGACUUCCCGAGCUUCGAAAUGACAUAUAGUAUGCAUGAAAUGAGCUCUAGAAAGUGAUCUAAAAGUAUCCAACAGUUGCUAUCCUCUUGAAUUCUUCAUGUUAGAUUUCUCUCUUUGCUUUCCCUCCUUGCAUUCAUGAUUUGCUUAUGGCAAAGGAUUAUAAAUCUUCAAAGCUUUGGUUCUUCAUGUUAAUGAGCUUCCAAUUGCUUUGCCAUGGAUUCCAUAGAACUUUCCUCAAUCUUGGAUUGCUUUGGUGAUCAAAAUACUAUCAAAAACACCAAAACUUACACAAUUUGAUUAAAAAUGAUUGCAAAGGUACUUAAUAUGCUAAUUGAAUUAAAAUGUAAUAACUACUACUCAAAAGUGUUUAAAAGAGCUAAUUACAAGUUACAAAAUAACACUUUUUGAGUAGUAAUCACUUGUGUUCUAGGAUCUUUAUAUUUGGGUCUCUUUGAAUAUGUUAUUUUAUGCGUUUAUAAUCAUUUAUUGUUGGUUUAUUGAUUAAAGACUGGCCUAUAUGACUUGUGUGAUAAUUGAUGUUUUUGUAUACUCUUAAUCAUUUUUGCUAGGUUAUUUAGAUACCAAAUAUGCUAGGAUUCUUUUCUUUACUAAUUGUUAUUAUAACUUUGAUCUAACCCGGCCCAUAUCUUGUGGAAACGCAUUAUAAGUUACCCAUGUUAUCCAGGUAUGCCCUCUAUCACCCUCCAACUCUAAAAUUCUAUGAAUGUGUAUGUUAUCAUGAGUUAUAUCCAUGUUUUAAUGUUGUCCUUGAUUGCCUUGACACUUGUUUGGUUAUCUUUGAUGAAAUGCAUGUUAAGUAAUAUGCUAUUCAAACUAAAUUUGAUGUUUUAGAUAAUGCUUAAGAAGCAAUUCAGGUACACACUUUAAAUCUUCUUUAUGAUUGUGAUUGGUUUUCUUGUUUGGCAUGCCAUUUUUUGAAAUCACUUAGUCUACCUGGUACCUUUAAUCAAUCAAUUAAUUGCCUAAUUUCCCUCAACUUAGUCAGUAGAGAUCUAUGUAGGGCUUAGAGGGGUGCUAUCUUAUAGAGGUAUCUUCCCAAUAGGUAACCUAAUCCUCGGACCUAGACUCGAGUUUUUCAAAGACAAGUUUUUCCAAAAAACUAUGGCGUCACUUCUUUAGGGUUUUCUGUCUUGUUUUAUUUUCCCUUUUAAAAUAAAAUAAAAUAAGUGGCGACUCUGACUUUUCUAAAACUAAUUUUUCACCAAUAAAGCGAGUCUCGCCCAUUGAGUGAGGACGCACGUGAAAAAUGCGGGUCCACAAAUUGGCAACUCCACUAGGGAUUUUGAGGAUCAAGCUUGAACACUAGUUGAGGAGAAUGUGGUGUUUAAUUGGUUGAUUAGAAGAUACCUCAAUUUUUUUUAGGCAAGAUGAUUUGGUUUGCUAUCUUAACAUGUAUGAUUGCCUUGAAUGAUCACUUGAGUACUUUGUUCAUUCUAGCAUGGUUCACACUCACAUAUGUUAGAUAGGACUUUGAUUGUUUAAUAUUUAUCUGUUUCGCAUGACUACUUGUUGCAUGACAACUCUUUCUCUUGCAUGAUUGUAUGAUUGUUUGUCUUUGUUCACUAUCAUAUUUUAGAUCUUAGGUUUUUCGGAUGCACCCACAUUCUUCACUGUGCACUUUAGAUUAUCCUUGAGUGAUGAGAUAUGAGAGAGCCUUCACCAUUAAGAAACCUUCUGGGAAAGCGAGGAAUUGCAUGUGUGAAGGUGAUCACCACCUUGCAUGGAAGCACCUUGUUUCCUUGGAGGCGUGCAGAGGGUUACGUACCGCCGGAGGAUACGAUCCCUUCUGCUAGGGAUCCUUUAACCCACUAUUUUAUCUUAUAGAGCCACUUCAACCUUGUAGGUUAGCCUAUACCCAAUCUCAUUCCUACACGUGGGUGCAUCUAUGGACCUUUAAAGCUGCCUUGGUCACAGUUGGGUUUGGUUACCCUCUCCAUAGUCUCAUUUUGGUGUGAUCAGAAUGUGUAUCAGUUUGAGUAUGCCCGGACUAUAUGCUUGAUUACCUUUUAGUUGGUUCCUACAGAGCUACCCUUGUAUCGCGUCUAAUCCAGUGUUUCCAUGUUUAUAAGAGUAUUUUUCAUGCCCAAUCUGGAUUCGCCUUCAUGGACUAGAGUUAGAGGUAGGUUGACCAGAGCAUCAGAUUAGUCAGACUAGAGAUUAGAUCAAAGAGACAUGGACUCAUAGGUAGUUACCGUUGACUAGUUUGUUACGGUCGUGGCUUCGACUCAGGAGUCUAUAGUUGGCCUCGACUAGAAGAUAGAUAGGCAGCAGGCCUAGAAGAUCCCGUCUCAAGAUGGCGCAUAGUACGACCCCGCGGUACCAUCACCUCCUUCACUCAGUCAGUCGAUUCCACACCUUGCACCGUAUAUUUUGCAUAGUCAGACUGAUACUACCCCACUUCUUAUCUUAGCACCUAUUCCAGCCUCAAAAGACGCACACUCUCGUAUGGAUAGACUCGAGCAAAGGAUGAGACAAAUGAGGAUUUCAGAUGGAGCUAUCAGUUGGGAUGAUUUUGAUGAAGCACUGGUAGCCAGUUUACUGGCCUAGUUUAGGAUGCCGGAGAUUGAGAAGUAUACGGGCAUAGGUUGCCCUAAGAUCCAUUUGAGGCUAUACAGUACUAUGAUGAGGGCCCAUGGGUUGGAUGAGGCCCAAUUGAUUAUGUUUUUCCCCAUGUCCUUGAGUAGUACAACAUAGCGUUGGUUCACUUCAUUAGAUGUUUCAUGCUGUAGGACCUAAGAUGAUUUGGCCCAAGAGUUUUUGAGACAGUUUGUGUUUAACACCGUCAUUGAUGUCUCGAGGAGGGAGCUAGAGGCCUUGAGUCAAGGACCAGAGGAGUCGGUGACUUCAUUUAUCUCCCGAUGGAGGGAAAAGAUUGCACAGAUUGUUUAUCGUCCUUUAGAGAAUAAUCAAAUUAGUAUGAUUUUGAGGAGCUUACAACCUAGAUUUGCUAGACAUUUGAUGGGAUUUCCCCAUACGGAUUUUGGAUCUUUGGUACAAGCUUUGUAUGGCAUAGAGGAGUGCAUUGCUAGAGGAUUGUGGCCCAAGUCUUCCCCUUCUGAUUCAAAGGGGAAGAAGUCCUCAGGAGGACAAAGACCAGGAGAUGUGGGUACUAUCAAUUCAAUAGGAUUGAGACCUCUUACAUGCUAUUAGACAGUUGGGUAGACUUCAGGAGCCUAUUACCCACUGCGUUAUGUUCAGUAUAGGUCGCCCGCUCUUUCCAGGCCCAUGACUCCUACAUACCUACACCCAACCUAAGAGCCUGGUUUUGCUGCACAGGUCUCAGAGAGACCUCCUACUUUAUACCCUCGGCUUCGAGCCCCACAAGCCACUAUUCCUUUAGUAUAUAGGCCGACAUGACAUUUCUCCCAUCUAGGUAUGCCUUUGAGCCGAGCUUUCCAGAAGCUCAUGGAAGGUGGUUUUUUUUACUCAGUUAGCUCCUAGGCCUGUACCCUGGCCCGUACCACCUUGCUUCAGGAUAGAUUUACAUUGUUCCUACCAUCAGGGUCCAGUGCAUGACACGAACCAUUGCACUACUUUGAGACUAAUUCGACUCAUGGUAGCUUAGCUUUAAAGGUGUAUCAACAAAAUUUAUACCUUGAAUACUAUUACUAAAGUAGCCAAGCUACUAUAGCAUAGUGGUUCUAGGAUCGUUCACUGGGAUGGGUUUUCACUUCACAAAUGAUAUUAAUUCAAAGAUGAAUUGGUGCCUUUUCAUUUCAAGGUUAGCUUUAAAAGAAAACAUAAAGAUGUUUGAAUGAAAAAGGUUUGGUUUUAAACUAACCUAACAUAAAGUAACUAAAAUUAACUAGAAAUAAAUUAGAAAGAAAGGUGUUUCUUGGGAUUUCAGGUUACUAGGAUCAAGUGGCAAUUGCAACGUGGGAAAUUCCAGAUUUUUCUCCUCGCAUUGGGGAUUUAACCUAUAGUUAUUUCCCAAACCGGUGUAGAUUUAACAAUGAAGAUUUAAUCCAUAAAAAGUCAAUAGAAAUGGUAGUCAAGUUCCAUUAAUGGCUUUAGACACUAUGGGUCUUCCCCUUGAAUCACUUUCCAAUGGCUCGUACAUGAUAACUAAUGGACUGAUAUGGAUCUAGCAAUAAGCAUCCACAGAGACCUGAAGCUUACCAUGUAUUGGCCAUUCAAAGUGAUUCUAAGGAACUCCAACUACCUGUAUUUAAAGCACGAGAGUUUUCCACUUUUGCAUCUGGACUUUUCACCUAGCUUCCUUCACCCAAGAAACAAAAAGCCUAGUCACUCAUCCUCUGAGAAAACAUCUCAGAGAAUGUUUGGCUAGCAAGAAAAUGAAAAUGAAAGAGAAGGAAAAACAAAGCAAGGCUCUGUAUAUUCUAUAUAUUGAUCGAUAUCGUUUACAAUGGAUGCAAGGGAAUAUAUAUAGAGAAGUUUUUCCAACCUUCCUAGCUAAGAAAUCUUAUGAUUGGUGGAUUACAAGGAGAAGAAUGGAAAUUUAUACAAAAAUAUCUAAAAGAAAAGAUCUCAUGUGGAGUCGGCAGAAACAGGGGAAAAUUCGCACGUUGGAGUUCCAAUUUCGCACUUUGGUUUGAGGUGUGCGAAAUUCCCACACUUUGGACUGAGGAAUUCGCACCUUGAUUUCCAUCGUGCAAAAUUAUCCCUCAGCUUGAUGCAGUUGUCUUACGAAGGCCAUAUCUUCCUCAUUUCAGCUCCAAAUCGUACACGGUUUGAAGCGUUGGAUUCUUGACUUCCUGAGCUUUGAAAUGGUAUAUAGCAUGUAGAAAAUGGACUUCGGAAAGUGCUCCAAAAGUGCCAAAGAAGACUGCAGCUGCUGUCCUCUAUUUUCCUCUUUGCUUCUUUUUGCUUCUCUUUGCUUUUCUCCUUGCAUACUUUGAACGACAUUGGCAAAGGGCUAUGGAGCUCCAAAGCUUGGUUCUUCAUGAAUUUGAGCUUCCAAAAGCUUUGCCAUAACUUGUCCAAAUAGCUCCUCCAUCAUUUGGCAUGCUUGAAUUGAUUCAUAAGCUGAUAUAAACAUGUAAACUUGCCACAAAAUGGUUAAAACCAAUUACUAAGGACCUUAAUGAAUUAAUUGGGUUAAAUGAAUAUGAUUACUACACAAAGGUGCUUAAAACCAUUAUAAUUAGGUCUACAAAAUAGCAUUUUUUGGUAGUAAUCACAGACACACUAUACAGGACUUGAUAGACCAGGGUUUAGUUAACUUGGGGCAACUCACUCUACACAUGCAGUGCCACCACCCUCGGGUGGUAUCCAUCACAUAGAUUUUGUAGAGAAUGACAUCAUACAUAUACUGAGUUGGGAUGAUGGAUUGUUAGAGUUGAUUGUUUUGGAUGAUGGUUAUGAGGUGAACACAAUGGGUUCCCAGACUUCUACACCGUUCAGUUUGAUUUCAGAUUAGGUACCGUAUAAGUUGACUCAUAUCGCACCAUUAGUUAUGGCACGUUAAGGCACGUUAAGGCCUAUCAGUCCAGUUUAUCCUAUGGCUAAAUGAUGAUGAUUCAGAGGGGAGAGAUAUACAAAUUGUAACCUAUAGUGGGAGAAUAACUCAGCCCUCACCUCUAGUAGCUAGGCCAUUUGAUGGUGUAAUCUCUCAUGAGGAGGUUAUGAGAGAAGAUGAUGAGCUACUGAGGCAGUUACAGAGUACACAAGCUCACAUAUCUAUUUGGAGUUUGUUAGCAUCUUCUAGUACUCAUAGAGAUGCAUUGAUUCGAGUCUUGAGUUAGAUCUGUGUUGAGACCACCACUACUCCAAAGGGGUUGAUUCAUAUGAUGACGGCCGACAGGGCCACAUGUAUUGUGUUUUCAGAUGAUGACUUGCCACCCGAGGGUUCAGACCAUACAUGCCCUUUAUAUAUCAUAGUCGGUUGUUCAGGCCAUAGAGUUCCAUCCGUCCUGUUGGAUAAUGGCUCGGCCUUGAACGUCUGCCCAUUAGCUACCACUAUUGCCCUUGGUUAUGCAUCUUCAAAAUUUGGUCUCUUUACACAAAUGGUUAGAGCAUAUGAUAGUACUAAGGGAAAGGUCGUGGGUACCUUGAUGAUAGAGUUGUUGAUUGGUCCGGCUACAUUCUCCACAUUAUUCCAGGUUUUGAGGAUUCCUACGUUCUUUAACCUACUAUUGGGCCAACCUUGGAUUUAUAGGGCUGGGGUUAUUCCAUCUUCCCUUCAUCAAAAGGUGAAGUUUAUAUAUGACAAGCAGGUCAUCAUGUUACAGUCUCCUAAAGAUAUGUUUGCCUCUUCCGAGCCGGUGCUUCACAUCAGUCAUAGUGAGGAUGGUCUAUUUUUUACCGGGUUUACGUUUGAUGAGGUGCAGACCCUUGAGGUUGAGGACUUAUGCAAAUAUUUCGUAGCUAUGUCAUUUGAUCAACAUAAUAGUACGGUGGUACUUGACAUGAUGAGGGGUAUGCCUUUUUGCCUAUCAUCGAGUUAGGACAACGACAACAUGGGCCCAUGGAGUUUGUAGCUACCACUAAUCAUGAUACACUAUUUGGGCUUGGGUUUGUUCCUACAGAGGCUGAUUAUAGGUAUAUGACGCGACUACAUAGGGAAAGUGUGAGAGCCCAUUUGAGUUGCACACCAUUUUAUUAUCUUGUUCGUUCUUAUAAGAUGAACUUGACAGACUACUUCAUCAGAGGAUUAGAGGUUCAUCCUCAUAUGGGGGAUUUUGGCACUGUGACUGAUAUAGAUGGAGUGGAUGAGCUUCAACAUCAGCUUCACCAUUUUUGGUUAGGAGAUGAUACUUUUGGCACACUAGUUUCAGUGAUGAUUGCUCCUUCAUCUCCAUAUCGAGCCGAUUUUCUAUCUCUGUGCUUUCCAGAGGAUACUACUGAUUAUGAAGUAGUCGUUGAGCCUACUAAGGUGACCGAUGGAGUUGUUCCUCAUGAUAAGUAUCGAGAUGAGAUGGAUAUGAUGAGUAUGAGUUAGAUUGUCGAGAUGGUUCAGCCUGAGCCUGUUUCAUCAUUCAAUCUGUUUGGGUGUCUACUAUCGAGGUUACCGAGGAGAUCCAGACAGUUCUUACUCCAGAGCUUAUGGAGGAUGUUACAGUUGGUGAUGACUUAUUUGAGGGCACUAUUAGCUCUAUUGAGGGAACGUCCGAUUUUAUGGACCCACUUCUUUCAUUUGACAUUUUAUCGGGAUUCAUCUCCCGUUCUGACGAUGUUUAUUAUUCUUCAUCUAUGGAUUUGAGCAUUUUCGAGUAUUUGUUUGUCUCUUGUGAUAGUAUUUACAUAUCUAGACCCUACUCACCCACUCCACAUAUAUUUGAUAUAGAUUAUGAGAUUGCGCUGCCCGAUUCAAAUAGAGACUCUUUUGAUCAUGACUCAAAUCCCAUAGAUGAGAGAGUUUCACCUAUUAUAGGAGAUGUUGAGAUUGUUAAUUUUAGCACAGAGAAUCAGCUUAAAGAGUUGAAGAUUGGUUCACUCCUAUCUACAGACGAGAGUGAUAGACUUAUUCAUUUACUCAGGUCAUACUUGGAUGUCUUCGCAUGAUCUUAUGAGGACAUGUCUGGUCUUGAUCCCUCUAUAGUCUAGCACCACUUGCCUAUCUUACCACAUGCCAAACCGGUCAAGUAGAAUUGAGGUGAUUGCACCCACGUUGGAGUCUAUAGGUGAAAGAGGAGAUUCAGAAACAACUCAGUGUUGGAUUUAUAUCAGUGGUUGAGUAUCCGGAGUGGUUGGUUAACUAGUCCCUGUUCCUAAAAGGGAUGGCAAGGUUAGAGUUUGUGUUGCCUUCAGAGACCUUAAUAAAGCCGGCCCUAAUGAUGACUUUCUUCUCCCACAUAUUGAUUUGUUGGUCGAUAGCACCAUAGGCCAUUCAAUGUUGUCUUUCAUGGAUGGGUUUUCAGGGUAUAACCAAAUUUUGAUGGCUUCAGAUGAUAUGGAGAAGACAACCUUUAUUACUGAGUGCGGUACCUACUAUUAUAGAGUUAUACCAUUUGGGUUGAGGAAUGCAGGAGAAACUUAUCAGAGGGUCGCUACUACUUUGUUUCAUGACAUGAUGCAUAGGAAUGUUGAAGUUUAUGUGGAUGAUAUGAUUGUGAAAUCUCGAGGCAGAGCAGAUCACUUAGUGGCUCUAGAAAAGUUCUUUGAAAGGAUUCGAAAUUUGAGAUUGAGGCUAAAUCCCAAGAAGUGCACAUUUGGAGUGACUUCUGAGAAAUUAUUGGGGCAUAUGGUCAGUGAGCGGGGCAUAGAGAUUGACCUAAAUAAAAUCAAAGCCAUACUUGACAUGCCUGUGCUAAGGACUGAGAAAGAGAUCAUGGGUUUUCUGGGCAGGUUAUAGUACAUCAGUAGAUUCAUAACCAGAUUGACAAACAUAUGUAAGUCCAUUUUUCAUCUAUUGAGGAAGAACUAGCCAACAACUUGGAAUGAUGAUUGACAACUUGCAUUUGAGAAAAUCUAGGAGUACUUGCUUUCUCCUCCUAUUUUAGUGCCUCCCAUGCCGUGACAUCCACUUCUUUUGUAUUUUUCAGUUUCAAACAUGGUCUUGGGAUGUAUGCUAGCUCAGCUUAAUGACUAAGGAAAAGAGCGAGCUAUUUACUAUCUGAGUAAGAGGAUGUUGGAGUAUGAGACGAGAUAUGUUAUGAUUGAGCGUCUUACUUAGCGUUAGUUUGGGCCACCAGGAGAUUGAGACAUUACAUGACAAAGUAUUCAGUGCACUUGGUUUCUCACCUAGAUCCAUUGAGGUAUUUGUUUGACAGACCCGCAUUAACUAGUAGAUUGAUGAGAUGACUCGUACUUUUGACUGAGUUUGAUAUUCAGUAUGUUUCUUAGAAGUCUAUUAAGGAAAACAUUGUUGUCGAUCACUUAGCCUCAUUACCGAUAUUUGUGGGUGGACUAGUUGAUGAUGAUUUUCCAUAUAAGGAGUUCAUUGGUAUGACUAGUUUAUCAGGUUGGCGCAUGUACUUCGAUGGUGCAGCCAACCACUUAGGGUAUAGGAUAGGCGUUUUGUUGAUAUCCCCCUAGGGUGAUCAUAUUCUGAGGUCAAUUCGUUUGGCGUUUUUCAGAUCAACAUCUCACCACGAACAACAUUGUUGAGUAUGAGGCAUGUAUAUUCGGUCUAGAGACUGCAUUGGAGUUGGGUAUUAGACAAAUGGAGGUGUUUGGUGACUCCAAUCUAGUACUCAAACAGAUUCAGGGAGAUUGGAGAACUAAGGAUGUAAAGCUUAGGCCAUAUCAUGCAUAUUUAGAGUUACUAGUUAGGAGAUUUGAUGACUUGAGAUACACUCAUUUGCCUAAAGUGCAAAACCAGUUUGCUAAUGCCUUAGCUUCUUCUAUGGACUUUCCGAUUUAUGUGGUUAUACGUCCAUUGCUGAUUGAGUCGAGAUUUGCACCCGCUUACAAUUGUCUGAUUUGAGAGACAGUGGUCCAGGAUGAUCUACCUUGGUAUCAUGACAUUUAUCAAUUUCUUAGAUCUUACACAUACCCAAAGGUUGCCAUAGCCAAGGAUCGGAGGGCACUGAGGCAAUUGACUACUAGAUUUGUGAUUUGUGGAGAAACCCUAUAUAGGCGAUCAGCUGAUGGUAUGCUUCUAUUAUGUUUAGAUCGAGUUUCUGUAGAUCAAGUAAUGAGAGAGGUUCAUGCAGUAGUUUUUGGUCCACACAUGAGAGAGCACAUGCUAGCCCGUAAUAUUAUGAGGAUGGGUUAUUUCUGGUUUACUAUGGAGAUAGAUUGUUGUCAGUUUGUUCAAAAAUGCCUAGAGUGUCAAAUUCAUGGUGAUCUCAUUCAUGCACCUCCACUAGAGUUACACGUUUUGACUUCGCCAUGGUCGUUUUCAGUAUAGGGUAUUGAUAUUAUUGGGAAGAUUUCACCAAAAUCUUCCAGUGGUCAUGAAUUCAUCCUAGUUGCCAUAGAUUAUUUCACCAAGUGGGUGGAAGUUGCAUCAUAUGCGAGGUUGACAUAUGCUAGAGUUUUCGGUUUCAUUAGGUUACACAUCAUCUGUUGUUAUGGGGUUCAACAUGAGUUGAUUUCAGACAGAAUGGUACACUUUCGAGCUAAGGUUGACACUUUGUUGCAAAAGUAUGGCAUCCAGCAUCAUAGAUCUUCUACAUACAGGUCACAGACCAAUGGGACAGUAGAGGCUAUAAAUAAGAACAUUAAGAGGAUUUUGAGGAAGAUGGUUGAGACCUCUCGAAAUUGGUCAUAGAAACUCCAUUUUGCAUUGUGGGCAUAUCGUACCUCUUUUCGCACCUCUACAAGAGCUACACCUUACUCUCUGAUGUAUGGUAUGGAGGUUGUUUUGCUAGUUGAGACAGAGAUAGGUUCAUUGAGAGUAGUCCUUGAGCAACAAAUUUCUGAGACAAAAUGGGGCCCAGGCUCGAUUUGAUUAGCUUAACCUUUUAGAUGAGAGGAGAUUGAGAGCAAUAGAUCAUGUUCAAGCCUAUCAGAGAAGGAUGGCUUGUGCCUUCAGGAAACAGGUUAAGCCUAGACCAUUAUAGAAGGGGGAUUUGGUUUUGAGGAUUCUCAGAGAUUUAGUUAGAGACCCCAGGGAGAAGUUCAAACCUAGCUGGAGUGGACCUUAUGUUAUUCGAGAGUUAACUCUAGAAUAAGCUGCAUGGUUGACCGACUUAGAUGAAAACCAGUUUUUAGAGCCUACCAAUGUGGAUCAGUUGAAGAAGUAUUAUGUUUGAGAUUAUAGUCGCAAGAUGGGUAGCCAUCAUUUCGGUUAGCCUUACACCUUAUCACCUUUAUUGAUAUAUUAAACCGUUGCUAGCCCAUUUAGCCUCAUAUGAUAUAUUGUAGCCUUUUCUUUUCUAUAGCCCUGUUUAUCAUUCCUACACUCGGGUUGGGUCUUUUUGAUGAAUAGUUACCCUUUACUAGGAAAGUCUCAUGAGCUUUGGACUUAUAGGCUUAUCUUUCUCAUCCUCGUUGUUAUCGCCUCAUCACCCUGUUUGUUACUUUUCAUUACUUCAAUCCUGGCUUUUAUCAUUGGUUGCUACAUUUCAUAUUUUCUUCACUUGGAAUGAUGAUUCUUCAUAUAUUUAUGCAUAGAGGGUAAUCGUACCACUCCUUUCAUUCCAUCAUUCAACUUUUAUUUAGAGAUUUUAGCUCGAGAGGUUGUCUCAUGGGAUGGGUUUCAUGUGUUCAUCAGUGAUUUGAGAGAGUUUGUUCAUUCCUUGUAUUUUUCACAUUGGAGUUCAAUUUAUUGAUGACCAGGGCAUGUGCAUACAUACACAAAAAAAAAAAAAAAAAGCCUAGUGAUAUGUUUGUAUUUGAUAUCCUACUCCAUUGAGCAUGUGUUUCUAUUUGAGUUUUGUUUAUUAGGUUUAUCAUUGAGGGUUUGUACGAGUUUUCCAUGAGGACAUUUUUCGCUCUAUGAGCCACUUUCAUUAUGCAGUUGGAGAGAUGAGAGUUUUUUGUGAGAGUCUUGAGUUUUAUGAGAUCUUUUGUUUCUUGGGUCAAAGUUGAGUAACCUUUCACUAAGAUCUUCAUAUCAGUGUUUUCUUUACUACUCCAUUAUGGGUGAUAGGAUUUACCUUUAUUGUAUUGAUAUGCGUUGCUCAUCAUUUCUUUUUACCUUUCAUUGCUUUCAUUUGAUUUCUCACCAUUUCUUUCCUACUAUUCAUUCUUUUUUUCGUCCCAUCCCAACACCUAUACACCUUCCUGAUUCGACACCUUUCUUCAUGAUCCACUAAUGGCUUUACUACUUCUCUUUCUUUCUCAUUUCACCAUCAACAUUCUCAUCUACUCUUCUUAAGUUCACAUGCUCAUGAGAUUCUCCUAUGCGUUGUACACUACACAUGAGGGUAUGCGUUUGAUCAUUGGGUAUUUAAGCCUACUUUUCUUUCGUUUCUUUGCAUUUUCACCCUGGCCUACGUUAUGUCCCGUGUCUUAAGACCACCCUGAGGCCAUGAGAUCAAACGUUAUCUUUGACAGUUUUCACUUGGACGGGCUUUUGUAGAUUGGUUGAAGUAUAGUCGUUACUAUGUAUUCUCUUAUAGGAGAUACUUUUAGAAGCAUUUGGUUUCUCUCUCUUGCUUGGCAUAUUGAUGUUUGAUGGAUUUUUUAGUUUGGAGGUGGUUCAUUAAUGAUAUCAAAUUCAUCCUUUUGUCCUGCAUUAGAUAUCCACAGUGGGGCAUAUUUCCCAUUUUCUCUUAGGUUCCUAGUUGUUGUUGGAAGGUAUAGCUACCCCUAUUUAUGGUUAUAGAGAUGUUUUUUCUGAUAGAUUCUUUAUUGUAUAUCAAAUGAUACUAGGGCAUAUUCCCCUUUCCAUGAUGAGAUUGUGUUCGGGCAGCAAUGCAUAGAUAGAUGAUCAUUGUUGAUUGUUUACCUCAUGAUUUUGAUAUCAGAUCUUAUACUGGGGCAUAUUUCCCCAUUUUCUUUAAGUAUUCUUGAGAUUGAAGCAACUGCCAACUUGAUUUCAGACUGAGCACUAGUCUGGGACUUCUGAUGAUUUAUGACAUCAGGACCUUCCUACAAGAUUUUGUUGAGAUAGAGAUGGAUGACAUUAGGUUUCACCAGAGGAGCAUUGAUAGGUUCUUUAGUCGGAUGUUUAUGUGAUAGAUUGUUUUCAUCAUAUCUACCUUACAGAUUAGGUUAUCUAGAUGAGCAGUAUCUUGUGCACUUUGAGAUUUUUUUAGAUAAGUUGCAAUGUACACACUUAGAGAUUUAUUUUUGAAAAUUUUUUAUAUAACAUCUUUCGAGACACAUAGAGAGUGCGAUGUACACACUUUGAAAUUUUUCAUAGGUUUUUGUUAUGGUGCACUAAAUUUUGACUCUUUGAUUUCAACAAAGGAUUGAUUUACUAGUUGUUCAAGAAAUAUGAGUACCCUGGAUGUUGGGGCAUAUUUCCUUUCCUAAGCCUACUAGACCGACCGUUGGCGUUGGAGUCUACAGCUCUAAUCUCGUCUCAUUCAUAUCCGCUUUCGAGUCAGUUUUCACUAUUUAGUUCAUUUUAAGCCUUGAGCCUAUAUGACCUAGAGUCAUUCUUUCCAUUUAGAGCCCUAAGCUCACGACCAAGAGCCGUUCUUCUCAUUCAUGACCCAGAGUCAUUCUUUCCAUAUAGAGCCCUAAGAUCUCAACCUAGAGUCGUUAUUCUCAUUUAUGACCCAAAGUCAUUCUUUCCAUUUAGAGCCCUGAGCUCACGACCCAAAGUCGUUCUUCUCAUUUAUGACCCAAAGUCAUUCUUUCCAUUUAGAGCCCUGAGCUCACGACCCAGAGUCGUUUUUCUUAUUCAUGACCUAGAGUUAUUCUUUUCAUUUAGAGCUAUGAGUUCACAACCCAAAGUCGUUUUUCUUAUUUAUGACCCAAAGUCAUUCUUUCCAUUUAGAGUCUUGAGCUCACAACCCAGAGUCAUUCUUCUCAUUCAUGACCCAGAGUCAUUCUUUCCAUUUAGAGCCCUGAGCUCACGACCCAAAGUCGUUUUUCUUAUUUAUGACCCAGAGUCAUUCUUUCCAUUUAGAGUCUUAAGCUCACGACCCAGAGUCGUUCUUCUCAUUCAUGACCUAAAGUCAUUCUUUCCAUUUAGAGCCCUGAGCUCACUACCCAAAGUCACUUUUCUUAUUUAUGACCCAAAGUCAUUCUUUCCAUUUAGAGCCCUGAGCUCAUGACCUAGAGUCGUUCUUCUUAUUCAUGACCUAGAGUCAUUCUUUCCAUUUAGAGCCCUGAGCUCACGACCCAGAGUCUUUUUUCUUAUUCAUGACCCAGAUUCAUUCUUUCCAUUUAGAGCCCUGAGCUCACGACCCAGAGUCGUUCUUCUCAUUCAUGACCCAGAGUCAUUCUUUCCAUUUAGAGUCAUGAGCUCUCGACCUAGAGUCAUUCUUCUUAUUUAUGACCCAAAGUCAAUCUUUUCAUUUAAAGCCCUAAGCUCAUGACCUAGAGUCGUUCAUUUCACCUAUGACCCAGAGUCACUCUUUCUAGUUACAGCCCUGAGCUCAUGAUCCAGAGUUGAUCAUUUCAUCUAUGACCCAGAGUCAUUCUUUCCAUGUAGAGCCUUAAGCUCACGACCCAGAGUCGAUCAUUUCAUCUAUGACCUAGAGUCAUUCUUUCCACGUAGAGCCUUAAGCUCACAACAUAGAGUUUUUCCAUUUUUGUAAUUGUGACCUCAUGUUCCAAGGUUCUCUCGUCAUGUGCUAGGACAAAAUCUCUAGUCUUUUUCUUUUAGUUCUUCGGUAUAGUUCACUUCAUUCCAGUCACUAUUCGUAUUUUUAAUCACAUUCCCUACACUCGUGAUCUCUACUGAAAAGGGGCAUAUUUGUAGACCCUCCAUUUUGUCCUACUAGCACAUAUCCUAUUACGUGUUCGCUUGGUACUUUACAACAAUUCCCUAGUGGCCCAUUAUUGUUCAUGUAGCUUAUUUUUUCUAAGCCACCUUUGAGACUUUGGUUGAGGGACUCAUCUUACCCCAUUGUGAUUCUAGGCAGCCUUAAUUUAGACUUAGGUUUUUAUUUUUUUUUCCUUUCUUGUUAGGUCCAUUUAGAUGCGUUUGGCCCAUUAGGCACCACCUUAGGCCCACUUAGGCACCCUAGGCCCAUUUGAAUGCACUUGAACCAUUAGGCACCACCUUAGCUCAUUAGGCACCACCUUAGGCUCACUUAGGCACCCUAGGCCCAUCUAGACGCACUUGACCCAUUAGGCACCACCUGAGGCCCAUUUAGGCACCCUAGGCCCAUUUAGACGCACUUGGCCCAUUAAGCACCACCUUAGGCCCACUUAGGUUUACCUAGUUUUGAUUAGGUCACAUUUUUGGCAUAUCUUGCAUAUCUCACAUGGCUUGCAUGACUUGCAUGGCUCGUUUUUUUGGUAAAAGCACAUAACUUGACUUUUUACUUCUUUAUUUUUGUUUGUUAUCUUGUCUAUUUCUUCCUUUAUUUUAUUUUCCUAUUAUUUUGUCACUUUUCCGUAAUGUUUGUCCUUACUUAUCUAUGUUAAUUUAAUAAUUUUGUUUAAAUGUUUUAUUAUUAUUAUUAUUAUUAUUAUUAUUAUCAUUAUUAUUAGUAUUAUUAUUUACUCAUUUUUAUUAUUAGUAUUAUUAUCAUUAUUAUUAUUGUUUUAUUUUAUUUUAUUUAUUGACUUUGAAAUUUUGUAGGUAAGUCCACCAAUAGAAAGAUUGAAGGAAAUCACGUGGGGUUGCAUCUUGGUGGAAUAUUCAAAGUGCAUACAUUGGGAGUGGUAGCCCGAUAUAGGAGGAAAUUCAAGGACGAAUGCGGGUUGAUUCAUGAAGAAUUUAAUGCUUUUUGUUUGAAUAGAAUAUGACUGAAUAAUGGAAGUUGAAGAUGUGUGGAUGCCACUUACCAUAGGAGGCACCACCUAUAAAGGAAGAAAAGAAAAUACAGUCGUGACUAGCAUAAAAGGUGCAAUCUCAUCAGCCCACUAGCAUGGAAGGACAGGGAAUUAUGUCAUCUUUUUGCUGAAACAGUAAAUUACCAAAGUUGUAUGGCAUGUGAAAAGGAAAGAUUCAGUGUGAAUGUGGGCGGAAUGAGGAUUGGGUUCAAGAAAAAAAGUUUUGAUCGUGUUGGACUGAGUAGAUGAUUGUUGGCUCUCUCCGGACUUGUGAGUGGUCUUUUCAUGUUGGUGGACUCAAUGGGAAGGGGUACAGAGGACGCUCAUGGGAAUUGAUCAUGCUAUUUUUGAAAAAGGUGAUUGGGGGCAUGAAAAGAAAGGAUAUUCGGUGCAAUAGAAAGAGUGGAGAGGAUUAGGCGAAUGCUAGUUUGGGGGGUCAACAAAUAUGUUCUAAAACUGUGGGUUCAUUCGAUAUGAAUGUCAUAAGAAAAUGACCGGGUGGGUCUUGAAAGCUAGGGUUCCUUUCAGUUUAUUGGGCAAUGGAGGACAUUGGUUUUGAUGGAGAGUGAUUCUUGGCAGAUAAAGGAAAGAGAUUUGAGGUGACUUGGAAUGGGAGACACAGGUUGGUGCUCUUUUGGGGGGGAUAGAAGAUUGAGAGGGAGGCACCAUUUUUUUUAGAAGGAAGGUCCACAUAGGUUCGGAUUUUGGUGAGGCUUUCUAGGGAUUUUCGGAAGCAAAUUCAACAGAUUUUGGAGAAGUUCUCUAGGCGGUUUUUUCUAUUGUUAAGUGGCAGCUGCAUGGACUGCAUGAGAAGGGUUGACGCCUCAUAGCCACCUUCUUUUCUCCAGUGAUAGCGGCCCACAAGGCCACCUUAAGUGGCCGACUUCAACAAGGAAAUCGAAAACUGAUUUCCCUUGGAGUUAGGUUCAAAGGAGUUGAAAACAAGCAAGAAAGGCUCAAUUGGCACGAGUCUCCCUUUGAAGAACAAAUCAUCAUAGGGAGACAACGACAGGUUUGGAUCCGUCUGGUCGCCGCUCGAACCCGACGAUGACAACGUGAACUUGAACUUUCCCUUCCCCUCAGUGCUGGUGGACUCUACGUCAUCCUCCUCUUAUUCUUCUCUCUAUUCCUCCACACCUCGCCAAAGCACCAUUUUCUCUCACGCCGUAACUAACCUCCACUUCACAAUUCUUUCCGGUAGCACCAUCUCCAUAUCUAGAAGGAGAACGCAUCACCGUCAUUGGAGAUUUGCACCAGCACACCAGUUCCGUUAUCUAAACACUACACCCACAUCUUCACCUCGCUGGUUUUCAGAUAACCAUCUUCACGCUACAACUAGUUGCCAUCUGCCCACACCUCACCACAUUAGUCGCGCACCAUUUGGUUUGCUUUGUAGCACCAUAGCCGGCUAGGUAAGUUAAUCCUUUUAUAUGGGGUUUCUUUGGAAAAGUUAAAGUUUGGUUUCAUUUCAGUUUGGAUUCAUUGUGUCAGGUUGGGUGGUUUUGAUUUUUUUUUAACUAGUUUCAGUUUGGAUUUGUUUUAUCAAAGUGUAGAAGCAUGAAUUUCAUUUAUAUUUAACUUUGACCCAUUACAAAAUGAUUUGAUCUCUAUUAAAUUUUAAUUUUCAUUUCAUUGCAUUAGAUUGAGAACGUUUGAGUUUUGUUUGGUCUUAGAUUUAGAUCCUAUUCGAGUACAUAUGUUUUUUUAGAAUAUUGGCAAAUAAAUUUAAUUGAUCUCAUUCCAUUGUAUCCAUGCUACAGGUAUGUUAAUUUCUAUUUCCUAAUUGAUCAAAUUUGGGUUCAUGAGUUUGCCAGAUUUUCAUCUAAUUAGUUUAAUAUAUUCUCACUUUAUUAUAUCUAUAUUUUAUGCUUGUCAAUUUGAAUUAUUGAUUCACCUUAUUCUAGUUUAUAGUAUAUUUUUAUUAGUUAAUUAGUUUAAUUAAUCCAACACUAAUUAGUUCAUGUUCAAAAAUUGUAAUUUAUAUUAGAUAAUAUAAACAAUCCUAUUCUGACUGCAUGUUGAUGAUUUUGUACUAAACACGUUAUUUAUUCUGAAGCUAUUUAGCAUAUCUUGACUUGACUUUUUGGCUUAUGUUAUGUAAUAUAGACAUGAUGAGGUUGUUGUAUGAUUUUUUCCAUGAUGAGAUAUUGCUUUUGGAUAUUUAUUUAGGAUUUUUCUUGUGAAGGUCUCUUUAUGAGUUUGUUGAGUAUUUGAAAUAAGUUACCAUUUUGACAUCUUUAUUUCAUUUGUAAAUUAACCUAACCUUGGUUAUGUGUUAUAAACAUGUCAUAUAGGAUAGAUAAGUUUUUAUUUAAGUCUUAGGAUCAUUUUUGGUAUUUUAUAUGGUUUCAUUUGGUAAUUGCAUGUUUGUUGGAAAUAUGAACUUCAAAACUUUUACUUUAAGUUGUAAUACAUCAUGUAGGAUAUGAGGUUUAAAUCAUGUUAAUUAUUAAUUCUUGUAAGUUAACUUUUUUCUGGCUAAAUGCAAGCGCAUUGUGGGUUGUGUAUGCUAUUUAGGUGCGUCCUUUGCACUUUCUACUUCUUUAAUUUUGUCAAUAUGCAUUUUGUGGACUUUCUCAUGCAUGAUAUUGUUUUAAUUGCUUUGGUUGUUGCUUGAUGCCUUGAAUAAGAUGAAAUGUUUGUUGAGUAUUGUAUUAUUUGUUAAACUAACCUUUGAUGUUUUCAUGAAAGCACUUUGGGACGCAACUCAGGUACGCCAAUCCCCUUUUCUUAUGAGUGUUUCUUUUGGUAUGUUUGUUUUUAUUAUGAAUAGCAUGUUGCUUCGCCUUAGAAAAAAUCACCUUUGUUUUUUCUUAUUAUCCUUGAUCUAUUGAUUAAUUGUCAUGCUUUCCUCAACCUAGUCAGUAGAGACAUGUUUUUAGGGUUUUGAUGGGUGCUACCUUUUUAAGGUACCUUCCUGAUAGGUAACCUGAUCCUUGGACCUAGACUUGGGUUUUUCAAAGAUGUGUUUUUUCAAAAGUUUAAGAAGUCAUUUUUUUAGGGUUUUAGUUUCUUAUUUUAUUUUCCCUUUGAAAAAAAAAAGUAAAAAUAAGUGGUGACUCCAGUUUUUUAUAAAAUACAAUUUUUCACCUUAAAAAGCAAGUCUCGCCAUUCUAGUGGGGAUGCAUGUGAAAAAUACAGGUCCACAAAUCUAACUAAAUAUAUAUAUGUUAGUGGAAGUUACAAAAAUCCCCAAAAUCAAAAUCAAUAAAAAUAAAAAAAAUAGAUCAACCAAAUCCCCAAAUCUUUAAAAAAAAAAAACAAAUAAAACAAAUAAACAAAUAAAAAAAAAAGUGACCCUUAAAAAUCAUCAACACAAUUAUACUUGCAGAAUAACCCAUCCACAAAUAAUAUUCACACUUGCAUAAAUAGAGCAAUAUGUCUAUCUAUUAUUUCGGAAAAGUGAACAAACGACACUUAAUAUGAAGAUUUCUUGAAAUAUGAUGAAACUAGUGUUUUCGGGUAAAAAUUACCUAAUGAUGUCAAUGAAAAAAACAAAUGAGUAUAUUUGGUCUCCUUCAUCAUUCAAUUUGUGCCAUCGAGUUCUCACGAGAAGUGUUUAGGGUUAGGUUUCACAGGAUUGUUAAGAUUGUGGGGAUAUUUAUGAAAAUGAGGCUACAUUUUGAAGGAUUUAGGUUUUCAAGAUGUAGAAGAAGACAAGGCAAAGGUUAGGGUUCAAAAAAUUUAGGUGAUUUUGAUCAUGGUGACUAUGUCUCAUCUGUUUUAGUUGAUUUUGGGGCAACCGCAUCCUGUUUGUUUUAGGUGACUUCAGUUAUUGCAACCACGUCCCAUCUAUUUUAGGUGAUUUCAGUUAUGGUGAUCGCGUCCUAUCUGUUUCAGGUGAUUUCAAUCAUGGUGACCGCGUCCCAUCAUUUCCCUCAUUUUUAGGUGAUUUUGGUCAUGACAACCACAUCCCAUUUGUUUUAGGUGAUUUUGGUCAUUGCAACCGUGUCCCAUUCUUUCCUUCAAUUUGGUGAUUUGGGUCAUUGCAACCGCGUCCAUUUCUUCCUUCAAUUUGGUGAUUUUGGUCUUAGCAAUCGCGUCCCUUCUAUUUUAGGUGAUUUUGGUCAUGGCGAACGCAUCCCAUCUAUUUUAGGUGAUUUCAAUCAUGGUAACCGCGUCUCGAUCUUUUCCUCAAUUUUAGGUGAUCUCAAUCAUUGUGACCGUGUCUCGUCUUUGCUUUGGUUCUAGGAGAUUUUGAUCAUUACAACCACAUCUCGUCAUUUUCCUCAGUUUGGUGAUUUUGAUCAUUAUGACUGUGUCACAUCCUUUUCCUUAUAUAUUGGUGACUUUAGUCUUUACACACCUUGUCCUCACAACUUCAUAUUCCAUCCUACUUCUCACUUUGUUGCAUAUGUGUUUCUAACUUCUUCAUCAUGCUAUUUUGGAGUUUUUCCUCUUCCUUUGUGCAUGUUAUAGCCUUUUGAGCUCAUAGCAUGUGUCUUGAUCAUAUUGUUGGUACCCCUACACCCCAUGUCCUUAUAUAGAGUGCAUGUAGUUUUCCUUCUGUAUGUGUUCAUUCCUAUGCUCCUAGGUGGUUCGGCUACUACUCGAUCCUGACAUUGAUCAUUUUACCACUUUUGGAGACCUUUUAAAGGAGUUCUGAAUCCAUAGAGUAACUUUAGAGGCACCUUAACAAUUGCAUUUUCUUGCCUAAUCCGUUUUUGUUACUUCAUUUUAGGAUUUUAAAGCCCCUUUGUUCUUGUUUUAGUUUGAGUGAGAUCGUGUUCCACUAGGACACUUUUGGGGUCUCUCUUGUUCUUUAGUAGAGUUCACUUCAUUUCACUCAUUGUUCACACUUUCAUCCCACUCCAUCCCUCAGAUUCCUUCCACUCGUGAACUCUAUCGAAGAGGAGCAUAUUUGUAUACCCAAAAAUUUGUCUCAUGUUUAUUUAUUUAUUCAUUUAUUUUUACUUUUGUUUAUUUUAUUUAUUUAUUGUUUAGGACUUUUAGUUAUUUAGUUUUAGGCUUGUUCUUCUUGAUUUUCUACCCAUUUCUCAUGCCCAUAUUCAUCACUUUUAAAGAAUCAAUCUCAACCUUCCAUUUGUGGCAUCAUCCUAACAAUUCAUAUCUCUUGUUGACUUUUUCAAACCCUAAAUAGCUAAUCCAUCUAUCACCUCAUUUAUCUCCAUUUCUUUCUUACAUUUUACCGACCCACGAUUCUCUCAUCAACUUCUUCUUCUUUUUUAUUUUCUUUAUUUUCUUCUAUUCUCUUCACAACCCAUUUUUAUUUUUCUCCUUAUUUCUUCUUUCAUUUCUCUUUUCUCUUUCCAUCCACAACAUCGCUCCACGUGUCAUCGCCGAUGAUAACCAGUCACCACCGAUAGCCAACUUCCACUUUUCUUCGCUCAGUUUCUCCAUCAUUUUCUCUCUCUUUAUCUCUUUCUUUCUUGCACUUUCCUCCCUUACACCCAUUUCCUCCACCGUGCAUCGAUACCAUGCAUCUUUCUAUCUCCGACGACGACGACAACCUCCAUUUUUCCAUUGUCGCUUCCCAUGGCCACUGAUAUCCCAUUAUUACAUCUGUUCACGAUUUUGGGAGAUAGGCAAGUUUUUGUUUUAUUUUAUUUUAUUUCUACAGUAUUCAUUUAUGGAUUUUGGCUAGAAUUUCGUUUACUUGGACUUAUGUUUGGUGCAUUUAUUUUAUUUGGGUUUUGUUGAUUCAAGUUGUUUCUUUGUAUCGGGCUUUAUGUAUUAUGAUUUGGGCUAUUGAAAUUUAUUCAUAUUCGGUUUCCUUGUUAUUAGGUUGUAUUCUAGCAUUAUCUAUGAGGACAAGAAGAGGCAGAGGGGCACAAUAUGUUGGUUGGGGGCUGUUGGUGGGCUGUUGGUGCAGUUGAAGAUAGGGCAUGGGUUGGGAUUGAUGGAAGACUUGUUUUUUUAUUUGGGAUAAAAAAAAAAAAAAUGAAUAGCUUUUUGUUUAUCUCUACUCUACUAUCUUUGUAUUUCCUAUGAGUUUUUUUUUCUUUUUUACAAGGGUUGAGAUGUUUAUUUAAAUAACAGUUGUAACGAUUAUUUUGGAAUAUGUAAAUGAAUUUGAAAAAAUCGUUUUUUAAAAUAAAACUUUAAAAAAAAAAAUUUGGCCCAUAAAAGUUUAAUUUAAAUAUCAUUUAUUAAUAAAUUCAUAAAAUUCAAUUUCCUCAAUAAAGGUUAUAAAUAGCCUUUUUGAAGUUAAAAAAAAAACGUAAAAAUCCAUUAUCUAAAUAAAAGUUGUAAAAAAAAUGUUUUUAAAUAAAUUGAAUUGGAUUGGUUUUGUAAAUGGAAUUGUAAAAAUCUAUGUUUAAUAAAAGCAAAUCAAAAUUCAACUUUUUAGGUAAACUCACAAUUUUAUUUAUUUAAUUAUUAUUAUUAUUCUUUUUAAGGCAAAGCUAUCUUUUUAAAUAAAAUUAGAAAAAAAAUCUUUUAAGUUAGGGAAAAAUAAAAUUAUAAAUUUUUUUUUAUAAAAAAAAUGUAAAGUUCAAUAUAAAUUCCUUUUUAAUAAAAAGUCAAACAAAAUUCCUUUUUUCUUGGAUAAAAUUGCGAAAAGAUUUUUUUUUAUACAUACAAAUUCUUUUUCUAAAUAAUUUGUAAGUAUUUUUUCUAAUAAUAAAAGAAAAUCAAACUCUUAGCUAAAAUUGCCAAAGUGUAAACUUAUUUUUCAAGCAAAUAAAGUCCUUUUAAAAGAAAACAAAAAUUAAAUUGAAAAAUCAAAUAGGAAAAUCAAAGGGGAUGAUUUCAUGAAGUAUGAAAAAUUGGUUUUAUUAUAUAUAUAUAUAUAUAUAUAAUCCAAAUAUGUAAAGACAAAUAGAAUUGAAGAUUUAUUUUUUUAAGUUCUAAUAAAAUUGAAAAACUUUCCUUUAAAUCAAAGAAAGAUAAAAUAUCUUCUUCAAUAAUUGUUUUUUUGAUAAAAUCAAAUAAUAAAUAUUUUUUUUAUAAAUAAAAAGGCUUUAAGAAACUUUUGUAAAUAAUUUUAUAAAAAUUCACUUUCAUAUUAAUAAUUUUUCUUUAUUAUUAAUAAAAUUGGAUUGAAUUUUAAUAUUUUUGUUAAGAAAAUAAAGGUUAAUCUUAAAUGAAAAAAACACUCAAGAGGGGAGUGAAUUGGGUUUUAUUUAAAAAAAAAAAAAAUUAAACACAGCAAAUUUAAGCACAAAAGAAGCAAAUAUAGAGAGAUAGAGUUAGAGAAAUCAAACUCAGAUUUUAUAGUGGUUCGACACUUCCUUGCCUACGUCCACUCUCCUCAAGCUUCUAACCAAGUGAGGAUUCCACUAACUUGAAGCUUCAACCAAGCUUAUAAUCACUUUUACACUUGGAUUCUGACUCUAGUGGACUCUUACACAAUCUCUUCAAGUUUCAACUCACUUAAAGGCUUUAACACUCAAUUAACAAGAAUAAAUCUCUCAACCUAGCUCAAAUACAACUCAAGGCUAGGAUGAAUCACAAGGGUGCACUAAAGGAUAUGCAAAUGGGAUUUAAUGCACUAAGAAAAUAAAUGAGAGUUUUUAAGACAAGAACAAGUAGGUAAACAAAUAAAUGCAAGUGUUCUCUUGCUCAUAAAUGAAAUGGAGCUCUCUAUUUAUAGGUUUUUAACCUCGGAAGCCAAGAAAACCAAACAGCAACCUCAACCGGCCAAGUUGGGGGUCGAUCGGUUCACUAGCUGUUGGAGCAUUUAAUGCUUGGCAGGUGACCGUUACCCUCCACCGAACCUUGACCGGGAAGGCAAAUACCUCAACCGGAAAGAAAAGGCUACUAGAAGAGAGUGUGUUUUUUGCUCCUCUCGACCAGACCUCGAUCAAGAAGAGGAAACCGGUCAACCGGUAUCCUAGCCGGUUGAGCCGGUUGGCCAAUGCCUCGACCAGUUCAUCAUUUUUUACCCAAAAACCUAUCAUUUUCUGUUCUUUUCUCUUCUAACACUUAAGCAAGGUCUUUAGGUAAAUUAGUAUGCCAAUUUUGAAGUGAUUUGCUUAAGGUUCAUUUGAUAAAACUCGGGUUUUAAUGAAACUGUAACUUUAAAGAAUAAAAGGAGUUUUUCAAAUAUGCAUGAAACGAUAUGUAAAUCCUAAGUGCACCUAUGCAUUCAUCUUACAUAUGUUUCCUAUUAUUAAAGGUCUUCCAAAGGUUUUGAUCUUGCAUCCAUUAGGUCAUUUGAUGAAAUUCCAAAUUAAUACCUUAAAUUCUUUAUAAUUCAAACCAAUUAGUAACUAAAUCAUGGUUUGUUAUCAUCAAAACUUGAUUAGAAGAACCCUAGGGCUAAUAUUUGUAAAUAAAGCUAUGGAAGUCUUUAUUUAAAUAAAAAAAAAUCCUUUUUGCAAAUAAAGUUAUAAAAAACUUUUUUUUAAAAAAAAUUAUUUUGUACAAAUCAUUUUUCUUUGAAAUACUUUUGUAAAUAAGAUUGUAAAAAUUCCUCUUACUUAUAGCAAAAUAAAUAAAAAUUCUUUUUAUUGUGAAUAAAACCAUAUUGAUUUUUUUAAUGAAUUUUUUAAACAAUGAGAGUAAAUGACAUUCUUGAAAAUUGAAUCAAAUCUCUUGUUCAAAAUAAAUUGAAACUUUUUAAAAAAUAAAUAAAUAAAUUGAAGUCAUUAAUUCAAAAUUGUUUUUAAUAAACUUCUUUGAAAUUUCUUGAAAAACUAAUUUUUGAAAUUUUUUAUUUAGUUUAAUGAAUUGAUUUGUAUAAUUCUUAUGCCAUUUACCUUGUAUAUUUUUAUAAUUUGAUUUUAUCGUCAUUUUCCUACAUAUUAAUUUGUAUCCUUAAUUUUGUUAUCCAUGAUUAAUUAAUUAAUUGUCACAAUUGUUUUAAUUCAUUUAGUACAAAUGAUAUGUAUACAAGUUUAGAGGGGUGUUAUAGCUAAUCAUCAUACCUUCUCAAUAGGUUAUCUGAUUCUCAAAUCCAAACUCGGUUCUUGCAAACACACAUUUUCUAAAUAAGGAGUCACACGAGAUUUUCUUUCUUAUUUUGUUUUUCCUUUAAAAUAAAUAAAUGGUGACUUCCAACUUUUUCUCAAAAAUAAAAUUUUCAAAAUAAAAGCAAGUCAAUAAGAAUGCACAUAAAAAAAGAGAAUCCACAAUUAUCUCUUUCCCUUCUCCAUCCUUUCUAGGUAAGAGUGACUAUGGAAAGCAAUGCAUGCUCUAGCAGGAUCCACUCAUAUUCUAGCAGCUUCAGAUAGAUUUGCACAUGCUUUAGUUUCGCAGCAUCUUUGGAAGGGCAGAUAUAUUUUCAACUUAAUUUAUUCUUGAGAUUUAAUCAUAUAUGUCUAUAUCUUUUAUUGUUACAUUAUUUAAAUUUUCAACGGUGGGACUUGAUCAUCAAAUAAAAAUAAACAAAUAGCGAAGCAAGAGAAGAAAAGAUUUCCACUUUUUAUGAGGGACUUGAUCAUCAAAUAGAUAAAAACCUACUAUUUUUACAAGAAGAUGGGCUAAUAGGUAGACAGCAGCUACCUAUAAUAAAAACUCCAUGGUUUAAAGAGAAAAAAAAACAAUAGGCAUGACUAAAAAGGGCAAGUUUGAAAACAAAGCAAAAUGUGUUAAGGGGCUUAAAUAUAAAAACAUUGAAGAAAUUGUUAUACAGAUCAACUUGAUCAUCAGCUCAUUCAUCUCUUGAAGCAGGAUCCAUCCCAGUUGAAGGGCUAUCUGCAAAGUACUCUUGAUGUUUCACAUUCACACCACACUGCACAUUCAACAACAAUAUUAUAUAUAAAUCAGUUGAUCAUCCUCAGAGAGAACUAGGCAUACACUAGACAAUAGCAAAUGGCCUUGCAUUAGACAAGAAAAACGGUUGCAGCAUAUGUUUUACUUUUUCAUUUGACAAUUUUUUUCUCUAAUUAUUCACCCCAAAUUCAUGUCAAUAUUAACACUACGCAUAACGACACCCUGUCUGUCCCCACAAAAUGUGAGAACAGGAGUCAGAAAGGCACAGCCUACAAUCUGUUUGAAAUUUUAAUGGCCACUUUUUAAAAUAUCCCUUAUUUUCUCUGAAGAGCCGAUGUAAAAGAAAAGAACAAAACAAGAAUUACAAGAAAAAAAAAAAUGAGAGGAAAAGAUGCUGCAAAGCACUGCACAAUCCAGAUACAACACAAUGGUGUUAGAAAUAGCCUUCCUAAGUGCUGAGAAGUAAUGACACGUCUUUAGGUAAAGAUCACGCAUCCUCAUUACAUGGGACAGUGACAAUGGAUGUCUCCUCAAGAGCCACAUCAGUCAUCACCGCAUCAAAAGUCUCUUCAAAAUCCUCCAGAACAGAAUAUUUUCUGUUAUGCUAGCAUAAGUCCAUCAGAUGCUGACUUUAAGAGACUGAAACAACAUUCCUUGUUGAUUACUUGAUUUACAUCCUAUAGUCCCUGAUUGAUCCAGAUAUCUAAAGGAACAUCCAUCAAAAUUCAACCUAAGCCAACUACUGAGUGAACGGAUAAGAAGAGAGAAGGGUGAAGGCAUUCAAGCAGGAAGAACCAACAAACAACUGUUGUAGGGAAUAGGCUACAAGAUCACAUAGAAAACCAAUGAAGGCACACAUGCAAAUUUCCUUUGUUGUGAAGGCCCAAAGGAGCAACAAGAUAUACCAUCCCACAAGAUCUCCAAAGAGGACCUCUCUUCAUGGAUGGUUACAUCUGGCCCAAACCAACUCAUCCAGAACCCCACCCCACCCCCCCCCCCCCCCACCAAAAACAAAAGGAAGUCAAGUCAAGUCAACUCCCAGGCAAAGAUUUUUGGAGAGACCUUUUUCAGACUUAUGGCAGGGGUAUGCAUAGGGAAUUUUUUACUUUUAGUAAGGAUUUUUGUUCAUGUUUCCAUUAUCAAAUUUAUCAGGAUUUAUUUUUUAGUAUUAUCAUGUUUUAAUCUAGCCAGGUUGUAUGAAUUUAUUUCAAAGUUUUAAUCAAUGUGCACUGGAUUACCUACAUAAACGCCACCUGAGUGAAUAAUAAAAUAUUUGAAGAUCCAUUACACUCAUUGUUUGCUGCCUAUUUUUCUUCCCCCUUUCUACUUCUUUUCCCCUAUUUUCCUCUCUCUGUUCUUUAAACUCUACUCUGUUUUAUAUAGUACUACCUAUCUUGCAUCAAACGGGCAUCAAAGCAUUUUUUGAUAGAUAAAUUUUUGUCCCCAUUGGGACUUGAACCUGGAACCUCCCACAAACCCUCCCCAUCCCUUUACUACUUGAGCCAAUCAGGCACCAAAACAUUUCGGUCCAAACCAAAUUCAAAUGCCAAUUCUUAUUUCAACUAUCUUUUCACUUAUUUACCAAACCCCUUUGUUUUUUCUUUUUCACUAAUUAAUCGAACUUUCAAACCCAUUGCACAACUAACCAAAUAUUUAUCUCCUGGUUCAAAUUAGUUUUAAGUAGGAGAAGCCUAAUUGCAGAAGAAGUUAAGAAGAAGACUAGGCUCAUCUCAGACAAAUUUAAAGACACAUAGCAGGCUUCAAAUUUGCCUCUGGGUCAGGUACAGAGACCUUUCAUUAAUCUUUCUAUUUGGAAUUUUGUAUCUACUAGAAAUUUAAGAAAUCAUAGUUUCCAAAAUCUUACGACAUACCCAAUACAAUACAAUGAUAAGAUAUACUUUUUUAUGGAAAUCACAAUAUGUAUCUUAUUUUAAGCAUAUCUUACUAUACAUAUAUGAUACACGAUACAUGAUACAAUGAUCCAUACACUUUUAAUUAUUUUUGAUAAAUUUUAAGAAAAAUCAAAUUCAAAAUUUUUUUGUUAAAAGAAUCAUUAUAUUAAUUAUUUAAAAUGUACAAAAGGUUAGAAAUUGAUAAUAAAAGGAAGAAAAAGGUAAAAUAAUUCUACAUGAAAAGUUCAAUUCUUGUUGUUGACUAAUAUUAGAGAAUUUUCAUUUAAAUAGUCUGCAUGGUUGACAUUGAAAAUGAUGAUCAUUGGUGACAAAGAACUUUUACUCAAUACAUUACAUUUUCUUUUUCUUUUUUUUUUUUUGAAUUUUUCUGUUCAAAAGGACUAAUGACGCACAUGAAAAGUUAGAACAUAGGAGAUUAAACAUAAAGAUAAAUAAAUCAACACAUAUAAGGACAUAUACCUAGAAAUAAUUUGGAAUUAAAAAUCAACUCUAAAAAUUUUUAAAUUUUAUUUUUGCUGAUUUUGUGAACCUAAGCAUUAAAUUCUUAUUUUGUCAAAUUGAACUCUUCAAAACUCUAGCAUCUAAUGUUUUUAUAUGGUAUAAUAUAGUUUAACUCUUUUAGUAGGCAAAGGAGAUUUAUCUUUUAGUUAAAUAUUUUUUGUUUCACUAUCAAAUUUAUCAGGAUUUAUGUUAGUAUUAUCACGUUUUAAGUUUACCUAGUAAAGAUUCAUGUUAAAACUUCAGUUGAUUUGUUUCAUCCACAUGUUCUCUAAACUGUCCAUAUAAACUUAACAUUAGCUUUAUUUUUUUCAGUCUCUAAUUAGCUUUAUUUUCAGUCUCUACAACCUGAUUAAGAUUUUUCUCUCUUUCCUUCUUUAUUUUUCCCUGACAGGCAACAUUUUUUGCUUCCCCCUUUUUACCCACUAACCUCCCACAUCUGUACUCCAACCAAACAAAAUUCAUGAGUUAUAUUGAAAUGGAAUAUGGGACCUUUUGAAUCAAAGUGGCCAAUGUCUCAUACCACGAUAUAAUAAAAUAAAAUAAAAUAAAUAAAACAGACAAGAUAACAAUAGCAUACAGAACUUUGCCUCUCCAAGCCAAGAAUAAUUUAUUAAGACUUAGGGUGCUCACCUCACGCAGAGCCUUAGAGAGGUCCUCCAUUGUCAAGAUCAGGCGCUUAUCCUGUUACCUCAAAAAAAUUAGAGCAUCCAAGAAGGCAAAGGAAAGAACAAACAUAUAACAUAUAACUCACACACCUUUUGCUGUUUAUCCCUUUUGUCCUUGACUACUGCUGACUGCCUUGCUUUGCAUUGCCUUCAUUAGAAUACACAAACAAUAUAACAUCUUCCAGCACCAUUUAUCUUAAAUGGAGCAUAAUAGAAGCGCAAGCAUAAACAGAGUACUUUUAAGAUGAUAACAUAUAAGAAUUCAACAUGCAAAGCUUAAAUCAAGGUCCUUUGAAUCUUAUCAAUGAAGUAAUGUCCUAAACGAACAAACACAUUGAAAAGCUCAUCCUACUUGCAAUCUGCACCUUUGUCCUAUAGCAAUAGCCUCCAACCACAGGUUUGACUAAAAAGUGGUAUGGGUUUGCAUUAUGGAUCCAGAAAGUAGGGCCAAGAACAGGAUUUUAUCAUUUUCCUUUAUUCCCCUGAUAAGGGGGAUGAACUAAAAAGCACCAAAGAGUGCAAAUCCUAAUAUGCAGGAUCGAUUUGUUCAUGUUGUAACUGCAGCCCAUUUAUGCCACAUUUUCCUAAGGCCAAAUUGCAGUUAUAGGUCUUUGGCAUAAAAGCAUAGAUUCUAAUUGGCAUCCAUGCAGAGAUCUCCAACUCAUAGAAAAAUUUUGAUCUUAAUAUUUAAACGAAUUAUGAAAAAGGGAACAAGUAAAUAUGUCUUGACAAAAUACUCACUUGGAAACAUGCAAACCCAUACCUUUGAGUUCAUUCUUUCGAUUACUUGAGAGGUUGAUUUAUAUGUGUAUGUAUAUAGAAGAUACACUAGGCUGUUGCAACAACCAUUAUCCAAUAUCCAAAUUAUGGGGUAGAAAAAUAGAAAUAGGUAAAAUUUCUGUCCUAUGAGGUUGCUAAGCAACCUCAGAAAUGGUAGGCUUCUUGUCUUCUGAAUGUUAAUGAAAACUAUUAGAUAGUGUACAGUUAUUUCAAUUAUUUACUUUUCCUUUUUUUUCCUUAUUGUAUUGUGGGUCCCACUAGCAUGUAUAUAUAUACCCAAGUCCAAUGUGUAUUAUUAAUAGUUUUUAAUAACAAAAAUUAGGUAUUCUCCCUUUUCUCUCUUUUCACAAAAACAUUUUGUGUGGGCAGGAGGAAUCUUCAUUGUGUUAUUUUUUCAAGGUGGUCCAAAGUACAAAGGUGAAUUUGGAGAAAAGUAAUAUCUCUGUAAGAAUGGGGGAAUAACCUUUGAAGAAAAGUAAAUCUCUAUAAGGAUGGGGGAGGAUGGGGAGGAAUUGGCUUCAUAACUUAAUUAUAAGAUGGGUCCUUUGGCUUUUCCCUACAUUGGUCUUCCUUUGGGUGCUUCUUACAAAGUAAAAUCAGUGUGGGAUCCCAUUAUUGAGAGUUGAAACAUCAGUUGCUAAGCUGGAAGAGAUAGUAUUCAUCAAAAGGGAGCAAAGUUAGUCCAGUUCAAAGCACAUAACCAAGUAUGCUUAUAUGUCCUUGUAGAGAGGCAAAAUUUGCUUGUUUACUAAUCAUCACGUGUCAAUGGAAGACCAAUCCUAAAUUGGCACAUGUCCUAAGUGGUCAAGUUAAAGUUCAUUUUGACAAUUAAAUAAAUAAGUUAGAUGUCAUUUGGAUGCAAUUCUUAUUUUCUAUUUUCAAAAAUAGAAAAUGAUAGUAAUUCCUAUAUAAAAAGCAAAACCUUAAAAAAGACAGUAUCUUUUAAAAAGUGUUUAAUUUACUACCUUGAGUUUUAAAAGUGAUUUUUAAGAACAUAAGGUAAGUUCAUAUUUUUUAUAUAAGAGUUAAGAUAUUUUCUUUAGAAGUUACUACCAUUUUUUAUUUUUAAAAAUAAAAAAAUAGGAAAUAUUUCCAAACAAGUACUUAAUUAUCAUUUUUAAUGCAAAAAUGAGUCAUACACAAAAUAAGAAUGAUCUCUCAGUCAAAUGUAAAAGAAAUAUAUUAAUUUUGAUAAUUAUAUAAAUAAAUCAAUCAUCAAAUUUAAUUCAAAAAGGUGUCAUGCACAAAGUAGGGAUGGUCUCCAAAUAAAAUGUAAAAUAAUUAAGUCAAUUAUUUUUUAUAAUUAAUAAACAAGUUAAUUAUCAUUUUUAAUUCAAAAAAUGAUCAAAAUAGGAACAAUCUACCACUCAAAUAUAAAAUAAGUAGAUUUUAAUAUUCCAAGAAAAUUAACAGAUAAUUACCAAAGAGGGUCUGUUUACCCCAGUAAAUAGGAGGGCCUCCUUAGCUUUCACAAAAAGACAUCGACAGAAAAGAGAAGACUUCCACACUAGAGAAAAGUUGGAGAAACUUUGCCCAAAGAUUGAAGGAGUUCUUCAAAACGAUCAAGGUCAAAGAUUUGAAAAUCAUGUUCAAAGAUUUGAGAUCAAGCUUAAAGAUUUAAAGAUUAAAUUCGAAAUUUUGAGGUCAAGCUAGAAGAUUGGAAGAUUCGAAGAUCAAAUUUGAAGAUUCAAAGAUCAAGUCUGACGAUUCUAAGAUCAAGUUCAAAAAUUCCAAGAUCAAGUUUCAAGACUCCAAGGUCAAGUUUGAACAUUCAAAGAUCAAAUUUAAAUAUUUGAAUAUCAAGUUUGACGGUUCAAAGAUCAAAAUUCAAAAUUUGACAAUCAUAGUUCAAGGUAUCUUCAAGCCAAGCCAAAUUCCAAGCAUAGGCCCAAGCCCAAAGUCCAAGAAUAGGCCCAAACCAAGCUAAAAUCCAAGCACAAACCCAAGCCAAACCAAGGCCCAAGAUCAAGCUCCAGCCCAAGCCAAGCCAAGGUUCAAGUACAAGCCCAAGCUAACCUAAAAUCCCAUUCAAGAUCCAAGCACAAGCCUAACCAAGCUAAGAUCUAAGCACAGACCUAAAUCAAGCCAAGAUCCAACAACAACCCAAAUCAAGCCAAAGUCUAAGCCCAGGACCAAGCCAAGUCCAAGUCUAAGCAUAAGGUCAAGCAAAAACCAAGGUCAAAGCACAAGCUUGAUCCAAGACAAAGUCUAAGCACAAGCUUGAGCCAAAACAAGGUCCAAUUUUAAGUCCAAACCAAGGUCAAGGCCAAAAUCAAGACCUUUCUCAGAAAAAUCAAAGGAAAGCAUAGAGACUACAUUUAAAAUCCUAUGAAGAAAAAUUUUGUUAUGCAAAAAUUUUCAUUUUUAAUAGAAAUUUGCACACCUUAUGGGAAUUCAUGCUAGAAAUUUAUAUGCAAAAAUUUCUCUAAAAGAAGAAAAUUUUGGCAAAAAUUUUUUUUUCUUUAUGAACAUGUAGGAUUAUGAGUGUAGUCUCUACACUAUCCUUUGAUUCUUCUAAGAAGGGACUUUAACCUUGGCUUAGGCCCUAGUAUGUCUUGAGUUUGGACUUUGACUUAGUCUUAGCUUAGGCUUGUACAUGGACUUUUGCUUGGCUUUAGACCUAUGCUUAGACUUUAGUUUAGCUCGAGCCUAGACUUAGACAUUUGCUUGGCUUGGGCCUUCACCUAGACCUCAGCUUAGCUUGGGCCUGGUCUUAGACCUUGACUUAGCUUGAGUUUGUGCUUAAACCUUGGAUUUGCUUGGGUCUAGUCUUAGAUCUUGGCUUAGCUUGAAUUUAUACUUGGACUUUGGCUUAGCUUAGGCUUGUGCUUGGCCUAGCCUUUGGUUUAGACCUUAGGUUGGCUUGAGCACAUGCUUCACUUUAACUUGGCUUAGGCCUACGCCUGAAUCUUGAUUUGAAUAACGCUCAUUGAGGAUAGAAAUGUUUAAUCUCAAAUGGAAGAUACCUCAAACUUUGAUCUACAAAUCUUGAAACUUGAUCUUUGAAUUUUCAAACUUGAUCUUUUAAUCUUUAAAUUUAAUCUUUGAAUCUUUAAGCGUAAUCUUUGAAUCUUCAAAUCUUCGAAUUUGAUCUUCAAAUCUUCGAGUUUAAUCUUCAAAUCUUUGAGUUUAACCUUCUAAGGCUUUGAAGAACUCCUUGAAACCACUCAUGGUGGUCUAAGUAGUAAAAGUGUAGGCAACAAACAAUACACUUUUGGGUGAAUGCUUUGAGAUUUGCAAUUGGAAGAUGUGUAUGAACCACUCACAUAUCCUUCUAUUAUAUAUGUAUCUAGAGAAUAAAUUUGCACAACCAAUAAGAGGGACAGUUGUGGGAGAUUAUUUUUUGAUAGGAUAUAUAUAUUGAAAGAAUAAGAAGUACAAAAGAAGGAUGAGGAAUAGUUGUGGGAGAUUAUUAAUGUGUACAAAAUUAUAGAGAAGGAGAGAAGGCUGGUGCUCUAAGGUAGUAAAAGGCUUCUUUUGAGGGGUUAUGAAAAGGGAUAAAAAGGGAGGGGAAGGUUCCUAGUCAUUACACUUUCAAGGUGAGAAAAGAAUAUUUCUUUUAGCAAGAUGGCUGACAUGAGGAGGGAUCUCUUAAGGAAAUAUUUUCGAACUUUGUGCUAGUAAUAUGGAUGACAUACUGGUUAGUGUCAAGGCUCCCACAACAUAUUGGGCAUUCAAAUCCAAGAUUUGUAGAGGAAUUUGUUAAGAUUGGGAGCUAGGUGAUGUCAAGGCUUUGCUGAACCACGUUCAUGAGAUGAAUAUAUUUGUGGGUAAGACGACACCUUGCAAUGAUUGCUAACUUUGGAUAAGAAAUUAUUGGUUGAAUAUCAUCAUAAGAAGGUGGAGAGAAGGGAAGUAGAUGAUUUUCUAGCCUAAAGCCUCAUUAGGGAUCAUUUUUAUUUUGCUUUAGCCACAAAGUGAAAGCUAAAGUAGUCAUAAUGUCAAAUGGAACAAUCUUGGUAUUUAUGAAAGUUUUAUUAAACAUUAAACAACUUUCCAUAUAAGCUCCUUUUAAAGUCAGAAGCCUUUAUAUUUAAAAUCACCUGAACACAAAUAGAAGAUGUAAUUAGACUUUAAAAAGAGGUUUUAGCUUCCAAAAAGGGAUCCAAAAAAGGCCACCUAAUUUUUUUUGAUAGGAAAAAAAGGGGGGUGGAAAAAUAAGGACUGCAUGUGUAAGAAAGCGUGGAUCAUAUGCCACUCUACUACCAAGUGGUUGAUGACUUAUGGUUUAUGUUCAUUCUAUUUGAUGUAGUAGGAAUGCUCCAACUUCUCACCAUAUUCAACAUUCUUAGGGACAUCCAAAAAGCAUUGAAACAAUUUAUGGGAGAAGGAGAGCAAUUUGUAUAGGAGCGUCAAUGUAUGUUGCUAGGGUGCCAAGAUGGUUGAUUUCUUGAUUCACAAAGGGUCAUGUGACCAUUGGAAUCCUAAAUAGUUACCAAUUUUUUUGUUUCAUCGUAGUUUUCCUUUUUCCCAUAAGAAGGUCUCCCAUAUUCUACAUGUGCACUAGAGUUACAAUCCUCACAACCAUUUGUUUCAAACCCACAACAUACAUUGUGAGUUACAUAACUGUUAAUAUUCUAUUUUGUAAAAUCCAUGCGGACCAUUCAUGGUGUACUAUGUGCCUAAUAUAUGUCGUAUGAGCUCCAUCAUGACAGGACCAAUUACAGGGCACCACAUGUCUUGGUACAUACUACACAUGCUCAAGACCACUCUCCACUAACAUGACAUGUAGCGCAUCUCACCCAUGAUCUCCAAGGCAUUGACACAUCCAUAUUCUCCCUACAUAGCUCCUAUGUCAUAGGGCUACAUCAUUUGGACAUAAGAGUCCUAUCUCCAAACAUAUCCGUGGGUUACCCGGAUACCCAUGGAACAUGAAUCUGCCAAUGGCAGAUGCUUAGGAAGUUUGUCCUACUCUACCUCUUAAUGAAGGUGAUACUAAGUGCAACUGAGAGGGUUCAUGGUUUUGCUCAUGUCAAGAGGAAGAUGUUUCCUCUAUAAUACUUCUAGCCUCCUACAUCCCCCUUAAAUGUUUCACCCUUGACGUGACACCUAGAUGCUAAUACGUCUGCCCAAGUCAGGAGCAAAGCAGAGGGAUUCGAAAUGGAUUUAACGCAUCUCAAUAGUGGAAUUGGCCUUCUCACCAUCAAGCAUUUUGGGACUGAUUUGAGGGUCAUCGCUUGGUGAUUAGAGUUAGAGGUUCACCAAGGUGGGACUAACAUGCAUCGAACAAGUCUUAACCAGAAUUGGAGGAAGAGGGGACCAAUGUGUCAUUGGGACACAUGUCAUCUCCAAAAGCUUUAACAUCAUCAUUGAUCCUUAAUAUGGAAGUUACUAUUUUGGAGCAAUACAAAAAGGCUUCACUUCGCAUCCAACGAAAGAAGAAAAGAUUUUCCCAAUCUCUUAAGUUCUCUUCUUGAUUUCACUACCAUUCUCUCCAAUUCCCUCUCACCUCUCACUCUGCUCCACCCAUCCCCUCUCAAACUGUUGGCACCUCACCAUCCCAUUUAGUUGGCCUCCUAUAGAUAAGAAGCCUACAUAAAGAAUGACUUUACAUCCAUCACCAUUCCCUCACACAUAACCCUUUGUCCUCUUUUAGAAAACAUUAAUGCUUCUAGGCAUCCAUGAACACAGCUUCAGAUCAUAGAAAAGCCUUGAAUUUUACAUUAUAUACAGGCAUAACUAGAAUUUAGAAACAUACUGAAGCGCAUCACUAGCAACCUCUGCGACAAACUUCUGAGUGGCAACAGCUACUAGUCUAAUUCUGCAAAACAAAGGAGAAAAUUAAUCCAAUCUGACAUGAUACAUAUCCAAGAAGUCUAAUUCUGGUUUUAAAGAAAUCAUCAUCCUCCAAAGCAGAUUAUAACUCACUAGUUUCCUUUCUUAUUGAAUAAUUAUCUUCCCGUUUACAUUACACCAAAAAAAGGAGGAAUCCAAAUUGCACUCCGUUUUUAUUUCAAAAAAUAUGGUAGCACCUAAGGUUUUCAGUUGAAAGGAAAGUGAUAACACAACCAACAAAGGCACAACCAAAACUUUUGAUUAUGAAUUUAUCAGAGAUUUCAAAUAAGAAUUUAAAAAAUCAAAUUUUUUAUUGGUUACAGAAAUUUGAGCAGCCUAUGACUUAAAUUCAUAAACUUAUAGGAAAGUUUCAAGUGGAUAAAGACAGCAAUCAUAUGAACCAAAAGAGAGGGACAUUAGGAAAAAGAGAAGGAAAGAAAUAGUAAAUCCCAACUUAGCAAAUCAAUUUUACAUGCAUAUGUCUAGAAUUUUUCCAAAGUAGGUGACAGAACAGCUCCCUGCUUCCUGAAUCUCAUAAACAUUUUUAUGUCUAUAUGGUUUAUGCCACAUGUACAGCAUCAACUAAACGUGACUAUGUAUCAAAGUAUUGGCUACAGCAUUAUCGGAACUCUCUCAAUAAUCAUUACAACUUCUGCGGUAAAUGAGAUAUCACUAAAACUUGUAUCAAGUAAAAUAAGACCAAUCUCAUUUUCUGUUUCCUGAAAAAACUGUCCAUGAAUGUGAAUUCAUGGAAGUAAAUUCAAAAUAAAGGAGCAUUACAUAAAAGUAUCAUGUUCAUUAUGUUGAAUUGUGAUGUGAGAUUUCCAAACAUAAGAGUUUACAAGAGCUAUAAAUAUAGAGUAUACCUAUAGGUUAUAAGAUGGUGGUUUAAAAAUCCAAGCAUCUUUGCAUUCUAUAGUUUAUAAAAGAAAGCCUUAAAAUGGGUGGAUUAGCAACAGCGUUGAUCAAGUUUUCUAGUUGGCUGAGCAUCUGGAGAUUACAUAGACAUUCAUAUAAGGAGUAUAUGAAACCCAUCAAAAGAAAAAAAAAAAGAAAAAAAAAAAAAGGAGUAUAUGAAAACAUCCCAGCAAGUACCCAUCUUCAAAAUCUCUUUUCCCUCACACAAAAGACAGCUCUUUUUUAAACAAAUUCUCUACAUGAAAAAAAUGAUUAUUGCCCCAUUGUUCUUGUUGUUCCCUUAACAAGUUUGGUAUUAGAAGUGAUCUAAUAAUAUAGGAUGAUCAUCGAAACCUUGAGGCUAAGGCUGUCUUCCAAAGGAAUGUGCUGACAUAAUCAUUGAGAUAAGGUCAAAGGUAUAGAAAGAGAGUAAGAGACCAAAACUGAGAUAGGAUCUUUUAUAGAUUGGUUUAAGUGUUUUAAUGGAGAAGUGCUUGAAGAACAAAAUCAUAGAAGCAGCAAUUGAGAAAGAAGAAGAUCAAAGAAAGAAACCACUUAGGCAGCAACCCAGGAUGUCCAAGACAAUAUUCUUAUAUCAAUAAAGACUAGUCCAUUUUAAAUCCUCUGUUUAGUACAAUGUAACUUAUUUCUAGACUUCAAAAAACUUCCCAAACAAGUAAAGGACUUUUAAAACAAGCUAACCAAUAUACUGAUCAAAUAGGAUUCAAACUUCUUAAAAAUAAAAUGCUUCAUAAACACUUAAGUGGCCAGUUUAUAAUGUAUGAAAAGCCUCACAACAACCUCAAAUUAGAAACAUGGUAAAACAGAAACAAAAACUUCAUUUAUCCAUUGCUAUUGUUAUGUGAGGACUAAAAUGCAGAUAUGAUGAAAAAUACCUGCUAUACAAUUACAGUAAUAUGCAGAAUAACUACUUGCUAAACACUUACUAAUUAAAGCAUGUAUAUCCACAUGGGAUAUAGAAUUUCAAGGACAGAAUAGCCUAAGUCAACGAUUUUCCUAUCUUGGCAUGCUUCUACCUCUUUAAGCCUUCUCUCAAUAAUCAGAAAAUUCUCUCCAUGGCAACAAGUUCUAAAAGUUCACCCUUCAACUAUUCUCAAAAUCUAUUUCCCUUUUUUCUCACUGUAAAAAAUAAUUACACUCCACAUAUUUUCUCCACUCCUGAUUAGACUUUAGACCUAAACUUUCUUAUUCCAAUACAUCUUUCCAAAAAUCUAGUUUCACCCACACCCUUACUCUAGGAUCGUGAACUGAAGCUAAAUGUACCAUAAACCAUGGGACCUACUCCUGUGUAAGCAUGGAGAGCCUUCAAUGUGCUUAUUUGACUGCCACAACAAUUUAGGAAAUCAAAAAUGAUGCCCAAAUCCACUAUUCUCUCCAGAAUCUUUCUUUUUAAAAAAUAAAAAAUAAUAAUAAAUAAUAAGUGGUUUAAAGCCCAACAAAGUUUGAGUUGAAUUGCCAUAACAAUUCUAUACCAUCUUAAGUUUCCACUCAUGAUAAUCUUGAUUGCCAAGUUACAUGGCCAUUCUCGAGCUAAUUUUACCAAACACUGGUACUGACUUAAAUUUGUAUCUUUCUUUACACUGAACUAUAUUCCAAAAACUCAAACCCUUCCUACGUGAGGCUAAAAAUCCAAAACUAAGGGUUAAUAAUUUCAAUAGAAGACAAGUUCUCCAACCAAAGAGAAAACCGUCAACAUGCACUAAACAAAUUCAUACUACUCAGAGUUUAUGUCAAAACAAUACAGUUCAUGUCAGAACAAUAGUCAUCGAAAGGUAAAAUAUAUAUAAAAUUCUCUGCCAUGUUGCUGAGAAAAUGAGAGAAAAUAAAAAUCAGAGAUCUUUCAUCAUCAUUGAUCCAAACACCAUCAAAAACAACCUAAUACAAACAUAUGGCUUAGUCAGGUCAUUUUUAAAAAGCAUUUUUUCGGAAACCAAAACAGUCUAACUAUAGGAUUAAAAAAAAACAAAAAAAUCCCCAGUUUUCUUGGAAACCAAACGAGGCUAAACAAACAAUUACAUAAAAAGAGGUUAAAUAAAAAAAAAAAUAAAAGGAAAAAGUACCUACAAUCGAACAUCGGGACACUGAAACCCACUUUUGGCUAAAUAAUGCUCCACCAGUUCAUCUGGUAUCUGAAAAAACAAACACAGAAAAUCAUAAAUAAAUAAAUAAAUUAAAAAAAGUUUAGUUUUAGGCCGACAAAAAAUCAUACAGUCGGAGUGUAGUCCAUAAGGGAAGCGAGAAAAUCAGACAGCGCAGAAUCAUCGUCGUGCCUAGCAUCGUUGCCUCCUUGGUUUUGAUUCAUCCUCCCUCUCUGUCCCGGAAUGCGUUUUCCUUCUAUUUGCUUCAGUUUCUCACCUCUCCUCUGGCUUUUAUUUACAAUUUUUAUUUUUUAGUAUUCCUAAAAAAAAUUUCUCGAAUUAUUUUUUAAUGCAUUUAAACAUGUAGACCCAAAAGCAUGUAUACGCAUUAUCAAUUUUAUUUUUAAUUUAAAAUUAUAAAUUAAUAACUUGAAUAUAUUAUUAUUUUAUCAAUUUUUGGUGAUCUCAUAAAUUAAGUCAUAUGCUCCAAAUAAUCAAUUCAAUAUGUACUUUGGUCUCUAGGGCAAAAUUACAUAUUCGUAUUGUAAUAUUUUUAGUAAAGGAAAGAAUAUGGAAUAAAAAAAUACGAAUAAAACAAAGUUAUUUGAUUAAAAGGGUCAUUAAAAACUCAAUUUUUUAAAUUUAACCCAUCAUCGUUUUUUUGACCUCAUUUAAACAAAAAAAAUACCCUCAUUCUUUUCUUAUAAAAAUAACCCCCUUUUUUAAAACCUACACGUAAAUAUUUGAAAUGAGAAAAAGUAUUUAUGUCAAAAAUAGGUUAUUUUUCAAGUAAAAACAUAGGAGGGGUUAGAUUCACAAAUUUGGGAUCAUUUCAUCCAUUUUAACCAAUUAUUUCCAAAAAAAAAAACAAAAAGUUUAUAAAAUUUUUCCGUGCUUGUUUUUUAUAUUUUUCCUUCAAACAUUUUUUUUUUUGGAAAAUUAUGUUUUCAACCCAUAUAGGCUUGAUAAUUAAGGUAAAGUCCUCCAACCACUCAUAAUUGAUUACAAGGAUAUGAGAUAGUAAUUGACAAAAAUACCCAUUUGACUUAUUUUUGUUUUUAUUCUACCACUCUUCACAUGCCACUAUUCUUUCUUAUUUAACCAUUUUUAGACUUUUCAUUGUUUGUUUAAACUCUUUUAUAAAUAAUUGAAAAAUCAACAUUGUUUUUUAUUUUUAAAUUAUAAAUAAACAAAAAUUAUAUUAAUGAUUCAAAGACUAUUUUGGAAAAUACUUUCUAAAAAAAUAUUUAUUUAAAUAAGUAAAAAUUAUAUUUCACAUUUAUUUUUAUCUUUUACAUUUUAAAAGCAAAUAAUUUAAUGAUUAAAGCACAGUUUAAAAUAAAUAUAUUCACUAUUUUAAUUUCUUUUAUGUUAAAAAGUAUUUUAAAGUUUUUUUACUAUUAUAAAAUAAAAAGUUUAAUUUUUUUUAAUCUUCUUUCUUCUUUAUUUUAAUAACUUUUUGAACAUGACUUUUAGUAAUAAGUUAUAUGAAAUGUUACAAAUUUGUUUACUAAAUAUUUUUUUUAAUGAUUUGAAUUAAUUGAAAAUUUAUUAAAAUAAGAAAAAGAAAAAUAAAAAAAGAUGAUGGAUGAAGAGUUUUUAUUUUAAGUACUCAAUUAAAAUGUUUUUAUAUGACCUAAUUUUAGAAGUGGAUAAUAUCAAUACAUAGUAGAGAUUGAAUUUUUCUUAUAUAAAAAAGUUGAAAGGUAUAUUUACUUAUUUUAAAUGAAAAAAAGUAGUUAAAAAUUAUAUAGAUUAUAUUUGAGUUUGGUUUUAAAAUAUUUUUCAAGUUUUUAUUUUUAUUUUUUUUAUUUUUAAAAAUAAUUUUUAUUUUCUGUAUUGUCUCUUUUUGAAAAUACGUUUAAUUAAAAAAUGAAAACUAUUUUUAAAAAUGAAAAUUGAAAACCUUGUUUAGUACUAUUUUUUAUAUGAAAAAAAAUCAUUUAUUUAUUUAUUGCGUCACUAUACAAUUGUAUUACACUAACUGUACAAAGGAAAUGUACUAAGUGUACAAAAGUGUACAAGACUACCCUUUGUGAAAUAUUACAAUCAAUUAUGAGUCAUUCUUUUUUUUUUUAUCACUCACGAAUUGUACACAUAUGUCAUGCACUUUAUUUAAUUUUCACAUUGAAAUUUCAAUACUUUCCCUAAUAAUGAUAUAUGGGGAAAAAAAAUUUAACCUUAAGUCAUCCACCAUCUUCUCAACUAAACCGUUGGAAUUAUGGUUAAACACUCUUAUGUGGACACAUAACUUAGAAGAGAUAUGAAAUUUGCGUCAUUGUAUAAGGGUAUUACACUAAUUGUACAAAGAAUAUGUACUAAUUGUAUAGAGGUGUACAAGAUUAUCCUUUGUGAAUGAUUUCAAACCACUUUUUUUAUUUUCCUUGUCACCCAAGGAUUAUACACCUAUGUCAUGCUCUUUAUUUAACUCUCACAUGAAAAUUCCAAUAUUUUCCCUAAUAAUGAUUGAGAAAAUAAAGGUUAUACUUAAUUAAGAAAAACACCCAACAUAGGGGGGGUGACUUUGGUUUUUUAAAAUCUUUUUAAACACAACAAGUUCAAGCACAAUAUAAACAAAAAUAAAGAAAUAGAGUUAGAGAAUUCAAACUCGGGUUUUAUAGUCGGCACUUCCUUGCCUACGUCCACUCUCCUCAAUCUCCUGACUGAGUGAGGGUUCCACUAACUUGAAGCUUCAACCAAGCUUUCAAUUUUCUUACACUUGGAUUCCGGCUCCAAUGGACUCUUACACAAUCUCUUCAAGAUUCAAACCUCUUAAAGGCUUUAACAUUCAGCUUUUACCAGAAUGAAUCUCUUAACCUAACUUAAGGAUAGCUCAAAAUACAAGACAAAGCUAGAAUGACACACAAGAGUGCACUAAAGGAUAUGUAAGUGAUGAUUUAAUGCACUAAGAAAGAUAUGAGAGCUUUUUGGUCAAGAACAGGUAGGUAGACAAUUGAUUGCAAGUGUUCUCUUAUCAAUAAAUGAAGUGGAGCUAUCAAUUUAUAGGUUUCUAAGCUCGGGAGCCAAAAACAGCAAAAGGUAACCUCGACCGGUCGAGCUAGGGGUUGACCGAUUCACUGGCCGUUGGAGCAUUUAAUGCUUGAUAGGUUACUGUUGCCUCAACAGGACCUCGACCGAGAAGAGAUGAACCUCGACCGGGAAGAAAAGGCUACUAGGAGAGAGAGAAGAUUUUGGGCAUCCCUCGACCGAACCUCGACCGGGAAGAAAAGGCUAUUGGGAGAGAGAAAAGAUUUUGGGCAUCCCUCGACCGGACCUCGACUAGACAAGGGUAAUCGAUCAACUGGUUCCCCAACCGGUUGAGCCGGUUGACCAUAACCUCGACUGGUUGAGCCUUUUGGCCUUGAAAACCUAUCUCUUUCAAUUCAUUUCUUUUCUAACACUUAGGCAAGGUCUUUAGGUGAAUUAUUAUGCCAAUUUUAAAACAUUUUGCCUAAGGUACAUUUAAUGAAAUCGAAGUUUUAAAGGAAAAACCGAGUUUUCUAAGUUGCAUGAAACGGUAUGAAAAUCCUAAGUGCACUCAUGUAUUCAACUUACAUUCAUUUCCUAUGAUCACAAGUCUUCCAAAAGUCUCGAUCUUGUAUCCAUUUGGUCCUUUGAUGAAUUUUCGAGUUUAUGCCUGAAAUUCUUUACUAUUAAACCAAUUAGUCACUUAACCAUGGUUUGUUAUCAUCAAAACCUGAUUAGGAGAACCCUUGGGCUAACAAUCUCCCCCUUUUUUAUGAUGACAAACCUUGGUUAUCUAGGAGAGAAAAAAAAAUCUCCCCCUCAAACCAAUCAUGGAUCAAUCAAUCAAUUUUCAAUAGGAAACAAUGUAAAACAUAAAAAUUUGAGUAGGAAACAAUGGAUCAUGAAAAUAGCAUAUCAUAUAUAUAUGGUAACCCCACAUGUACACGAAAACAUAACAUAUAUGCUAAUCAAGAUAGAUAUGACAAUGAUAUGCAUGAGGGUCUCCUAGAUCCUAGAUAUUUCUCCCCCUUUGGCAACAUAAAAAAGACAUUGAGGGGAAACUCUAGAUAAACUCAAGGCUGAAGAGGUGAAGGUGGAAACACAGAGUGAAGGUAAGUCAUCAUCUUUUCAUGCUGACUCUCCUGGCGACUCUCAAUGCGCUUAAUACUCUGCUGGAGAUGCUCGAAUGUAGCCUGCUACUGAUCCAUACACUCAAAUCUCUACUGGAAGUGCUCAAAACGAGAAGUGAAGCCAGUCUGAUACUGAUCUAUCCGAUCCUCCAUAGAGUAAAAUUGAGUAUCACUGACUAAAACAAGUUCCUCCAUACGAGUCCCAAGUGAGUUGAUUUGAGCCGAUAUAUCCAUCCAAGGCGCAUGAUCAGAAGCGUGAGGUGCUUGAGAUGGUAUCUCUAUGUGAGGAAGCUCGAUGAAUGAUGGCUGAGAGGAUGGUCCCGUUGUGUAAGACGACUCAAUCAUCAUAGUGUGGACCCCGCAUUUCGGCUCAUGCGUUUCCCACUCGAUGGCGAGCUCGAUUUUUAUUUGAAAAAAAUGAUUUUAUUUAUUCAAAAAUGACUUGGAGUCGCCACUUAUUUUUGUUUUUUAAAAGGGUAAACAAAAUAAGAAAGAAAACCCUAAGUGCGACUCCUUAUUUUGGAAAAGGUGAUCUACAAAAAAACCGGAUCGGAUUCGGGGGUCAGGUUACUUAUCGGGAAGGUACGGUAAAGACCGUAGCACCCCUCUAAGUCCCUAAGGUCGGGUCUCUACUAAUGAGAUGAAGCUGACAUGGCAAUCAAUGUGAAAAUCAAUGAAUACUCGAAUCAAUCAUGCACAUAUGAGUAUCAGAAUAUGUAUAGAGAAUAACCAAAGUGGAAGUGGAUGCGUACCUGAUCAGCAAACGGCAACGCGCUAUCACAAAAGGGGGUUGGUGCAUAGUAAUGAACAUAAAACAUGUCACUCAUAUCACCAAAUAGGAAGAAACACCAAUAGCACGCAUGUCAACAUUUCAUUCAAAUUCAUUUUUAUUUUGAAGAAAAUUUAUUUGAUGUCGGGCCCCCACCAAAGCCCAUUUAUUUUUACAUGAAUUAAUUCCAUAAAUUCCAUUAUUCGGAAUUACGGAAUUUAAUUCAUACUUAUUUUAAAACAUUUUAAAACAAAAGAGAUGUUGAAAUUGUUUGCCAGAAGGAAAGAUGGCAACCAAGUUUAUUAAAAAUGGGAUUCUUGGGUGAUCCUAAAAAUCCUAAGGAUGAAAGAUGAGAAAAUUGGGAUUAUUAGAAAAUCAGAAUUUUGAUAAAGAUAUUUACAAAAUGGGAUUUAAGAAAACAUUUUCAAAAUCAAAUGAAAAGAAAUCCAAGAAUGUCACAUGGCCCAAAGGUGGCCCAUACUAAAGAUGGCCAAUGCAUAGCCUGGUAGGAAUAGGGUCCAGUUGACUUGUGCAUGCUGGGGCUGUUGAUAGACACUGCCUGUAGGUCCCACUAUAUCAACAAUACCGGCCAUUGUCUGAGAUUGAUGCAGAAGUGGAUGAAUAGUUGCUGUCACUACUCAUGCAGGAUGAUGGAUACCCAAAACAGUAGUAACAUCGAGCUUCUCUGUGGUCACGGGUUGUAAUUUCACCUUGCUCAUGCUUCUUUCCCAUCUCUUGGCAACCUCGGCUUUCUUGAUAAUCUGGCAUGUGUCUUUCAGUAGUUACAUGAGCAUCGAUGCACUGAAUGAACUUCCAAGCUGCCCCUGCUGGUUCAAGCACAGUAAAGGGAGCAUCCCAAGGAUGAUGGAUUCACUCAGUGACCCACCUGUAAGUAACAAUUCUAAGGGCGUUGCACGACCCUGUGCAGGCAAUAUUUGGCUCCAUAUAUCAACCUUUAUCCCAUCCACGACAUGAUCACUUCUCCCUUCCACAACAUCUCUAUAUUUCUAGAAGAAACUCCAUGAUCAGGUAACUUGAUAAAAUCCCCAGUGCUAGAUAUUUACAAAACGAGUAAUAAGCGUAGCACCUGCAUGAAGCCUAGGAUUUUUACCAUCCUUGUCAUCUACUGCCACUUGGAACUUUGACCUCUGAUUUUGAGCCUUGGUUAUCGGUUCUGUUUCUUUAUCAACCCCAACUUCAGAAUCAGGUCCAUAGAUUUCACAAUUCUCUUCGCGUGAUUGCAUGACUACAUAAUCUCUGAGAAGCAGAGAUCUAAAGAGUGCAUCAGCGGAUUAUAAAGUCCGAGGGAUUCAAUGGCGACGAAAGGGAUAGAUUCUCAGAGGUAAUGAUUGCGUCUGCCAUAGUGAACCUUCAUUGCAUAACAUUGAAUUAGAGAGGAAAUAUUCAUGGCUGCAAGGAUGAGUUAUCACCGUGCUUCCCCUUUAGUGGCGGGGUCCAGUAAGGAUGUUUUAAUAUCCACUACGCCUUGGGAAUUCUGGCAGACUCACUUACAGGAACAACAUCAUGAAAAGUACCCUUGUUUAUUAUAGUAUCCUCAAAGACGAGAACAUAAUCACCACUUUCUAUUCACUUUUGUAGCUGAUGGAGAACUUUGGACACCACGCAUUCAUGCAUAAGUAGCUUGACGAGUUCUACCCACUGCACUAGCAAAGAAAGCAAAGCUCCAUGGCCAAAGACAAAAUCACUACAUCUAGGGGGGAAUCACUAGCAAUAUAUCUUAGGGUCCACACGGCCUGCUCGCAAACAUCAUCACUUGGAGAACCAGGAAGUUUUGCAAACAUCGGAACGGCCCUAUGAUCGAUUGCCAUUUUGAAAUGCAUAAUAGAAAGAAGAAUGCCCUGCUCGCAUCUCGCUCCAAACAGUCUAACACAAACUAACCCCUUCCACUGAGGGUUCUUUGCCUCAAGUCACCUUCUUCAUCCUUACACCCACAUGGCGUACACGUGAUUUUCCUCAACCCUGUUCAUACUCUCUUCUUUUCUUUGGUAAGCUUCUUCUUCAAACUUUCAGAGUCUUCUCAAAAACACCCAGUCCGGACAAUCAAACUCAAACAAACUACCCGCACUAAAAGAAAUAGAAAACAGAGGGUAGAGAAUGAAGAAGGAAAACAGAGCAAGAAUGGAUGGAUUAAGGAAUUACUAAGCAACAUCUCGUUUCAUGAAUGAUGAACGAGUGGCUAGCUGGUGGGAUGAGUUAAAAAUCCACAAUAUAAUCAUCAGAACAUCUAAACCAAACUCAAUGAGGAUCCAAUCAUUUUCAGAAGAAAAGAAAAUCAAGCACAAGAAAGAGAUGAAGCAGAGCAUCAUACAUGAAUAAGCAUAUUCAAUCGAAACAAAUCCCGUGGCCCUUGACGUCCACGGCAAACAAUCCAAACUUUGCUCGUAAAUCAGUAGAGAAUGCGACAGUAUAUUAAGAAACAAGAACAUACCUAGCUUGAGGGUUGUCUGAGAAUUCCACGGGCAAUCUUCUUCAACCACUCCUUCUGGCCAUGGAGUACCACCUUAACUCUCAGCAAGAUCACUCUCUCUCAUCUCCAAGCCUUCCAGCUAAGAAUCUAUCACUUCCUCAAUGGAAAAAUGGCUCCCUCUUAGCAAUGGAUCCCCUCCUCUCUUCUAAAAAUAUCUCUAACGGCAGCCCAGACCACCUCUGAAAGGCACACCCCCCUCUAACUCUCUCACUAGUAGCCUAGAAAUCACCUCUCAGCAACCUUCUCUCUCUGGUUUUCUCUCUGAGCUCCUCUCAAUCUCUAGCUAAGCAAUGCCCUCAAAAAUAUCUCUCUCCCCCUGCCUCUAAAAUCUCUCAGACCAGCAUGAAAAGCCUCUCCACUUGCAAGAGACGCUUCCCCUUUCUGCUAGAAAACAACAACCAAAAGCACCACCUCCUCUAAGCUCUCUGGUUCUCCUACUCUCUGCUAGAAAACUCCAACCAAAAGCCCACUCGGACCACUCUCUCUCACAGUUUCCCUUUCCUCUUGCUGAACGAAUCCCUUCAUACCUGCAGCUGGCCUGCUACUCCUUAAUAGAAACGCACUCCUCUAAUAACAGACUCCUAAUCCUCUGCAUAUCCUCCAAUAGCUGUUACUUUCUCAUUUGUCCAUCAGCUCCACUAAGCUGAUUCCACAGCCACCAACCAGGAGGCAACACUUGGCUUUCAAAGAGCCCUCCAGCUAGCAAGUGAGUUGCAAAAAAUGAAAGAAAAAAAAGGUGCCCCAAAUGGGGGUCUACAAAUAUACCCCUUUUCGGUAGAGCUCACGAGUGUAAGGAAUAUGAACACUGAAGUGAAAAAUAAGUGUGAAUAAUGAGUGCAAUGAAGUGAACUCUACCGAAGAACCAAGGAGACCCCCUAUAGGGACACUAGUGAAACACAAACUCACUCAGGCUAGCAGAUGAACACAAAGGCUCUAAUCCUAAAAGAGAAGGAUGUCACAAAAUGCCUCUGAAGCCACACUAAGGAUCCAGGCUCCCUUUAAGACGUCUCCAAAAGUGACUCGAAGAUCGAUGUCAAAGAUGAAUAAAGGUCGGACCACCCUGGAGUACGAACAAGAAUGCGUCUAAAGGAGAUUGCCCUAGGCGGACUAUGAGAUGAAUAUGCGAUAAAGCACAGGGUAAUGAAGUGAGGAAAAAUCGAGGAAGAAUGCAAAACCAUGAAGGUAAGAUGCGCAAUGCCAGUGAAUAGGAAUGCUAGGAGCUGCGACUCUGAAUGACAAGACUGACUCUAAAAGCCAAACUAGAAAAUAAAGCUCUGGAAGCCAAACAAAAAAGCUAACUCUAAACUGCUAAACUGAGAAAAUAACGGCUCUGGAAGCCAAACCAAAAAACUAACUCUAAACGCUAAAUUAGAAAAUAAUAGCUUUGGAAGCCAAACCAAAAAAAACUAACUCUAAAUGCUAAACUAGAAGGCUCAUAGGUGAAGACCUACAGUGGUGAAGUAACUGAAAGCCCAAGGAUGAAAAUCCCAGGUGGUGAAAUAACCGAAAGGCCCAUAGAUACCUGAUCCAUGGUGGUGAUAAAUCUGAAAUGCCCAUAGAUGAAAAUCCAUGAUGGUGAUAAUCUGAAAUGCCCAUAGAUGAAAAUCCAUGGUGGUGAUAACUGAAACAAAGGCUCAUGAAUGAAAAUCCAUGAUGGUGAAUCUGAAAUGCCCAUAGAUGUCUGAUCUAUGGUGGUGAUAUAACCGAAACAAAGCCCAUAGAUGAAAAUCUAUGGUGGUGAAUCUGAAAGCCCAAGGAUGAAAAUCCAUGGUGGUGAAAUAAUUGAAAUAAAUGCUCAUAAAUGAAAAUCUAUGAUGGUGAAAUCUGAAAUGCCCAUAGAUGUCUGAUCUAUGGUGGUGAUAUAAUUGAAAUGCCCAUAGAUGAAAAUAUAUGGUGGUGAUAAUCUGAAAGCCCAAGGAUGAAAAUCCAUGGUGGUGAAAUGACUGAAAUGCCCAUAGAUGAAAAUCUAUGGUGGUGAUAAUCUGAAAUGCCCAUAGAUGAAAAUCCAUGGUGGUGAUAACUGAAACAAAGGCUCAUGGAUGAAAAUCCAUGAUGGUGAAUCUGAAAUGCCCAUAGAUGUCUGAUCUAUGGUGGUGAUAUAACCGAAACAAAGCCCAUAAAUGUCCGAUCUAUGGUGGUGAAAAACCGAAACAAAGGGGGAUGCCCUAAACAAACUGAAGGUAGGGGGAUGCCCUAAACAAACUGAAAAUAGGGGGAUGCCCUAAACAGCUGAAAAUAGGGGGAUGCCCUAAACAAACUGACUCUGAAUUAGGAGACUGACCCCAAACACCAAACUGAGAAGAUAAUAGCUCUGGAAGCCAAACCAAAAAGCUAACUCUAAAUGCUAAACUGAGAAAAUAAUAGUUCUGGAAGCCAAACCAAAAAAAACUAACUCUAAAUACUAAACUAGAAGAACAAGGGAUCUGGAAUCCAAACCAAUAAAACUAACUCUAAAAGCUAAACUAGAAAGUAACAGCUCUGGAAGCCUAAACAAGACGACAGUAAUGGCUCUGGAAGCCUAAACAAGAUGACGGUAAUGGCUCUGGAAGCCUAAACAAGAUGACAGUAACGACUUUAGAAGCCUAAACAAGAUGACAAAAGGGGGAUGCCCUAGACAAGUUGACAGAAGGGGGAUGCCCUAAACAAGGUGAUAGAAGAGGGGUGCCCUAAACAAGAUGACAGAAGGGGGAUGCCCUAAACAAGAUGACAUAAGGGGGAUGCCCUAAACAAGAUGACAUAAGGGGGAUGCCCUAAACAAGAUGACAAAAAGGGGGACGCCCUAGACAAGAUGACAGAAGGGGGAUGCCCUAAACAAGAUGACAAAAAGGGGGAUGCCUUAGACAAGAUGACAGAAGGGGGAUGCCCUAAACAAGAUGACACAAGGGGGAUGCCCUAGACAAGAUGACAGAAGGGGGAUGCCCUAGACAAGAUGAUAGAAGGGGGAUCCCCUAAACAAGAUGACAAAAAGGGGGAUCCCUAGACAAGAUGACAGAAGGGGGAUGCCCUAGACAAGAUGACAGAAGGAGGAUGCCCUAAACAAGAUGACAGAAGGGGGAUGCCCUAGACAAGAUGACAGAAGGGGGAUGCCCUAGACAAGAUGACAAAAGGGGGAUGCCCUAGACAAGAUGACAGAAGGGGGAUGCCCUAGACAAGAUGACAGAAGGGGGAUGCCCUAAACAAGAUGACAGAAGGGGGAUGCCCUAGAUAAGAUGACAGUAGGGGAAUGCCCUAAGUGAUAACUCGUAAAGAUCGAAAAAUGGGUCCGACAACCAUGAAAUUAACACGAGACACGGUAAACCCAAAGAGAGGGGGUAUGCCCUAGUAGAAAAGCGCUAAAGGGGGUAUGCCCCAGUGUGACGACUCGCAAAGAUCAAGAAAUAGAUCAAGCAGUGAGAAAAACCGCAAAAGAUCUGAUGAACUCAAGGAUGGGGAGUAUGCCCCAGUAUGAUGACCCAUGAAGAUCAAGAAGUAGAUCGAGUAGUGAGAGAAUCUGCAAAAGAUCUGAUGAACUCAAGGAUGGGAGUAUGCCCCAGUGUAAGAUAGUAACCAACGUAAGACACGGAAUCUCACCAUACAAGACACUCCGGGAUAUGCUCAACGAUGAUGCAAUGAACAAGAUAUACAGAGCCUCAAUGAACAAAUGCUAAAACAAGUCCAAGCAUCACCAAAACUAUGCUGACAAAGCAAAACCAAAAUAAUGGAUCACACAAACGCUAACCAAAACUCUAAGUCUGAAAUGUAAGCAAAUCAAGACACGACAUAUCAACUAUCAACAUGAGAAUAUCAUCCCAAAUGUAUCAACAAUCUAAUAGACCCUACCAUCACGGAAGAUGUUGAACCUAAUGUCCAAAGGCAUGUGAAAACUCAACCAGAAAGCUCGAGACUAGUCUGUAUCUUCCUCUGAUCAAGAGAAAUGGGAUAAGGUCAUGUAAGACGAUGAAAUAUGUGGGCUCAAAAGAUGUAAGGCUCUGAUAAGAUGGGUGCAGGUAUAACAGUGUCCAAUGUAGGAUGUAUAGGUGUGUAACAAAGGAAAGUAGGUACCCAAAUCAAACUAGGUAUGCUGAGGAGACUGAGCCCAGGGUGUCAAUGACUCUAUGAUCCAUCGAAAACAACAAUCAUAAAUAGGAGGUGGAAUAUCAAUGUCAAAAUCAACAAGGUAGGUAUGCCCCAGUGUGAAUGCAUCAUCUCGAAAUGGAUAAGCUCUCGGUACAAGAUAAUCUCUAGAAAGUAAGCGUCUGGUAUAAACUGUCAUCUCACAAAAUCAUCAUCAAGACGAGUGGGCUAUGCCCCAGUGUAAGCAUCUCCAAAACAAACCUCCAUGAGAAUAGUACAACCAAUCAUACAUCAUCUGAUCGAAAUGAAUCUCUGCUCCUCAAAGUCAUCGUGGUAAUGUGAAGAGAGUAUCUGACCUCCUCUAAAGAAAGAGCAUGUCCUAAUGUGACCUGAUACCUCCAAGAUCAACCACCAAUGAAAGGGUUAUGCCCCAGUAUAGGGCAAACCCUAAAAUGACUAAACUCCGCUGCAUGCUCUCACAUGAAAGGGUUAUGCCCCAGUAUAGGGCAAACCCUGAAAUGACUAAACUCCGUUGCAUGCUCUCAUAAGUGCCCGUGCCAUGAUCCAGUCAUCUCAAAAAAUAUGUCAACCAUGAUGAGAAGGCUAUGCUCCUGUGAUCACAUCAAAGAAAUCACCCAAUCAUAUCUGGUACUCCAAAGUGAAAGGAAUCUAAACACCUCCAAGGAACAACUAUACCUAAAAAACUAUCAUCGACCGAAAGGGGUAUGCUCCUGUGUAAAGUACACCAUAUGAAAUACGCCAAUCAUGUCUCAUGCUCCAAUGUGAAAAAGGACAUCUGAUAUCCUCCAAGGAAUGGACAUGGCUCGAAAAAAUCCGUCAUCGACUGAGAAGAGUAUGCCUCGACAUAAUGGUCAUCCGAUAGAAAAACUCUCUGAGAUGGCUAUGCCCCAGUGUAGGGUCAUACCAUAACUCCUGGUCCAUCACAAACAAAAUGCUCCCGAAUCAAUCCCAAGUAUCGCUCACAUAAGAGCUAUCAAACACAACGUGUGAUGUCAUGGCCUCAGGGUGGUCUUAAGACACGGGACGUAACGUAGGUUAGGGUGAUAGGGUGAUAGAAAUGAAGAGAAACUAGGCCCAAAUACCCAAUGAUCAAAACCCAUGCCCUCAUGUAUAAAAUGCAACAUAUAUAGAAAAUAUCGUGAGCCAUGGACUUGAAGAUGCCUAGUGUGAACAUGGUAACAAUGAUGAUGCAAUGAAAAAAAAAAAAAAACCUAACUGAUGACGAGAUGUAUAAUGAUGGUGCGAAGAGAGCACCAAACCCAAAAAUGAGGUCACUAUAAGAACGGAAUAAGAGGUGAAAUAAAAAUGAUGAAUCAGAAGUGAAAACGAGGAUGAUGAUGAAGCAUAAAAUACAAGAACAAGUGAUGAUCUGCUCAAAUCAAAUAUGAAAGGAGGUCACGUCAAUAAUGAACACAAUGAUGGAAUGGACAAUGACCUAGAGUUCCUAAGAGAAGGCCACUCAUCUCGCUCUCAAAACAUACAACAAAAUGAAUACGAAGAAUGAAAGGUCCCGGGGAGCUCACAUACGAACUCUCAUCAAUAGACAUAUCCAACAAAGCGACCCUCGAACACUAACAUACACAUACUCAAUGAUAUAGAAUAAUACACACGUGUGCCUUUUUUUUUUUUUCAAUUUUUUUUUAUUACAUAUAUACAAAUAUACAUGCUCUGAACGCAAACAAAGAAAGACCUAAAGACGGGAUCAAAAAUGAAUAAACAUGCUCUCAAAUAUCAAUAUAUCACAAACUCUCUCUAAUGAUGUGACCCUCUCAAGCCAAGGAUCCCUGGAUCAACGUCCGUAGGAUAGAUAGUGGAAAAUGACAUGACUACCCUCCAUGUAAUGAACUGAGGAUGAUCACCACUCGGGGUGGGAGAAGAUGAAGCGGAACAAACGAUAGAUAUAAUAAAGAAGAGGAUGAAGAACCAACGAGAUGUGACGAAAUGCAAUGACGCAAUGAUAGGAAAAGAUAAUGAGAAAGAUGUGUCCCUCGGUCCAAGGCUCAUGAAACUCUUAAACAAUGCAUGCAUACACUGAAGGGCCCCUAUCCCGGUGUAGAAGGUGAGCAAGGCUAUAAGAAAUAAAAGGCUAUGAUGCUCAUGCGAAGCUCAAAGGGCUAGCAAUGGUCUAGAUGUCAAUGUAGGUAAUAGGGUGUGAGCUAACCGAAAUGAAGGCCACCCAUCCUGCGACCACGGUCUCAAACAUCGUGCUAUCAAGCCCUAAAAUGAUCAAUACUAAAGAUCGAUGUCCAUAUGAUAUAACCAUGUCAACCCUCUAGAAUCAUGUACCAACUGUACUCCAAAUGCUCCAUAAUAAUCUCAAAGAUGAUCAUCUCAAGGCAAAGUAAACGGUGAUCUCAUCAGGCACGACUGCUCAUCACAAGCCAACUCUCAUCAUACAAGAUCAAUCUCUAUACUCACGGAAAAUAAGUGACAGUCUCAUCAAGCAAUCGAUCAAUCCCCAUAUCGCAAACCACCUAAAGAUCAUAAGAUAUCCCUCGCCAUGCCAGAUCAACCUUGGGCUCAAACUCCUCACACUCUACCUAGUCGAAUCAGAGAAGGGAUGUGUAAAGCUAGAAAAAUCGAGGAUGGAAAGGUCAUGUAAUGGUCUCAAGGGUGGUGCUGUGCAAAGCUCAUAAUGGAUGGAUGUAGGUCAAAACAAAAGCAAGGUGUGGGAAGUGAGCAAGAUACUGCUAUGAUCAUAAGAAGAUGUGUCACAAUCUCGAACUCCCUAGGUCAAAUCUCUAAUCCUAAGCUAAUAGGCUCAAUAUCCUCCAUGAUAAGGUCAGGCCUCAAGACCACAAUGUGCAAGUGAAAAGACGCCUCGAGUAAAAAGUAUAACACAUCAUAUCACAAAACACAAAGAUAUGUCCAUAAAAGAAAAUGCAUCCAAUGAGAUAAUCCGAUGAGUACAUCAUGCAAAAGAAGGAUAACAAAGACAAUACUCAAGAAUCGAGUUAUAGUCUCUAAAAGUCAAAAGUAAAACAAGACCAAACAAACAAAAACAAAAACAGUGACUGGUCUUGUCAUCACAUCUUUGGCCACAGAGGGAACAAAAUCUAAGCGCCACCGUACCAAGGUAAGCCAAUCAUGAGUCAAUCGCCCAAGUCAAUAAGAUCACGGACUACUGGUGAAAGGGCGUCUGCAUGCAUGGCCUGAACUGAGGUAGGAAUAGGGAACAUAUCGGACUAAGGAUGCUAAACGUCCCAAUGGCAUGUCGUAGAGCAGUGCAACGAUCAGUGUGAUGUCCUACUUAUUGAUGGUACAUACAAUAUAAAUCAAGUCGAAACUGUGGAGGCACAGGAUCUGGAAGUGCCCUAGGAGCCAGAGGAGCCAAAAGUCCCAUGGCCUGGAACGUCUCAAAAACUCUGCUAAGGGGUGCGCUCAAAUCUGAAAAGUGUCUCCGACAUCGUCGAUGGGGGUGAAAUCGCUCCUGAGGAACUGCAACGAUCGGAGGGCCCCGAAGCCGGGAUGGAGGUCGCGCCAACGUAGCUAAUGAAAUGAAUGAGGAAUGCUGCUGGAGUGGGCGAGGUCGUGGAUGCGAGGCACCCAAAGUAACAAGUGUCGGUGAAGUCAAGUGUGGCAAUGAAGGCAUCGCUACUCCUGGAGCUCUUCUCGAUGACGAUGGAUGCUUCGACAAAAUAAGCUCAAUUCUCUCAACCCUUCGUGUCAAGUCCACCAUCAUCUCGUAAAGAGUAGUAAGAGUAAUGGGUGCGAUCUUGUCUGACAUGGCGAACCUCAACCGAAGAAGUCUAAUCUCAAUAUACUCUGAAAAUAUCNNNNNNNNNNNNNNNNNNNNNNNNNNNNNNNNNNNNNNNNNNNNNNNNNNNNNNNNNNNNNNNNNNNNNNNNNNNNNNNNNNNNNNNNNNNNNNNNNNNNAGUCACGACACUAAAAUUGUCCAAGACUCUAAGACAAACACAUGCAAGAGACAAAAACAAAGCAAUACAAAAUGCUACCCAAGAUAACAACACAUAAAAUGCAUGAUACGAAACAAUAAUGAUAAUAAAAAGAAGACAGAAACACAUACCCAAGAAAACAACAAUAUCACUAACUGAAAUGAGAGUACAUCAUGCAAAAUAAUAAGACAAUAAGGGUCUACUCUCGAAGCACAAGGUGCGAACUCAAAACACUAACUAUAAAACAAGACUCAAAUACAAAGAAAAAGAGAACAAAAACCCAAACGACCAACUAACAAAGUAGUCCCAAAAUACACCAACAAAGUCUGCAAUAUCAAAGUGUCCUGUGAAUAUCAGUGCCCUAGGUGUCUCAAACUGUGAUGGUAUAAGCCCGAAGGAGGAGGAACCGCAUGCGUGGAAUAAACUGAAAAGGAAUCAGCAGUCAUAUCUGGACCAAGAUCAGUGUCUGUAGUCGAUAUAGGAAAGCUAGUUGCACCACUGUCAAUAAGAUCAUGUAUGGUAUGACGUAGAGAAACACAAUAAUCAGUAUGGUGGCCUGCCAUCUGGUGAUAUGCACAGAACUCAUGAGCACAAAAACGCAAAGGUAAGGUACUCGGGGGUGGUCUAGGGGCCAAUGGUACUAAAAAACCAGUAGAUCUGAGUUGCUCAAAAGCUCUAUCCAAAGGCAUCCCCAAAUCAGAAUAAGUCCUCUGAUGUCGUCGAUGGGGACGAGACUGCUCAUGUCGUGGGAUACUAGUAUGUGGACGUUGAAACUGAAAUGAAGGUCGCACCGUGACAGUAUGAGGAUGCACAGAAGGGUACUGCUGAACUGAAUGAGGAUGAUGAUGUUGUAAAGGCGGGAAAUCACUCCUGGGUAUCUGCAAUGAUCUCGCAUAGGGAUGAUAACUAGGUCGUCGAUACUGAAAGUCCGCAGAACAUACGCCUCCAUAGCUCUCAAAUGAUCCACCAACCCCUUUCCCUUCAAUAUCCGGAGAAGGAAUAAUAUCUGACCAUAAUCCUCUAGAUAUGCCAUCAUCUACAUCAAACAAAGCCUGAACCAAUGAUCUGAAAUCCUGGAAUGGGACUCAUGUCAGAUGUCGAGCGAACCUAGGAUGCAAACUCCUCAAAAACAUGCUCAUCUGAUCUCUCUCGGUAGGUCACUCAAUCAUCUCCGCAGCCUUCUCCCUCCAGCGGGAGAUAAAAGAAGAAACAGACUCAUCUGAUCCCUGUCUAAGAAGCUCAAGCUCUCUACAUGUAAUGCUCGUAUCACCACUGAAUGAAUACUGUCUCAAAAACUCCUGUGCUAAGCCCUUCCAAGUUCUCCGACGAGAUGACUCUAAUGAAGCGUACCAUCUCUGUGUCACGCCGCUCAAUGACAAUGGGAACCAAGUGAGCAACUGUGCCUCAUCUAGACCAAGAGCUCUCAUAACUGUGCUAUAAAGUCUGAGAUGAAUACGAGAACAUCCAACACCUAUAUAUCUCUCUAUAUCCGGCAUCCUAAAACGGACUGGCAAAGUGGCCACUGGCACAGUGCCAAGGUCAUCCCACGGAAUCAUCUCAUCAGGAUCUCUCAUUUGUCCAAUCCUCCGCUCGAGUCUGUCCAUACGAGAACGAGGAUCCUCAACAAUGGUAACUGGUGUGACAAUAGGUGGAACGACAGCAGCCCGAUCAUGUGAAAUAGUAUGCAAAGUCUGUGUAGCUGGCAUCUGAACGGGUAUAACAGGUGGCAUCACUAUAUCAGAUGGCGUGUCCUCGAGCACUACAUGCCUACUCUGCUGAGUAUCCAUUCUCUAACUCAAACUGGCCAAUGCCUCCUGAAUCGAAACCACAGAAGCAAUAAGUUAACCAAUCGAAACUGACUAUGAAUCCGUCUAUAGCAGCUCAGAGAUACGAAUCAACCUCUAUCCCACUCAACCCAGGGCACUGAACCAAGACUGGGACUACAAACAGACCCUUACAAAAGAACUCGAACAAAACGACUCAAACACAACUCAUGCAACGACACGAGAUGUAACGAACAAUGACCAAUGCAUGAUACAAUACAAUCCACUACAUGAUAGGGUGCGAUACACAAUCAUAUGGUGACAAUCAAAAUUUGGAUAUACGAUAGAAUCUCUAAAGUCACAUGAGUAUCUGGUGUGAGACAACUACAAAUACAACUAAAGAAUUUCUAUCGAUGAUCCAAAAAAUGAUCGAGGUGUGAAGAAAGUAAAUGGGGUGUGAAGAACACUAUCACGAGAUCGAUACUCAAUCUAUAACAAAAUAUUUUGGAUUGAACCUUCAACUCGAGCUCCAUAAGAAAAAAAAAAUGAUAAGAUGAUCAAGGCGAAUCUCUCAAAAAAUGUGUGAAUAUGAAAAUAUGCCUUUCACCUUUCUGUAAUGAAAAUAUGAGCAUCGAGUUGAAAGUCGAACUAAUGAUCAAACAAAUGAUGAGGUACUGAGCUCGUGAUAGGUGUAUAGUGUAAAAAGAUGAUCAAUGAACAUAUCCCAAAGUAUCGAGCGAGUGAAAACAAAGUGAAGGGGUGUGUUGAGCCAAUAAAUGAGAACAAAAAACCCUAGGGAGAAAAUAUGCUAAACUCAUCGAGUGAAAAACACGAACUAAGGUGACAAGACGAAAGGUGACUCAACCGAUACUCAAACUCAUACCAAUUUCCGAGCACUCUCAACUGGAGACUAAAAUGAGGGAAUACUGGAUCCGAACUGUAACUAAAGAGGCUCUAAAGGCCCUCAGAUGCACCCACGUGUAGGGAGGGAGUCCUAAUAGAAGGAUCUACGGCUCAACCUACGAGGUCAUGGUGGCUCUAAAUAGAUAUGGGUGGACUUUAAAAGAUCCCUAGUAGAAGCGAUCAUACCCUCCGGCGGUACACAACCCUCUGCACGCCUCCGAAGAGACGGGGCGCUUCCAUGCAAGGUGGUCAUCACUUCCACACAUGCACUACCUCGCAUCCCAGGGGGCUCCUAUAGUGAAAGCUCUCACACUCUCAACACUCAAUAGUCAACUAAAGUGCACAGUGAAUGAUGUGGGUGCAUCCGAAAACCCUAAGAAGCUAAAACAGGAGAAAAAAACACACUGGUCGCACAAAUAUCCAUAAAACCUAGCUCGGGGCUAUACAUGUCUUCAAUGAUCGGACUCCAAUCGACAACAAUGUGCCGCUCUGCUCCAGAAUGCUCCCAAACAUCGGUAUAGCUCGUUGCUAGACCCUACUCCUAACAUCUGGCUCGAUCAGAGAAUCAAGCACACACAAGGCCUCACACUUGCAAAAGUGAUAGCCGAAAUGAAGAAAAUGACCGAAAACCAGAGGGUUGGAGGUAAGGGGAUAGAUGUGCGGCCCACACGGACAGACAUCAUGCAAUCACACAAAGGAAGGGUAGUCAUACACCAUACAGUCAAGCAGAGUACAGGUAUAUCACUCAAGUCCACACAAACUAUGACGAUCAAGACAAAUAGUGAUACAAACAUCAUGCUCAAAAGACGAUCAAGGCAAUAUGCAAGCUAGAGAAUCAACAUAUCAAGUCAAAUGAUAUACACCAGUGAAUCCAUGCAUGUGAGGUUAACAGAACAAUCAUGGCAAAAUCAGAAUGACUAUGCUAAGCAAGGCAAAAUGAUCAAUCAAUAUAAUCAGCAUGUCAAUGUACUCAACAAACAUGGCAAUGAAGCACAGAAAAAAGUAUAAUCCUCAAUCAAGAUAAUCAAUCUCAUAAUCAGCAUGUUAAAUGUCUCAUACAAAUAUAUCAAUGAAGCAUGAAGAAACUGGCUAUAUUAGAAUCCCCAAUCAAAAUAAUCAACCAACAUGAUCAACAUGUCAAUGUCCCAAGUGAAAACUCGGGAAUUUUCAAUGUGCAAUCAAGAGAUGAGUACCCACUGAUUGACUCACCAAAUGCCACAUUUGCUUCACUUUAAGUUCAAGCUUGACCCUCUAAACGAUCCCCAGUGGAGUCGCCAUUUUGUGGACCCCGCAUUUCGGCUCAUGCGUUUCCCACUCGAUGGCGAGCUCGAUUUUUAUUUGAAAAAAUGAUUUUAUUUAUUCAAAAAUGACUUGGAGUCGCCACUUAUUUUUGUUUUUUAAAAGGGUAAACAAAAUAAGAAAGAAAACCCUAAGUGCGACUCCUUAUUUUGGAAAAGGUGAUCUACGAAAAAACCGGAUCGGAUUCGGGGGUCAGGUUACUUAUAGGGAAGGUACGGUAAAAACCGUAGCACCCCUCUAAGUCCCUAAGGUCGGGUCUCUACUAAUGAGAUGAAGCUGACAUAACAAUCAAUGUGAAAUCAAUGAAUACUCGAAUCAAUCAUACACAUAUGAGUAUCAGAAUAUGCAUAGAGAAUAACCAAAGUGGAAGUGGAUGCGUACCUGAUCAGCAAACGGCAACGCGCUAUCACAAAAGGGGGUUGGUGCAUGGUAAUGAACAUAAAACAUGUCACUCAUAUCACCAAAUAGGAAGAAACACCAAUAGCACGCAUGUCGACAUUUCAUUCAAAUUCCUUUUUAUUUUGAAGAAAAUUUAUUUGAUGUCGGGCCCCCACCAAAGCCCAUUUAUUUUUACAUGAAUUAAUUCCAUAAAUUCCAUUAUUCGGAAUUACGGAAUUUAAUUCAUACUUAUUUUAAAACAUUUUAAAACAAAAGAGAUGUUGAAAUUGUUUGCCAGAAGGAAAGAUGGCAACCAAGUUUAUUAAAAAUGAGAUUCUUGGGUGAUCCUAAAAAUCCUAAGGAUGAAAUAUGAGAAAAUUGGGAUUAUUAGAAAAUCAGAAUUUUGAUAAAGAUAUUUACAAAAUGGGAUUUGAGAAAACAUUUUCAAAAUCAAAUGAAAAAAAAUCCAAGAAUGUCACAUGGCCCAAAGGUGGCCCAUACUAAAGAUGGCCAAUGCAUAGCCUGGUAGGAAUAGGGUCCAGUUGACUUGUGCAUGCUGGGGCUGUUGAUAGACACUGCCUGUAGGUCCCACUAUAUCAACAAUACCGGCCAUUGUCUGAGAUUGAUGCAGAAGUGGAUGAAUAGUUGCUGUCACUACUCAUGCAGGAUGAUGGAUACCCAAAACAGUAGUAACAUCGAGCUUCUCUGUGGUCACGGGUUGUAAUUUCACCUUGUUCAUGCUUCUUUCCCAUCUCUUGGCAACCUCGGCUUUCUAGAAAAUCUGGCAUGUGUCUUUCAGCAGUUACAUGAGCAUCGAUGCACUGAAUGAACUUCUAAGUUGCCCUUGCUGGUUCAAGCACAAUAAAGGGAGCAUCCCAAGGAUGAUGGAUUCACUCAGUGACCCACCUGUAAGUAACAAUUCUAAGGGUGUUUCACGACCCUGUGCAGGAAAUAUUUUGCUCCAUAUAUCAACGUUUAUCCCAUCCGCGACAUGAUCACUUCUCCCUUCCACACCAUCUCUAUAUUUCUAGAAGAAACUCCAUGAUCAGGUAACUCAAUAAAAUCCCCAGUGCUAGAUAUUUACAAAACGAGUAAUAAGCGUAGCACCUGCAUGAAGCCCAGGAUUUUUACCAUCCUUGUCAUCUACUGCCACUUGGAACUUUGACCUCUGAUUUUGAGCCUUGGUUAUCGGUUCUGUUUCUUUAUCAACCCCAACUUCAGAAUCAGGUCCAGAGAUUUCACAAUUCUCUUCGCGUGAUUGCAUGGCUACAUAAUCUCUGAGAAGCAGAGAUCUAAAGAGUGCAUCAGCGGAUUAUAAAGUCCGAGGGAUUCAAUGGCGACGAAAGGGAUAGAUUCUCAGAGGUAAUGAUUGCGUCUGUCAUAGUGAACCUUCAUUGCAUAGCAUUGAAUUAGAGAGGAAAUAUUCAUGGCUGCAAGGAUGAGUUAUCACCGUGCUUCCCCUUUAGUGGCGGGGUCCAGUAAGGAUGUUUUAAUAUCCACUACGCCUUGGGAAUUCUGGCAGACUCACUUACAGGAACAACAUCAUGAAAAGUACCCUUGCUUAUUUUAGUAUCCUCAAAGACGAGAACAUAAUCACCACUUUCUAUUCACUUUUGUAGCUGAUGGAGAACUUUGGACACCACGCAUUCAUGCAUAAGUAGCUUGACGAGUUCUUCCCACUGCACUAGCAAAGAAAGCAAAGCUCCAUGGCCAAAGACAAAAUCACUACAUCUAGGGGGGAAUCACUAGCAAUAUAUCUUAGGGUCCACACGGCCUGCUCGCAAACAUCAUCACUUGGAGAACCAGGAAGUUUCGCAAACAUCGGAACGGCCCCAUGAUCGAUUGCCAUUUUGAAAUGCAUAAUAGAAAGAAGAAUGCCCUGCUCGCAUCUCGCUCCAAACAGUCUAACACAAACUAACCCCUUCCACUGAGGGUUCUUUGCCUCAAGUCACCUUCUUCAUCCUUACACCCACAUGGCGUACACGUGAUUUUCCUCAACCCUGUUCAUACUCUCUUCUUUUCUUUGGUAAGCUUCUUCUUCAAACUUUCAGAGUCUUCUCAAAAACACCCAGUCCGGACAAUCAAACUCAAACAAACUACCCACACUAAAAGAAAUAGAAAACAGAGGGUAGAGAAUGAAGAAGGAAAACAGAACAAGAAUGGAUGGAUUAAGGAAUUACUAAGCAACAUCUCGUUUCAUGAAUGAUGAACGAGUGGCUAGCUGGUGGGAUGAGUUAAAAAUCCACAAUAUAAUCAUCAGAACAUCUAAACCAAACUCAAUGAGGAUCCAAUCAUUUUCAGAAGAAAAGAAAAUCAAGCACAGGAGAGAGAUGAAGCAGAGCAUCAUACAUGAAUAAGCAUAUUCAAUCGAAACAAAUCCCGUGGCCCUUGACGUCCACGGCAAACAAUCCAAACUUUGCUCGUAAAUCAGUAGAGAAUGCGACAGUAUAUUAAGAAACAAGAACAUACCUAGCUUGAGGGUUGUCUGAGAAUUCCACGGGCAAUCUUCUUCAACCACUCCUUCUGGCCAUGGAGUACCACCUUAACUCUCAGCAAGAUCACUCUCUCUCAUCUCCAAGCCUUCCAGCUAAGAAUCUCUCACUUCCUCAAUGGAAAAAUGGCUCCCUCUUAGCAAUGGAUCUCCCCCUCUCUUCUAAAAAUAUCUCUAACGGCAGCCCAGACCACCUCUGAAAGGCACACCCCCCUCUAACUCUCUCACCAGUAGCUUAGAAAUCACCUCUCAGCAGCCUUCUCUCUCUGGUUUUCUCUCUGAGCUCCGCUCAAUCUCUAGCUAAGCAAUGCCCUCAAAAAUAUCUCUCUCCCCCUGCCUCUAAAAUCUCUCAGACCAGCAUGAAAAACCUCUCCACUUACAAGAGACGACGCUCCCCCUUUCUGCCAGAAAACAGCAACCAAAAGCACCACCUCCUCUAAGCUCUCUGGUUCUCCUACUCUCUGCCAGAAAACUCCAACCAAAAGCCCACUCGGACCACUCUCUCUCACAGUUUCCCUUUCCUCUCGCUGAACGAAUCCCUUUAUACCUGCAGCUGGCCUGCUACUCCUCAACAGAAACGCACUCCUCUAAUAACAGACUCUGAAUCCCCUGCAUAUCCUCCAAUAGCUGUUGCUUUCUCAUUUGUCCAUCAGCUCCACUAAGCUGAUUCCACAGCCACCAACCAGGAGGCAACACUUGGCUUUCAAAGAGCCCUCUAGCUGGCAAGUGAGCUGCAAAAAAUGAAAGAAAAAAAAGGUGCCCCAAAUGGGGGUCUACACAUAGGCUCUGAGAAAGUGGCCUCAAAAUGAAUACCCUCUAACUGAGUUUGAGGAGGAAUGUCAAGCUUGGGCCUUCUCUGUUCAAAAUCCCUUUGAGGGUCUAACCCACCCUCCAUCUCUCUGAUCUCAACCUCCUCCUCUACUCUGGGAUGCAUUUGUCCCUGUCCACGGGCCUGUGCUGGAGGUCGCUCAACUCUCCUAUUCUAGGAGCCAUCAAGGGCCUUCUUGAACUUCAUCCGCCCCAAGGACUGCUCAUCGUAAGUGUCAUAACUAGUAGGGGCCUCGAAGUCCGUCUCUCUACUCAAAUCGACCCCGGCAUCCUUGAAUACUUGAGUAAGGAAGCGGUCAUAGGGGAGUACUUGGGUCGUGCUCUCAUAGCAAGAUAUCAUAUGCAUCAUCAUCAGAAACCCCACAUAAAUUCGUCUCCCCGUUAGAAUCGAGUCCACAAUGAAUGCCUCAAGGUAGAAGACCUCGUCUCGAUGUCCGCCUUGUGGCAAUAAGAUGGAGCAGAUCAUGUGAUGAAGGACUCGGCUAGUCAUGGUCAGGUUGUGUGCCAAUGGUUUGCCCAUCCCUUGGGUGUCUGCAAGUCCGCACAACCUCUGAAUAGCCUCUCUAGGCUCGAAACCCGGCACAGUGGGCCAAACCUUGGACUCAUACACCCGGAGUCCAACUGAAGGAAUGUCGAAAAUGCGGCAAACGCUCUUCGGGCUCAGUUUGAUCUCAACACCUCUAACAGUGGACAUGACCGGUCCUCCAAGUCCAUAGGUCACCCGUGAAUAAAAUGCACGCACUAGAGUCGGGAAGAUCGGCUCGAAAAUCAUCACAACUAGCAGCCAUCCCAUCCGACUAAAGAGUCUCUCAAACCUAAAGUACUGAAGUUGGGAAAAAUUGAUACUUCUCCCUAGAAUGACUUUUCUCUAGGCGAAUUUUUGGUUGUAUCUUUGAUAUUCUUCGACGGAAUUGAAGAGGGUCGUGUCAUACCUCGCCUUUCGGCGAGCCUCUGUCUGCUCAGGCUGAGAUGGCUCAGCAGGGCACUUGCCCUCAACCCUAGAGGCAGCCAUCUCUCUCCUAGGCGCCAUCCGAAUGGCGGAAAAGGAAUAAAUAAAGUCUGAAGAGAGAAUGAACCCAAACAAGAGAGAAUGAAAUCCAACCAGAAGCCCUAAACGCACGGAGAUGGAGCUGAACCUGGCUGAGGCACACGGUUAGAGAGGAAUCACUCCCAAAACGAAUUCCUAGGUCUCAGAUCGAAACCCUAGCCUCAAAAAUGUCCCAAAAUCAACUCCAAGGCCUGCAAACGGUUCAAGAUCUUGCCCAAACUGAUCUUUGGAAGCAGGAAUGUGAAGAGUCUUAAGGAAUGGAGGAGAAUAGUGGAGAAAAUGAAGCGCAGGAGCCUCUUUAAAUCCCCAGCCCCGACGAACCGGUCGACCGGUUCAUGAACCGAUCGACCGCUUGGUCAACGAUCAACGAUCAAUGGUCAAUGCUCCAAUUUUUUGCUUUUUCUUGUCUCGUGAUCCUUCUCCUGCCAUUUUCUGUUGAAAUCCCCAAUUUUUUAUAUCCAAUGCUAAGGGAAUUUUGAUUUUUGGUCAAAAUUUGACCUUUUUCCUAAGAGUAUUUCUAUAUGAUGCAUAUGAUAUGAAAUUCAUACAAUCAUAGGGUAUAUUCAACAAAAAUUCAUCAGACAAUCAUUUGAUCAUAAAGAAAUCACCCCUAGUUGUCUUCUAAUAUCAACAAAUUGCUCUUCACUUAGAGGAUUUGUAAAAAUAUCGACAAGUUGAUUUUUUGUGCUUACAAAUUCAAGUGUAAUGUCACCUUUUUGUGCAUGGUCUCUAAGAAAAUGGUGUCUAAUCUCUAUAUGCUUAGUCUUAGAGUGUUGCACAGGAUUUUUUGAAAUGCUUAUGGCACUAGUGUUAUCACAUUUAAUAGGAACGUGCUCAAAAAAAAAAAAUUGAAAUCACUAAGUGUUUGUUUCAUCCAAAGGAUUUGUGCACAACACAAACCGGCUGCUAUGUAUUCGGUUUCCGCCGUUGACAAGGCUACCGAAUUUUACUUCUUACUAUGCCAUGAAACAAAUGAGUGUCCUAGGAAAUGACAAGUGUCACUAGUGCUUUUCCUUUAAACUUUACAACCGGCAAAGUCGGCAUCUGAGAAUCCAAUUAAUUCAAAGUUAUCACCUUUAGGAUACCAUAGGCCUAUGUCCAUUGUCCCUUUCAAAUAUCUAAAAAUUCGUUUUACGGCACUUAAGUGAGAUUCUUUAGGACAAGAUUGAAAUCUAGCACACAAGCAUACACUAUACAUGAUGUCGGGUCUACUAGCGGUCAAAUAUAGCAAAAAACCUAUCAUGCCUCUAUACAUAGUUGAAUUGAUGGACUUACCUUUCUCAUCCUUGCCAAGCUUGAUCGAUGAGCUCAUUGGAGUCUUCAUUGUUUUAGCUUCUUCCAUGUUAAACCUUUUGAGAAGAUCUCUUAUAUACUUUGCGUGAUUGAUGAAGGUUCCUUCCUUUAGUUGCUUGAUUUGAAGUCCAAGGAAAAAGUUAAGUUCUCCCAUCAUGCUCAUUUCGAACUCACUAUGCAUGCAUUUAGAAAAUUCUUCAAGACCUUCGAUGUAGUGAUGAAAUUGUGAUACAUAAGAAAUCCUAUUUGUUUUUAUUAGUAGCUCCAAAAUAGAUAUCAUCAACGUAUAUUUGCAUUAAGAGCAUGUCAUUUUCUUUGGCUUUUAUGAAAAGAGUUGUGUCAAUUUUCCCAUUUUAAAACCCUUUUUCAAAAGAAAUUUACUCAAUCUUUCAUACUACGCUCUAAGUGCUUGUUUCAAACCAUAAAGUGCCUUUUUAAGUUUAAAAACAUGAUUAGGAAAGUUAAAACUUUGAAAACCGGGUGGUUGUUCAACAUAUACUUCUUCAUUUAUAAAGCCAUUUAAGAAAGCACUUUUCACAUCCAUUUGGUAUAAAACAAAGUCUUUAAAACAUGUAAAGACAAGUAGCAUCCUAAUGGCUUACAAUCUAGCUAUAGGAGCAAAGGUUUCUUCAUAAUCUAUCACUUCUUCUUUAUUAAAACCUUGGGCUACCAAUCUUACUUUAUUCCUUAUAAUUAUGCCAUUUUCAUCCAUUUUAUUUCUAAAGACCCAUCUAGUUCCAAUAACACUUUGAUUUUGAGGUCUUGGCACCAAUUCCCACACUUCACUUCUUUCAAAUUGGUUUAACUCUUCUUGCAUAGCAAUCAUCCAAUUUUCAUCAACUAGAGCAUCAUUUAUAUUUUUAGGCUCAAUUUGAGAGAUAAAAGCAAGAUUAUUGCAAAUAUUUAUAAGAAAUUAUCUAAUUCUUACCCUACUAGACGAAUUACCUAUAAUUUGAUCUUGUGGGUGGUUGAUGACAAACUUCCAAUCUUUAGGAAGGUCUUGGCUUGAUUCACCUUGAAUUUGUUGAGGAGGAGGUAGUGCCAAAGGUGAUUCUUCUUUCUUGGGAUCCUCUACAAUUUCUUCUUGUUGCCUUCAAUUUUUAAUUUUCCCAUGGAGGUCUCCAAGCCUGAAUCAUCAUCAAAACUCUCUCUUUCUUAGAGAGAAUUGUUAGAUUCAUCAAAAAUAACAUGGAUGAACUCCUCUACAACCAUGGUUAUUUUGUUAAAAACUCUAAAGGCUUUACUUGAAGUUGAGUAACCAAGAAAAAUUCCAACAUCCAAUUUUGCAUCAAAUUUUCCAAGAUUGUCUUUGGUGUUUAAUAUACAACAUUUGCACCCAAAGAAUUUGAAAUAGCUAAUGUUGGGUUUCUUGUUUUUCCAAAGCUCAUAGGGAGUUUUCUUAAGAAUAGACAUCAAUAAAAUUCUAUUUAAAACAUAACAAGAAGUGUUAACCACUUUGGCCCAAAAAUAUUUUGAUAAAUUAUUUUCAUUUAGCAUGGUUCUAGCCAUUUCUUGAAGAGUUUUAUUUUUUCUUUCAACUACCCCAUUUUGUUGAGGAGUUCUAGGAGCUAAAAAAUUGUGGUUAAUACCAUGCACAUUGCAAUAGUCUUCAAAAUCAAUAUUUUCAAACUCUCUCCCAUGAUCACUUCUUAUACAAGUAAUUGUAAAACCUUUUUCAUUUUGAACCUUGUUGCAAAACUUUGAAAACUCAUAAAAAGCUUCAUUCUUUUGGCUUAAAAAUAAGACCCAAGUGUAUCUAGAGAAGUCAUCCACAAUAACAAAUGCAUAAGAUUUUCCUCCAAGGCUUGGUGUCUUAGAGGGACCAAAUAAACCCAUAUGCAACAAUUCAAGAGGCUUAGUUGUUGAAAUGAAAUUUUUGUUUUUAAAAGAGUUUUUGAUUUGCUUUCCCAUUUGACAAGCUUCACAAACUUUGUCUUUUUGAAAAUUUAUUUUGGAAAGGCCUUUAACAAGUUCAUCUUUGUUGAGUUGGGAAAUGAGGUCCACGUUAGCAUGCCCCAACCUCCUAUGCCACAACCAACUUUGAUCAUGCAUGCUUGAAAAUCAUCUAUCAUGGCCAUCAUAUUUUGAAAUAUUUAUAGCAUAAACAUUAUCAUAUCUAUGGCCCAUGAAGAUGGUUUUAUCAUUUUGAAUAUCUUUGAUGAUGCAAUGAGAUGCUUUAAAAAUCACUUUAAAACCUUUGUCACAAAGUUGACUUAUGCUCAAAAUAUUAUGUUUUAAAUCAUCCACUAAUAAAACACUUUCAAUAAGAAAGGAUGUGUCAUUACCAAUGUUGUCUUAACCAAUAAUCCUUCCUUUUGCAUUGUCUCCAAAGGUAACGUAUUCUCCCUUUCUCUUUGCAAGGAAGGCAAACUUGGAUUCAUCCCCGGUCAUGUGUCUUGAGCAUCUACCAUCCAAGAACUACUUAUCCUUCUUUGAACCCUCAUCAAGAUCAUCUAUUGCCAUGAAGCACAUGUUUGCCACUUCUUUCUCCUUUUCUUCUUCGGAGGAUUCUUCACUUUCACUCCAAGUGACCAUCAUUGCCUUUUUCAUUCUUCUCUUGGCUUCACUUUUGUAGAAAGGACAAUCAUAUUUGAUGUGUCCCGGUUUUUUGCAUUUGAAACACACCAAAUCUUUUUUCUCUUCCCAUUUCUCCUUGUCACCAUGAGAUGAGGAUUCCUUUUUAGAAGGGUCUUUUCUAGAGGUGAAUUUUCUUACUCUAAACCUUUCACUCCUCAUGUAUUUGUUAAGCUUUCUUGUGAUGAGGGCUAAAUCAUCACCUUCCUCACUUGGUUUUUCUUCUUCAACAUCUUCUUCUUCCUUGGUUGUAGCUUUGAGUGCUAUGCUCUUUUUUUUUUUAUCUUCACCCUCUUGUAGCUUCUUUGCCAAGUUAAUCUCAUAUGUCAUCAAUGACCCUAUGAGCUCUUUCAUAGGUAGCUUAGUCAAGUCUUUUGCUUCUUGAAUUGCGGUGACCUUGGUAUGCCACUUUGAUGGGAGAGACCUCAAUAUUUUCAUCACCUUCUCGGAUUCCUUGUAGGUUUUUCCCAAAGCUUCAAGACCAUUGACAAUGUCAAUGAACCUAGUAAUCAUCUCAACAAUAGUCUCAUUUUCUUUCAUUGAAAACAAUUCAUAGUUAUGAACAAGUAAAUUAAUUUUUGACUCUUUCACUUGAUUUGUUCCUUCAUGAGUUAUUUCAAGCAACCUCCAAAUUUCUUUAGUCGAUUUGCAUUGACAUAUUCUAUUAUAUUCAUUUCUAUCCAUAGCACAUUGCAAAGUAAAAACGACUUUAGCAUUUAAUUGAAAGUUUCUUUUAUCAAGCUCAUUCCAUUCUUGCUUGGGUUUUGGAACCAAAACUCCAUCAACUAGUUUAGUGGGAAAAGUUGGGCCAUCUUCAAUGACGUCCCAUACAUCUAAAUCAAUUGAUUGUAAGUAUCAAGUCAUUCUAGUUUUCCAUUAAGGAUAGUUGGUUCCCGUAACGAAUGGAGCUCUAUGUUUUGAAAAAAUUUCAGUUUGAGAUGAGCUUGAUGGAAUAGUCAUUUCAUCUUAGAUGAUUAAGUCUUUAAAACAAGAGGUCUAGCUUUGAUACCAAUUGAGAAAAUAAAGGUUAUGCUUAAUUAAGAAAACAACCUAAAAGGGGGGGGGGAGGGGGGGGGGNNNNNNNNNNNNNNNNNNNNNNNNNNNNNNNNNNNNNNNNNNNNNNNNNNNNNNNNNNNNNNNNNNNNNNNNNNNNNNNNNNNNNNNNNNNNNNNNNNNNGGGGGGGGGGGGGGGGGGUGAAUUGGGUUUUUUAAAAUCUUUUUAAACACAACAAGUUCAAGCACAAUAUAAACAAAAAUAAAGAGAUAGAGUUAGAGAAUUCAAACUCGGGUUUUAUAGUGGUUUGACACUUCCUUGCCUACGUCUACUCUCCUCAAUCUCCUAACCAAGUGAGGAUUCCACUAACUUGAAGCUUCAACCAAGCUUCCAAUUUUCUUACACUUGGAUUUCGACUCCAGUGGUCUCUUACACAAUCUCUUCAAGAUUCAAACCUCUUGAAGGCUUUAACACUCAGCUUUUACAAGAAUGAAUCUCUCAACCUAGCUUACGGAUAGCUCAAAAUAUAAGACAAAGCUAGGAUGACACACAAGAGUGCACUAAAGGAUAUGAGAGCUUUUGGGUCAAGAACAGGUAGGUAAACAAUUGAUUCCAAGUGUUCUCUUAUCAAUAAAUGAAGUGGAGCUCUCAAUUUAUAGGUUUCUAAGCUCGAGAGCUAAAAACAGUAAAAGGUAACCUCGACCGGUCAAGCUAGGGGUCGACCAGCUCACUAGCAAUUGGAAAAUUUAAUGCUUGAUAGGUUACCGUUGCCUUGACCAAACCUCGACCGAACCUCAACCGGGAAGAGAUGAACCUCGACCGGGAAGAGAAGGCUACAGGGAGAGAGAGAAGAUUUUGGGCAUCCCUCGACCGGACAAGGGUAACCGGUCGACCGGUUCCCUAACCGGUUGAGCCUUUUGGCCCUGAAAACCUAUUUUUUUCAAUUCCUUUCUUUUCUAACACUUAGGCAAGGUCUUUAAGUGAAUUAUUAUGCCAAUUUUAAAACAUUUUGCCUAAGGUACAUGUAAUGAAAUCAAAGUUUUAAAGGAUAAACCGAGUUUUCUAAGUUGCAUGAAACGGUAUGAAAAUCCUAAGUGCACUCAUGCAUUCAUCUUACAUUCGUUUCCUAUGAUCACAAGUCUUCCAAAAGUCUCGAUCUUGUAUCUAUUUGGUCCUUUGAUGAGUUUUCGAGUUUAUGCCAGAGAUUCUUAACCAUUAAACUAAUUAGUUACUUAACCAUGGUUUGUUAUCAUCAAAACCCGAUUAGGAGAACCCUUGGGCUAACAAUGAUAUUUGGGAAAAAAAAAUUGACCAUAAGUCAUUCACCAUUUUGUCAACCAAACCAUUGAAAAUAUGAUUAAUACACCUAUAUGGACAUAUAACUUAGGAAAGAUAUGAAAUUUGUAUUGUUGUACAAGGGUAUUACACUAACUGUACAAGGAAAAUGUGCCAAGUAUACAAGGGUGUACAAGACUCCUAAUAGGUUUUGUACGAUUUUUAAACAACUUGAGUUUGACAUUAAGACGAUUAUUAAUAGUUUUUUUUUUUUUUUUUUUUACCAAACUAUGUCAUUAAGACAUUCCCUACAAAAAUUAACACAAAGGAAAUAAAAUUAAAAUCAAUCAUGUUUGAAUUGUUCAUUAUAAGUAAACUAAAUGAAAUAUGUAUUUUUACUAUUUUGCCUUUAUAAACAUAAUUUCAUUGUUAUCAAUAGAAAUUAAAAAAAAAACAUAUUUAAAUGGAAUUAAAAAUAAAAAAAUUAUUUUUAUAACAUUUUUAUUUUUUAAAAUCAUUAAUUUAAAUCAUGAAAUUAGUUUUAAAAUUUAAAAUAUUUGUUGUAAUUAUAAUUUUGAAGAUUUCAUGAUUUUUAUCUUAUUACUUUGAAAAAAUUGCUUUAAUAAGAGAAUAUUUAUUUUAAUGGUUUUAAACAUUUAAGUCUUUAUUUAAAAAUAUUUAGGAUUAGUGUGGGAACAAUUAGAUAAUUUUGGAAUGGAGAAAUUUUGAAUAUUUUGAAGACUUUAAUUUGGCCAAUUACCCUAUUUACACUUUCAAAAAAAUAGAUAUAUAUAUAUAUAUAUAUAUUUGAAAUAAUAUGAGAAAUAAUAAACACCAUGUGUCUAAUUUGCAAGUUAGAAAAAAAAUUAAUAAUAUUUUAUGAGAUAUUUAAAAAGUAUUUAUUAUAUGUUCUAUAAAUUUUAAAAAAAAAUAUUUGAUGAUAUAUAAUUUACAAGUUAGAACAAACAAAUAAUACUAAUAUUUUAUGAGGUGUUUAAAAAUUAUUUAAUAUAUAUGAGAAAUAAUAUAAGUUUGAAAUAAAGAAUAAUAUUUAUUAUAUAUUAUGUAAGUUGAAAAAAAGAAUAAUAUUUGAUGAGGUAUUUAAAAGUUAUUCAUUUCAAAAAUGCAUUUAGCAAUAAUAAUUUUUAACCAUAUUUCAUAUUCAAUUUGAUGAAAAAUGAUUCAACUUGGUUCCACUAUUAAAUAAGUGAGAGAAGGGUAAAAGAGUCAAAAAGAGAAUGAGAAAAGUGAGGUGAUUGGUUAGUUUUUUAUAUUUAAUAGUCAAGGGUAUUUUACGGAUUUUUUAAAGACGAUAUCCUUCCUCUCAAUUUCUAUUCUUUUAUUGGGUUUUGGGUUUAAUUAUGAGUGAUAAGAGGACCUUACCUCAAUUACCCAACCUAGCUGGAUUGAAAACAUAAUUCUCCUUUUUUUUUUUUAAGAAAAAAAAAGUCCUACUAGUUUUUGUUAGGGUUAUUUAAUAAAAAGGGUCAUUAAAAACCCAAUUUUGAGAAUCUAACGCUCCAUUAUUUUUUUUACCACAUUUUGAUAAAAAUGUCCUCAUUCUUUUAUUAUAAAAAUAACGCUUUCUUUUAAAACCUACAUGUAAAUAGUUGAAAUAGUUAAAGGUAUUUAUGUCAAAAAUAGGUAAUUCUUCAAACAAAAACAUGGAAGAAGUUAAAUGGAUGAUUUCAUCCAUUUUAAUUAAUUCAUUCAUUUUUUAUUGCUUUUAAGAAAUCAAACAUAACUCAAAAUAUUAAAUAAUUAAAAAAUCACUGUCACAUCCAUACAUUGUUCACUUUAAGCAUGUAUUUUUUAUUAUUUUAAUAUGAUUUUAUACAAAAAUUUGCAAACAAGAAUGCAAUACUAAAUAUUCAAAAUAAAUGUACAAGGAAAAUAGGAAAAACAUAGGCUUGAGUAAAAAAAAUCUCACCCUAACCUUAAGCGUGCGAGUAAAAGUGAUUUUUCCGAUCCAAGAGCAAUUUCUUUGCAAAAAAAAAAUGAAAAACAAUGAAGAAGAUGAUAAAUAAUUAUAUAAAAUUGUUCAUACCGUUUUUAAAAUUUUUUGGGUUUAUUACACUUUAUUCCCCAACCUAUAUCGUGUUUUUUCACAUUGCCCCCUCACAUUUAAAAGUGAGCAAUGCAUCUUUCAUAUUUCAUAAAUACAUGCAUUGUACAUUUGUUGUAUCACGGUGUUAGUUGUAAUGAACUGAAGGCGCAUGUAUUAAACACGUGACAUGUUUAAGCGAAGGCAAAAUCCUUGAGCAAAGUUGUAUUUAUUUUAAUUUUUUUUUAUCAAUUAAAUUUUAAAUUUUAAAUUAAAUAAGUUCAUAAAAUUAGAAUACCAAAGUCUUACAUACAUUUAUAAACCAAACUAUUAAAUCAUUAAAUGUUGUUUUAUUUUGUUCUUUUUUUAGUACAUAUCACAUUUAUGAUAUUUAUAAAUAAUCUCUUUUGUUUAGAUUUUUUAAUUUUAGAAAGCGUCUCACUACUUUUGCAUUUGAAGAGAUAUACCUAUAUAGCGUUAGAUUAAUUGACAUUAAUUUGUUAUUUAUAUCAUACUGAAUACAUAUAGUUGGCAACAUUGAAGAGGAUUCGAUUCCCAUCUCAAUAUGGGUUGAAGUAGAGCAUCAGAAAGUUAAAAGCAAAAAAGGCUAGUGAACUGAGCUUGCAUAAAUGUUGCUUCAAAGCAUUCAUAUCUGUCAGCAGAGAGAAGAUGUAUGUAUAGUGAGAGCAUGGCAUAUUUCCAUAACUUAUGUGAGUUGUAAUAGUUUGGCUCUUGGAAAUAUGUCAAUUAAAACCAUUUAAAUAUUGAUGGUCCUUAAAAGCCUUUCUAAUGGCAUGCACAUGAAGUUUGAGCAGUUCUUCGGCAACUAACCUUACUAUCAAGCAGACUAGGCAUCAUGCUUCAGAUUAACAUGUCUAGUAAUACAAGUGUAUCUAGUUGUGCCUAAGGUGAAGAAAAAUGAGCUCUAAAAUGGCAUUGUUGUACUAAAAUUGGAUAACCCUUGCUCAUGCAAUAUAGGAAUCUCCAAAUCAUACAUGUUUGGGCAAUCCACAAACAAUAAUAAAACUUGCCAAAGAAUCUUCUUCCCAACACAAGCAAAGGUAAGAAAACAACCAAUAGGUUCAUGCAUAGUCGUAUAUGUUGGGACGUCAUUUGUUUUGGGUAUAUUUGGCUCUAUGCCAGUCAAGAGCGUCACAGAGUGGCCUCCCUAGGAUUCGAACUCAAGUCCAAGCCUUAAGGAUGUUGAGGAAGCCCUCCUGGUACCAUCUGNNNNNNNNNNNNNNNNNNNNNNNNNNNNNNNNNNNNNNNNNNNNNNNNNNNNNNNNNNNNNNNNNNNNNNNNNNNNNNNNNNNNNNNNNNNNNNNNNNNNCUGAUGGUACCAGGAGGGCUUCCUCAACGUCCUUAAGGCUUGGACUUGAGUUCGAAUCCUAGGGAGGCCACUCUGUGACGCUCUUGACUGACACAAAGCUAAAUAUACUCAAAACAAAUGACGUCCCAACAGUAUAGAAUAAUGAACCAUAGAUACCAAAUUUGACCUAUUAUCACCUCUAGUAAAGAUAAAACUAAAACAUCCCACCCCAAAAAAAAAGGUAUAAAAGCUUCAUACUAUGAACAUGCCAAAACUCCAAAAAUGUAGAUGAGAAUUACAGAUUAACCACUGAAACAAAAACGGUAUAUGAGCAUUUAUAAGCAGAAUUAUUUUACCUAGAUGGAAAGAAUAUGAUUGUGUGGAAAAUAGGACAUGGCGAGCAGGGGUUGUUGCAAGAAGCACACCCAAAUAAAAAAUGGGCCAUCUUUCCAUCACGGAAGAAUUCACUUAAGCACAAGGGGUGUCCAUAUUUUAUAUUUCUCACACCAGUUAUUCUUUUUCUUCCACUUAAGAAAAACACAGCAACACAUACACACAGAUCUAGGCAUUUUAAAAGCUUGCACAAUCUCUGUCACCGAUCUUACUACAUUGCAAGGAACUUUCCAAUACCAAAUACAAUCAUUUUUCACAAAAUGGCCUACAUAUGAUAUGAUAGGCUAAGGCAUCAGCAACCUUAUUGGCUUUUCUUAAAAUCUCAUUAACAUCACAUAUGAGGAAAAAAAAAAAGGAAAGUUGUGUUUCGGGAGGCCCGUUUCAAGGUAAUAUUGUUUUCAAAACCCAGAUAUGUCUACUAAUUGAAAAAAAAAAUUUCCUUUCCAUGCACUCUGGUGUGUGAGGUGUUAUUUCAUACCGAAAAUGUCUUCCCCUUGGGCCAGCUCAGCGUCCACAUCAAGAACCUAAAAAAUGCCAAACUCCAUGUCAGCAGCCAAAUCUAACAUCGUUUCCCGUUUCACCUUCCUCUAUUUCUUCUCACUUUCCCCAAAUUUUAUUUAAACACCAACCCUAUUCGCACUUCCCUCUUCUUUCUUCUUAUUUUACCCAAUCGUGUCUCCAUUCGUGUUCAUUGUAUCUCAAGCGAUUGGAAGGUUUUUAAGAGUUUUCUUCUACAUUUGCGAUCUGAAUUCGACUCUUGCUUGUCGGCGGCGAUCUCUCCGAUAGUCUUGUUAUAGGUGAAUAAAUGUCACUCCGUCUAUUUUUGCUUUGUUUGAAGAUUGGGUAUAUUUGUGUUGUGUGUGGAGGUCACGCUUCCUCUCUCCAGCAGCAGGAUCCUUCCCUGCUGCGGUAACCUGGAUAGGAGUCUAUGGUGACCUAGCUUCCUCUCCGGCAGUGAUGGCUUCAAAAACAAUUUAUUUAUUUAUUUUUUCUGGAAAUGACCCAUUUUUGGAAGGUGGAAAAAUGCUGAUCCAUUGGACUAAGCUCGUAUUUCUUCAAUUUUUUUUUGUUUUAAAACCUUAAGCAUUGGUUUAUGACCUGUUGUGGAGUUAUCUUUUGUUGAUUAUUAGUAACUACUCAUGCUCCUUAUCCAAGGGUCAGGAAAGUUUUAUAAUGUCUAACUACUCUUGCUCAAAAUUAAUUCAAUCAAAUCUCAACCGCUCAAAAUAUGUUAUUAAAUUACUAAUAAUUGUAGUUUAAUUUAAAUACUCUAAUCAGUUGAAUUUUGUUAUUAAUUUUAUAUUUAUUUUAAUAUACUUUCAUUAUAUAUAUAUAAUUUAAAUACUAGUUUACUUUAAUAUAAGACAAUUUUAUAUCGAUUGUAAUUUACACUAAUACAUUUAUAAUUUAAUUGAAAUUAAAUUUUAGUUUUAUAUUAAUUUAAUUUUAUAAUUUGUUUACAUUAAAUUUAAUUUUUUAAAUGCCUUAAUUUAAAUAUUGUUUUAAUAUCAGAUUUAAUUAAACAUGUUUUGUUAUUUACAUUUUCAAAUUUACAAUUUGUUUACUUAAAAGUAGUUGUUUAAUUAGUUCAAUUUAAUUAUUAAUUUGAUAUUGAAUUAAAAAUUAAUUCAUUUGUAUAUAGUUUAUAUAAUAUACACUUUCAAAUUUACAAUUUGUUUACUUUAAUAUAAUUGUUUAAUUACUUUUAUUUAAAUAUUAAUUUUAAUUUUAAUUUAAUUUAAUUUAAAUGUAUAUGAUUUGCAACUUAUACAUGCAAAACUUCGAUCUAUUAUUAUAAAUUCACAAUUCAUAAGCAAUGACUAGUCCAAGUGAAAGUAGAAGUGAUGUAGAAUAGAACAAGUCGAUACCUGCCCAGAGUUUGCCAAAUGGCGAGUGUAGCGAAGGUCACCUCCCAUCCCAUGAAGAGGCAUAUGUCAUAAGGGGGACAACGACUAUAGUGGUAGUAAAGGUAUCAAAAUUGUGAUAUUGGCUCAAUCAAGUGCAAUUUGAUUAACAGUAAAAAGAAAGAAGAAAGAAUGAAGAAUAAAAACGAUUGAAACCUCAAAUUGGUUCUCGCGAAUCAAGGGCAUUUACUACUAUGCAUCUCUCGCUAUAAAAGUAUUGUAUUCUAAUGAAAGGGAAUAGAAAAAGCACAAAAUAUUUUUUUUGUGUGGCCAUACAAUUCAAAGUAAUGGCAUCACCUAAUUUAAGUGUCAUUUAUCACAUGCAAACUCACAUUCAAGCCUAAAAAAGUAUUUAUCAUCUAAAAGGAGCAAAAAUAAAAAAUAAAAAUAAAUAAAUAAAUGAAUUUUAGCUAAAUUGUAUGAGACAAGAGAACCACAUAAUGACAUGGUCUAAGGGUCACAAAAGAAGGCCCGAGGCUUGGGAAAGGUAGACCUCAACUUUAGCUAAGGUAGACCCCAACUUUAGUUAAGGUAGUACCUAAGGUCUUUUAAGGUAGUACCUAAGGGCUCUUAAGGUAGUACCUAAGGUACAAUCCCAAAAAACCAAAUGUGGACCACUUGAGGACACAAGAGAACCACAUAAUGGCAUGGUCUUAGAGUCACAAAGGAAGGCCCAAGGCUUGGGAAAGGUAGACUUCAACUUUAGCUAAGGUAGUACCUAAGGUCCCUUAAGGUAGUAUCUAAGGUACAGUCCCAAAAAACCAAAGGUGGACCACUUGAGGACACAAGAGAACCACAUAAUGGCAUGGUCUAAGGGUCACAAAGGAAGGCCCGAGGCUUGGGAAAGGUAAACCACAACUUUAGUUAAGGUAGUACCUAAAGUCCCUUAAGGUAGCACCUAAGGGCUCUUAAGGUAGUACCUAAGGGCUCUUAAGGUCGUACUUAAGGUACAAUCCCAAAAAACCAAAGGUGGACCACUUGAAGACACAAGAGAACCACAUAAUGGCAUAGUCUAAGGGUCACAAAGGAAGCCCCGAGGCUUGAAAAAUGUAGACCCCAACUUUAGCUAAGGUAGUACCUAAGGGCUAUUAAGGUAAUACCUAAGGGCUCUUAAGGUAGUAGCUAAGGUAUAGUCCAAAAAAACCAAAGGUGGAUCACUUGAGCACACAAAAGAACCGCAUAAUGCCAUGGUUUAAGGGUCAUAAAGUAAGGCCCGAGGAUUAGGAAAGGUAGACCCCAACUUUAGCUAAGGGAGUACCUAAAGUCCCUUAAGGUAGUACCUAAAGGCUCUUAAGGUAGUACUUAAGGGCUUUUAAGAUAGUACCUAAGGUACAGUCUUAAAAAACCAAAGGUGGACCACUUGAGGACAUAAGAGAACCACAUAAUGGCAUGGUCUAAGGGUCACAAAGGAAGGCCCGAGGCUUGGGAAAGGUAGACUUCAACUUUAGCUAAGGUAGUACCUAAGGUCCCUUAAGGUAGUACCUAAGGNNNNNNNNNNNNNNNNNNNNNNNNNNNNNNNNNNNNNNNNNNNNNNNNNNNNNNNNNNNNNNNNNNNNNNNNNNNNNNNNNNNNNNNNNNNNNNNNNNNNNNNNNNNNNNNNNNNNNNNNNNNNNNNNNNNNNNNNNNNNNNNNNNNNNNNNNNNNNNNNNNNNNNNNNNNNNNNNNNNNNNNNNNNNNNNNNNNNNNNNNNNNNNNNNNNNNNNNNNNNNNNNNNNNNNNNNNNNNNNNNNNNNNNNNNNNNNNNNNNNNNNNNNNNNNNNNNNNNNNNNNNNNNNNNNNNNNNNNNNNNNNNNNNNNNNNNNNNNNNNNNNNNNNNNNNNNNNNNNNNNNNNNNNNNNNNNNNNNNNNNNNNNNNNNNNNNNNNNNNNNNNNNNNNNNNNNNNNNNNNNNNNNNNNNNNNNNNNNNNNNNNNNNNNNNNNNNNNNNNNNNNNNNNNNNNNNNNNNNNNNNNNNNNNNNNNNNNNNNNNNNNNNNNNNNNNNNNNNNNNNNNNNNNNNNNNNNNNNNNNNNNNNNNNNNNNNNNNNNNNNNNNNNNNNNNNNNNNNNNNNNNNNNNNNNNNNNNNNNNNNNNNNNNNNNNNNNNNNNNNNNNNNNNNNNNNNNNNNNNNNNNNNNNNNNNNNNNNNNNNNNNNNNNNNNNNNNNNNNNNNNNNNNNNNNNNNNNNNNNNNNNNNNNNNNNNNNNNNNNNNNNNNNNNNNNNNNNNNNNNNNNNNNNNNNNNNNNNNNNNNNNNNNNNNNNNNNNNNNNNNNNNNNNNNNNNNNNNNNNNNNNNNNNNNNNNNNNNNNNNNNNNNNNNNNNNNNNNNNNNNNNNNNNNNNNNNNNNNNNNNNNNNNNNNNNNNNNNNNNNNNNNNNNNNNNNNNNNNNNNNNNNNNNNNNNNNNNNNNNNNNNNNNNNNNNNNNNNNNNNNNNNNNNNNNNNNNNNNNNNNNNNNNNNNNNNNNNNNNNNNNNNNNNNNNNNNNNNNNNNNNNNNNNNNNNNNNNNNNNNNNNNNNNNNNNNNNNNNNNNNNNNNNNNNNNNNNNNNNNNNNNNNNNNNNNNNNNNNNNNNNNNNNNNNNNNNNNNNNNNNNNNNNNNNNNNNNNNNNNNNNNNNNNNNNNNNNNNNNNNNNNNNNNNNNNNNNNNNNNNNNNNNNNNNNNNNNNNNNNNNNNNNNNNNNNNNNNNNNNNNNNNNNNNNNNNNNNNNNNNNNNNNNNNNNNNNNNNNNNNNNNNNNNNNNNNNNNNNNNNNNNNNNNNNNNNNNNNNNNNNNNNNNNNNNNNNNNNNNNNNNNNNGUAGUACCUAAGGUCCCUUAAAGUAGUACUUAAGGGCUAUUAAGGUAGUAGCUAAGGGCUCUUAAGGUAGUACCUAAGGUACAAUCCCAAAAAACCAAAGGUGGACCACUUGAGGACACAAGAGAACCACAUAAUGGCAUGGUCUAAGGGUCACAAAGGAAGGCCCAAGGCUUGGGGAAGGUAGACCACAACUUUAGCUAAGGUAGUACCUAAGGUCCCUUAAGGUAGUACCUAAGGGCUAUUAAGGUAAUACCUAAGGUACAUUCCCAAAAAAUCAAAGGUGGACCACUUGAGCACACAAAAGAACCACAUAAUGGCAUGGUUUAAGGGUCAGUCCGAGAGACUCACAGCUACACCUCUUCAACCCCACUAGUUACUAGUGUUCUUACCAUAAAGUGCUCUGUUUGCUUGCUGAGACAGUGAAGAUAGAUUGGAUGUUUUAGGGUUUCUUUUGCUAAAAUGAGAGAAACAAGAUUGGGUGUUUGGAAAAUUUUAUGUUCUCGGGUCGGGCAUAAGGAGAUGUAACCCAACAUCAUUAACUUUUACAUUUUUUUGUGUUAUUCAAUUUUAGAUAUAUCCUGCUGACAUUGAGACAUUAAAUGUUGCUGACAUGGAGACUGUAAAUGGGUACUCUAUGAAGAUAAAAUGGACUAAGCACAGAGUGAAGAAGAAUAAUAAUAGUUUUCCUAUUCAUGGUCAAAUCCCAUAUUGCACAAUCUUUGGCUUUGAUUUUCAUAUUACCUUCAAAUGGCCGGCUCCAAACACAACUUUCCCAUUUUCUUUAAUUAAAUUAAUGACAACAAAGAGCAUAAUGGCUUGUGUUAGCAUUAUUAAAUUGCUUACCAAUAUUAUUGCUCCACCUUUUCACCAUUCCACUUUAUCUAUUGCGAUACCUUCUCAUAAGUCUUUAUUCAAAACCAUUGUCCUUAGGUAUUCCAUACAUAAGAACUAAAUCCAUUGCAAUGACUACAUAAGAACUAAAUCCUACCCACAAAAUGUCUCCUCAAAAAAACUAUACUUAAAAAAAAUGAAAUAAACAAAGGAGACAGAUUCAAGAAACUAUAGUUUCAAAGAAAUAUAUAUAUAUAUAUAUAUAUAUAUAUAUAUAUAUAUAUAUAUAGGGAGACCGGUUCAAUUGCAAGAAAUCAAAUAACAAAAGGCGCAUGAACCUGAAAGCGACCUUUGGGUAGGUAUCGACUUGUUCUAUUCUAAAUCACUUCUACUUUCACUUGGACUAGUCAUUGCUUAUGAAUUGUGAAUUUAUAAUAAUAGAUCGAAGUUUUGCAUGCAUAAGUUGCAAAUCAUAUACAUUUAAAUUAAAUUAAAUUAAAAUUAAAAGUAAUAUUUAAAUAAAAGUAAUUAAACAAUUAUAUUAAAGUAAACAAAUUGUAAAUUUGAAAGUGUAUAUUAUAUAAAUUAUAUACAAAUGAAUUAAUUUUUAAUUCAAUAUCAAAUUAAUAAUUAAAUUGAACUAAUUAAACAACUACUUUUAAGUAAACAAAUUGUAAAUUUGAAAAUGUAAAUAACAAAACAUGUUUAAUUAAAUUAGAUAUUAAAACAAUAUUUAAAUUAAGGUAUUUAAAAAAUUAAAUUUAAAGUAAAUAAAUUAUAAAAUUAAAUGAAUAUAAAACUAAAAUUUAAUUUCAAUUAAAUUAUAAAUAUAUUAGUGUAAAUUACAAUUGAUAUAAAAUUGUCUUAUAUUAAAGUAAACUAGUAUAUAAAUUAUAUAUAUAUAUAUCAUGAAUGUAUAUUAAAAUAAAUAUAAAAUUAAUAUCAAAAUUCAACUGAUUAGAGUAUUUAAAUUAAACUACAAUUAUUAAUAAUUUAAUAACAUAUUUUGAGCGGUUGAGAUUUGAUUGAAUUAAUUCUGAGCAAGAGUAGUUAGACAUUAUAAAACUUUUCUGACACUUGGAUAAGGAGCAUGAGUAUUUGAUUGAAUUAAUAUUAAAAUUAAUAUUAAUGAAUGUAUAUUAAAAUAAAUAUAAAAUUAAUAUCAAAAUUCAACUGUAAUUUAAUAACAUAUUUUGAGCGGUUGAGAUUUGAUUGAAUUAAUUUUGAGCAAGAGUAGUACAUUAUAAAACUUUUCUGACCCUUCGAUAAGGAGCAUGAGUAGUUGCCCGUUGGUAGCAAUCGUUUUUUGAAAAAACAAAUCAUUUAAAAAAUCACCAUAAAUUGUUUGAAAAUCAGCUAUACUUCACCCUCCACCAAAUCUUUUAUCCAGGGCUUGAUCUUGUCCGGCUCGGGCUUUGAGCCAAAAUACUUACAAAAACGGAUAGGUUCCAAGUAAACUGACCCAAUUUUCUGCUUUUCUGAUUUCAUUAUAUGGCUAACUUGAAAUAUACCCAAUUCCACUGCCUCAAGGCAACCAAAAAUAGUAGUUUUUCUCAUAUUCAAAUAUACCCAAGCUCAAUCUCUAUCUCGAAUUUUCUUCCCGCCCUACAUCCAUACACAAGUACAGGACCAUUCCAAGGCUUUAAUUAAAAUGAAACCAAAUAAUCUACAAUGACCUCUAGGAUAUAUCCUAAGGAGGAACUUCCUCUCUCCCCAAAUACCAUCAUUAAUUCAGCUGUUUAUUGGUUCAUGCCUAUGGCUAUGAAACCGAUAUCACACUAAUAAGCAUUCCAAAAGCAACUCACAAUCACAAUUGAACUCUUCAAUUACUUUUUCCAUUUCAGUCUGAAUCAGAGUUUGGAUCCACAGAUGAUCUCACCGUGUUGCGUCUGCUUUCAGGAUAACCCCUGUCUUCAUCAUCUUCAUCUUUUUUCUUCUCACUAACUAUACCUGUAAAAUAAUGGUUUAGAGCCAGCACUACCCAGUAGAUAUAGCAAAUUAGACUGGACAAAGGUUUUACCUUUCUUUAUAAGUAGAGCCUCGAGUGUCCUAGUGGCGAAAUCAUCUUUUCCUCCCAUAUCUUGAAACCCAAUCAACCUAUCUACUGCAAUCCCUUUUCUGAAAGAGAUGGUUGUAUAUUUCCAAGUUACAUAUCUAAUCAAAAAAAGAAAUAUAGUCUGAUAUGGCAUGAAAUUGUCAAGCAUAUAUGCCAGUGCACUUUGGCGUAUCUUUCAGAUUGAUUUUCUGCUUGGUUUUCUUUAAGCAAUCUAUACAAGCGUGCAUUAUUUUGCCCCAUUUGCAACAAGACAAGAAACUCUGGAAUUUUACUACUGGAGGUAGAGGGUAGUAAUGAGAUUCCAAUUUUUCUCUUCUUGGGAACCAAAUGAAGUUCUACAUCACUGACAUGCUUCUCACAAAAUUACAAAGAGCAGCAUAAAAUAUAAAAUGGAGCAGUGAAAAAGUAGUAGAGAGAGCCUGACCUGAAUAAGAUGACACAAGGCAAAGUUUUGACUCCUAGUUUGGCGACAAAGAAUGGUGCAUUCUGCAUUUCACUUUUAACAAUGAGAUCUUAUUUUCCUCAGUUCCACUGUGCACAAGAACAAAAGAGUUAAGGAAAACUGACCUCUGCAUCCAGCUUGAUAAUCUUGGUGUCCAUAUGCCUUGGUGCAAGGGAUUUCAAAUGCUUAUCCAUUAUCCUAGAAAUAUCAAACAAUAGGAACACAAUAUUAAUCUGCAAAUACAUGCAUCCAUGUAAACAGAGGUUCAAGAGAACACCUCCAACAACAGCUUACAAAUGCGAGCUCACUGAUGUGAGAGAGGCUUAUGCAUCAAUGUGAAAGUGUCAGGAAAACUGCUUCUAAACAUGGGCUUAUGAAGGCACAUGCCAAAAGAUAAUAUGUCCAUGUACGUGUCAUUUUUCACUCUAGCCUCUCCUCUACUGAUGUUUGAUAUAUAUGCAUCAUCGAUAGAGAGAAACUAACGCUCCUGUCACAUAAUUUUAUCUUCUUCUACGGAAAUUUACCCAAACAAAAUCUUAACUCAUUGCAAUAAAUUUAACCUCACCUAUUGCAAACUAGAUGAGAAAUUAGAUGAAUUCUGGAAAAAGCAUAACAAGAUCUGGGGCAGUCAUAUCCAACCCCUCAAGACACUUCCUUUUAGACAUGUGCGUAUAAGUGUGUGUGAGAGAGAGAGAUAGAGUGGAAAAAGCACAAUAAGAGCUGGGACAUGGUCAUAUCCAACCCCUCAACACCCUUCCUUUUUGACAUGUGUGAAUAAAGAGUGCGAGUGCAUGCAAGUAUGAAGAGAAACUUUACUUGCACCGGUAGAACUCCCGAUGGUAGAAGUGGCAAAUUACUUUUUCACUCCCAGUGACUUCACCCAAGAAGUCCGCCUCAGUUACCUCCCUGUAUUCUCCAUGCCCUUGCUUCUUUAAAGCCUGUCGCUUCUCAGCUUCUUUCUAUCAAACAAAUCAUAGGGUAAAUACUUCACCAUUCUCAGAAAGAUUACCACAUAUCUCAAUAUUUAAAGAUAUAGGUUCAUUUCACAAAGAUCGAAUUCUGACCUUAAGAGAUGCAAUCCUAUCUGCAUGCAAUCUUUCCAGCUCUGGAUCCUGAUAUCACCCAUGCAAGUAAAUUCAUGUAAAAAGAAAUAAGUGCAUUAAAAGGAAGACAUGACAUAGAUGCAUUAUCCCACUUACAUCCAUUAACUCAUCAAGAUCAACCUCCUGAUUGAUUGAAUUGGAAGCUUGUGCCUUCUGCUGAGAUAGCACUUCCUGCAAGACCAGAAUAAGAUGUUGUCGCAUUAAUUUUCAUGAAUUAUGAGGAAGGUUUUCUGCAAGCUAUCAGACUUGCCACCUUCACCAUUAUUCCGUUAUAUUUACGUAAACCUCUGAAACACUCAAUCAUGGAGUAAAAAAAGUUAGUAUCAUUGUUUUAAUCCUCUUAUUAUGGAUGACUAGCUUAUGCAUAAGAAUGUCAGGUCUUCAGGUUCACCAUAAUACUCAGUUACCUUCCCUCCAGUGCAAGAGGUUUAAAAUCAAAACAUUAGUGGAUAGAAAAUAUUGCAUUACUUAUGAGACUUGAUGUUGAAAGGUGGUUCCAACAGGUAACACACUCCAUUCUUCAGUUUCCAGGGGAAAAAAAAGGCACAUAACAUUCUUUGAGUUUCUUAACAACUAAGGGGAAGAAGCAUUCAAGUCCUGUUCCUAAAGAAAGAGAAAUUCUUCCUAUCAAAUCCGUGAACAUAGGCAAUGUAAAUCAACCUGUGGAAUAACUAUUGUGCAUUGCCUGAGUUAUUUUUGGUAACAAAUAGCAUGGAAUGCUAAAAUCAAGUUUUCAUCAUGUUGUACCAAGCAGCAAGCAGCAAGCAAUAUUAAGAUCAAGUCCACGUCAUGCCUUUCAAUGGAUAGUCUCAUAUCAUGCUUCUGAAUGGUAGAUACUAGCCAGUAGCAAACUAAGAGCCAGAGAAGAGACUGUUCUUAAAUGAAAGAAAGAAGAAAAUGAAAGAGGCACCUUUUGAUAAUCUCGAGCAGCUGCUGCCAUUACAUUACCGAAUGCUAAAUUGGACAAGGUCGAUUUAACUGAAUCAGGAUCCAUUUUCUCUGUGAAAAAUUAUAGCACAAUAAAGAUUAGAACAUACUCUAGUAGAGAUGACCUUAGUUUAAAAAAACAAGAAAGAAAAUCAUAUGCACCAUUCUUUGACUAAAUUCAAGGACAGACUAGUUCGUGAUAAGGCCACAUAGACUCAUAGAGUCAUCUUCUAAAAGCUCAUAGUUAAUGAAACUACAAUAUAGUUUGUUUAGGAAACCAAUUUCAAAACAACAUGUAUUGCUAAUAACUUCUUAUGCAGGAGAAAUAAUGAUUUUUCAUCAGACACUGAGGCUUCUACAUUCCCCAGAAAAAGGGGUAAAAAAAGAAACAACCAAAGUGCCGAGAACAAAUGUAUGUGUGCCAGUAUUAGUUUGCCCAAACAAUGAAGCAAAGGAAAAAACUGGAUUGGCCAAGUACUUACAAGUUAAUAUGGAACGGAGUAUUUCUUAAUACCCACCCAAAUCAUUAUAUGUGCAUGUCUUUUUCUGUUUAAACCAUACCAUAAGGGUUUUUCCUGAAUUGACUGAUUAAUCAGUUGAAAAAAAAACCCAACAUACUUACGGAAAUACAUAAUCAAUAAAGUAAAUGGUUCUAAGUACAGUUAUAUCACUCUAAUGAAAACCAAGAUUUUCCACUUGAAACUGUCAACGAACAGAAUUGAAUACUCCUCAUCACUUGCACACAGGUUACAAUUCUGUAAAUUGUUGAUAACUUAAAAAUACUUUCGCAUGUACUGCAAUGUGAAAAAAGGCAACAGAUGUAAAGCAUUUAAGGAAUGGAAACUAAGGGAUUUUAUAUUCACAACUUACUCAAGGCAAUAUUGGGCAAUUGCAGAGAUGAAUUAGUCUCUCUAAGAGUGAGGAGAUGCAAAGUGAGCAUUACCACUGAGCACUGACAGAAGGGUUAAAUGCAUUUUUGUGUGGAAGUGAUACUUUCUGGACUCUAUAUGGUAGCAAACUAUGGAUAAAUCUCCUACAAUUAAUAAGAACCUCAAAUAGUAAGGAACUAAAACGAGGAAAUAAACAAGCAAUGGGAAAUUCAAUUGAAAACCCCAACAGAAGAAGAGAAAUGUCAUGGACUUUAAUGUUGACUCAUCUAAUCAACAAAAGAUAACUCCACAACAGGUCAUAAACCAAUGCUUAAGGUUCUAAAACAAAAAAAAAAAAUUGAAGAAAUACGAGCUUAGUCCAAUGGAUCAGCAUUUUUCCACCUUCCAAAAAUGGGUCAUUUCCAGAAUAAAUAAAUAAACUGUUUUUGAAGCCAUAGGAAGGGAAGGAUCCCGCUGCCGGAGAGGAAGCUAGGUCGCCAUCGACUCCUAUCCGGGUUACCGCGGCAGGGAAGGAUCCUGCUGCUGGAGAGAGGAAGCGUGACCCCAACACACAACACAAACAUACCCAAUCUUCAAACAAAGCAAAAAGGAGCGACAUUUAUUCACCUAUAACAAGACUAUCGGAGAGAUCGCCGCCAGCAAGCAAGAGUCGAAUUCAGAUCGCAAAUGUAGAAGAAAACUCUGAAAAACCUUCCAAUCGCUUGAGAUGCGAUGAACACGAAUGGAGACACGAUUGGGUAAAAUAAGAAGAAAGAAGAGGGUGCGAAUAGGGUUGGUUUUUAAAUAAAAUUUGGGGAAAGUGAGGAAGGUGAAACGGGAAACGACGUCAGAUUUGGCUGCCGACGUGGAGUUUGGCCUUAUUUCAGGUUGUUGAUGUGGAAGCUGAGCUUGCCCAAGGGGAAGGCAUUUUCGGUAUGAAAUAACACCUCACACCAGAGUGCAUGAAAAGGAAAAAAAAAAUUUCAAUUAGUGGACAUAUCUUUGGGUUUUGAAAACAAUAUUACCUUGAAAUGGCCCUCCCCAAACACUACUUUCCUUAUUUUGAUUUUUUUUAAAUGGUUAUUUUAAAACAAUUACUUAAAAUAAAAAAUUUUAAAUUUUUUUAAAACUUUUUUUUUUUUAAUCACCUUUCAUGAUCAACCCAUUAGGACUUUUCAUGGAACCCAAACCUCGCAACAAUAAUAAGCAAAAUCAUAAUAAUAUUUAUUAAAAAAAUUAUUAUCAAAUUAUUUUAUAUCCAUUUCUUAUAAUUUAAUAUUUGUUUUAAAAAUAAAUAAAAAUAUGUAAUUUUUUAAAAUAUUAUGUUUCAUUAUUGAAAGAUUUUCAAUGUUAUUAUUCAUUUUUAAUGAAAAUAAAAAAGAAGAAGGUCAAUGCAUUUGAAAAGAUGUGUAAGUUUGUAAAGUAAAAUAGAAUAAAUAAAUAAAACAUAAAAAGAGGAGCAUUAUGUUUGAAAAGAUGUGUAAGUUUGUAAAGUAAAAGUUUUUGUGUGAUAAGAAUUCCAAUUGGGGCAAACAAGAAGGAAUUGUGGGUUCUAGGAGUCCAUGAUCAUAAAAAACAUGACUUGAAGGGUAAAAAAUGAUCAUCAUAUUAGUUAUUAAUAUAAAAAUCAUUGUCUAUUCAAAAUUGUUUUUCCUUCAAUAAAACAUCUCUUAAAUGGAAAUUUUGACUUAUUAAUUAGAAUAUCAAAGUUAAAAUUUUAUUUAGAUGUCAAAGAUGUUAUAACAUGAACUUGCUGAGAGUUAUUUAAUGGUAGGUUUAUAUAUAUGCAAAUGGGAAUAAUCUCUAUAUAUUAAAUUUUAACAAUAGACUAGGUAUCUUAUUUCUUCAACUUAAUGAAUCUAUUGCAUGGCGACACCCUUGGUUUUGAACUUUGAUGGUUUAUAAACAUUAUAUAUUGUUAAAUGAAAAUGUGACCUUUGACCAUGUCAUAAGGUAGGGGUUAUGUAUAUACUAUUUUAGCAUAUUGUCUACGCUCAUGUUUGAUUUAGCCUAAGAAAGCAAUUGAAACCCAUGUUAAGUGAAACGAGGACAAAGAAAAGACGGUUUAGCUACACAUCCUAGUCUUGGUUCACUUUUGACAAGCAUCAUGGUCGUUGCAAUAUAUUUGCGAGCGGAAUAAUAAAAGCAUGGCUUUGGAACAUUUUUUUACAGAUGUUCUAAAUUGGUCUAGGUAAGAUUUGGAAUGAUACUCCCAUCCACAUUUCUCUCAUAUGCUCAAUGCUCACAAAAUUCACUGGCCAAUAUGAAGAGGAAUGAGGUUACUAGCAAAAUGUUACUUCUUUAUUUACAGCUUCAUUAUUUGAAAUAUUAAUUGAAGACCUUGCAGAGUGAAUAACCAUGCCCACUCUUAGUAUGGAGUCUAAAGAAUUAAAAUAAAGAAGCAAAAGAAGAAAAGAUUUCCACUUUUAUUGGGUAGGAGGGACUUGAUCACAAAUAGAUAAAAACCUACUAGAUGGGAUAAUAGGUAGACAGCAGCUGCCUAUAAGGUUUAAAGGAGAUACAAAAAGAGUAUGUUUGAAAACCAAGCAAAAUGUGUACGGGGCUUGAAUUUAAAAACAUUGAAGAAAUUGUUAUACAGAUCAACUUGAUCCUCAGCUCAGCUCAUUCAUCUCUUGAAGCAGGAUCCAUCCCACUUGAAGGGCUAUCUGCAAAGUACUCUUGAUGUUUCACAUUCACCCCAUACUGCACAUUCAACGAUAAUAUUAUAAAUCAGUUAAUCAUCCUCAGAGAGAACCAGGUAUACACUAGACAAUUGCAAAUGGCCUUGCAUUAGACAAGAAAAACGGUUGCAGCAUAUGUUUUCAUUUUUCAUUUGACAAUUUUUUUCUCUAAUUAUUCACCCCAAAUUUAUGUCAAUAUUAACACUAUGCAUAGCGACACCCUGUCUGUCCCCCCAAAAUGCAAGAACAGGAGUCAGAAAGGCAUAGCCUACAAUCUGCUUGAAAUUUUAAUGGCCACUUUUUUAAACAUCAUUUAUUUUCUCUGAAGAGCCAGUGUAAAAGACAACAAGAACACAAGAAUUAAAAGAAAGAAAAAAUGCUGCAAAGCACUGCACAAUCCAGAUACAACACAAUGGUGUUAGAAAUAGCCUUCCCAAGUGCUGAGAAGUAAUGACACAUCUUUAGGUAAAGAUCAUGCAUCCUCAUUACAUGGGACAGUGACAACGGAUGUCUCCUCAAGAGGCAAAUCAGUCAUCACCACAUCAAAAGCCUCUUCAAGAUCCUCCAGAACAGAAUAUUUUCUGUUAUGCUAGCAUCUCUCAAGUCCAUCAGAUACUGACUUUGAGAGACUGAAACAACAUUCCUCCUUGAUUACUUAAUUUACAUCCUAGAGUCCCUGAUUGAUCCAGAUAUCUAAAGGAACAUCCAUCAAAAUUCAACCUAAGCCAACUACUGAGUGAAGGGAUAAGAAGAGAGAGGGGUGAAGGCUUUCAAGCAUGAAGAACCAAUAAACAACUUUUGUAGGGAAUAGGCUACAAGAUCACAUAGAAAACCAAUGAAGGCACACAUGCAAAUUCCUUUGUUGUGAAGGCCCAAAGGAGCAAACAAGAUAUACCAUCCCACAAGAUCUCCAAAGAGGACCUCUCCUCAUGGAUGGUUACAUCUGGCCCAAACCAACUCAUCCAGAACAUAGAUUUGCCCCGCCAAACACAAAAGGAAGUGAAGUCGGAACUCCCAGGCAAAGAUUUGUUUUAGACACCUAGCAUGGGGACACGUUUUUCAAACUUUUGGCAGGUGUACACAUAGGGAAUUUUUGUCUUUUAGCAAGGAUUUUUUUUUAUGUUUUCAUUAUCAAAUCUAUCAGGAUUUAUUUUUUAGUAUUAUCAUGUUUUAAUCUAGCCAGGUUGAAUGAAUUUAUUUCAAAGUUUUAAUCAAUGUGCAAUGGAUUACCUACAUAAACACCACCUCAGUGAAUAAUAAAAGAUUUGAAGAUUCAUUAUCCUCAUUGUUUGCUGCCUAUUUUUCUUCCUCAUUUCUACUUCUUUUCCCCUAUUUUCUUCUCUCUGUUCUUUAAACUCUACUCUGUUUUUUAUAGUACUACCUAUCUUGCAUCAAUUGGGCAUCAAAGCAUUUUUUGAUAGCUAAAUUUUUGUCGCCAUUGGAACUUGAACCUGGAACCUCCCACAAACCUCCCCAUCCUUCACCACUUGAGCCAAUCAAGCAUCAAAGAAUUUCAGUCCAAACCAAAUUCAAAUGCCAAUUUUUGUUUCAAAUAUCUUUUCAAGUAUUCACCAAGCUCCAUUUUUUUUUUCUUUUUCACUAAUUAAUCGAACUUUCAAACCCAUUGCACCACUUACCAAUAUUUAUCUUCUGGUUCAAAUUAGUUUUAAGUAGGAGAAGCCUAAUUGCAGAAGAAGUUAAGAAGAAGACUGGACUCAUCUUAGACAUAUUUAACAACACAUAGCAGGCUUCAAAUUUGCCUUUGGAUCAGGUACAGAGACCUUUCAUUAAUCUCUCUAUUUGGUAUUCUGUAUCUUCUAGAAAUUUAAGAAAUCAUAGUUUCCAAAAACUUAUGACAUACCCAAUACAAUACAAUGAUAAGAUAUAUAUUUUUUUUUUAUGGAAAUCACAAUCUGUAUCUUAUUUUAGGUGUAUCUUACUAUACAUAUACAAUACACAAUACCUAAUACAACGAUCCACACACCUUCAAUUAUUUUUGAUAAAUUUUAAGAAAAAUCAAAUUCAAAAUUUUUUUGUUAAAAGAAUCAUUAUAUUAAUUAUUUAAAAUGUACAAAAGGUUAGAAAUUGAUAAUAAAAGGAAGAACAAGGUAAGAUAAUUCUAUAUGAAAAGUUAAAUUCUUGUUGUCAACUAAUAUUAGAGAAUUUUCAUUUAAAUGGUUUAAAUGGUUGACGUUGAAAAGGAUGACGGUUAUGGUUGGUGACUAAGAACUUUUACACAAUAUAUUACAUUUUCUUUUCUCUUUAAGUUUUCUGUUAGAAAGGACUAAUGACGAACAUGAAAAGUUAGAAUGUAGGAGAUUACCCAUAAAGAUAAAUAAAUCAACACAUAUAAGGACCUAUACCUAGAAAGAAUUUGGAAUUAAAAAUCAACUCUAAAAAUUUUAAAAUUUUAUUUUUGCGCAUUUUGUGAACCUAGACAUUAAAUUCUUAUUUUGUCAAAUUGAAAUCUUCAAAACUCUAGUAUCCAAUGUUUUUAUAUGGUAUAGUAUAGUUUAAACCUUUUAGUAGGCAACGGGGAUUUAUCUUUUAGUUAAAUAUAUUUUGUUUCACUAUCAAAUUUAUCAGGAUUUAUGUUAGUAUUAUCACGUUUUAAGUUUACCAAGUAGUAAAGAUUCAUGUUAAAACUUCAGUUGAUUUGUUUCAUCCACAUGUUCUCUAAACUGUCCAUAUAAAAGCCACCUCGGUGAAAGAUAAAUGAGAUUUGAAGAGUCAUUAAACCUACUUUUCCUUCUACAUUCUAAUUUUCUCCUUAUUUUUCCUUUGUUCUGUAACCCAAUUCUAAGUCUUCAGUUUUCUCUUCCCCUUUUCUUCCUAUCUUAAAUCAAUUAGUAAUUAAAUACAAACCAAAAUCAAAGUUAGGACUAAUUAAAUCUUUAUAAAAGUACUAACCAAGAUAUGGAGAAGGAAUUAGAAAUGUCAACUGUUAGGUCUCUAUGUUAAGGUAUAAAAAUUGCAUUCAACUGCCCCCUCAGAUUCAUAUGGCUCCUAACUCCACUUAAAGAAGGUCAGAUAAACUAUACCUAAUACCUUUUAAAGGAAAAAAGGUCCAGUGGCUCCUCUUUAACAUUUCCAAAUGUCUACAUAAUAUACUCCCCUCUAAUUAGCUUUCUUUUCAGUCUCUACAACCUGAUCAAGAUUUUUCUUUCUGUUCUUCUUUAUGUUUCCCUGAUAGGCAACAUUUUUUGUUUGCCCCUAACCUCCCACAUCUGUACUCCAACCAAACAAAAUUCAUGAGUCAUAUUGAAAUGAAAUAUGGGACCUCUUGAAUCAAAGCAGCCAAUGUCCCAUAAAAAUCUCUACCAAGAUAUAAUAAAAUAAAAUUAAAAAAUAAAACAGAAAAGAUAAUGAUAGCAUACAGAAUUUUGCCUCUCCAAGCCAAGAAUGAUUUAUUAAGACUUAGCCACUUAGGGUGCUUACCUCACGCAGAGCCUUGGAGAGGUCCUCCAUUGUCAAGAUUAGGCGCUUAUCCUGAUACCUCAACAAAAUUAGAACAUCCAAGAAGGAAAUGGAAAAAACAAGCAUUUAACUCGCGCACCUUUUGCUGUUUAUCCCUUUUGUCCUUGACUACUGCUGACUGCCUUGCUUUGCAUUGCCUACAUUAGAAUACACAAACAGUAUAACAUCUUCCAGCACCAUUUAUCUUAAAUGGAGCUUAAUAGAACUGCCCAGCAUAAACAGAGUACUCUAAGAUGAUAGCCUACAAGAAUUCAACCUGCCAAUAUUAAAUCAAGGUCCUUUGAAUCUUAUUAAUGAAGUAAUGUCCUAAACAAACAAAGACAUUAAAAGCUCAUCCUACUUGCAAUCUGUACCUUUUGUCCUAUGGCAAUAGCCUCCAACCACUGGUUUGACUAACUCAAAAGUGGUCUGGGUUUGCAUUAUGGAUCCAGAAAGUAGGGCCAGAAUGGGAUUUUACCUUUUUCCUUUUAUCCCCCUGAUAAGGGGGGUGAACUAAAAAGCAACAAAGAGUGCAAAUCCUAAUACAGAAUUGAUUUGUUCAUGUUGUACCUGCAGCCCAUUGAUGCCACAUUUUCCUUGGCCCAAAUUGCAGUUAUAGGUCUUUGGCAUAAAAGCAUAAAUUCUAACUGGCAUCCAUGCAGAAACCUCCAACUCAUAGAAAAACUUUGAUCUUAAUAUUUAAUAGAAUUAUGAAAAAGGGAACAAAUAAGUAAUAUGACUCAAACCCAUACCUUUGAGUUUGUUCCUUCAGUUUCUUAGGAGGCUGAUUUAUAUGUGUGUGUACAGAAGAUACACUUAGAGGAUGUUGCAAUAGCCAUUAUGCCAUAUCCAAAUUAUGGGGUAGAAAAUUAGAAAUAGGUAAAAUUUCUGUCCUAUGAGGUUAUUAAGCAACCUAAGAGAUGGUAGGUUUCUCAUCUUCUGAAUGUUGAUGAAAACAUUUUGUGUGGGCAGGAGGAAUCUUCAUUGUGUUAUUUUUUCAAGGUGGUCCAAAGUACAAAGGUUAAUUUGGAGAAAAGUAAUAUCUCCGUAAGGAUGGGGGAAUAACCUUUGGAGAAAGGUAAGUUCUCGGUAAGGAUGGGGGAGGAUGUGGAGGAAUUGACUUCAUAACUUAAUUGUAAGGUGGGUUCUUUGGCUUUUGCCAAAAAGUGUGUAUUCCUUUAGGUGCUUCUUACAAAGUAAAAUCAGUGUGGGAUCCCAUUAUUGAGAGUUGAAACAUCAGUUGCUAAGCUGGAAGAGAUAGUAUUCAUCAAAAGGGAGCAAAGUUAGUCUGGUUAAAAGCACACAACCAAGUGUGCUUGCAUGUUGUUGUAGAAAGGCAAAAUUUGUCCGUUUACUAAUCGUCAUGUGUCAAUGGAAGGCCAAUCCUAAAUUGGCACAUGUCAGUGGUCAAGUUAAAAUUAAUUUUGAUGAUUAAAUAAGUUAGAUGUCAUUUGGAUGCACUUUUUAUUUUCUAUUUUCAAAAACAAAAAAUGAUUUUUUUUUUUUUAAAUUUUAUAACCGAGGAACCUUUCAUGGCCAAGCCCUUAGGACUCUCCAUGGUUUUAUAGAGGAAUUACUAUCCUUUUUUGUUUUUGAAAAACAAAAAAGGAUAGUAAUUCCUAUAUAAAAAGCAAAACCUUAAAAAGAUAGCAUCUUUUAAAAAGUGUUUAAUUUACUACCUCAAAUUUUAAAAGUAAUUUUUAAGAAUAUAAUGUAAGUUCAUAUUUUUUAUAUGAGAGUUACUAUAUUUUAUACAGAAGUUACUACCUUUUUUUUAAAAAAAAAAAAGAUAGGAAGUAUAUCCAAAAGAGUACUUAAUUAUCAUUUUUAAUUAAAAAAUGAGUCAUACACAAAAUAAGAACGAUCUCCAAGUCAAAUGUAAAAUGUAAAAUUAAUUAAUUAAUUAUUUUUUAUAAUUAAAUAAAUAAGCUAAUUAUCAUUUUUUUUAAUUCAAAUAGAAACGACCAGCCACUCAAAUAAAUAAGUAGAGUUUAAUAUUCCAAAAAAUUAAGAGAUAAUUACCAAAAAGGGUUUGUUUACCCCUAUAAAUAGGAGGGUCUCCUUAGCUUUCACAAAAAACACAUCGACAAAGAUGAGGAGACCUCUACACUUGAGAAAAGUGGGAGAAAGCUUACCUAAGGAUUCAAGGAGUUCUUCAAAACAAUCAAGCUCAAAGACUGAAAAUCAAGUUUGAAGAUUCGAGAUUAAGCUCGAAGGCUCAAAGAUUUGAAAAUCUAAUUCAAAAAUUCAAGAUCAAGUCCAAAGAUUUCAAGAUCAAGUUUCAAAACUCCAAGAUCAAGUUUGAACAUUCAAAGAUCAAAUUCAAAUAUUUGAAUAUCAAGUUUGAAGGUUCAAAUAUCAAAAUUCAAAAUUUGAAGAUCAAAGUUCAAGAUAUCUUCAAUCCAAGAUCAACUAUUCAUUAUUCAAGCCAAGAUCCAAGCAUAAACCUAAGUCAAAUCAAGGCCUAAGACCAACCCCAAGCAAAGCUAAAAUCCAAGCAUAGGCCUAAACCAAGCCAAAAUCCAAGACAUACUCCAAGCCAAGCCAAGAUCCAAGCACAAGUCUAAGCUAAGCCAAAAUCCAAGGACAAGCAUAAGCCAAACCAAGAUUCAAGUACAAACCUAAGUCAAGCCAAUAUCCAAGCAUAAGCCUAAGUCAAGCCAAGAUCCAAGUCAAGUCCAAGCCUAAACAUAAAGUCAAGUCAAAACCGAGGUCCAAGCACAAGCCUGAUCUAAGACAAAGUCCAAACACAGGUUUGAGCCAAAACAAAAGUCUAGAGUCAAAACAAGGUCAAGGCCUAAAUCAAGACCCUUUUCAAAAGAAACAAAGGAUAGUAUAGGGACUACAUUCAAAAUCCUAGAAAUUCAUAAAUAAAAAUUUUGCUUUGCCAAAAUUUUCCUUUUUAGAUAUAAUAUUUGUACACGUCAUGGGAAUUCAUGCCAGAAAUUUAUAUGUACAAAUUUCCUUAAAAAAAGAAAAUUUUGGCAAAACAAAUGUUUUCCUCAUGAAUUUGUAGGAUUAUGAGUACGUUCCCUACACUAUCCUCUAUUCUUCUAAGAAGGAACCUGACUUGGACUUUAACCUUGGCUGAGGCCUUAAUGUGUCUUAAGUUUGGACUUAGACCUAGUCUUAGCUUAGGCUUGUGCAUGGACUUUAGCUUAGCUUUGGACCAAUGUUUAAACUUUAGUUAGGCUUGAGCCUAGACUUGAACCCUAGUUUGGCUUGGGACUAGGCUUAUACCUUGCCUUGGCUUGGGCCUAAGCUUUAUACCUUGACUUGGCUUAGGCUUGUACUUAGACCUUGGCUUGGCUUAGGCUUGGUCUUGAAUAUUGAUUUAGCUUGGGGUUGUGCUUGGACUUGUGCUUAAUUUAGACUUGUGUUUGUACCUUAGCUUAGCCUAGCCUUGGCUUGGACCUUAGGUUGGUUUGAGCAUAUACUUGCCUUUAGCUUGGCUUAGGCCUAUGCCUGAAUCUUGAUUUGAAUAAUGCUAGUUAAGGACAAGACGCUUAAUCUCAGAUGGAAGAUACCUUGAAUUUUAAUCUUCAAAUAUUGAAACUUAACCUUUAAACCUUCAAAUUUAAUCUCUGAAUCUUUAAGUUUGAUCUUUGAAUCUUUGAAUCUUUGAAUUUGAUCUUCAAAACUUCGAACUUAAUCUUCAAAUCUUCGAAUCGUUAAGCUUAGCCUUUGAAGGCUUUAAAGAACUCCUUGAAUCAUUGAGGUGAGUUUUCUCCAACUCUUCUCAAGGGUGGAAGUCUCCUCUUCUAUAUCGAUGUGUUUUUUUCUAAAGCUAAGGAGGCCUCCCUAUUUAUAGUGGUUAGGAGAGCUUCUCCUGAAUUAUCUUUAAAGUUUUUUUGUUGGAAUAUUAAAAUAUAUUUAUCUUACAUUUGACUAGGAGAUCAUUCCUAUUUUGUGUGUAACUCAUUUUUAAAUUAAAAUUGAUAAUUAACUUAUUUAUUUAAUUAUUAAAAUUAAUUUUAAUUCGACUGCUUAGGACAUGUGUCAAUUUAUGAGUAGCCUUCCAUUGACAUGUGGUAAUUAAUAAAUGGACAAAUUUUGCCUCCCUAUAGUUGCAUCCCAACUUUCAUCAUUCUAGGUUUAAUUAGGAAAAGAAUUAAAAUGAGAGAGAAUGAAGGCCCAUGAGGUGGAAUAAAGGAUGAGCAUGGUGUACUUAAUAAGCUGGAAACCACUCAUGGAGGUCUAAGUAGUAAAAGUCUUAAGGCAACAAAUAGGACACUUAUGGGUGAAUACUUUGAGAUUAGCAGUUGGAAGAUGUGUAUGAAACACUCACAUAUCCUUCUAAAUUAUAUAUGUAUCUAGAGGAUAAAUUUGCAUAACCAGAAAAAGGGAUAGUUGUGGGAGAUGAUUGACGUGUGCAAAAUUACAGGAAAGGAGAUAAGGUUGGUGCUCUAAGGCGGUAAGAGGCUUCUUUUGGGGGGUUAUGAAAAGAGAUAAAAAGGGAGGGUAAAGUUCCUAUUCAUUGCACUUUCAAGUUGAGAAAAAGAAUACUUCUUUUAGCAUGAUGGUUGACAUGAGGAGGGAUCUCUUAAGGAGAUAUUUUCAAACUUUGUGCUAGUAAUAUGGAUGACAUACUUACCAGCCAGGGUAGCCCAAUUGGUCAGGGUGAACACUGCGAAGUGUGGUCCCAGUAAUUGGCACAUGGUCCUGAAUUCGAAUCCUACCACUGAUGAUACCCUAAAUUUACCCAAUGUUGGUUGUUGCGGGGUGGUUAGCACCCCGAGGUUUGGGUCUUCAUGGAGAGUCCUAAGGGCUUGGCCAUGGAAGGUUCCUCAGUUAUCAAAAAAAAAAAAAUAUGGAUGACAUACUAGUUGGUGUUAGGGCUCCCACAACAUAUUAAGCAUUCAAAUCCAAGAUUUGUUGAGGAAUUUGUCAAAAUUGGGAGCUAGGUGAUGUCACAACUUUGUUGAAUCACAUUCAUGAGAUGAAUAUAUGUGUGGAUGAGGAUGAUGUCUUGCAAUGAAUGCUAACUUUGGAUAAGAAAAUCUUGGUUGAAUAUUAUCAUAAGAUGGUGGAGAGAAGGGAAGAUUUUCCAGCCUAAAGCCUCAUUUAGGAUAGUUUUUAUUUUGCUUUAGCCAACAAGUGAAAGCCAAAGUUCAAGUCAUAAUGUCAAAUGGAACAAUCUUGGUAUUUAUGAAAGUUGUAUUAAACAUUAAACAGCUUCUCAUAUAAGUUCUUUUUAAAGUCAAAAGCUGUUAUAUUUAAAAUCACCUGCACACAAAUAGAAGAUGUAAUUAGACUUUAAAAAGAGCUUUUAGCUUCCAAAAGGUGAUCCAAAAAGGGCCACCUAGACACAUAAUGGAGGCAGUUUGGUGGGGGUGGCAGUUGGGGCUAAAAUUUUAACCAUCAACCAAUUAGAAGACAUAACUCAAAAUAAGGGUUGCAUGUGUAAGAAAGCAUGGACCAUAUGCUGCUCUACUACCUAGUGAUUGAUAACUUAUGGUUUAUGUUCUUUCUAAUUGAUGUUGCAGGAAUGCUCCAACCUCUCUCUAUAUUCAGAAUUCUUAGGGACAUCCAAAAAACAUUGUAACAAUUUAUGGGAGAAGAAUAGCAAUUUGCAUGGGAGCGUCAAUGUAUGUUGCUAGGGUGCCAAGGUGGUUCAUUUCUUGGUUCACAAAGGGUCAUGUGACCAUUGGAAUCCUGAAUAGCUUCAAAUUUUUUUGUUUCAUCUUACUUUCCUUUUUCCUAUAAGAAGGCCUUCCAUAUUCUACAUGUGCACCACAGUUGCAACCCUUACAACCAUUUGUUUCAAACCUAAAACAUACAUUGUGAGUUACAUAACUGUUGAUAUUCUAUUUUGCAAAAUCCACCUGGACAAUUCAUGGUGUACUGAGUGCCUAAUAUACGUCACAUGAGCUCCAUCAUGAUAGGACCAAUUACAAGAUGCCACAUGUCUUGGUACAUACUACACAUGCUCAAGACAACUCUCCACUAACAUGACAUGUAGUGCAUCUCACCCUUGAUCUCCAAGGCAUUGACACAUCCAUGUUCUUCCUACAUAGCUCCUAUGUCAUAGAGCUACAUCAUCUGGACAUAGAGUCCUAUCUCCAAACAUAUUCCUGGGUUACCCAUGGAACAUGAAUGCCCACUUAUGGCAGAUGCUUAGGGAGUCUAUCCUACUCUACCUCUCAGUGAAGGUGAUACUAAGUGCAACUGAGAGGGUUAAUGAUUUCGCUCCUCUCAGGAGGAAGAUGUUUCCUCUGUAAUACUUCUGGUAAUAAUCUCCUAUAUCCCCCUUGAAUGUUUCACCCUUGACAUGACACCUAGAUGUUAAUACAUCUGCCCAAGUCAAGAGCAAAGCAAGGGGUAUUUGAAACGGAUUUAAUGCAUAUAAUAGUGGAAUUGGCCUUCCCACUGUCAAGAAUUCUAAGACUGAUUUGAGGGUCAUGGUUUAGUGAUUAGAGUUAGAGGUUAGCCAAUGUGGGACUAACAUGCAUUGAACAAGUCCUAACCAUAAUUUGGAGGGAGAGGGGACCAAUGUGUCUUUAGGACACAUGUCAUCUCCAAAUGCUUUCACAUCAUUAUUGAUCCUUAAUAUGGAAGUUACAAUUUUGGAGCAGUAUAAAAAGGCUUCAUUUCACGUCCAAUAAAAGAAGUUACCAUUUUCCUGGUCUCUUAAGUUCUCUUCUUGAUUUCACUACCAUUCUCUUCAAUUUCCUCCCGCCUCUCACUCUGCUCCACCCAUCCUCUCAAACUGUUGGCACCUCACCAUCCCAUUUAGUUGGCCUCCUAUAGAUAAGAACCCUACAUAAAGAAUGACUAUGCAUCCAUCACCAUUCCCUCACACAUAACCCCCAAUCCUCUUUUAGAAAACAUUAAUACUUCUAGGCAUCCAUGCACACAGCUCCAGAUCAUAGAAAAGCCUUGAAUUUUUCAUUAUAUACAAGCAUAACUAGAAUUUAGAAACAUACUGAAGUGCAUCACUAGCAACCUCUGUGACAAACUUCUGAGUGGCAACAGCUACUAGUCUAAUUCUGCAAAACAAAGGAGAAAGUCAAUCCAAUGCACCAUGAUACAUAUCCAGGAUGUCUAAUUCUGAUUUUAAAGAAAUCAUCAUCCUCCAAAGCAGGUUAUAACUCAUUAAUUUCCUUUUCUUAUUGAAUAAAUAUCUUUCCGUUUACAUUACACAAAAAAAAAAAAAAAAAGAAGGAAUCCAAAUUGCACUCUGUUUUUAAUUCAAAGAAUAUGGUAGCACCUAAGGUUUUCCGUUGAAAGGAAAGUGAUAACACAACCAACAAAGGCACAACCAAAACUUUUGAUCAUUAAUUUAUCAAAGAUUUCGAAUAAGAGUUUAAAAGAUAAAAAUUUUUAUUGGUUACAGAAAUUUGAGCAGCCUAUGACUUAAUCCAUAAACUUCUAGGAAAGUUUCAAGUGUAUGAAGACAGGAUUCAUAUGAACCAAAAGAGAGGGACAUUAGGAAAAGAAAAGGAAAGAAAUAGCAAGUCCUGACUGAGCAAAUUAAUUUUACAUGCAUAUGUCUAGAAUUUUUCCCAAGGUAAAUCACAUUAAGUGGAAAAGUAGGUGACAGCACAGCUCCCUGCUUCCUGGAUCUCAUGAACAUUUUUAUGUCCAUAUGGUUUAUGCCACAUGUACAGCAUCAAGUAAAAGUGAUUAUGUAUGCAAGUGUUGGCUACAGCAUUAUCUGAACUCUCUCAAUAACCAUUACAACUUCCAGGGUAACAGAGAUAUCACUAAAACUUGUAUCAAGUAAAAUAAGACCAAUCUCAUUUUCUGUUUCCUGGAAAAACGGUCCACAAAUGUGAAUUCAUGGAAGUAAAUUCAAAAUAAAGGAGCAUUACAUAAAAGUAUUAUGUUCAUUAUGUUGAAUUGUGAUGUGAAAUUUCCAAACAUAAAAGUUUACAAGAGCGAUAAAUAUAGGGUAUACGUAUAGGUUCUUAGAUGGUGAUUUAAAAAUCCAAGCAUCUUUGCAUUUUAUAGGUUGUAAAAGAACGCCUUAAAAUGGGUGGAUUAGCAACUGCUUUGACCAAGUUUUCAAGUUGGUUGAGCAUCUGGAGAUUAUAUAGACAUUCAUAUAAGGAGUAUACAAGGAGUAUAAGAAACCAUCCCAGCAUAUACCUGUCUUGAAAAUCUCUUUUCCCUCCCCAAAAAGAUAGCUCUUUCUUUAAACAAAUUCUUUACAUGAAAAAAUUGAUUAGUACCCCAUUGUUCUUUUUGUGCUCUAACAAGUUUGGUAUUAGAAGUGGCCUAAUAAUAUAGGAUGCACAUCAAAACCUUAUAGCUAUGGCUGUCUUCCAAAGGAAUGUGCUGACAUAACCAUUGAGAUACAGUCAAAGGUUUAGAAAGAGAGUAAAAGAGACCAACAUUGAGAUAGGAUCUUUUAUGGAUUGGUUUAAGUGUUUUAAUGGAGAAUUGCUUGAAGAGCAAAAUCAUAGAAGCAGCAACUGAGAAAGAGGAUGAAAGAAAGAGGAAAAGAAAGAAACUACUUAGGCAGCAACCCAGGAUGUCAAAGACAAUAUUCUUAUAUAAAUAAAGACUAGUCCAUUUUAAAUUCUCUGUUCGUUUAGUACAAUGGAACUUAUUUCUAGACUUCAAAAAACUUCCCAAACAAGUAAAGGACUUUAAAAACAAAGCUAAUCAAUAUGCUAAUCAAUAUACUAAUCAAAUAGGAUUCAAACUUCUUAAAAAUAAAAUGCUUCAUAAACACUUAAGCAGAUAGUUUAUAAUGCAUGAAAAGACUCUCAGCAAACCUCAAAUUAGAAACUUGGUAAAAAAAAGCAAAAACUUCGUUGAUCCAUUGUUAUCGUAAUGUGAGGAGUAAAAUGUAGAUAUGAUGAAGAAUACCUGCUAUACAAUUACAGUACUUGCCAGAAUAACUACUUGCUAAACACUUACUAAUUAAACUAUUUAUAUCUACGUAGGAUAUAGAAUUUCCAGGACAGAAUAACCUAAAUAAACGAUUUUCCCACCUUCUUGACAUGCUCCUACCUCUUUAAGCUUUCCCUCAAUAAUCAGAAAAUUCUCUCCAUGGCAACAAGUUCUAAAAGGUCACCCUUCAACUAUUCUCAAAAUCUAUUUAUUUUUUUACCAGGAAAAAUAAUUACACUCCACAUAUUUCCUCCACUUCUUAUUAGACUUUAGACCCAAACCUUCUUAUUCCAAAACAUCUUUCCAAAAAUCUAGCUUCACCCAUACCGGCAUACCCUUACUCUAGGAUCGUGAAUGAAAGAGAAAAAGUGGUCUAGAGCCCAACAAAGUUUGAGUUGUAUUGCCAUAACAAUUCAAUACCAUCUUAAGUUUCCAUACAGAAACUCAAAAAUUCUUUUGUUUGUACCUUGUGGAGUUGGGCUAGGGUGUAUAUUGGAGAGGAGUCCUCUUCACUCUUAGGUUUUUUGGAGUGGCUAGCGGCCACUUAAGGGAGGGUAAGGGUGCUUGUUUUUUGUGCUCUCGAUUUAGGCUGAUUUGUAUACUUCCUGUAUGCUUGGUGGCCUUUGCCCUUUAAUAUAUUUGUGUUUAUCUAUCAAAAAAAAAAUACCAUCUUAAGUUUCCAUGUAUGACUAUCUUGCUUGCCAAGUUACAUGGCCAUGCUCAAGCUAAUUUUACCAAACACUGAUACUGACUUAAAUUUAUAUCUUUCUUACAUUCAACUAUACAACUAUAUUCCAAAAACUCACACCCUUCCUCCAUCAGGCUCAAAAUCCAAAACAAAGCUUUAAUAAUUUCAAUAGAAGACAAGUUCUCCAAAACAAAAAAAAAAAAAAAAAAAGCCGUCAACAUGCACUAAACCCUAAUACUAAACGAAAUCAUACUACUCACACAGUUUCCAUGUACAUAUAGUCCCAUGUCAAAACAAUAGCCAUCGAAAGGUAAAAUAUAUACAAAAUUCACUGGCAUGUUGCUGAGAAAAUGAGAGAAAAUAAAAAUCAGAGAUCUUUCAUCAUCAUUGAUCGCAACACCAUAAAAAACAACCUAAUGCAAACAUAUGGCUUAGUCAGGUCAUUUUUAAAAAGCAUUUUCGGAAACCAAAACAGCCUAACUAUAGAAUCAAAAAAAAAAAAAAUUCUCAGUUUUCUAGGAAACCAAACAGGGCUAAAUAAAUGAAUACAUAAAAAGAAGUUAAAUAAAAAUUAAAAAGGAAAAAGUACCUACAAUCGAACAUCGGGACACUGAAACCCACUUUUGGCUAAAUAAUGCUCCACCAGUUCGUCUGGAAUCUGAAAGAACAAACACAGAAAAUUAUAAAAAUUCAAAAAAUAAAAAAUAAAAAUAAAAAGAAAAAAAAAGUUGGUUUUAGGCCAACAGAAAAAUCAUACAGUGGGAGUGUAGUCUACAAGGGAAGCGAGAAAAUCAGAGAGCGCAGAAUCAUCGUCGUGCCUUGCAUCGUUGCCUCCCUGGUUUUGAUUCAUCCUCCCUCUCUUUUUCCCUCACUUUCCAGGAAUGCGUUCUCCUUCUACCUCUAUAUUAUGAAUAUCUGCUUCAGUUUCUGGGCUUUGCUGUCCUCUUGUUUCCUUUCUUUUUUAUUUUAAUUUUUUUUCUUGAAUUAUUUUCUUCCUUACAUUUAAACAUCUACUAGAAAGCAAAAGCAUAGGCGUUAUUAAUUUUAUUUUAAAAAUUAAAUUUAUAAAUAUAAUAAAUAAUAAAUAAAAAUUAUUAUGUGUUAAAAUUGAAAUGUGUUUUGUGUCCUUUGCAUAUAUUUUUAUUUAAAAUUAAAAUAAACAUAUUUAAGAUUAAAAUUGAAAUAGGAUUUAUGAAGGUGGGAUAAAAAGAAUAAUAAAAUCACGCUAAUAAUAAUAACUUGAAUAUAUUUUUAUUUUAUGGAUUUUUUUUCAUCUCAUAAAUUAAGUUAAAUGUCAAAAUAUCUUUCCAUAUCAUAUUUGAAAAAGGAUUAUGAUUUUAAAUUUUGUAUGUUUAAAUGGGUUGAAAAUAUGAAUAUAAUUUAUAUAGGUUAUUUUUUGUAAAUAAUAUUGUAUAAUUUUCUGUAUUCAUGUGUCAUUAUAAUAUUAAAUUUUUUAUAAAAUAAGAAAAGUUAUUAGGAUUAUCCCUUAUCAUGGAAAAAUGAUAUAAGAUGAGCUUGUAUAAACUAGGAAUGAUAAGAGAGUUGGUUUGGGAUUGGUCACCGUAUCUUAACCCGAUCUCAUUUAUUCAAAAUAAUUAUCAUUUUGGGACCGUCUCAUGUGUAUUAACUUUUUCUUUUUCGAAAUUUUCAAUGUUUUUAAAUUAUUUUAAUUAUUUAUAAAAUAUAUUUAACUUUUUUUAUUUUUUAAUAUUUUUAAAUUAUUUUAAUUUUUAUUAAUUAUAUUAAAAUAAAUAUAUUUUAUAGAUAAUUAAAUUAUUAUAUUUUUAUAACUUAUUUUAUUGAAAAUUAUUAUUAUUAUUAUUAUCAUUAUCAUCAUCUACAUAUUAAAAAUAGAACAAAUUUAAAUAAUUUUAUAUAUGAUCGGGGUGGGAUAAGGCAAUACAUGAACCUAUUUUGGGUUUAAAAAAAAAUUCUCAAACCCAUCUCAUGGGACGGAUUCCGAAAAAAACUCAUCUCAUUGUCAUCCAUAAUAAAUAUUAUAUAAAGUGGAUGAAGAUGUAAAAAAAAUUAGAGACUACUGAUAUAGCAUGGUUUAUAGUGUAGAUAAUAAAGAAUGAAGAAAUAUGAGAUAUUUAGAAGGUACGUGGGUUUGAUCGAAAUUAAAACCUGGUAUACCUUUAUGUGAAUUAUUUAAUUUUUUUUGUUCUUAAACAAACAUUAUUUGAAUUAAAAUUUCUACUGACUUGAUAAACUAGUAUUAGAGUUUUGGGUUGGAGAUUUCUAGGAGGAGUGAAUAUAUAUUUUUAUAAAAUAAAAACCGUUAUUAGAAAUAUUUCUAUAAAUAUUUUAAAUUAUGGAAAAAUAGUUAUAAGUAACAUUGUUUGCAUUAAAACUUUCGUAUCUACAACAAUAUUAAAAUAUCUUUAUCUUCAUUUCUUUAGAUUAAGUUUAAAAAAUAUGGAAAAUGUAUUUCUAAAUUAUUUUAUUUUAUUUUAAAUUUUUUUCUUGCAAAACCAAAUUUCAAUUUUAUAUAUAUAUAUAUUUCUUAGAACCCAAUUUUUAUGAAUGAUAGUGUUUGUCAUGGAAAUUUAUGAGGAUAUGAAAAAUGUGGUUGUAAAUUUUCUUUGACUUUCUAUUAGAGGGAGAAGCAUUGUUAUUUCUUUAUCACCUAAAAUAAUUAAUAAUUACAAUAUCACUCUCAUCUCACAUGGGAAAAUAAAAACCAAAAUGGAAAAUUUGCCCCCUUUAAAAAAUAUAAAUUUAAUUUAAAAAAUAAUAGCAGCAAAAAAAAAAUUACCAUUAAUUACUAAUAAAAUAUUAAGAUUGAACUAAAAUUAAACAAUAAAUAAAAUCUCAUUUAGUAUUGGCCCUUAUUUUUUCUUAUUUAUUUAUUUUUUUCCCUUUUAUACUUAUUUUUUUUAUGAUUUUGUCUUCUCGGGCUUAACUAAAUCAUAAAAAAUAAUACUUUUUAAACUACUAUUGUUUUAGUGAUGAUUCAUUACAUGAAAUAUAACUUUUUAAGUGAAAAACUUUAUUUUCAACUAUCUCAUAUUCCAAAAAAAAAAAGUGUAUUGAUUUGAUAUCUAUGGAAAUAUUAAUCUCCACUUUUAAAACUAUGUAGAAAAUUUUGGGUCUUUGGAACGAGACUAAGGUAUAAAUAAAUAAAAUUAGCUUAUAACACAAUAUGACCUAAAGGCCCACACCACUUCCAUGUGAAAAAUAUCAAAAUCUAUAAUAGAAAUGAUUGAAUUCUUUAAAAAAUUUUAAGGCUAUGUGUAGACCCCCAUUCUGGGCUUGCUUUUAUGCAGCCAUUUUUUAUAGGUGUUGCCAUCUAGGGUGGCCACGUGUCAAUCUCUGGUUGGCUGUUAGAGCACCAGAGUGGUGUUUUUGAUGGCCAGUGGGUGUGCGACACGUGUCCAAAGAAUCUGCAAAAAGCUGCAGACGGUUAGAGGGGUGGGGUGGCCAGCUGCUUGAUCUCUUUCCUGGCCGUUGGAGAUAUUUUGAGGGGGAGAUACCUAGGCUGUGAGGGGAUAUGCAGAGAGGAGGUACGUUUCUAUUGAGGAGCAGCAGGCCAGCGGCAGGAGGAGUGGUCUAGGCUGCCGUUGGGGAUUUUUUCAGAGAGGGAGAUAUUUUUUUUGACCAGAGGGGGAUUUUCUGGACCUUUUGAUGCUGGUCUGAGGGAUUUUGUGGAGGGCAAGAAAAGUUGAGGGAGCUUCAGAGGGAGAAAACCAGUCGGAGGAGAGCAUAGGAGAGGUGAGAGAGCUUGGAAAGGUACCGGGGCUGGUUACUCAGGGAUAUUUGAGAGUGCUUUUAGCAGGAGGUUAGCAGAGAGAGAGAGGAAAAGAGAGGGAGGCUUUCGUGGUGAUUUUUCAAGGGUGACCUUUCUAAGAGGGGAGAAUUCUUUGGGGAUUUUUCGGAGAGAUUGUGGAGAGAGGUAUUUUCUGGAGGAGAUAUUUUUGAGGAGCUUUUGGGCUGGAUAGGCAAGUGAAGCUGAUGAGGGGAUUCUUUCAGAAAAGGUUUUGAGUUGGGCGUCUCCCAGAAAGGUGAUAAAAAUAGAGUUUGAAGUCAGGCGAGCUUUCAUUGGUGAGGAGGCUUUCCAGGUAUGGACUCUGCUCAUCAUCUUCUCCAUCUUGUUUUGGAUAUCAAUGAGCUUCCAUCUUGGUGUUUGAAUAUGUUUGCUAUGGAUUUCACUUGACUCAGCUUUGAAUUCUAACCUGUUUUUGUGUCCUUUGUUUUGAGAUCUCUUAUGAGAUGUUGGCAUUCCCACAUUUGUUUUUGUCUUAAAACUCAUUUGAAAAAUCGUUUUGACCCCCUCCUACAUCUGAGCUCAUUGAUUGAUAUGUGAAAUGAAGCUUGUAUGGAUUCAUUUGGUCCCCAUUGUUUGUGUUUUUCUUUGGUCAUCUUCCCCUGUUCCUGGUGCUCAUCCAUGACAUGCACCUGAUUCAUCGUCUCCACGUUAAGAAGAUAUAUGAGAGCUGUCAGUGGGUCAUUCUGGGUCUAUUCUACCUCAGUGUGCUCUUAUUGGUUGAGAAUCUCCAGUUUUUGGUUCGUUUAAUGGCAUCUGAAUGGCCGACAGUAUUAAUUGCAUCAUUGUGGUAUGGGAUGGCAAUGGAAAACUAAAAGCAGAGGAUGGUGUUUUCUUACGUUAUUUGAACUGUGUAAAGGAGCUUUUCCGGGGAAAAAUAAUCGUUAUGAAAUUUGUCAUUCAGAGCCAUGUGGGGAUUGCAACUUAAUGCCAAGCGGGAUUAGGCCACAUGCCAUGCUAGGGAUUGUGUACCAUGCUUGGUGCUUGUCAAUCAAAAAUGUCGUUGUGGGUCAAUAUCAAAAUACCAUGAAGCCACAACGGAGGAGAAAAUUACCUGUGAGAAGCUUUGUGAGUGGAAGGAGAACUAUGGAAGACACUGUUGUAGUGAAUGGUGUUGUGCUCUCUCUGAUUUUCUGGCAAUGUUCUCUCUGGCGAUUGGGAUCCGCAUUUAUGUGCAAUGACAUACAGAAAGAAACUAAAGUGUGAGCAGUCCUCUUGGGAAACUUUUUUGUCUUAGUGGCCAUUUCCUGGAAACAGUCUUUACUGAUUUAACCUGUGAACGUGGGAGGAUUUUAAUGGCUCCUUCAUUUCCUUAUGACAUCCCCACUCCAAAAUCCACCCAAAGCCUUCUGCCAGUCCACUCAUUGCCCAUUUCAUACCCAUUUCUAUUACUACCACUCUCUCUCUACACCACCAUGCACUAUGUCAUCACUCUCACUCACUCAAUAUGCCCCUUGCUGCAGCCGUUUUAUCAUUGAAUCCACUUUCCUUCACCACUUUCCAUUACCCUUUGUAUCAUUCUCUCAUCACCCGCUUGCCUUCGAUCUUGUCACGUACGUGGAGUCUCAUGCAUGCACGACUGUCUAUCAUACACUAUCUCAUCUUCCAUGCUUCUAUCUCAACCCCAUGCCAUCCUACCCAUAACCUCAUGCAUGACUGAACCCAUUCAUACCCCAUCACCCUCUGUUCGUUUCCUACAUCCUGCGUAACCUCCAAAAUCCACCCAAAGCCUUCAUCCCUAUUCCCAUGCAAAUACUUCACUAACCACUACCCUACUCUCUAAUGCCCAUCUGACUCAUUCUUUUCAUCACCACCCCACCUUCAUUAUUUCAUACCCAUACAUACCAUCAAUUCAUCCAAUACCCACCAUAUCCACCAUGUUCGUCUUUCCACAUCAUACACCUUCCAUACCCAUUCUCCCUAACUUUUAUACUAACAUAUGCCCAUCACCUACAUAUCCAUCUCCAUGCUCGCUCCUAUCUCUACACUGCCACCCGUACCCAUUAAGUCCACUUCUUGCAAUAUGGCAUGCACCUAGUCCCCCACUCACUUCUUAGUACUUUUCAUUUCCCAUUCUUCCCUAGACACAUGCAUGACCGUCCUUAGGUGUUUCACUUCCCGCACCUCAUCCCUUCAAACUCUCUGCCAGUGAACCCAUUUGUUCGGAAGAAGUGGGCGUGCUUAUGACCUGUGGAGACUGGAACUGAAGCAAAAAGUGCUUUGUUGCAUGACAAGGAGAAUGGGAAAUUCGAUCAAGAACCUGGAGUUACCGAGUCCACAAAAUUCGGUUCUCAUGGAGAUGAGCCUGUCAAAAGGAAGGGUCCAGUUCUAGAAGCAUUUGGUAAUGCAAAGACUGUCAAAAACAAUAAUUCAAGUCGGUUUGGUAAGUUUGUGGAGAUUCAAUUUGAUCAAAGGGGAAGGAUUUCAGGAGCAUCUAUCAGGACUUAUUUGCUGGAAACAAAGCUAUUUUUGCUUGAAGGAUGAGAAUUUCAUUGGCUAGGGUACUCUUUGUGCAACCAAAUAUUCCAUUGCUUGAUGAACCCACCAACCAUCUUGACAUGAGGGCUACUCUCUGGUUAGAAGAGUACUUGUGUAGGUGGAAGAAAAUUCUUCUUGUCGUCUCACAUGAUCGGGAUUUUCUUAACAGGAAGCAGAUGUUGCCAUAUCUUGUUGCACACGCACCCAACUGCAAUAGUGCAGUCCAUAAUAAUGCAAGUGGUAGGCCAUCAGCUAAGGAUAGUGCCCAGGUUGAUUUGUCUUCACUGUCAGUUAACUUCUCCCUGAAUUCAAGGUGACAAUCCCAGCUAACACCAUACAAGCUGAAGUGCGCUAAAGUCAACUUGCUCAGAGGAGACUCUUACACAGGAAUAUGUUCAGCACGGAUACAGGGUGAUUGAUGUGGAACUAAGGGAUGCUUAUUUCAGUUAUCCAACAAAGACAGAAUAACUACUUACAUGUAAUGAGGAGAUGAGGUGACUUAGUAUCCUGCAACUGUUCAUUCUAGUGAUAGAAAGACAGCUUGUUCUUCAUUGAGGUCAAUAUUGACGUCUUGUUGACUCCGAAGGAAAUGUGGUGAUAGGUAGCACGAUGAAGCAUGGUGUAAAAGAAUAAGACUCCCACGUGGUACAGGUAGCUUUAAUGUUGAAGUUCGAACUCCCGUAGACGGCUGAAGGCUGUUUCAAUGCAUAGUUUCCAAUUGAGGCCAUUGCAAAUGCUGUAGUUACAGCUAUACCCAAUCCAGAGGGUGUAAGUGGUGCUGCAAGCAAUUCAAUUCAAGAAUCCACUCACAGAAAAUUUGUUAAGGCACCCCUCAUGUACUUUCAGAAUCCUCAUCCUCAUACAGUGUUAUUCUACACACUAUCACUGUUUUCUGAAACCUUAUAGCAGUUACCAUUUGGUUCAGUGAUAAGUGCAAAUCCCUCCUAAGCGUGAUAUGAGAGGUCACGAGCAGUACCUCGGUACCAUAUUCAGCAGUCCAUCUGACCAAAAUUGUAGUAAAAGCUCUUCAAUGCCUCCAGAAACCCAUGGAAAUCUUGCUACAUAUCACCAGUAGCUCAUCAUUCAAACUGUCUGCAUAGAUCCAUUGAACUCCCCAGAGAUUUGGGAUGCUAAGUGAGCCGAAGAUCAAGUCUACAUGGCUGAGAUGUUGAUGCAAAGGAAGGAUGGUCGCCACAGUUUUCCAGCAACAUUUGCAGCAGAUCGAGUUAUUCAUGUGUUCAUGUUUGAGAAAGGGUGUUAGGGACAUACAGGAAAUUACGAGAGAUCCUCUUCAUAGGCAGAGAUGGAAUAAUAUGCAGUCAGUGCUCCAGGUGCCCCAAGUUUAUGCUUCUAGUCUGCAUGGCUUUCUUAGUCACUCCUAUGCCACGUGUCACCUCCCAUUCCAUCACUCUUUUGGCUUAGAAAAUAAUUUUCUGAUUCCUUUCUUGCAAAUAAAUUUUUAAACAUCGGUUUUCAAAUAAUUUCAAUAUUUUCCAUAUUUCAUCCUUAGGUUUUCUUUAGGUUCCAACAUUUUGUUUUUAAUAAAAUUUGCUGCCAUCUUUCUUCGGCGUGCAACUUUCAUAACUUCUCUGAUUUUAAAAUGUUUUAAAAUAAGUGUGAAUUUAUUUUUCGUAAUUCUUGGUGAUAGAAUUUACGAAAUUAAUUCAUACAAAAAUAAAUGGGCUUUGGUGGGGGCCCAACAUCAAAUAAAUUUUCUUUAAAAUAAAAUUGAGUGAAAUGACACAUGUGCUAUUGAUGAUUUCAUAUUUAGUUUAGUGACAUGUAUGCUAUAUCUUGUGAUCAUUGUUUUGUACUAAUCUCAUUUUCAUGAUAGCGCGUUGUUGUUUGCUGCUAAGGUACACAUUUUCUCUCACUUUGUCCAUCUCUCAUGCUUGCUUCGAUUCUCAGUGUGUAAUCAUGUUGAUAUUCAUUGAUUUUCCUAUUGAUUGUCAUGUCAGCUUCAUCUCAUUAGUAGAGACCCGACUUUAGGGACUUAGAGGGGUGCUACGGUCUUUACCGUACCUUCCCGAUAAGUAACCUGACCCCCGAACUCGAUCCGGUUUUUCGUAGAUCACCUUUUCCAAAUAAGGAGUCACACUUAGGGUUUUUCUUUCUUAUUUUGUUUACCCUUUUAAAAAUAAAACAAAAAUAAGUGGCGACUCCAAGUCAUUUUCAAAUAAUCAAUAAAAAUCAAUUUUUCAAAAUAAAAAUCGAGUUUCGCCAUCGAGUGGGAAACGCAUUCGAGCGAUUCGAAAAUGCGGGGUCCACAAAAUGGCGACUCCACUGGGGGUCAUUAGAGGGUCAAGCUUGAACUUAAGAUGAAGCAAAUGUGGUGUUUGAUGAGUUUAUCAGUGGGUACUCACUUAUUGAUUGCACAUUGAGAGUUCCCGAGUUUUCACUUGGGACAUUGACAUGAUUGAUUGUAUUGGUCGAUUAUCUUGAUUGGAGAUUCUGAGAUAGCUAUUUUCUUUGUGCUUCAUUGAUAUAUUUGUUUGAGAUAUUUGACAUGCUAAUUAUGAUGAUUGAUUCGUAUUGAUAGAGGAUUCCGAGAUAGCUAUUUUCUCUGUGCUUCAUUGAUAUAUUCAUUUGAGAUUUUGACAUGCUGAUUAUAUUGAUUGAUCAUUUCGUAUUGCUUAGCGCAUUGAUCCUGAUUUUUCCAUGAUUAUUCUGAUCACUUCACAUGCAUACACUCACCACUGUACAUCACUCAGCUUGCUGUGUUGUUUCUCUGGCUUGCAUAUUAUCUUGAUCGUCUUUUGAGCAUGAUGUUCAUAUCGCUAUUCAUCCUGAUAGUUGUAACUUUUUGUGUGGACAUGAGUGAUAUAUCCUGUACUCUGCUUGACUGUAUGAUGCAUGACUGCCCUCCCUCUGUAUGAUUGCAUGUUGCCUGUCUAUGUGGGUCACACUUCUAUCCCCUUACCUCCAACUCUCUUGGUUUCGGUCAUUCCUUUCAUCCCGGUUCUCACUAUUGCAAGUGUGAGACCUUCUAUGUGUUUGCUCUCUGACCGAGCCAGAGAUUAGGAGUAGGGUCUAACGACGGGCUAUAUCGAUGCACGGGAGCAUUCUGGAGAAGAGCGACACUGAUGUCGAUUGGAGUACGAUCAUUGAAGACCUGUAUAGCCCGAAGCUAGGUUUCAUGGAUAUUUGUGUAGCCAGUGUGUUUCCUCUUCUGUUUUAGCUUCCUAGGGUUUUCGGAUGCACCCACACCAUCACUGUGCACUCUAGUUGACUAUUGAGCAUUGAGAGUUUGAGAGGUUUCACCAUAGGAAACCCCCUGGGAUGUCGAGGUAGUGCAUGUGUGGAGGUGAUGACCACCUUGCAUGGAAGCGCCUCGUCUCUUCGAAGACGUGCAGAGGGUUGCGUACCGCCGGAGGGUAUGAUCGCUUCUGCCAGGGAUAUUUUAAAGUCCACCCUUAUUCAUUUAGAGCCACCUUGACCUUGUAGGUUGAGCCGUAGAUCCUUCGAUUAGGAUUCCCUCCCUACACGUGGGUGCAUCUGAGGGCUUCCAGAGCCUCUGUGGUUACAGUUUGGAUCCAGUAUUCCCUCUUUUUAGUCUCCAGUUGAGAGUGCUCGGAGAUCGGUAUGAGUUUGAGUACGGUUGGGUCACCUUUCGUCUUGCCGCCUUAGUUUGUGUUUUUCAUUUGAUGAGUUUAACAUGUUUUCUCCUUAGGGCUUUCGUUCUCAUUUCUUGGCUCGACACACCUUUUCACUUUGUUUUCACUCACUCGAUACUUUGGGAUAUGUUCAUUGAUCAUCUUUUUACACUAUAUACCUAUCAUGGGCUCAGUACCAUAUUCUUUGUUUGAUCCUUGGUUCGAUUUUCGAUUCGAUGCUCAUAUUUUCAUUACAGAAAGGUGAAAGGCAUAUUUUCAUAUUCACACAUUUUUCGAGAGAUUCGCCUUGAUCACCUUAUCAUUUUGUCUCUUAUGGAGCUCGAGUUGAAGGUUGAAUCAAGGAUAUUUUUGGUCUAGACUGAGUAUUGAUCUCGUGAUAGUGUUGUUCUUCACACCCCAUUCAUUUUCUUCACACCUCGAUCAUUUUUUGGAUCAUCGAUAGAAAUUCUUUAGUCAUAUUUGUAGUUGUCUCACAUUGGACACUCAUGUGACUCUAGAGAUUCUAUCGUCUAUCCAAAUUUUGAUUGUCACCAUAUGAUUGUGUGUCGCACCCUGUCAUAUAUUGGGUUGUAGUGUAUCCCAUGCAUUGGUCAUUGUUCGUUGCAUCUUGUGUCGUUGCAUGAGUCGUGUUUGAGUCGUUGUGUUUAGAUUCUUUUGUAGGGGUUAUUUGUAGUCCCAGUCUUGGUUCAGUGCCCUGGAUUGAGUGAGAGAGAUGUUGAUUCGUAUCGUUGAGCUGCUAUAGACAGAUUCACAGUCAGUUUCGAUUGGUUAGGUUAUUGCUUCUGUGGUUUCGAUUCAGAAGGCAUUGGCCAGUUUGAGUUAGAGGAUGGAUAGUCAGCCGAGUAGGCAUGUAGUGCUCGAGGACACGCCAUCUGAUUUAGUGACACCACCUGUUAUACCCGUUCAGAUGCCAGCUACACAGACUUUGCAUACUAUUUCACAUGAUCGGGCUGCUAUCGUUCCACCUAUUGUCACACCAGUUACCAUUGUUGGGGAUCCUCAUUCUCGUAUGGACAGACUCGAGCGGAGGAUUAGAUGGAUGAGAGAUCUUGAUGAGAUGAUUUCAUGGGAUGACCCUGGCAAUGUGCCAGUGGCCACUUUGCCAGUCGGUUUCAGGAUGCCUGAUAUAGAGAGAUAUACGGGUGUUGGAUGUCCUCGUAUUCAUCUCAGACUUUAUAGCACAGUUAUGAGGGCUCUUGGUCUAGAUGAGGCACAGUUGCUCACUUUGUUUCCAUUGUCAUUGAGCGGCAUGACACAGAGAUGGUACGCUUCAUUAGAGUCAUCUCGUCGGAGAACUUGGGAGGACUUAGCACAGGAGUUUCUGAGACAGUAUUCCUUCAGUGGUGAUACGAGCGUUACACGUAGAGAGCUUGAGUUUCUUAGACAGGGAUCAGAUGAGCCUGUUUUUUCUUUUAUCUCCCGCUGGAGGGAGAAGGCCGCAGAAAUGAUUGAGUGACCUACCGAGAGAGAUCAGAUGGGCAUGUUUUUGAGGAGCUUGCAUCCUAGGUUUGCUCGGCAUCUGACAGGAGUCCCAUUCCAGGAUUUCAGAUCAUUGGUUCAGGCUUUGCUUGAUGUAGACGAUGGCCUAUCUAGAGGAUUAUGGUCAGAUAUUAUUCCUUCUCCGGAUACUGAGGGGAAGGGAGUUGGUGGAUCAUCUGAGAGCUAUGGAGACGUAUGUUCUGUGGACUUUCAGCAUCGACGGCCUGGUUAUCAUCCCUAUGCGAGAUCAUUGCAGAUAUCCAGGAGUGAUUUCCCACCUUUACAGCAUCGUCAUCCUCAUCCAGUUUAGCUGUACCCUUCUACGCAUCCUCAUGCUGUCACGGUGCGACCUUCAUUUCAGUUUCAGCGUCCAUAGACUGGCAUCCCACGGCAUGAGCAGUCUCGUCCCCAUCGGCGACGUCAAAGGACUUAUUCUGAUUUGGGGAUGCCUUUGGAUAGAGCUUUUGAGCGAUUCCGAUCUAUUGGUGUUUUAGUACCAUUGGCCCCUAGGCCACUCCCGAGUACCUUGCCUCCGCGUUUUCAUGCUCAUGAGUUCUGUGCAUUUCACCAGAUGGCAGGCUACCGUACUGAUUAUUGUGCUUCUUUACGUCACACCAUACAGGAUCUUAUUGACAGUGGCGCAGUUAGCUUUCCCAUAUCGACCACAGAUACUGAUCUUGGUCUAGAUAUGUCUACUGAUUCCUUUCCAGCUUAGUCCACACUAUGUUUGGUUUUUGAAAAGUAUCAAGAAAGAAAAAUUGUUAAGAAAAGUGGUUUUCUCAUAUUUGGAUUUGUCCUGAAAAAUGCAAAAGAAAAAUUAAAUAUAAUUAAAAUUAGUUAAAAAUCUAUACAUUUUAAAAUUAUUUUAUUUUUAUAUAAUGAAGGAAAAUAAGUGAAAUGAAUUUGAAGAAGUAUAUAAAAAUAAUUUAUUGACUUUGUUUAUAUUUUUUAUUUUCUUCCAAUUUUCCUUUCUAUUUUUAUUUUUUCACAUUUUCCAAGGGUUCUUGUUAUAAAAUGAUUAAAAUUGUUGAAAUUUUCUAAUGAUUUUUCUUUCUUUUUAGAUUUCCUUAAAAUAUUUUUGACAAUUUUUUUAUAUAUAUAUUUUUUAAAAAAUGUUCUUAAUACUAUAAUUGUUUAAUUUGAUACAUUCUCGAAAUUAAUAUUUGAAACUAUUUAUUAUGUUAAUAAUAAUAAUAACAGUAAUAAUAAAUAACAUUAAUUACCAUAACUAUAAUGUAAUAUUUUUCUCCUUGGCCCGUAAGAAGUGUUUGACUCCGCUUUAAUUUGAUUUUAUCUUUAAAUUCAUCAUGCUUAAUACAUGAAAAAAAAAAAAGUAGAUAAAGUAAAUAUGAAGAAAAAAAAAAGGAUCAACUUGUUAUUAUAAUAAUAAAUAAAAUAUUAGAUUAAUAUAUUUAAAAAUUAAUUUCUUUCAUCUAUAUAAUUAUAAUUCAUAUUUAAUGCAAGUUUUGUCUUCUUUUUUUCCUAUAAUAUCAUUUUUUCCAUCUCUAUAUAUAUUAUUUUAUAAUUUUUUUAAAUGUAUUUAAUUAUUAACUAUUUGAGUGAUGUUAUAACCAAAGUUUAUAUAUUUUUUUAAAAGAGGUAAUUAUUGAUUUAGGGAAAAAUAGGUUUUCACUCGCUAAAAUAAAAAUAUAUGGAAAAAAUAAUCCUAAAUUUUUUAAAUUGUUAUAAAUGGGUGGUGAAUGACCACCUUAAUGUUAUCGUUGAAGUUCAUUUAUGAACUUUCCCAUUUGGAAAACUUAUAAAAGGCCUUCCAUCCUUUGUACAAGAGCAUCCCGAAGAAAGAUAUUUAUUCAUUUCUCUCAUUCUCAUUCUCAUUCUCUCUCUCUUAUUCUCUUAUUUUCUAAACUUUUUCACUUCUCCUUUAUGAUCCCUUCCUCCCCAUUACAUAUUAUUAUUGAGUAAUAUAUAGUUGUUCUAUACUUUUAUUAGUAUUGCAUUUAUCCUCAUUUUACAACACAUUAUCAGUAUGAAUUGCUUUGAAGGUAAUUCUCGUAUCUUAAACUUGAAGUUGUUUAUAUAUAAUAAAAUUUUACAUAUUUAUAUUGUUGUUAGAUUUUGUUUUGUUAUAUAUUGUUAAAAGUUAUAAGAAAAUUAUUUGAUUUUGUUUAUAAUCAAAAGUUAUACUAAUGUUAUCAAUUUAUUAUAACUGAUUCUAAUAAUAUUGUUUUGUCAUAUAUAUGAAGUUAUUUGACAAUAUCGAAUUUCACAAAACUCAAAUUUGUGACAUUUGACAUUUCAGGAAAUAACUAUCUAUCUUGGAUCCUUGGUGUUGAAAUACAUUUUGAUGUAAUGAAUCUUGGAGCUACGAUCAAAGAAGAAAAUCAAGUAUCCCUACAGGAUCGCGCAAAAACGCUGAUUUUCCUUCGCCAUCACCUCCAUGAAGGUUUAAAAAAUGAGUAUCUUACAGUAAAAGACCUUUUUACUCUAUAAAGUAAUUUGGAGGAAAUAUAUGACCACUAGAAAAUUGUGAUUCUCUCAAAAGCUCGAUAUGAUUGGAUGCAUCUAAGUUUGUAGGAUUUUAAAACUGUUAGAGAAUAUAACUCCGCAUUUUUCAAAAUCAACUCUCAAUUAAAGCUGUGUGGAGAAAGAAAAAAAAUCAUAGAAGAAGACAUGUUAGCAAAAACUUUAACUACGUUUCAUGCCUCAAAUGUGCUCCUACAACAGUAAUAUCGAGAGUGUAGAUUUACAAAAUAUUUUGAAUUAAUAUCAUGUCUUCUUGUUGUUGAACAAAAUAAUGAGCUUUUAAUGAGAAAUCACCAAUCUCAUCAACUGGAUUUGAACCAUUCCCUAAAGGAAAUGCAAUAUCGUCCCAAACUCGUGGACGUGGAUGUAGACGAGGACGAGGACAUGGUCGUGGAAGAAAUCCCCGGUACCAUGGUUCUUAUGGUAAUAAUUCAUCAAAUUCUUAGAAAAGGAAAGUCUCAUUGCACUAUCAGAAGUGGAAUAAUACCGAGGCAAAACAAGAAAAUGGGAAGUGUUUACAAGAUAAACCUCCUCAAAACCAUGAGAAUAAUUGUUAUAGAUGUAAUAUGAAAGGGGAUUGGUCACGUACCUGUCAUACACCCAAACAUUUGGUCAACCUUUACCAAGCAUCAAUAAAAACAAAAGGAAAAGAGAUAGAGAUGAACUUUACCGAUGGUGAUGGAUUGGACCUAACCUACUAUGAUAUUGAUUUUUUUAGAGGUUCUAGUAAAAAAAUAGGCCAUUUAAUAAAUGAUGAGAAUAUUAACUUUGAUUGAUGUUACUUUAUAUAUCGAAUAUAUAUUAUUAUGUCUUAUAUUCACAUUCGAUUUUCUUUUGUUAUUUACAUUAUGCCUUGGUUUUUUUUAAAUAUUAGUUAUAUAUAAAAUCCAUGUGUUAUUUGAUCUCAAGAUGAAUGAGGAUGAUGUAUGUCUCGUAGACUAUGCAACCACACACACAAUUCUUCGAGAUAAAAGAUAUUUCCUCAAAUUGACAUUAAUAAAAGUUAAUGUAAGUACCAUAUCUGCUACUACAAACUUAGUUAAAGGCUCUGGAAGAACAAACAUAACACUACCAAAUGAAACUAGAUUCUAUAUAAAUGACACUUUAUAUUCUAACAAAAAUGGAUAUCAUAUUGAAACUGUGAAUAAAGAUAAUGUAGAAUAUCUUUACAUUAUUUCCAUUAUAUCUGGCUAGAAGCUUAUAAUGGAAAAACUCUCGGCUUUCUCCUCUGGGUUGUGUCAUACAACUAUAAAGCCUAUUGAAUCAUAUGUUGUCAUGAACCAAAAGUUCAACGAUCCAAAAGUUUUUGUCCUUUGGCAUGAUAGGCUAGGUCACCCAAGGUCUUCAAUGAUGUGUCAAAUAAUUGAACACUCACAUGAGCAUCCAUUAAAGAAUCAAUAGAUUCUUUUACUUAAUAAAUACUCAUGUGUUGCCUGCUCACAAGGUAAAUUGAUAGUCAAAACAUUUUUUACUAAAGUCAUAUCUGAGUCACUAGUCUUUUUAGAAAGAAUACAUGGGGACAUAUGUGGGCCUAUCCAUCCACCAUGUGGACCAUUUCGUUAUUUUAUGAUCUUAAUAGAUGUUUCUACUGGGUGGUCACAUGUUUGUCUCCUUUUUACACGUAACGUUGCCUUUGCUAGACUCCUUGCACAAAUAAUCAGAUUAUGAACAUAAUUUUCAGAUUAUCCAAUUAAGACAAUACGCCUUGAUAAUGCUGACGAAUUUACGUCUCAAACAUUCAUUGACUAUUGCAUGUUAGUAGGGAUAAAUAUUGAGCAUCCUGUUGCUUAUACUCAUACCUAAAAUAGCUUAGUAGAAUCAUUUAUUAAAUGUCUCCAAUUAAUAGCUUGACCAUUACUAAUGAAAGCCAAAUUACCUACUUUUGCUUGGGAAACAUGCUAUUAUGCAUGCUGCAGCUUUAGUCUGUAUUUGACCUGCAACUUACUAUGAAUACUCCCUUAUAACUUGUGCUUGAAAAACAACCAAAUAUCUUUCACUUACAAAUCUUUAGUUAUGUAGUAUAUGUACCAGUUGCACCUACACAACGCACCAAAAUGGGUCCCCAACGAAGACUUAGGAUUUAUGUAGGCUUUGAUUUUCCAUAUAUUAUAAGAUAUCUUGAACUUUUGACAAGCGAUGUUUUUACAACCAGUUUUGCAGAUUUUUAUUUUAAUGAGGGUGUUUUCCCGCCAUUAAGGGAAGAAAAGUCGAUUCUUGAAAAACGAUGAGAAAUUACUUGGAACGCAUCUGCUAUGUCCCAUCUCAAUCCUCGUUCAAGUCAGUGUGAACUAGAAGUUCAAAGGAUCAUUCAUUUGCAAUCUUGCAAAUCAACUACCAGAAACAUUUAUUGAUACAAAGAAAGUGACAAAGUCACAUAUCCCUACUGUAAAUACUCCAACACGAAAUGAUGUCCAUGUAGGACAGUUAACAAAUGAAUCUAAGAUACGCUUGAAGCGUGGUAGACUUGUCGGCUCAAAUGAUGUAACUCCCCAGAAGAUGAGAACACAAGAAAAACUUGACACUUUAAAAGAGGUCAUCAAAAUGAUUGAUCAGUUUAAAAUUGAUAAAUCUAUUGCCCCAGAAAAGGCACAAAUAAUGCAAAAAGCCCCUAAAGAGGCACAUAUUAAACGAGAAGCCCCUGAAGAUGCACAAAUACCUUAAAAUUGUAAGAUUUCAUUAAAUUAUGUACACACGGGAGAAAAAUGGGAUCAAAAUAAUAUUGUUAUUAACAAUAUUUUUGCUUCCAAAGUGGCCUCCUAUAUCAUAAGAAAUGAUGAAGAUCUUGAACUACGAAAUAUGGAAGAAUGCUGACAUAGAAAUGAUUGGCCAAAAUGGAAAAAAGCUAUGCAGACAAAGUUAAACUCAUUAACAAAACGAGAAGUUUUGGACUUGUAAUCCAAACACUUGAAGAUGUAAAACCUGUUGGGUACAAAUGAGUAUUUGUACGAAAGCGUAAUGAGAAUAAUGAAAUCAUAAGAUAUAAAGCGCGAUCAGUUGCACAAGGUUUCUCACAAAGACUUGGUAUUGACUACGAGGAAACAUACUCUCCUAUCAUGGACGCAAUCCCAUUUCGUUUCUUAAUUAGUUUGGCAGUUUCAGAAAGAUUGGAUAUGUGUCUCAUGGAUGUUAUUACAACAUAUUUAUACGGAUCCAUGGAUAAUGAUAUAUACACGACAAUCCCUGAAGGAUUUAAAUUGCCUGAAGCAAAUAGUACAAAGCCUCGAAGCAUGUACUUAAUCAAGUUCCAACGAUCCUUGUAUGGAUUAAAGCAAUCUAGACGCUUGUGGUACAAUCGCAUUAGUGAAUACUUGCUAAAAGAAGGGUAUGUGAAUAACCCUAUAUGCCCAUGCAUCUUCAUUAAGAAAUCAGAAAUCAUAAAUCAGAUUUGCAAUUAUUGUAGUGUAUGUUGAGGACUUAAAUCUUGUUAGAACUCCUGAAGAUCUCACAAGAACAACAAAUUACUUGAAAAAGGAAUUUGAGAUGAAAGAUCUUGGAAAAACAAAAUUUUGUCUCGGCUUACAUAUCGAGCAUUUUCCAAAUGGAGUUUUAAUACAUCAAUUAACAUACAUUAAGAAAGUUUUGAAGUGUUUUUAUAAGGAUAAAGUGCAUCAUUUAAGUUCUCUAAUGGUUGUCUGAUCGCUUGAUGUGAAAAAUGACUAAUUUCGUCCUUGCGAAAAAAAUGAAGAAUUACUUAGUCCCAAAGUACCAUAUCUUAGUGCUAUUGGUGCACUUAUGUAUCUUGCCAAUUGUAUAUGUUCAGACAUUGCUUUUUCUGAUAUGAGUUUAUUUUACUUAAGGGAAUGAAAACAACAAUUGCUUGGAUAUGCAGAUAUAAGAUAUCUUUUAGAUCCACAUAAAGGUAGGUCACAAAUAGGGUAUGUGUUUAAUUACAAUGGUACUUCUAUUUCAUGGAGAUCUGUCAAACAAUCAAUGGUGGCCACAUCAUCAAAUCAUUUAGAAAUACUGACAAUUCAUGAAGCAAGUCAUGAAUGUAUAUGACUAAGAUUUAUGAUCCAACAUAUUCAAGAAUCAUGUGGACUCUCCUCUAUCAAAGGUGACCUGACAAUAUUAUUUGAAGAUAAUGUUGCAUGCAUUGCAUAGAUGACAUGGGGUUAUAUUAAAGGAGAUAGAACUAAACACAUUUCACAAAAUUUCUUUUAUAUACAUAAACUCUAGAAGAGUGGUGAAAUUGAUGUGCAACAAAUACGCUCAAGUGAUAAUCUAGUAGAUUUAUUCACAAAAUCAUUGUCAACCCCAACAUUCAAGAAGUUAAUAUAUAAUAUUGGAAUGCGUCAACUUAAGGAUAUCGACAUAAGGGAGAGUAUGCUUGUAAAAAGGUGUUAGUGUAUUGUACUUUUUUUCCAUUCGUCCAGGUUUUGUCUCACUGUGUUUUAAUGACAAUGUUUUUAACGAGACAAUCCUAACAUAUCAAGAGCAACUUAAAGAAUUAUAAGAAUAUUGUAUUCUUUUUCCUUCACUAGGUUUUUCCCUUAGGGUUUUUUGACUAGCAAGGUUUUAAUAAGGCAUAUUCUUUUAAUAUGGUAGUCAUCCAAGGGGGAGUGUUAUAAAUGGGUGGUGAAUGACCACCUUAAUGUUACAAUUGAAGUUCAUAAAUGAACUUCAUUUACUCAUCUUUAAGAUGAAUAAAUGUUUUCCAUUUGGAAAGCCUACAAAAGGCCUUCUAUUCUUUGUACAAGAGCAUCCCGAAGAAAAAUAUUUAUCUCUCAUUCUCAUUCUCUCUCUUUUAUUCUCUCUUUCUCUUAUUCUUUAAACUCUUUCACUUUUUCCUGAUCCAUUCAUUCCCAUUAUAUAUUAUUAUCGAGAAAUAUAUAGUUGUUCUCUACUUUUAUUAGUAUUUCAUUUAUCAUCAUUUUACAACAUAAAUUAAUAUUAUUUUAAUCUAUUUAAAAAUAAAUUAAAAUACAUGUACUUUUUACUUUUUAACGAGUCAUCUAAUUAUUUACUAAAAUAUCAUUUUUACUUGUCAUGUCAUUAAUGUAUUUUAAUUUUAAGAAAUAAUUACAUUUAUUUCAAUUUAUUUUUAAAUAGAUGAAGAUAAUACUGAUUUUAAAAAUUUGAGGUUCAUUUUUUCAUAUAUUUUCAUAUUUACGAAUCAAAACCUAUUUUUCCCUAUUUAACUUUGCAAUUCAAGAACCAACGUGAUUCCAACCAAUUCAUGUAGGAUGAAGAUCUUUAACCUGAAUUAUCAAUUCAAGUCAUGACUUAGUAUUUAGUUAUUAAAAUUUUAUUCUAAAAAUAAUUUCAUGGUUUUGUAAAAUGAGGAUAAAUGCAAAGCUAAUAAAAGUAGAGAACAACUAUAUAUUACUCGAUAAUAAUAUAUAAUGGGAAGGAAGGGAUCAGAAAGGAGAAGUGAAAGAGUUUAGAGAAUAAGAGAAAGAGAGAGAAUGAAAAUGAGAGAAAAGGAUAAAAAUCUUUCUUCGGGAUACUCUUAUACAAAGGAUGGAAGACCUUUUAUAAACUUUCCAAAUGGGAAACAUUUGCUCAUCUUAAAAAUGAAUAAAUGAAGUUCAUAAAUGAACUUCAAUUGUUACAUUGAGGUGGUCAUUCACUACCCAUUUAUAACACAUGGUAAAUAAUUGGAUUAAUUAAUAAUUAUUAAUUUAAUUAAAAAAUUCUCAAAAAAUAAAAAUAUGUAAUCUUUGGACUAAUUAAUGAAGGAUUACCCGAUCGGUCACCGACUCUAAUUUAGCCCAAGUCCAUAUAGUCACCGUACAAAUUAAGUUUGGAUUUAAAAGACCUUAUGAUCAAUGACAAAAAAUUGGGCCGGCCCAUGAUCAGCCCAUUAUUACCCGGCUGAACUCACGUAUUGAAAGUUUUUUUGGGAUAAUAAAAAAGCUGCUAAAUAGCUCAAACCCAUCCAAAAUAGGCUUAGGGAGAAUCUUAAUAGAGGGACCAAAAUAUGUCCACCAAUUGUGGAACCAAAAUGGGAAAGAGGAAAGCUGAUUCUUAGAGGGGAAGUAGAACAUCCAUGAAUGAUGGAAGUCCCUGUUCUGGAUUAAAAAAGUAAACCAGGCUUUCUGAUAAUCCCAAUAGUUAAAAAACCUUGGCUUUGAUGGUUCAGAAAAUUCUCUUGAAAAAUUAGGAUUUCCACCCCACUGCUUGACAGUGAGAAUCUUAUAGAUAUGAUAGGUGGAAAAUGCCAAAUCUAAUUUGCUGAAUUUAUCUGCAUUAUGCUUGAUCUUAACAGAUCCAGUCUCAAUGAGA